UCCGUGCUCCUGAGCCGUUUUCGAUGAUGGAAUUUUCGAAUCGACGAUCGGCUCCGUUAGACUUGAUCUAGCGUAUUUGAAGUUUCUAGAAAAUAAUUUUUGCGAUUUUUCGAUAUCGUUUACCUAGCAAUUGAAAGGAUUCAAAAUUAAUAAUUUUUAAUGGCUGAAAAUAAAAAUCCUAUAAAAAGUGGUGAUAUAGCGCUAAAAAUUUCGAUCAGAAAUAUUGAUCUUGUUGUAGAUAGUAUAAAGAAUUUUGUAUCAAAAUUUUAUCUGAUUUGAAUACUUCUAUACCGUUAAACUUGAAAACGGCAGAUAUCAACCAUUAAAAAUUAUUAAUUUUGAAUCCUUUCGAUCACUAGGUAAAUGAUAUCAAAAAAUCGUAAAAAUUAUUUUCUAGAAACUUCAAAUACCCUAGAUCAAGUCUAACGGAGCCGAUCGUCGAUUCGAAAAUUCCAUCAUCGAAAACGGCUCAGAAGCACAGAGGCCUCCGUGCUCCUAAGAGCACAGCGGCCCUGCUCUCUCUCUCUCUCUCUCUCUCUCUCUCUCUCUCUCUCUCUUUCUCUCUCUCUCUCUCUCUAUAUAUAUAUAUAUAUAUAGUGAGGCUACUAUACUUUUGGAAGCACGGAGCCUUCCGCGCUUCCAGGUCGUUUUCUAUAUUGCGACUUUCGAAUCGUCGAUCAGCUCCAUUAACUUGAUCUAGAAUAUUUGAAAUACCUAGAAAAUAAAUUAUGCGAUUUUUCGAUAUUAUUUACCUAGUGAACGAAGGGGCUCAAAAUCAACGGCUGAAAAUAAAAAUCUUACAAAACAUGAUAAUAUGACAUUAAAAUUUUAGAUCAAAGAUAUUGAUCUUGUUUAAUAUAGUAUAAAGAAUUUUUAUCAAAAUUUCACGUGAUUUGGAUAUUUCUACACCGUUAAACUUGUAAACGGCUCACUACGGCCAUUAAAAUUAUUGAUUUUGAGCCCCUUCGAUCACUAGGCAAAUGAUAUAGAAAAAUCAUAAAAUUUAUUUUCUAGGUACUUCAAAUACUCUAGAUCAACUCUAACGAAGCCGAUCGACGAUUUGAAAGUCGCAACAUCGAAAACGACCUGGAAGCACGGAGGGCUCUGUGCUUCCAGAAAUAUAGUAGCCUCACUCUAUAUAUAUAUAUAGUGGGCUGGUAUGCUUCUGGAAUGUAACACAUUGGACCUGUGCAAAUUGCGAGGUUCGAGUGUUUGAUAUGGAUUCCGAACUUUUCCACACUUGGUGGAAGGUCGUAGAUGGUAUUUCGACCUAAAAAUUCGAUUUCUGGAGUUUUGGCAUUGUCCUGAGAGUUUUCACUCUCGGGGAUAGGUCCCUGGUGGAAGAGACUGGUCCUCUCGGAACAGUGUUGCGGCAGUCUGUGAAGCAACCGGUCCCUGGCGCAUGAGACCGGUCCCCGAGCGCGACUACGAGGGGAGAGAUCGGUCCCAUGCGGGGAGAGACCGGUUCCCGAAUAUUGGAUUUUCGAGGCAUGCUGAGAGACCGGUCCCAGGUUGGGGAGACCGAUCCCUCAGUCUGAAAACUGCCCAGACCCGGGCAGUGCAUGGGUUGCUUUGUUGGAGGGCCUGAUGACUACCAUGUAUAGUUAUGUAAUUUGGGGACAAUAAAACUUGAUGUGAUGCCUGAUAGCACAUCCAGAUUUUUGUUUUUUUUAUUCCUUUGGGUAAAAUCAGUGGAGACCUAUAUUGCAAGUUUCACAUUGGCCUUUAGAAAUUCCAAAAUCUAUACACCAUUGAUCUGUGAACAAAGUGAUAGAUAUCACAUAACAGAACACAGAGAAUGAGGCAAAGUGAUGAAAUGUGGUUGUUUAAAGGCAUAAUAAAUUAGCUCAAUAUUUCAGGGAGGGGGAGCGAAGGCUUACAGUGGUUUUAUUGCAGCUUAGCACUGUCUUUUCGUAUCUGUGCUUAAACUCGACAAUGUUUACAGGCAAUGUUCAUGGACACAAAGCUGAACGAGAUGCAGCACCUCGGUUGGUACGUUGAAGAAGCUUUGUCAAAGGUACCAUGUGCGAGGAAAGCACUUCAUUGCUUUAUAGUGGAACUGAGUUAAUGGAUUGUUAUUUUACCCCUUUUUGAAUAGCCUUUAUGAUGAUAAUGUAACUUGCUUGCCACAGUAGGAAUUGGAUAGGGGCAGCUACGGCUGUGGAUCAAAAUAUUGAUUAAUUAAUCAGAACCGGCCUCGUCGCCGGCAGAGGGGUGGCUGCAGCUAUGGAUGGCGGCGGCGGCAGGGGCAUCUAUGACAGCGGCGACGGCGGCUAUUGCAAGAUAAAGAGGAAAGAAGAGGAGGAUUAUCCGGGACGAUCAAACCAUCCGGAUAAGUUUCAACUGUUGUGGAUAAAGCGAAGGCCGUUCCAACUAAUUCGGUUAGGAUAUGAAUUGAGAUGGUUCCAACUAUUUCAGUUAGUAUAAGGAUCGAGGUGGUUCCAACUACUUCUGUUAGGAUAAGGAUAAAGUUGUUAUUUUUAAAAUAUUUUGUUCUUAUCUUCUUGUAAGCCUUAAGACUAUAAAUAGGGGCCCUAAUGGCUCAUAUAAAGUCACUCCAGUUUAGAGAGAAUUAAUGUACAGACUCUUCCACAUAAAAAUAUUGUGUUCUUUUUUUUCUCUUUAAUCUGGUUUCAGAUAUCCAUCGGGGAGGCGCUGCGACAUUGCUUUCUCCUCCGACGAAUCAAGUGGUAUUAGAGCAUCUAACCCUAGUGUAUGGUGCGAACCAAAAGUGUCUAUAAAGCUACCGGUGAACAACUCUCCGUCUUCGACAUCUUCUGCAAGCCACCGACGAGGAAAACGAAGAGCCCAUCUACCAUGUUUGCAGACGAGCAGAUAGCGACGUCAUCCGACUUUGCCGCCAAGGUCGCCACGCUGUCUGACGACAUGAAGAUCGUUCUAGAUUGGAUCAAGACCCAAUCUGCAGCACCAUCGACAAUGCCGGUGGAGAAGAGCAGUCGACUCGCAGGAACUCCUCCUCCAAAGGUGCGUGUGACGCCGAAGAAGGGAGCUGCCGAGGAUACCUUGGGUGCGCGAGAUGACGACAACUCCGACGAUGACGAAAGUAUAGCUCCGUCGGUUGCAGAAGGGAGAUCGAAACCGUUUAAGGUUGAGGCCAAGAUCGAGAUCCCCAACUACGACGGUAUUGUCGACGUUACAAAGCUAGAUGCCUGGAUUGACCAACUGGAGACGUACUUCGACCUCUACAACUAUAGCAAUGCGGAAAAGGUAACUUUCACAAAACUAAAACUUGUAGGUCAUGCUUUGACUUGAUAAAAGGCCACUCUCCAAACUUCUGCCAAUGAGUAUUUCACCUGGAGUCAGUUUAAACGACUGAUUCGCCAGGAGUUCUACCCUAUAGUAUAUGAAGAAGAGCGAUGGAAGCGCUAGCAUGUCCUGUGCCAAAGACGUGACCAGACAAUGCAGGACUACACCACCAACUUCCGGCGCCAAGCCUUGGCGCUUGGCAUCUCCCUCGACGAUCCACAGGUUAUUCAUAAAUACACCACGGGCCUACAGGAGCGCAUUAAUGAUGAGCUUUGUCUAUUCAAUGUUCGUGAUAUCGCCUCGGUGAGCCAAACAGUCAUGACGAUUGAACGAAAGAACAAACUAUCUCGUGGGGAGAAGCCAUCUGGAGAGUCUGCUGAGGACUUGAAAAAAUUCAAAAAGAAUGGCUCUAAAAAGAAGGGGUUCUCUGAUCGUGAUUUGUACUGUGAUCAUUAUAAAGUCACAGGACAUGUCAAGGAUCGAUGCUGGAAGCUCCAUCCAGAGAUGAGACCAAAGAAGAAGGACGAUUGUGGUAAACGCACAACGACAACGGCAACGACAUCGGCAAGAUCGACAAGUGAUGCUCCUACUUUAAUCUGACGGAUUGAUCAAGCAGACACUAGCUUGUCUCUGAUGGUUAUGCCGAAGGAGACAAACCUAUGCCCGUCAAAUCCGACUGAUAAGAGAGAGGGGUUGUUCACUUUUCCAGUUCAAGUCAAAAAUGAGGUGAUCAAUGCCAUCAUCGAUCCCGGCAGCCAAAAGAACUUGAUCUCGAAAAACCUAGUUCAAAGGCUGGGUUUGUCGACUACACCACACCCACACCCAUAUCCAUUAUGGUGGAUUAACAGUAACAUCGAGAUGAAGAUCGAUGGCCAGUGUAAGGUGAAGUUUGUAGUGACUAGCGUCUACAUCGUCGAAUUGCUGUGCGAGGUUGUGCCGUUGAACAUUUGCAACCUCAUCUUCGGUAGUCCCUAUCUAUGGGACCGUGACACUACCUUCUUCCAUCGUCCUCAGCAAUACCAAUUUAUUAAGGAUAGACAAAAAUUUUUGUUCACUACAGAGCCAUUAUCAACAACUAUAGACCUGGUAAUCGCUUGCCAGGCCAAGAGGAUGAUCAAUGCAUGUUAAAAGUUUGUCUUACUGGUCAUUCGGCCAAUUAUAUCUGAGAAGGCAAACAGCAAGAUAUUAAGCCUAGCAUGCAAGAAAAAUAUUGAUGAUGUAGCUAAACUGAUCGGCGAGCAUCAGGAUUUGUUUCAAGAAGUACAAGGACUGCCACCAAAGCGAGCCGUGGAAUACGAGAUCCAAUUGAUCAACGAUGCUCCGUUACCGAAUCUUGGCAUGUACCGAAACUAGGUGGUGGAGAAUAAGGAGAAAAAGUGACAGGUGAUUGAGUUACUCGAGAGUGGUGCUAUCAAACUGAGUAGCUCCCCCUAUGGCUCCCCGGUCAUGCUAGUGCCAAAGAAAUACGGUGGGUGGCGAAUGUGUAUCGACUACCGCACUCUCAACAAAAUCACUAUCAAGAAUCGCUACCCCUUACCGCGGAUCGAUGAUCUCUUAGACCAACUGAAGCAUGCUCUCUACUUCACCAACCUGGACCUGAAGUCCGGCUAUCAUCAGGUUCGAAUCUGAGAGGAUGACACCUAGAAGACCGCGUUCAAGACUCGAUAAGGCCUAUUUGAAUGACUCGUCAUGCCAUUCGGCCUUUGCAAUGCAUAAGCUACUUUUAUGCAACUAAUGAACGACGUUCUACGCCCUUUCCUCAAUGACUUCGUGAUCGUCUAGCUCGACGACAUCCUCAUCUACAGUCGAUCGUAGGAGAAGCAUCUGGCGCAUGUCAAGAAGGUUUUCAUGCUACUCAAGGAACACCAACUCCGCUUAAACCCUAAAAAGUGUGAGUACAGCAAGCAAAGCCUGGUGUAUCUCCGGUUCGUGGUAGGCGGCGGCGAGCUUCAAAUCGACCCCGACAAGGUCAGGGCUAUCAAGGAGUGGCCUAGGCCCAAAAAUGUGCUGAAAGCGCGGAGCUUUAUGGGCACUUGUGUCACGCCCCGGGACCGGCGAAGGCCCUCCCGGUAGCGUGCCCAGACCCGCCAUAUGUCAACACAUAUGAGGCGUCUACAAUAAAAGCGAAAGUAAAAGCAAGAAAUAGUACAAAUAGAGCAGUAACAACUAGUGAUAUCAGAGCGAGCAAGGUUCUAUCAUCUAAGCAAGAGUAGAGAAAGCAUAACUAAACAAUAAGAGUAAACAUAAGGUAGUACAAAUAAUAUCUCCUCAACAGGAAUACAAGGAUCCAAAAGAAUGGUGGUCUCUAUACAUAAACGGGUACAACUCACAACCUCUCACAAAAUAAAACUACGAGAGGUAGANAUCUAGAAUUCCAGUUUUCGAACUUUUUAGGUCGGAAAACAUUCUACGACCCUCCACCAAGUGUGGAAAAGCUCGAAACACAUCCAAACACUCGAACCUCGCAAUUUGCAAAGGUCCAGUGUGUUACAACUUGCCAAUAAGUCCGAAAGCUUAUCCGGCACUUUUCUGUCCUUGCUGCCCCCUCUACAUGCACUAACGAAGGUCAACCCAAAGUUCGAAUGGAGUUCGAAACAAGAGGACACGUUCUGACUUUUGCAACGAAAGAUAUGCGAGGCGCCUGUUCUUGCGCUACCAAAUCUGCAACGACCCUUUGAGUUAGAGGCGGAUGCGUCGGGAUACGCCAUAGGGGCAGUCUUGAUGCAAGAUGGUCGGCAUCUUGCGUAUUACUCGGAGAUGUUACAAGGAGCUCAAAAGAACUACCAGACCUAUGAUAAGAAACUCUUGGCACUACACCAGGCGGUGAAGUAUUGGCGGGUCUACCUCUUAGGAAAGGAGAAAGUGGUGCAUACAAACCACCGUCCACUUCAGUACCUCCAAAUGUAAUCAAAAUUGCAACAAGCACGUCAUAUGAAAUGGAUGACGUACUUACAGCAGUUCAAUUUGGUGAUCAAGUACAAGAAAGGCACUCACAACAAACUAGUUGAUAUGCUGUCACGACCACCAUUGGCAGCACUUUGCUUGUCGAUAUUUAUGCAAGUUCAUCCGAAUUUUCAAAAGUAUGUAAGCUUAUAUGCAGAAGACUCAGAUUUUCAAGGAGCACUGGCUGACAUCGAAGUAAGACGACCUACUGAGUUUGUCUUGCAAGGCGGUCUACUACACAAAGGUGCACUACUAUGUGUACCUAAAGAUGGCAAUCAAGUACAAUGGAUUCGAGAAGCUCAUACCUCGAAGGUGGUAGGUCACUUCGGGGUGAACAAAACCUUACAAAAUCUCCAGUGCUACGUCUAUUAGCCUUACAUGCAAAAUGAUAUGGCGUGAUUUAUGAAGGAAUAUGUCCUGUGCUGUACAUCCAAGCCCGCUAAUCGGAAGGUGGGCCUCUAUACCCCUCUUCCAGUGCCGACUCGUCCUUGGAAAAGUAUUUCCAUGGACUUCUUAGGAGGCCUCCCAAGGACCCGACGAGGACACGACUAUCUUUACGUGGUGGUUGAUCGAUUCUCCAAGAUGAUAGUACUUGUGCCAUGCAAGAAGGCAAUCACCGGCGAGAAAACUGCGAGGUUAUUCUUCCAACACGUUUGGACACAUUUUGGACUACCAACCUUGAUUGUAUCUGACCGUGACAACCAUUUUCUAAGCAACUUUUGGCGGUCUUUGUGGUCCAUGAUGAACACAAAGCUACAACGGAACACGGCUUUCCAUCCUCAAAACGAUGGUCAAACAGAAAUGGUCAACCGGACAGUUGUAUAUCUGCUGUGAGGAUAUAAUGCUCAACAUCCUAAGGCUUGGGACGAGAGCCUUCCAUACUUGCAGUUCACGUUCAAUCGAGCUAUACACAGUUCCACUGGCAAGACUCCUUUUGAGGUGUGCUUGGGUUAUUUACCACCAAGUCUAUUUGACUUGGCAUUCACAGUCAAGCAACCGCAUACCACCAAGGAGGAAAAUGAAAUGACAAAGGCACAGUGCUUCUUGGAGAAUAUUCAGAAAGUGUAUAGCGAAGUGGAGCGACAACUACAAAAAUCUCAACAGAAGUAUAAAGAACGAUAUGACCGACAUCGAGUGAAAGGUGAUUUUCGAGAGAGUGAUCUGAUAUGACUCCAUCUCAACAAAGAGCGCUUAAAAGGCGAGCGUAAGAAACUUAAACAUAUUCGUUAUAGACUUUUCAAGAUCCUGAGCAGAAUUGGUGAGAAUGCUUAUCAAUUGGAGUUGCCCGCAUACAUGAAGAUGUAUUCGGUCGUCAAUGUCGAAAACCUAAAGUCCUUCGAGCCAUCAAUGCUAGACGAUAAGUCCGAAGAAGUACUGCCAUCCGUGGAAGACUCGUGGUAGAACGCAAAAAGCAGCUAGCUGAGAAUGCUAUCCUAGAAUGCAAGGUCACGACGACACGCAAAUGUGAAUGUGAAUCCUUCCGUGUUGGACAGAAAGGUCAAAAGCCAAGUGCCGCUAAGUAGUUCACAAGAAAAUUUGGGAAAACUCAGUUUCCUCACUUGCAGUUCUAGAUCCAGUAGGUGCUAAUUCCUCUCAAAAAUUGGGGACCUAUGAUCUGGGGCGAUCAAACCAUCCGAAUAAGUUUCAACCAUUGCGGAUAAGGCGAAGGCUGUUCCAACUAAUUCGGUUAGGAUAUAAACUGAGAUGGUUCCAACUAUUUCGGUUAGGAUAAGGAUCGAGGUGGUUUCAACUACUUCGGUUAGGAUAAGGAUAAAGUUGUUAUUUUUAAAAUAUUUUGCUCUUAUCUUUUUGUAAGCCCGAAGGUUAUAAAUAGGGGCCGUAAUGGCUCAUGUAAAGUCACUCCAAUUUAGAGAGAAUUAAUAUAUAGACUCUUUCACAUAAAAAUAUUGUGUUCUUUUCUUUCUCUUUAAUCUGGUUGUAGAUAUCUAUUGGGGAGGCACUGCGACAUUGCUUUCUUCUCCAACGGAUCAGAGGAGAAGGAAGAGGAGGAAGAAGAAGAAAAAGAGAAAUAGUGUAAAAUUCACUCAAAAAGUACAACUUUCACCUAAAGAGUGUAACUCUCAUCUCAAAGAGUGUAAUUUUUGUCUCAAAUAGUACAAUUUUCAUUUAAAACAGUGCAAAAUUUUUUUUAAAAUAGUAUAACUUUAUUUUAACAGUACAAUUUCAUUAUCUUCUUCCUUAUUCUAUGAUUUUUUAUCUUUCCUGUAGGAAAAAAAUAUUUUUUUAUUGUUAUUUUUUAUUACUCUUAUUUUUUUUCUCUUUAUAAUUUUUUAGGAAAACUUCAAAAACCUUCUUGUGGUUUCGCACUUUUUCAUUUUAGUACCCUGUGGUUUAAAGUGUAUCAAAUUAUUACCCUAUGGUUUCUCACUUUAUCACUUUAGUACCCUAUGAUUUAAUGUGUAUCAAGUUAGUACCCUAUGGUUUUAUUUUUGUAUCAAGUUAGUACCCUGUGGUUUUUAAACCACAGGGUACUAAAGUGAUAAAGUGCGAAACCACAGGGUACUAACUUAAUACACUUUAAACCACAGGGUACUAAAGUGAAAAAGUGCAAAACCACAGGAUACUAACUUGAUACACUUUAAACCACAGUGUACUAAAUUAAGAAAAAGUGAAACCACAAGCGGGGUAUUUGAAGUUUUCCCUAAUUUUUUUGUGUCACAACCUCUCCCUUGCCCUCUAUCGCAACCACUGCCCUCGUCGAAGUGUAACUAUUUUUCUCCCUCUCCCUAGCUGGUGGAGGGCCGUCCUCGCUAUCGUCACAAAGGGCCGCGAAAGCAGCGGAGGAGGGUCGGAAAGAAAAAAAAAAAAAGGGGCGUGGCGCGGCCUCAGCAAAAUCAGAGGCGAAAAGGGUGGGGGGUGCAUAGGCGAGGGCAAAGGCGAGACGAUCGGCCAUUUCUGCCUCCACCUCCGCCGCCUUCUUCGGAGAGGAAAAAAAAUGAACGCGAGAAAAAAAAAAAAAGGAGAGAGAAAAAUAUAUAAGGGUAUUUUUGUUAGUUUGCUGAAAAUCCGAACCGAAUCUGUAAAAUCAAAAAUGGUGGUUUAGUUUUGCAAAAGUUCAAAACUUGUAAAUUUUUUAUGCAAAUUGGCCAUAUUGAAAAGUUGAGGGGGGCCAUGGCUCCGUCUGUGAUGUCGGUGCAACACGUUUGUAAGUUCAAGAGAGAGAGAGAGAGAGAGAGAGGGAGGGGAUAAGAAUAGAUAGCACUAGAAUUUCAGAUAAUAUUUAGAAAUAAUUUUGUCAUUUUGAAAGAAUACUUAAAUGCCUCAUAUGUAUUCUGGUUUUUUCUCGUCGCAAAAGCUCGGAGAAGCGAGCUUUUGUGGUAGCGCUACCCACCGUCACUCUUGAUUGAUUUCAAAACACACCCAUAUUUUCUAAACGAAAAUAUUUUUGAAAGCGUCUAGUUUUGUGUAGCAAAAACUGAGCCAAACAUGUACAAAGUAGCUUAGGGCAUGUUUGUUUACUCAUAAGUCUAUUUUAUAUUAAAAAUAACUUUUGGUUAAACUGAAGCUUAAAAAAUUCUUUUUAACUGCUAUUUGUUUGGCAUGAAGUCAAUGAGUACAAAACUAUUUAUUGCUCUACUUUUUCUAAUUUGUUCAUUUUACUAAAAAUUUUCACACCAACAUGCAAGAGAAUAGAAAAACUUUACAACAGCUAAUUUUAAAUUAUUUUUUCUAUUUAUUUUUCUUUCGUAAUUGACUUUAGCAUCAUCCAAGGCGAAACCAAUUAUGACAUAUUUAGAAACCGGAGAUAUAGUCAAAUUUACUUUACGGCAAAUCAUAAAGGUGAACAUUGCAAUAUUUUGGUGAAAUAAAUAUGUCCAUGUAUAGUAAAUAAACGUUUAAGAUAAGAGAAAGGUGAAUAGAGUUUUACAGAUGCACUGGAAUUUUACAGAUGCACUGGAAUUUGCCUCUUGUUGUUUUGGUAGAGAACACACAUAAAUUAUUUUUUUGAGUAAAGUAUAUUAGAAUUUUUAACGUCUAAAUAUCUUUUGCAAAUGCGUUAUGAUUUAAGUCUUAAUCUGCACACUUACACUUUUUUUUCUUUUUUGUAACUAGAUUUUUUUUUUUUUUUUGAUAUAAGGACUUUAAUAGGCUUUUGUUGCAUACAAGACUUAUAAUUUUUAAUUUUUAAUUGUUUUCUAGAGUGGGAUGAUUUUACUAGUUACAUUGAUGUGAUUACUAAAGAAGUCUCCGCCCUAUGAUGAGUAGAGUGUAAAUCAUACACCUCUUUAAGAUGUAUGAGUAGUAUUGCUCUAUUGCUCUAACUUAGAAGGAAAUUUUUUUCACAAUAAUCUCUAAAAAAUUGUAUAAUUCGUCAAAUGACCUUAUUAAAAUUUUAAUUGGCAAGUUCAUUCUAUUUUGGCAAAUUUAGUGCCACAUGAGGGAAAAAGUGAAAGAUAGUAAAUCAUUCAUUGUCUUAGUUUGAGGAUCUUUGAGAUUGUUAAAAUUGUAUAUAAAUUAUUACGAUUUUUUGUUUGAUUAUUAGAAUUUAUGUGCGUUUGUUAAAAUUUCUUAGAAUUAUAUAUCAUUGAAAUUUUUGUGUAGCUAUUAGAAUUAUAUAUAAAAAAAGAACAAAAUAGUAAGUCAAUUCACUUUUUUCUCUCCAAAGAGAAAACGAGUAAAUGAUUCAUCGUUUUUUUAAGUUUUAUUAAAGACUAAACAAUUAAUUAUCUUCUAAUUAUUGUUUUAUUCUAACGUUGAGUUGGACAAAGUAAAAUUAUUUGAACAAAUAAAUUUUUACCCAAAUUAUAUAGCCAAAUAUAUUUUUUUUAAGGUCUAAUUUUUUUCUUAAAAAAAGUCCACCUAGAAGGCAAUGGUAAAAACAAAUACCGAAUAUACAAUUUCUACCUUACAGAAUUCAACACCGAAGCAUAUUCCAUCACACAAGUCUUUCGUCUGGUACCUAUUUCAAGUACAUAAUUAUCGAUCUAAUUACAGAUCGACAAAUAUACAUACAUAGCCUCUAAAAAGAGUAUACAAUCUAAUUACAUACUCCACAUAAAAUAAUUUGUAAUUUUUCUAUCAGAUGCAUCUGUUCACACACGCCGAUCUCCACAUUAGAAUUCACUCGGUGUGAAUAUUAAAGCACCUCAAGAUGAAUUCCAACAAAAAAAAGAAAAAGAAAAAAGAAAAAAGAUUUGUCUUAAAAAUUUUGUUUUCAUCAUUCCAGAUGACAUAGUUAUUUGUAAAACACCUCGGAGCUGUUUUUUUUUUUCCUUUUAAUUCACGAAAAACCAUAACCCUUUGCUGCAAUUAUAGAGAAUAACCGCGAAUUAUUUGCACACUGUAAAUUGUUUUUAUCCCUCCAAGCUCCCAAUUAGGAAAGUGAGAUUUUGUCGAAGCACAUUCCCAAUAGAUGAACACGCAGGUAUACGCAUGCACAGAAGUAAAUAACAAGAAAAACAGCAAUGCUUAAGAGUUCAUUUCCUGAAAAUGAAUAAAGCAGAGAGCGUGGUACCUUUCGCUCCUAUAAAAAAAAAAUAAAUAAAUAAAUAAUCUUGCUCCUACCAACCACGUUUAGAGAAGCCACCAUCCACAACAAAAUUCAUUCUUUACACAAGGAAAAAAGAACCCUAAUAAAUGAAACAUUCAAAAGACUGUUCUUUUCUUCCCUCAAUGAAACUGAAAAAUCACGUAAAAUUAUCCAGCUUUGAACACAAACUUUCCAAGUGGUGAUCUGGAGAAUGUAAAAUACAGCAAGGGCAAACAACAUAAAAGUCAGCAGAUGAUUGGAGAAUUUGAAUAUCAAGUACCACCGUGCCGGUAAAGAAGCAACGACCGGUAAAUAGCGGCAAGGUGGAGGAAAACAACGAGCAAAAUAAUCAGAUCAUCCAACAAGCCCACUAGGCCUAAUACACCUGUACAAAAUAGACCGUUGGAAAUUGUAAUUCGUAAAACAUGCUAGUUAGACUGUUAGACUAGUACUGGGACAUUACAUGCGGAAAAUUAGAAGUUACAUCGCCUAUACCUUCCGGAAGAAUGUCGACAGGGCUCAGAACGUAUAUUGCACUAAGCACCAUCUGCAAAUAUGAAGCUCCAUUAUUAAUUAAAAACAACAGAAACUUAAAAAUACUCUUUAUUGCCAUCCACAUUUCUAAACCUGAAAGUAACUAUGUUUGAAAUCUUUUUCUUAUAAAUCGGUAAAUAAGUAAUAGAACAGAGCAUGAUAGUAAGAGUUUAACACUUAAACAUUUCCAAAUAGACUAACAUUAAAGUCCAAUAAUUAUAUGCAUUGGGGCAUCCAGAUUUCACGAGACUUGCUUUACUUAAAAAUAUGAUCUUUGUGAAUCUUGGAAAAUACAAAGCUAGCAUUCUGUGCCGUUCAUUUUUCUUUAGUUUGACUUGUAAAUGAUUUUCUCUUUCUUCUUAUUGGUGAUGACUAAUGGGACAAAGGGAGUAGUAGAUCAUCGAUUUGGUCAGACAUGCUCUGAAUCAUAAAUACAAUGAGCAAAUGAUUGAAGACACAGUGUAUAGACAAAAAAUAAUUAGAUUUAGACAAAACACAAAAAGGAUGUCUUUGGUCACAUAUGAUGGUAAUAAAAAACCUGUUACCAGUUUAAAUUCAAUAGACUCAAGCAAAAGAGAAUAUCAAAGUUCAAGAGGCAUUCCAAGCAUAAAACCGGAUCUUGUCAUAAAUCCUCUCAUGUGGGAAGUCCAUAAACAGGUGGUACGAGCAUUGAACACUCAACAGUAUGUAUGGAAACCAUCAGAACGCUCGAAAAUAAAAACAAAGAAAAAUGAAGAUAAAUACAGAAUAAGAAAACUGCAAAGUUCUCACAUGCUGAUCAAAGUAAAGUAGGAAUUUUUUUUUUUUUUUUUUUUCAUCUUCUCAUUCAAAUCCAACUAGACAGAUGUUUUUGCAUUAAAAAUACACAGGAAAAAAGGAGACCCAAAAAAAAAAGCAAUAGCCUUCUUGAAAUCUAACGCACAGAUGGAGAAAACUGUUCCAGAUUUUGCAUAUAAACUUACUGCAAAAAUCAUUCGCGCCCUGAAGACCAGUGGAAGUGUCCUCUGAGGAUCCAUCAGUUCUCUAAAUAACCUUCGAAUGAAAAAUGGAAGAUCCCACAACCUCUGUUGAGAGAUGUAAGCAUACAAUGUUAUAAAUUUCAUUCAAAAAAUUAUUAAAGCAGAUUUGAUAUAUUAUAGAAAGUCCAGAUAAAACUCCAAUUCCAACCAUAUCACAUACUCACCAAGACUGUUAAAUACCAAUGCUACUUCAAUGUAGCGCCUUUCAGUUUCAGCCUUGAGAGUUUCUCUUUGAGCCUCAACAAAAAUAACUAAAAGUUUCUAAAGAUUAAAUGUUUAAGAAACAAAACGAGAAUGUUACAAUGUCAAAAUUGAAUUUUGUUCAAACAUUAGUAUAUGCUAUAUUGAUUCUUUGUCCAUUUCUUUUUCAAAAGGUAAAUUGCCGAGUAUCACUUUGGUCCUCAAACAUUUAAAGUGGACAUUCGAUACCCCAAGCUUUUGGAAGUGCUUCAUUUUAGUCUUUUUCUUCAUCUACCAUUACAGAAAAAUUUCUCUCACCCAGUGCAUCUGUACAUCUACAUCACAGUCAUCAACCUUCGAUUGCAUUCAUAUUUCAAUCACUCCUGCCAUUAGAGUUGCAACCUUUCACUAGUUAUAAAUUACAUGGGUAGAUUGAAAGUAAGAGAUGGAUGAAAGGCCCAUAAAUUGGUAAUGCAUGGAUGUAUGGAUGCACUAGGUGCACCUACUAAAUUUGCCUCGAACACACAGGGUGAUGGCAAUUCUCUCUUCAAAAAUAACAGUGUUAGCGUAGAUCUAUUUAUGUUAACAUAAUGAGCACUAAUAGUUAUUCUAUUUACAUUAUUUAUUUGUCCUUAUUUUGUUAACCCUAACUGUACAUAGCUAUUGUACUCUCUCUAUAUAUUCAAUACAAACCCUAAAUGGGUUCUUGCGGUUUUAUUAAAACUUUUAUGAUAUCAGAGCCAAAUACCCUCUAGGGUAAAAUCAACGAACUGCCAUCUUUUCUCUUCCUUGAUAUCACUACUAACAUAUGAUCAUUCUUCCUCUUCUCUCUCUUCGCUGUGGCGACGAUCUCCUAUCUUUUCUCUGCCACAAUACCUGUGGCUAUAGUACCAUCACUACAGUUCCUCCACUACAAUAAUUUCAGCCUGCUUCAACUGUCAUGGCAGCUAACAUAUCAUCUUCUCUCUCGAUUGUUAACAUCAAAACCCUAAUUCCCCUUGAACUUACUAGCAACACCUAUCUUAUUUGGAAACAAGUGUUUCUGACUGUGUUGGAGAGUUCUGGAGUUACAUCUUACAUGGGGUGGCACUGAGAUCGUCCUUCCUCAAUUCAUUAGGUGACAGACAAAGAAGAUUAAACCGAAUCUAGCUUAUUCCACUUGUUAAAAAGAGGAUACUACAAUUUUGUCUUUGGACCAAUGCCACACAUCUUUGAGCAUCCUGCAGAUGGUAUCGCCCCUCACCAAAAACAGCAUGCAAAGCCUGGAUUGUGAUCGAGACGUAUUUUUUUGAUAAAACAGCAUCAACUAUUUUUUUUUUUGUUUCCUUAUAAGAACUGAGGAGCAUAAAGAAGGGAACGAUGAGCAUGUCUAAGUACAUGCCAGAAGUCAAAUCUAUUAGAGACGCCCUGCCAACAAUUGGACAAGGUGAAUCGAAUCAUAACCUUGUGAGACGGUUCUUUUGAGUCUCCCUGAAGAAUAUCAAGGGUUUGUGAGCGCACCGAACACACACUGAACGAAGCGUACAUUCGAACAACUCCAUCUACUCCUAGUGCAAGAGGAAACGGAAGUACAGCAAAGGAAUGGUCACUUUUCUAACCCAUUAAUUGAAGGUGAAGCCCUAUUUGUGACCUAUCUGAUUCCACUAAAAAGGUUUGGUAUCUUGGUACUUGAGCCUCUAAUCACAUGACAUUAAAUUCAGGAAUACUUUCAAAUUCUAAGCCUUAUGUAGGGAAAAAUAAAAUUUUUAUUGGCGAUGAAAAUCUUCUUUCAAUUGCUCAAGAUUGGUGAAACAAAUUUGAAUGUAUCUUUUGGAUCUUAUGCCCUUAAAAGAUAUUCUUAUUUUUCCUCUAUUAAAAGAAACUUGCUCUUUGUCUGUGAAUUUUGUGUGAAAAUAACUUAUCUUUUGAGUUUGAUUCUAAAGGUUUCUAUGUGAAGAACAAGAAACCAGGAAAAGCUUCUCCCAUGCAGUAGUUUGGGAACUUCUCUCUACACCUAUCUUCAAAUGUUACAGGUAUAGGUAAUAAGUCAAUUUUUACUUUGGUCGCAUUUAAGUCUAGCUGCGAUCUUCGGCAUAGAAGGUUAGGUCAUCCGAGUUAAGGUGUUCUUUCAAAAUUUAUUAAAGGGAAUAAAAUAUUUUUUGAUUCAGAAAUAAAGUGUCUCAUUGCAAUGCUUGUACUAUUGGCAAACAUAUUAAACUUUCUUUUAAUGAAUCUGAUUCUCGUUCUACCUUCUGUUUCACCUUAUUCAUUAUAAUGUGUGGCAAGUCACUGUUGAUUCUGUUUCUAGAUACAAAUAUUAUGUUUUGUUUGUCAAUGAUUGCUCUCGUUAUUCCUAGAUUUAUUUGAUGAAAUUUAACAUGAAAUGUUUGAAAAGUUUCUUGAAUUUAAGACUUUAGUUGAAAAUCGACAACAAAUAUUAUUUUCGAAUCUGAUCAAGGAAAGGAAUAUGUCAAUGAGAAACUCACAACUUUGUUUCAACAUGUGGUAUAAUUCAUCAGAUUUCUCGUCGUCCCACACCACAAUAAAACGGUGCAAGAGAACAACACAAACAACUCGGUAAUGUUGCUCGAAGCCUCCUUUUUCAAAAAUGCAUGCCUGCAUGUUUUUGGGACGAUGCAAUUCAAACCGCUGUUUUUCUCAUAAAUUGCACUCCUUUUGUUGUUUCAAAGGGUAAAUCACCUCAUCAUGUUUUGCAUGCUUAUUCUGCAUUUGACUUGCAACUUAUGAAAGUAUUUGGGUGUUUGUAAAAUUAUCGGGAUCUAUAGGACAUCACAAGUCACAAACUCUCUCUCGGUCUCUCCAUUGCAUUUAUCUAGAAAUAUCUGAUGAACAUAAGGGACUUUGAUGCCUUCAUCUAAGCACCGGUAAAGUUUAUAUUUCUCGCCAUGUUGCCUUUGUAGAGUGUUUUGCAUUUAUCUUCUCCCAAAAUCUUCAAAGCAUUUAGAUCCUUUCUGCUCUCUUUCAACUUUUAAAAUGUUUCAAAAUUUUGUCACAUCCACCCUUGUUAGAUAGUGAUCCAUCCACUCUUAAGGCGAAUUCUAAUUUUGACUUUCAUUCACUCUAAGAGUUUAGCCUCACCUACAUUUGUUGCACCUUCUAUUUCUAUUUCACCAAUUUUUCAGCACUUGGAGGAGCAUCCUGCCAAUGAGAAUUCUACUAUCCCAUUGCCUAGAAUUGAAACACAUGCCUCUACAGACAGUCAGAAGGAGCUUCGGAUCUACACCAAACGACACUCUUCUAAAGAACCCAUUGCACCUAUUUCAACCUCCUCAAACACCUCUAACUGAGCCUAUACGACGUUUAGCACCUUUAUCCGACCAUACUCUACCUAAUAUUCCUAUCCAUUCUACUUAGUCCAAUCCACCUACUAGGUCACAAGGUUCUUAACCAAGCACAAGGAUGUAUCAUCCUCUUUCCUAGCUUCAAAGAAUUCUACUCUUCCUGCUGACCCUAACGUUUUUCCAGAAGUGUUUCAGAAUGCAGGUUGGUAGAAUGCCAUGUACGAAGAAUUUCAAGCCUUGCUUCAAAUUCCACUUGAUAUCUUGUUCCUCCACCACCGUCUGUUAAUCUCAUUGGGUCCAAGUGAGUUUUUAACGUCAAGCAAAGGUGGAUGGUUCCUUCGAACGUCUCAAAACUCAUCUUGUAACUCAAGGCUACAAAUAACAAUAUGACACCAUUUUUCAUGAGACCUCCCAUGCUGUCAAACCUACUACUAUCCGUACUGUUACUUCAGUGGAUCUUUUGUCUAGAUAGGACCUUCGACAAUUAGAUGUCAAAAAUCUGUUCCUUCACAGUGUUCUUUCUGAGAAGGUAUACAUGAAACAACCACCAGCUUUCGUACAUCCAUCCUAUCCUAAUCACGUCUGCCGCAGAAGGUGAUUUACGAACAUAAACAGGCACCAUGCGCUUGGUUCCAACACUUUACUUCUUUCUUAUCCAAGUUGGGGUUCAGUACUACCGUUGAUCCAUAUAUGUUUGUUUCUUGGUCCUCACAAGGCAUUCUUGUGCUUCUGUAAUACGUUGACAACAUCAUUGAAACGGGCAGUUCCUCCUCAUUAUUGCACUCUUUAAUCUCGACACUGCAAUUAAAAUCUGUCAUUACUUUUUGGAAGUGAAAGUUACUACCUCUACUGAUGGUCUUUCUUUAACACAACAGAAGUAUGCUCCGACUGUCACGGCCAAUCUUCGAGCAAACCUAUUUCCAAUCCUCCUCCUUAGCACUCAACUGUCUGUUCACAAGGAUCGUUUGCUUGAGGAUUCUUAUACUUAUCAUCAACUGGUUGGGACCUUACAGUUACAGUAUCUCACUUUUAAUCGUCCCAACAUUACCUGUGUUGUCAAUUUGGUUGCCCAGUUCUUGCAUAGGCCUUGUGAGUGGUCAAAAGCAUUUUUUGUUACAUUCGUGGCACCUUAUAAUAUGGUCUCCAAUUCUUCUGCUACAUUAAUGCCUCCUUAUUGCCUGUCUUCGCGCUGCUGGUGCCUAGACACCCGCCAUUCCACUUCCGGCUUUGGUAUCUUUUUUGGACGUAACCUUAUUUCUUGGUCUGCCAAGAAACAACCAACUAUUUCUUCGUCAAGUUUGAAAGCUGAUUAUCAUUUCGUUAGCUUUACUCUAGCUGAAACUAUUUGGAUUCAUCGUCUUCUUUGUGAUACUGAUGGUACCACUACAGCGCCCAAUCUCCAAAUACUGACAAUCUCAAUACUACAUAUAUUGCUACUAAUCCAGUCCUACAUGCACGCACCAAGCAAGUCGAGCUUGACCAUCAUUUCCUACCGAAGAAAGUUCAAGCAGGUGACCUUUCCCUGUUUCAUAUCUCAUCUAAGUAUCAACUUGCAGAUCUUCACCAAAUCAUUGACCACUUCAUGUUUUUCUGCACUUCAUUUCCAAUCUUCACAUCUGGCUGCGAAAUGCUCAAAUUGCGAGGGAAUAUUAGCGUAGAUUUAUUUAUGAUAACAUAAUAAGCACUAAUAGUUAUUCUAUCUACCUUAUUUGUAUAUCCUUAUUUUGUUAAAACAUUAGUUGUACAUAGCUGUUGUACUCUCUCUCUCUUAUAUAUAUAUAUAGAGUAGGUCUUGUGAGGCCUCCGUGCUCCUAAGCCGUUUUCAAUAAUGGGACUUUCGAAUCGACGAUCGGUUCCGUUAGACAUAAUCUAGCGUAUUUAAAGUAUCUAGAAACUAAAUAUUGCGAUAUUCCGAUAUCAUUUACCUAGCGAUCGAAAGGAUUCAAAAUCAACAAUUUUUAAUGGUUGAUGUAUAUUGUUUGCAAGUUUAACGGUGUAGAAAUAUUCAAAUCAGAUGAAAUUUUGAUAAAAAAAUUCUUUAUACUAUUUACUACAAUAUCAAUAUCUCUGAUCGAAAAUUUUAGUGCUAUAUCACCACUUUUUGUGAGAUUUUUAUUUUCAGCUGUUGAUUUUGAACCCUUUCGAUCGUUAGGUAAAUGAUAUUGAGAAACCACAAAAUUUAUUUUCUAGAUACUUCAAAUACACUAGAUCAAGUCUAAUGAAGCCGAUCAUCGAUUCGGAAGCUCCAUCAUAAAAAACGGCUUAGGAGCAUGGAGGCCUCCAUGCUCCUAAUAGUACACAAGACCUAUUAUAUAUAUAUUCAAUAUAAACCCUAGAUGGGUUCUUAUGGUUUCACCAAAAUGUUUAGUAAGAUGAAAGGAAAAAAAAAGGAGGUGGUAAGGACUAAAGUGAAGCAUUUCCAAAAGUUGGGGGAGUCAAAUGUCUAACUUCAUUCGAGAACCAAGCUGGACCUUCACUAGAAGUUGAGGGACUAACAAUACCCUCCUCUAAACAUGUUAUUAAUAUACUUUGAUAUUUUUUAGAUUAAGUUAUGGUAACUUGCACAAUUGACUCCCAAACAAUGGGGCAGUUUGCACUGUGGUGCCCAAACUUUUAUUCAUCCAACCUGAUGGCCCAAACUUCUGCAACUGUUGCAAUAUACUUCCAUUGUAACAUCCCAUCACAUCAAGACCACACCAUUGCCACCACAACAGGAUGGAGAGAGAAGCGGCAAGAAAUUGCCAACAGCCAGUGCAACAUGUGAUUCAUGCACCAUAAGCAAUAUUUAAGUAGGCAGAUCUUCAUUCUGAAGUCUAAUAUGUUGAAUAUGGUAAGCAACGUCUAAAAGACCUAUGUAUCAUCCCUGUUAUCUUAUAUAUAAGAGAUCUACACAAGAACAUGAAAAUUCUACCGAAGUCAAUAGACGACUUUUAAGUCUAGACAAACAAACAGCUUAAUGCCAAAGCAACCGAAACACAUAGAGGCCUAUGUAUUAUGGAAAAACUAAAUUUUUGACUGAAAAUUUAAAAGUACUCCUAGUAAAAUUGGAUAAUUAAAAUUGAAAUAUCUUGUCUCUAGUUCAAUAGUGACAAUAGAAAAGAGAAGAGGAGAACAAUUGACAGAGAAAGCACUCAUCGACCAAUGUAAGAAAGUUAUGCCGAUGGAGAUGUAACAAUGUAAACUACAUUGUAGUUACUGAAAUCCCACGAUAAAAAGACAUGAUUUUGUGUACCAGCAUCAAAUUGUACAUGAAAUUUCUGAAGCAUAGUAAAAGAAGAGUUAUUUGUAAAGACUAGCGGCAAAAGUCCGACAAAUUUAGGAAGACCAAGGAAAGGACAUGAAGAACUUUUCAACUUAAAUCUGCGAAUCUCAUAGAGCAGCAAGGAAACAAAUAGUAAAUUACAAAAAAGAAAAUUGUCCAUGUCUUCCACCAAAUUUCCUUUAGGUGGUUUCCCGUUUCAUAGAUUUUCCAUCCUAGGAAGAGGGACGAGUAUCCCUAGUAGGAAUUCUACUUCAUAGUUUAAACCCAUAUUAAGUUUGGUUGGAGAUAAUGGGGUCUAGCAAUAAAAAUAGGCUACCCAUGAUGAUACUGCAAUUCUACCUAUGUGAUGGAAUUGCCUUCCCUCAAUGUGUUUGGUGGCGUAAGGGGACAUAUUUACCACAAUCCUCCUCUCUCCCUUAACCCAGCACUACUUUAAAGGAUUUAGAACCAACCACACUAUCAUGUCCACGUCCACAUUGCAAAUAGAAGAUGAAACUGAAAGUGUCAGUAGCAAUUAGAUCAACAAUCAGAAAGUGUAAUUUUGGUGAAGGGCACCUCAGGGAAUUCAUGGAGUUAAAUAAGCAGAAUGAAUUAUAAACCUGAAUAAGGCUACUUGGACCUCCACCAUAUCUUCGAUUGUACUGAGCAAUGUUUUCCAAAACUCGAAUAGAAUCUGGAUCCCGGCGCUCAUGUCGUGCAGCAUCAGUAGGUAUCAGCAGAGUUAUAAAGCGGCGGCAUAUGGGGCAUUUGCAGGGCUGAAGAGGAGACCCAUGAUGCCACACAUUCAGAAUGCACUGUCCUGAAAUCCAUAAACAGAGCCUUGAAGUGCAAAUCAGCUUAUAAAUAAGCAUUUUAUCAUAGAAUCAUAUAUUUAGGACUUGAAACAAGACAUUGCUACUUCGGUAGAUCAUGGUACCAACUCAUAUUCUGCUAUAGCGAGAUAUCACCUAUUAGAGAUAUGAGAAACAGCGCCUUUAAUAGACUCCUUCGUUCAUAAAAAUAAUUUUGCCGGAUGCUCAAUUGUACAACACCCUUGCUUUGAGUAUAUGCAAACAACCAAUCUUUUCAGGGAUAGGAGUUGUUGGUAUCAUCCCAUAGGUAUUGAGGAAUAGCGAGACAAAGUUUUGCUACAAAAACCUGGAGGUACAAGGAGACAUGCAAAUGAUCUUUUCUGCGGUUUUCACAUCAUACCCAUGAAAAGCCUACAUUUCAUUCCACAGAGUUAUAAGAAAGGUGAGAGAUAUCAAAAUAAUGAAAUCUCACAGUUCAAGGGUAAAAUCUUAUUAAGUUUCAAUGUUUCAAUGGUCGAGUGAAAAUUACAAAAUUCAAAUUAGCUUCCUAAAAUUUACUCAUUCGUUUUCCAUCCUUAGAUUAUCCUUUCAAGUUUUUUUUUUUUUCCUUUUGUCAACAAAAUUUGCUCCAAUAAUCUUUUUUUUUUACCGCAUCAACAAACUCAUCUCAUAAAAAGCACCAAAGUGCACCAAAUGCAAGGUGGAAGGCUGUAUUUAGAACUGAAUCUACUGAAGAUUAGAAAAGUAAAAUAUAAUAAAAUAAGAAAAGUUCCCUCUAAAGCCCAAAGUGAUCUUCUGAUAACUUAUAGAACCCUAAAUAGCGCACAACAUUCUCCUAAAUUCUAGUCUAAUUAAGCCAAUUAUGAACCCUAAAUCCACUCGGAUGGAUAGAUCCCACUCCAAUCAAAAGAACAGGCACACACACACACAAAAAAAAAAAACCUAACCUAAUUUCCCUAAUCCUUGGCCUCUAAUUAAGCAAUUAACAAUGAUAACCGAUCGAACUUGGGGGAAUCGCGUUCUUCUCACCGCAGAACCAAUGGGAGCAAUUGGCCUGGCACGGGACGUUGAAGUCGUCAUGGCACACCGAGCAGCAGUCGUUCUCCGGGGGCGACUCCAUUAACAAUGACCAAUUCCCUCCCUCUCUUUCUCUCUCUCUCUCUCUCUCUCUCUCUCUCUCUAGGAUGCAGGAAGACGUGAAUUGCACGGAAGUUCCUCGAUGUUAUUCCUGCGAGAGGUGAGCGGAAGAGACGACACGGAUUCGUGGGACCGGAAGCGCAACGGGGCAGCAAUAAUUAGCUAAUGGCUUCUGGGAAAUUUUCGUAAAGAUUCCUGGCCUUAUAUAUUCUUUUCCUUUUCAUAUAAAUCCGUAAAUUUUAACGCCUUGGAUUGGGUACAAAAUAGGGUAUUAGGGCCAUAUACACCAUUUUGUACCCAAACACAAAAUGGGUAAGUUCCCACCUUAGCAGGUUAUCCCAAAGAUAACCCGCUAACAGGUGGGAACAACAGUUCCCACACAGGGUUGGAACAAGCUCUGAAACAAACUUGUUCUAACCUACCCUUGAGAGAGAGAGAGAGAGAGAGGGGGGAGAAAGAGAGAGAUCUUCUCGUGACGAGCGACCGAGCUAUAUGGGAUCUUCGCACGAGCACGAGGAUCUUCGCACAGCGAACGAGCGGCUGAGAUCUUCUCGCAUCGUACGAGAAUCUUCGCAGUGGAGCUCCGCGCGGCGCCCCCGCCGUGGGCCACGGCAGAGCCAAAGGAGAAGUUGCUGUAGGGAGUGUCAUGCCCCGGGACCGCCGAUUUGGUCGGUUCGGCUCGUCAACAGACGCCGAACAGACAGCACCCUCCCUGCCCGCCCAAGGCUCAACACAAGUAUCAACAUGUAUAUAAAUUUGCGCAAGCGGAAAUAGAAAUAUACAUGGCUUGCACGAAGGCAAGCAACAACCCAAGUGAAAGUUCUACAAUUACUAUAUCCAUACAAGUACUAUGAUUACUUUUAAUCACAUACAUGCAUAUUAAAAUUUACAUUCUUUCAAUCUCUUCUUUAUACUACAUAUGAUCAUCCAAAACCCAAGUCUUUUACAUUUAUACAUCUUUUAUACAUUUGCUCAUCAUAAACAAAAGAUGACAACAAUAAGGUGUGAACUAUACUCAGGUAGUCACUAGCUAGGGUGCGAUACCCUUACCAUAGUCCUUGACCGCCUCGGUCGGACCUAGAUCUGGAAAAAAUAGUGAGGUGAGAACUGCAACAAAGUUUUCAGUAGGUUCGGCCGCCACCUAGAUCUGGAAAAAAUAGUGGGGUGAGAACUACAACAAAGUUUUCAGUGGGUUCGGCCGUCGACCCCGCCAACUUUCCCACUAGGUCUAAAUCAGGCAUAAAUAGAAGAAACAAGUAGAUAGAUAACCAUACUAAAUAAAUGCAACUACUAUGCCUGAACAAGAAUGCUAACAAUACAUGAUGCAUGCCAAUUUUUAUUCACAAUACCCAAUCCUCUUGGCUAAUCCAUAGGUUUCGCCCAAAACAACUCACCAACUUAAAUCUUACUAUCGGGAAGAAACUCCUACAACCCGACGGGACCGUCCUCUGGGGAAACUACAACCCAGUGAUGACCACUCCGGAGCUCAUCGCUCGAGGGGGAGCGACCGCCCUCAAGCCAAGACUUACAGGUGAGUAUGAUCCAAUUCUCAACUAUGAGGAUGCCAUGUUCAAUCCAAUCCUUAACUAUAAGGAUGUCAUGUUCAAUCAAAUCCUUAACUAUAAGGAUGUCAUUUUCACAAUGCCACAACACACUAUGUGUUUUAUUCUCUACCAUUCAUUAUGCUCACUAAUGCCACACACGCAAAGUGUCUCAUUCUUUAGCAUUCAUUAUGCUCACUAACGCCACAAGGUGCUAUUUCACUCACUUGUCAUAAUGUCACCAUGUUCCUUACCUCCAUUAGGUUCAUAUCUCAAUUCAUACAUAUAUAGGGUUCACAAUUUGCUCAAUAUCUCAUUCUUGACUCAUAUGCAUUUUUAUACUAAAAGCAUGCAAGGGAUAUACACAUAUAUACAUUCUCUCAAUUUAACCCUAUAAUGUAUGAAUCCUACAUAUACACACAUGCUCAAUGGGUGACAUUUAGACAUAAAAGGAGAUUCGAUGAUUUCGGAUAGCACCACCCACCUCGUAGGGAUGCCGGAAGGCUACGACUCAAGUCUCGCAAUUUAUGAUCGCCAAUUCCCCUCGACCACGGCAAACGAAGCCGUAACGGGGUUUUCCCUCGAUUUCUUUGCAUAGACUCGUCGGAACUUCAAUCCGAGUCUCCCAACGCGUCAGCUUACUCGUCAAUUAGGGCUACAAGACUAUCACGCCCGAUAUGAUAGCAUCUGUACUGGGGAUGGCAGCUCGUACUGAUAGAGUUGAGUACUUGCAGGCCGGUUUUGACUCGUUUCGGGAUUGGACGCGUGUUGUGAAUGCGAUUUGCAUGCCGGGAACAGAAUCAAAUGGACUUAUGGUAUUAUCUAAAGAUUUUAAGAUGGAGUAUCGGUUUUUGAACUUCGUGGUUUGUUAUAACAUUUUGCCCUUGGCAAACACGAAGAUUUUGCGUUGGGAUCGUAUUCUUUACAUGUAUUUGUUGGGCAACCCGGAGGUUGUUAGGGCAAAGAACAUCAAUAUGAACAUCCCCUUUCUGAUUUGGCGGAGAAUGGCGAAGGAUAUUAAGACUUCGGGUCAGAAUGAGCGGUUGCGCUUCCCAUUGACCAUCAUGAGGAUUUUGUGACUUUAUGAUGUGGAUACACGUUGUACAUCCUAUGAGCAUAGUCUGGGACGGAUCAGUGAGACGACGUUUGUUAAGUCAUUAGUGCAGCUUCGUACUCCGUCUCAGCGACCUUCUUCACCUACUGCUGCUCAACCUCCUGCUGCUCCUACUUCUUCACGUCCUUCUAUGGAGAUUUCUGAGGAGGAUGUCUCGGUGUCAUCAGUUUAUCAUGAGCAAUAGUGAUUAUCUGAAGAGCUUCAGAAACUAUCAGUGGAUCAGGCUUAGAUAAGAAAGGAUGUGAGCAAGAUUAAGCGUUUAAUGAAGGCGAUCUUUGAUAAAUUGGGUUGUUGUAGCUCAGAUCUUCAUCCGCAGGGUGAUGACUCAGAUUGAGUGGUGCAGGGUUCCUCUUUUUGUUGUUUUGGCGUUUUCUUGACAAAAAGGGGGAGAUGAUGAUGAUGCAUGAUGAUGCAUGCAUGAUGCUGAUAUUUUGAUGCUUUUUAGAUGAUGUAUUUAGAUGGUGAUGAUGGUGAUGUAUUUAGAUGAUGGUUGAUGGUUUUCUAACGUUUUUUUUAACAACUCUUAACUAUAUGACUGUUUAUGUAUGACUGUUUAUGUUUGAUCUUUAAUGAAAACUCUUGGAUCUUGACUGCGUUUUGAGAAUGUUUUUUGCAGGAACUUUCAAGACUUCAAUACUUCAUGUCUAAGUCAUAGAGUUUGUAUUAGGAUUGCGAGAAAAAUGUAAUUUUUAUUUUAUUGGAUCGAUCAUGCAGGAGAUUGUCGUUUGGUGAUUGCGAUGAUCUUCUUUUUAUUGUUUCUGAGUUGUGUUCGAGCGUUGUAUUAUGUUUUGUCACGAAAUCGCCAAAGGGAGAGAUUGUUAAGGAUUUUCUAUGUUCGUGGAUUUCGUGAAGUCGAAUGGAGUCUUGAAGAGUUGAUCGCGGAGGUUUGAAGAGAAGAUUCACUUUGAAGAAUCAAAGACCUAUUCGGAAAGCUCGACACCUCAGGUAUGAAUGUUAGAUCAUUUGUGGUGUGUUUAAACUACCUAAAUAUAAGUUUAGAAGACUUGAAUUGCUAUAGAAAAUACAAACUAAAGUUUUCAAUGUGCUGGGACCGGUCCCCUAAGAUGAGAGACCGGUUCCCGAGAGUCCUCUCUGCGUGAAAGUCCAAGGCAACCGGUCUCCUGAUCUGAGGGACCGGUCUCCAGGACGAGGCAACCGGUCUCUAGCACAAGAGACUGGUUCCCAAACGUUGGGAUUUUUGACUCACAGCAAGAGACCGGUCUCUGGUACGAGAGACUGGUUCCCGAACGUUGUAUUUUCUGUCACGCAGCGAGGGACCGGUCUCCCACCCAAGGGACCGGUCUCUAACAGACCGGUCUCGUCGAGAGGACCGGUCCUUGAGGACGACACCAGUUUUUAAAAUAGACUUUUUGUAAUCCUAGUCCACUUCUAAGUCUUCUAAACCUAUAAAUAAGCCAUGGGGGUUAUCAUAUAAGUUGAGGCUUAGAAUUUCUACUGUUCUAAAACCGUAGAAACUUGUUUUCAUGUUCUUAUAAUUUUAUUCACAUAACGAGUUUCGUAUAAUCAACGAUCGACUUGAUUCUUAAGUUUUAACUCGAGAUUUUCUUCGAGAAUCAAGAAGAUGAUUGAUUAGAAGGUGAACCCUUAUUGCUUAUGGUAUUUUAAGUCUUAAUCACCACAAAUCAUCAAUUCUACGAGCUCCGGAAGGAGGUUCGGCGCGUGGAUCUAGCGUGAAGCCGAGGAUUCGGUGGACGCUUCGAGGAGUUGAGGCGUUGACGCGGCAAGGAAUUGCAGCAGGGUCGAUUGGAGGAUUCCUAUCGAUCAAGGACCGGCGAAGACAAUCGACAACGAGAAUUCGAUAAAUUGAGUCAUGUAUUUUGGUUAAAUCACUUGUACUCAAGUUUUCUUAUUGGAUUUUCUUCGUGUGAUCGGUCCCGUAGGUUUUUUACUCCGGAUUGGAGUGUUCCCACGUUAAAUCUCGGUGUGUUGUUUUUAUUUUUCGCUAUUUCUUUUAUUUGCAUCGAGAGGUUUGGUUUUUGUCGUUUACACCUAUUCCCCCCCCCUUUAUGUGUUAUUUACCUUUUAGAUCCUUGGGAUCCAUAUCUUUCAGCGACUAUAAAUUGUAGUACUCGGAUUCUAGCACCCUAGCGACCCUACGAGGUGAGUGAUACUAUCCGAAACAGUUGGAUUUCUCUUUAUGUCUAAUGUCGCCCAUUGAGCAUGUAUGUGUAUAUAGGAUUCAUGCAUUGUAGGGUUAAAUGAAAACAUGUGAAUAUUUCUUGUAUGCUUUUAGUAUAAAGAUGCAUAUGAGUUGGUAAUGAGACAUUGGAUGGUUGUGAACCCUAUAGAUGUAUGAAUUGAGACAUGAACCUAGUUGAGGUAGAGAACAUGGUGACGUUAUGACAAGUGAGUGAAAUAGCACCUUGUGGUAUUGAAUGCUAGAGAAUGAGACACUUUGUGUGUUGUGGCAUUAGUGGACAUGGCAUCCUCAUAGUUGUGGAUUGGAUCAUACUCACCUGUAAGUCUGUGCUUGAGGGCGGUCGCUCCCCCUUGAGCGAUGAGCUCCGGAGUAGUCAUCACUGGGUCGUAGCGAGUAUCUCCCAAGAAGACGGUCCCGUCGGGUUGUAGCGAGUAUCUCCCCGAUAGUAGGGAUUUGAGUUGGUGAGUUUUUGGGAGAAACCUAUGGGUUAGCCAAGAGGAUUGGGUAUUGAGAAUGGCAAUUAGUAUGCAUCAUGAGCAUCAUAUAUUGGUUAUUAUUCUUGUUCAGGCAUAGUAGCUGCAUUUGAGUAGAAAUGGUUAUCUAUCUGUUUUUUCUUCUACUUAUACCUGGUUAGACCUAGUGGGAAUGUCCGCGGAGUCGGCGGCCGAACCCACUAAGAACUUUCUUAUAGUUCUCACCCCACCAUUUUUACAGAUCCAGGUCCGAGCAAGGCGGUUGAGGAUCGCGGCAAGGGCAUAGCGCCCUAAGUAGCUGACACCGUGCAUUAGUGGUACCCUUAUGUCAUCUUUUGGUUAUGAUGAAAAGUGUAAUGAGAUAAUGAUGUAUAAAUGGCAUAAGUUUUUGGGAAAGUGAAUGUAAAUUAUUAUAUGCUUGUAUUUGAUUUCAUGUAAUCAAGAUAUAUGUAUGAAUGUGAUGAUAGUUGUAGAACUUUCACUUAUUGGUUGUUGCUUGCCUUCAUGCAAGCUAUGUAUAUCUGAGUUUUCGCUUGCGCAAAUUGUAUACAUGAUAAUACUUGUGUUGAGCCUUGGGCGGACAGAGGAGGUGCUGUCCGUUCGGCGCCUGUUGACAUGCCCGAACCGACCAAAUCGGUGGUCCCGAGGCGUGACAGAUAAGAUGGUAUCAGAGACUAGAAAUGUGAAAGUUUAGGAUGGAUCUAGAAACCCUUAGGAUAGAAACCUUAAGGAUCUAGGGACGUGAGCGACGUGGGAUUGAAUUAUAGCGAAAGCUUUGUGGAUUAGGUUAGUGUUAAUAUGUCUCUAAUAGUAAUUAGGGACUAAUCCAAGUUGAUAUUUGUUCUCAGCUCCAGGGGUUAUGUUGGGUGGCCGACAACAUGAUGCCUAGGGAUGAGAAUGGAUUCACUUAUAUCCUUUCGCCUGAUUUGGUUUUGUUUGAGUAUGUUGUAGCAGCGUAUUAGCGUCGUGGGUCAAGUAACUAAUGUGGUUGUUACGUUUCAGGAAGCGAUGCCUCAUGGUAGACCUCGAACAAGGUCGGCACCCGAGGAACCGAGUUUGGCUCCCGAGCAAUCCGGAGCGAGUGGCGAUGGGGAGCUCCGAGAGCAGGUGUCCGCAUUGGUGGGAAUGGUGCGACAACAAGUAGAGUCGGUGCAACGCUAGGGGAAGCAAAUCCAGCGACUCUAGAAGGCUUGGGCACAACAGCAGGCGACGACGGCUCAAGCGUGCAUCGAACGACCUGCGCCCCCUGUCGUAAUACCGAGUGCGACCGAGGGUGUGGCCGCGGCGGCUAUACCUGUCGCGGCGGUGGCGGCUGGUUCAAGAACCUCAAAUCCCGAGGGUGCGGCGAUGGAAGCGGAGAGAGAGCGUGCACUCGCGGCUCUCGUAAUGUUUAAGAAGUUCAAUCCGCUUGUGUUUGAAGGAGAAAAUGUGGAACCAUGGAUGGUGGAGUCGUGGGUCGACUUGAUGGAAACACUCUUCAAGGAUAUUUAUACCUUGGAGAAAGAUAAGGUGCACAUCGCCAUGCACUGUUUAGAGAAGGCAACGAAGGUAUGGUGGAAGACGGUGAAGCGGGAUUGACUCUCUAACCUUCCGCCUAUGGUUUGGGAGGAGUUUCGGGGAUUAAUGUUCACAAAUUACUUCCCCGAUAGUGAGAAGAAGAAGCUUCAAGAUCAAUUUCGAAAGCUUAGAUAGGGGAACCGUUCUGUCACGCCCCGCGACCACAACCAAUUUGGCUCGGCCCGGGCGCGUCGAACAGACGCCGGGCCGACAGGACCUCCCCUGUNGCUUGCCGCUCCACAACUUCUUGGAGUUGCUCAAACCGAGCCUCCUGGCGCUGCAUCGCGCCCAGCAUUGCAGCGACCUGCUCCCCCAGCUCCUGCACCUCUUCUGAUCUUGGCUGCUCGGGCUCCGCAGAAGGCGGUACCGGAGCAGACCUACGCGCAUAACGCCUUGGGGACAUUUGCUCCUGAAAAGCAACAACUCAGUUAGUUAUCUCAAUCCGAUAACUUCGCAACGUUCGCAAAAUUAAGCGACUCGACAAAGAAAUCGGGCGGAAGCUCACAAGUGCUCCAGUUCUGGACUCUUAGCGUCGCGUCGUCGGCCGCCGACACAACCACUACGAGCCAAGAACUAGUAUCACUUGGAUCCGUCUCUAUUCACAGCUAGAGACACAACAUCAACUUUGACCCAAUCAAUCAACUCCCGCCACCGCCAUGGGUUCACGUUCACUCACGUCCCUAUAACCUUAGGGUUUGCCAACCUAGGGUCUCCUAGGUCAUCCUAGACUCUCUCUUUACUUGCUCUUAAUUGCUCUGAUACCACUUUAUCUAUCACGCCCCGCGACCACAACCAAUUUGGCUCGGCCCGGGCGCGUCGAACAGACGCCGGGCGGACAGGACCUCCCAUGUCCGUCCAAGGCUAACCAACGGAUCAUGUAUAAGAAUUUACCCAGGAAUCAAUUCAUAAAUACACGAUCAAGAAGCACCAUUAGUGCAAUGACCAAGAGCAAGAUACGAGUAUAGAAAACAUACAAGUACACAAGAGAGAAGAGCUAUCUAUUGCAUUCAGUUGACAUAAUAUACAUGCUUAAUUACAUCAUUUACUUUCUUCCAAGAAAACAUAAAUACAAUCAUUUGAGCCUCACCCUAUACAUCAUCUACUCUCAAGUACAAAAAGGGGUGAUAGCUAAUACAAAAGGGAGGUAGCUAAUGCGACUAGAACGCCGGGCCCUUACCGCGAUCCUCACGCUCACCGGGGACACCCGAACUGGAACCUGUAGUAAAAUGGGGGUGAGAACUAACUUCCUUAGUUCCCAGUGGGUUCGGCCGCCGACUCCGCCGAUCUCCCCACUGGUCCAAGCGGGCACAAGUAGAAAUACCAAUAGAUAGAUAAUAAGAAAAGCUGUAAAUAACGGAAAUGAAGCUACGCUACUAUGCCCAAUCAUAAUAUAUGAAUGCAUGUACAAGGAAAUAGAUAAACCACUAACCCCUUAUCAUGUCCAAAGGUAGAGCUAUUUACUCGUUCAUCAAUCUUAUUUAUUUAUUUCUCAAUCUCGUGGCUUCCCUGAAGGAGCCUACUGCUCACUAGCCAUCUCGAAGGUAGGGAGGGUCAACUCGCACUACGAACCGAGACCGUCUGCCGGGGCCUAAAUAGGCAAACCCUUGGGACCCAAAAUAGGCAAUCCCACGUGACCAACAUCCGGAGCGCACUACUUGUGUGGGGCUUCCAUCACAAGAUUUAGAAACAGACCGUGAGCAUGAUCCAAUCCUCGUCUCGAGAAUACCCUAUCCUCUAGGGUUACAAUCAAUAUAUAGUCCAUAGGUUUCACAUACACUAUUAACUAGAUUACCAAUCGUCCGUUUGUUCGCUAUCGACUAGAUGCCACUCGUUCAUAGUUUACUAUUGACUAGAUGCCACUCGUUCAUUGUUCAUCAUUUUCUCUACAUUAUAGGAUUCACAAGACUCGACCCAAUCCUCUCCAAUCUUCUACAUCCAGUAUUCAAUACAUGCUACGAUAUCAUCAAGGAAGGCAUAAGGAAAGGCAAUGCAUAAUAAUCCUAUAAUGCAAUAAUACAAGAUGUAGAAUCGAAAUGUACUAAGACAUAGGAGGGAGCCCGAUUGUUUCGGGAUGGACACCACCCACCUCUUGGCGAUGCCGCGAUAGUAGAAAGCUCGACGUUGCGGUCUUGCACGCCGCUUAAACUCCUCGGGGCAAAGCGAGCCCCCGAGUACCCGAUUCGGCGACAACUCCGCACCCGCUCGUCGGAUCGGCAAACCGUCUUCGCCGACGCGUUCAGAGACCUAGCAAUUAGGUUAGCGACCCAACAAAUUAGAUCAAAACCCUAGAUUUGCCAAAAUCCCAAUUCUAAACCCUAGGUCUCAACAACGGAGAAAUCCGUGGUGCGAGCUUCGAUUUCGAGCUCGAACCUUCUAUUUAUCCCCAAUAGGUUCCAUUUGAACCAAUUCUAAACCAUAAAAACCCAAAACCCUAGAAUUUCCAUUAAAGGGUUGGAAGCUUACCUCUAACCUAAGCUCCAAGCUUGAGGGAGAGGGAGAGAAGAUGACUUUCCUCUUCUUCUUAGUCUUCUCCUUCUCUUUCUUCUUCUUUCUUCCCUUCUUCUCCUUCCUCUUCUUCUUCUCCUUCUUCUCUUUCUUUUCUUUUCCUUCCUAGAGAGAGAGAAUAGUGAGAGAGAGAGAGGAAGAGAGCAACUGAGGGAGAGAGAGGGGUCCCCAAGCCCUAUUAAAGGCCAUUUUGCAAAUAGCCCCCUCAACUUUUCAUCUUUAGAAUCAGCCCUCUUUGGGCAUUUUCGCAGUGAGGGACCGGUCCCAGCUCGGGAAGACCGGUCCCCGAAGGCUGCCACUUCGAGCAGAGGGAUUUUUGCGUUCGGGAACCGGUUCUUGCUUGAGAGACCGGUCCCCGGGAGACCGGUCCUUGUCCGAGAGACCGGUUCCCGAAAGCUGAGUUUUCGGGACUUAGCCAAUUUUCGGCUAUUUUUGCUGGGCCAACGUUCGGGAACCGGUCCCUGCCUGCCAGGGACCGGUCUCAUCAGAGACCCCCCCGCAGCCCAGCCUGAUGGAACCGGUCCCUCCCUGCCAGGGACCGGUCCCCGAGAGCAUUUCUGCUCCAGUGCAAGUUUUGCACUGGUGCUCCCGCGGACCCUUCCUUAAUGCACUUUAUGCAUUAAAACACCUUCGGACUUCCCGAAGCCUACGCACUCGACGAAUAGUCGAUUCUAAUCGAAGUCUAAUCCUCGAGUUUCGAGAAUUCACUUCCUUACACGUUCGGUGGGAGAGUAUGAGCCAGAGUUCUCCCACAUCAUAGACUGUGUCCCGGAUGUAGUUCGGGAUGACAAGGAUAGGGCCGAUUGGUUCAUGCUGGGACUUCGGCCGGAAAUUUAUAAGGCGGUGCAUAUCCUCAAGCUCACGACCUUUGCUGAGGUAUUUGAUCGAGCAUUGUGGGCGGAGCAUGGCAAUGCUUAUGCGCGUGGGGAACGCGAGUCUAUGGAAAAGGAAAGGGAUAAAGGAAUGAAGCGGACUGCGAGUGGUAUCGAGGGUCGGUCGAGUCCUAAUAGGCCUCCUCGAUAUCCACGACGGCAGUCGAAGAACUAGAGACCUACCCGAUGUGUUACCUGCAGCGGUGAUCAUCGACCGCCGGUCUGCCCACAGCGUGAAGGGAGGUGUUUUAAAUGUGGCCAAGCUGGACACAUUAUCUGGGAGUGCCCGAGGUGGACAUCGCCUGCCCCGACGGCUGCAUCAGUUCAGUACACCCCGAGGCAGCUUGCUGGACUGCCACCUGCUAUGUCGGCUGGACGCUCAUCAGUGCCACGUCAACCAGAGGGAUCUCAGGCGGCGCCGAGUGGUCGAGUUUUCGCUGCACAGGUCGAGGAGCCUGCCGUACCCGAUGAUGUUGUGGCAGGUAUUAUUUUAAUUAAUGACACUAGAGCUAGAGCAUUGUUUGACACUGGUGCAUCCAACUCAUUCAUUAGCAUGUCAUUUGAUAGAGCUCAUGAUAUUGAGAUUUCGGAUAGUCCGGAUGCUUGGUGGGUCUAUGCACCUGAGCAUACUUUUAGUGUCAAGGAGGAGUGUGCGGCUUGUCCAGUGCAAAUUGGCGAUUGGAUUAUGCCGACGGACUUGCUUGUUUUGAGCCGAACGUGGGGCUUCGACGUAAUCCUUGGAAUUGAUUGGCUCUCGAAGUAUUAUGCCGUCAUUGGUUGCGAAAACAAGAAAAUCGCUUUUCGUGAACCCAGUCAGGAGGAAGUUGUUUACCAUGAGUGUAAAAGUUCGCAUUUNNNNNNNNNNNNNNNNNNNNNNNNNNNNNNNNNNNNNNNNNNNNNNNNNNNNNNNNNNNNNNNNNNNNNNNNNNNNNNNNNNNNNNNNNNNNNNNNNNNNCGGGCGGCCCGCGGCCCGCCCGGCCCGGCACGAGAGUGGGCCGGGCCAGGCACGGCACGAGUACUGUAGCAUGCCGUGCCGGCCCGGCCCGGCCAGUUAAAUCGGGCCGUGCUGGGCCUUGCUCCCACGGCCCGAUGGCCCGGCACGGCCCGACACGACAUAGGCCUGGGCCGUGCCGGGCCUAGAGGGUACCCAGGCCUGGCCCGGCACGGCACGGCCCGGCCCGUGUGGCCAGGCCCUCCCGAGCCGGGCCCAGGCAGGGACUUGGGUACAACCCAACUCCCAAGGCCCUGCAUCACCCAACUCCCAAUGAGUUGGGCUGUUGCUUUGGGACUCCCAACAGUUAAAGAGUUGGGCUGUGGCUUUGGGAGUUGGGCUUGGACUAAAAUGCCCUUCCCAACAGUCAAAAAUUUGACUGUUGGGAGGAUAUUUUGGUCCAAAAAAUUUAAAAUUUUAAAAUAAUUUAAAAUUUUAAUAUUUUUAUAAAUAUAUUUUAAAAUUUUAAUUUUUUUUUGCUGAUAUAUUAUUUUUUAAAAAAUUAAUAUUUUUAUUUUUAUUUUUUAAAAAAUUUAAAUAUUUUUAAAUAAAAUUAAUAAAAUAAAAAAGAUCUGGCCUGAAGCCCGGCCCGGCCCGGCACGGCCCAUGCAGUCCGGGCCGGGGGGGCAUGCUGGGUAGGGUUCCAAGAACUUUGGCCCGGCACGGCACGGGCCGUGCCGUGUCGGGCUGGCCCGCGGCCCGAAAAAUGUGGGCCGUGCCGGCCCAGCAUAGCCCACAUUACAUGCCUACUUAUGCACGGCCCACAUUACAUCCCUACUUAUAAUACAACUGACUUAAGUUGCAUAUACUUUCUUUAAGAGAAACUCUUAAUAUAGAGUCAGCGACUGCAAUGAUACUAAAUGAAUUCGACAUAAUAAUUUUAAUAUUUUGGUUUUAUGGAAUAUCUAUAAAUACUAAUUAAAUGUAUUAUACUUAGAUUUUUUAUAACGUAUAUAAGAAUACUCUAAUGGGCAUUUUUAAGUGAUGUAUUUCUUUAUUUAUAACUUCUUCAAUAUUUAAUUUUUAAUAAUAAUAUAUAAUAAUUAAUUAAAAUAAUAUUUACCCACUAAGAAUGUAAGGACUGAGAUUUUUGACAGUGCAACUAAACUCUCUGUUGAUGAUGUUUAUGUGUGUAAUUUAAUUACAUAAGCACUCGUCAAGUUUUAGGAGAAAAUGAGCUUAAACGGAGAAGUUACGCGAUUAUUAGUUUUCACUUAAGUGAAUAGUAACUCCGGUUUUCCGGAGAAGCCACGGAGUAGAGUUGGCUUCUGGUGCGUAUCGGACUCCGUUCAUAUCAGUCCAAUAGCUCGUUUCGACCGGUUCGGCUGUUCUGGAACUUGUGGCGCUAAUGGAUUUUGAGUUUGACGCACGAAUUUCGAGAAAAUCCAAAAAUACAUGUUUUAUAUGUAUUUGUGCGUGAGUGUUUCCUUCUAUUGGAAGAAGGUUGGAUUUUGUCGUGAAUCCGUGGUCGAUCGAGAUGAAUCGAAGGUGUAGCUUUGUUGUCUCCGAGGUGCUGAUCGCACUGGUGCAAUCCGUUCGCAAAUCUGACGGACGGAUCUGCGGAGAUCGCGCGUUGAUCGAGGAGAGGUCGGUGUUGGCAAAACGGUAGUUUCGCAAAAGUCGCGACAUUUUAUGUACCGUUUCGCGUGAAAUCGCACGUAGAGGGGUAUUCGCGCGUUUUACUUGUGCUGUGAGGGACUGGGUAAGAAAUACCAAGCUUCGGUGGACUUUUGUGCAAAAUUGCACUUAGUAUACAAUGUGCAUCUAGGGUUUCUAUGCACGAAACCCUAGAUCUGGCCGACCCUGUCUCCCAGCUGUGCCCUAACCGCCAUCUGCAGGUCCAUGCCCUAGCAGUGCGCGCAGUCCGGCCGCCGGCAAGCUUCCCCGGCCGCCGGAAACCUGGAUCGGUCUCUCCUCUACCAUCUUCUCCACCUAGCCACCACAUUCGUUGGUCUUCGAGCUCGUGAGGGAACAUGGCCAUGUGCCGAACGACAUAGCCAUGUUCCGGUUUGGGCACCCGUGGUUGGAGGACAGCGCGUAGGACUUGGCCAUGUCUGCCUGGGAACAUGGCCAUGUCGUUCGCUGAAGGGUGCCACCAACAUGGCCAUGUCUGGUUGGGAACAUGGCCAUGUCGUCUCAUUUUUAAGACGUUAAAGCGUCUAAAAUUGUGUCUUUCUACUGGAGUGCAGCGUGUCUCAGGCAAAGCGCAGAUAAACUGCGGUUGCGUUGAGCUCGAACAGAGCUGUGAGAGGUCUCGACAGCUGUUCAGGGGUGACUGUCUUUGACCCAGAGUGUAGGCCGCUGACACCCUUCGUGUACUCGCUGUGCUUCAAGUCGGUGCAUCGCGCGUGUCGCGGAUUUAGUGUAGAUUGUGCGUUUGGCCCCUUGGCAACUGGGGCUGCCUCCACUCUUGCUACGAGUCGUGCCUCAUUGCUACUAGCACGAGUGAAGGUGACAGUAGCCCCAUGGAAGCCUAACGGGCUUUCCACUGGCCUUGGGAUUUGAUGUCACGACCUUGAAUUUUGUCAUCGUAUGGCCUCACGUCCCUCGAUCCCAACCGGCGGCCGCCGGCCUGCCGCCCGCGAGGCCGGCCCCUUCCCACGCCGUGCAGCCUCCCCAGGCCCCGUUCACGACCGGCCGCCGCCCACCGCCGGCCACCGCGCCGCCUCCUCUAGGUUAGGAGCUGAACGAGAGCCCAAGUUCCCAAGGGCCGCCGCGCCGCCGCCGGCCUUCUCCAGCCCCACCGCUGCUUGGCCGCCGCCUCCGGCUCCUCUUCCGCCACGUUGGGGGCCAACCGCCGCCGCCGCGAACCUUCGGCUCGCCCGGGCUGGAGCCGGGCGUACCCAGACCCGCCGGCGUCCACUGGAGUCGCCGCUGGCCGCCGCGCGCCCCUGCCGCCCCCUGCUCGCGCGGCCCAACGGCCUCCAGCGGCCCCAGCUGUCCUCCCGCCGCAACGGUUUCUCUCCGCAGCCGCCGAGCCCCUAUGGCUCUAGUGGGUCCGAGCCGGACCCACUGACGCCCACCGGCGUCCAUCGACCCCGCCGCGGCCGCCGCGCACGUCCGCCACUGCCGGCCGUCCCUGCCGCGGCCCCUCAAGGCCCUCCCACUGCGAAGGGUAGGGCUCGCCGUCGUCCCGCUCCUCCUCCUCCAGGGUGCCGGAGCCGGUCUAGACGAGUCUAGACCGGCGUAGAUCGGUCCCGCCGCCACCGCCGCGAGGCCCCGCCGGCCCUGCCGCCGCCGGCCGCCGCUUCUACGACCUCCUCCCAGAGCCGGUCUCCCACGUCAGAGCUGCACCUACCAGUGGGGANGUAUAUGUACUUUUGGACAGUCACUACAGUUGUGAUACUUCGUUGAUGGUUGAGAUUUUGGGAUUGUAUACUCUUUGUUCUUUUGUUGAUAUAUCGACUUGUACAUUGCUCUGAUAUCAGGAUAGGACUCUCCUUGUUUUACUUCCUAUCGACUUGUUUUUUUUUCGUAGACGCCUUAUAUACUGCAGGUGUAUGGCGGGUCUGUGCACGUACCGGAUAUGCUUCCGCUGGUACCCGGGCGUGACACAAACAAAUAACAAUGAGCGGGUGCUCGCAAGCGAGCCAUCCAAACUUCUGCUUACUCCGAAACACAGCUUUCCUUCCUUGCCUAUUAUCAUUGCCACUGCUAUUAAAAAAAAAAACUAAUGCCAAAAUCAAGAAAAUAAAACAUGUAGUGAAAAUUAGAAAAAAAAAAAUAUUAGCAAAUCUCAGUGGAAAACUUAGGUUAAAAUAAUAUAACAACAUAAGUUUCACCAUGGUAAGAAAAUAGCAGUAGCAGGAAUGCAUUGCUGAGAAAACAAAAAGCAGAAAAAAGUUUAAUCAGUACAGAUAGAGAUUUAAAUAUACUUGUGCCGAAACCGAGCUAAUCAAACAAACAAUAGUGAGUAGUUGCUUGUGAGUGGGCUGACCAAACUUUGAAAUUUUUGCUUGCUGCAACUCAUAGUUUUUUUCUUCGCUUACUGUUACUGCUUGGGAUACCAAAGACAGAUAAAAAAAAAAACUUUAAAAUAUAUCGGGAACAAGAAAGCAUUUAGCAAAUACAGAUUAAAUUAUUUAAAUCGAUAUAACCUAGUAUAAGAAUAAAUCUUUAGAACAUUAUGUGUACAGAAAACAAUCACAUUAUACACAAUGGAAGAAAAAAAUAGAAAAAAAGAAAAAGAAAAAGAGUUUUACACAUAUUUGAACAUACGGUGAAAAUCAGAAAAAUAAAACAUGUAUUGAAAAUCAUGAAGACACAUUAGAAAAUCUUGGUGCAAAAACGAACACAGCAAACAAAUUAGGAAGAUUCAGAUAUAACCACAGAUCUCUCUCUUAUAAAAUUCUAUAAAAUCUUUUCCUCUCUCCUACUACUCUCUCUCUUAUCCCUCCCUUGUUGGAUCGCUCAAUCAUAUCAUAUCAUAUCUAUCUAUACAUCACAUUAUCUGACACUCCUAAGAAAGCCACCUGUGCUCUCUCAUGACGCUUCUCUCUCCCUCCUCCCUCUUUUUAUCUCUUAUAAAAUCCUAUAAAAUCUUACAGAUCUUCUCAUCUCCCUUCCACUCCAUACUCUCUCUCCUUUACCCUCCCCCAAUCUUUUUUUAACAAAAUUCUAUAAAAUCUUACAAACUCUUCUCAUUUCUCUCAUACUACUCUCUCUUAUCUCUCAUUCUUACUAAGUCUCUCAAUCAUAUCAUGUCCUAUAAAGUUUUAUAAAAUUUUCUUUUCUCCCUCCUGCUACUUUCUCUCUCUCUUACUGGAUCUCUCAAUCAUAUCCUAUAAAGUUUAUAAAAUCUUCUCAUUCUCGAUCUCUUACUGGGUCUCUCAAUUAUAUCAUAUCAUAUCUUAAACGAUCUUCUCAAAAUCCUUCUAAUAUUUUCUUUGUUUUGACGAGAACGGGGAUGAGAAGAUCUCGCAUGCAGAGCUGCAGAGUUGCAUGCGGAGCAGCAUCAGGGACGAGCUGUCGGCCGGGGCGGAAAAAGUAGUGGUAACAAUUUAUUACUAAUGUAGAUAUUUGUGUUGGUUUUUUUAAUAAAUCAAUAGGCUUAUAAUUAGGGGUGUAAAACGGGCCGGGCGGCCCGCGGCCCGCCCGGCACGGCACGAGAGUGGGCCGGGCCAGGCACGGCACGAGUACUGUAGCAUGCCGUGCCGGCCCGGCCCGGCCAGUUAAAUCGGGCCGUGCUGGGCCUUGCUCCUGCUGCCCGAUGGCCUAGCAUGGCCCGGCACGACAUAGGCCUGGGCUGUGCCUGGCCUAAAGGGUACCCAGGCCUGGCCUGGCACGGCACUGCCCGGCCCGUGUGGCCAGGCCCUCCCGAGCCGGGCCCAGGCAGGGACUUGGGUACAACCCAACUCCCAAGGCCCUGCAUCACCCAACUCCCAAUGCUUUGGGAGUUGGGCUGUUGCUUUGGGACUCCCAACAGUUAAAAGAGUUGGGCUGUGGCUUUGGGAGUUGGGCUUGGACUAAAAUGCCCUUCCCAACAGUCAAAAAUUUGACUGUUGGGAGGAUAUUUUGGUCCAAAAAAUUUAAAAUUUUAAAAUAAUUUAAAAUUUUAAUAUUUUUAUAAAUAUAUUUUAAAAUUUUAUUUUUUUUGCUGAUUUUAUUUUUAAAAAAUUAAUAUUUUAUUUUUUAUUUUAAAAAAUUUAAAUAUGUUUUAAUAAAAUUAAUAAAAUAAAAAGAGGCGGCCUGAAGCCGGCCCGGCCCGGGCACGGGCCCGUGUCAGACUCCGGGCGCGGGGGCAUGGCUGGGUGGGUUCCAAGACUUUAGGCCCGGCCGCAACGCACGGGCCGUGCGUGCCGGGCUGGCCCGCGACCCGUUCGGCCCGAAAAAUGUGGGCGGGCCGCCCGGCACAGCCGCACUUUACAUCCCCUACUUAUGCACGGCCCAAUUACAUCCCUAUUUAUAAUACAACUGACUUAAGUUGCAUAUACUUUCUUUAAGAGAAACUCUUAAUAUAGAGUCAGCGACUGCAAUGAUACUAAAUGAAUUCGACAUAAUAAUUUUAAUAUUUUGGUUUUAUGGAAUAUCUAUAAAUACUAAUUAAAUGUAUUAUACUUAGAUUUUUUAUAACGUAUAUAAGAAUACUCUAAUGGGCAUUUUUAAGUGAUGUAUUUCUUUAUUUAUAACUUCUUCAAUAUUUAAUUUUUAAUAAUAAUAUAUAAUAAUUAAUUAAAAUAAUAUUUACCCACUAAGAAUCGGGGGCCUAUACUAAUAUAAUAUAAUAUAAUGGUAGCGCUAGUAGUUGCUGCAGUACUACUACUAAUAAUAAGAUAUUUAAUAUUAUAUUAUAAUUAUUAUUAUAAGAUAUUUUAAUAUAUCUAAAAUUAAUAAGCUAAGCAUAACAUAAGAAUAACUUUAUUCCUAUUACCGACUGCCCCUAGAGCAAGUGGCAAAAGACUUAGUAGUUGGUAUCCGAGACCCAAGUUCGAAUCCUAGUUGAUUCACAUUUCUAGCUAAGUCUAUUUCUAAAUGAAAUAAACGAAGCGGUAGCGUGGUACCUAUCUCUCAAAAAAACUUUAUUCCUAUUAAAAAGUUAGAAUAUUUAUUUCCAGAUUACUCUAGAAUUAUCUAGAAUAAUUCAGUUUGACUAUGGAAUAGCUAUUUUUGUACACUAUUUUGGCGGAAAAAGAAUUCUAAAUUUUUUUGUCCUCGGUUUUUUCUAAAACCAAAUAAAGCUUCAGAAAAAUUAUUUCUUCAAAAAAAUGUUUUCCAUAGAAAAUGCUUUUUUUCAGAGUUUUCAUUUUUUGGAUAAAAAGUUGAAAAAUGAAUACACUUGAUUUUCAUAAAAUUUAGAAUUCUUUUUCUAGAAAAUUAUUUUUUUAAAAACCAAACGUAGAAAACAGUAUUUUCCAAUCCAAAAUGUAUUUUCUUAUUAGAUAUUUUCGUAGAAUUGAACUCCCUACAUGUAAAUCAGUAAAUUACACUUUGGCUCGUCAAACUAUACGGUGACUGAUACUUUUGUUUCUAAAUCUUUAAUUUAUUAUACUUUUUGCUUAAAUCUUUUAAAAUUAUUAUAACCAAGUCCCACUGUUGGAUAAAAUUAAUUAAAUACUCAAAAAUCAAUCGUCGCAAAAAUCACAUAAAUUUUUACAUACCUCUUUCUGGUGCGGAAUUGAUGUUGUGAUUAUCAGGAUCUGAUCUCGUCUUGUUUUACGAACUCGUUGAUCCGCCAACGUCCUGUCUCAAUUUGUUGCACGUUGUUCUUACUCGUUGCAAUCCGGCUACUAGAGUCGAUCACCGCACACCGCCCAAAUUCCUAGGGUUUAUGAUGGUGCCCUAGAGCGAACCCGAGAGAGAGAGAAUUUUGGUGGAGAGAUGAUUCUUAUUUUUUUCGUUAUCUUGUAUGUGGUCAAUACCUCAUGUAUUUAUAGGCCAUAAGGGGGACGUUAAUCCUAAUCAUAUUCUGACUAAAUCUCACAUAGAUAGAGAUUUAAACAGAUUAGGAUUUAUCAGUUAGAUUUAUUCUUUAUCCAAGUGGACUAGAAAUAUAACAGAUAAUUAUAAAUAUUUAUUUCUUAUCCCAUAUGGAUUAGAAAUAUUUUAGAUAAGUCCCAAUAUGGACGAAUCGUAAUAUCUCCCACUCGUACACACUUGGUACUUAUUCAUACUUUCUCAUCCCAAAUAUAUUCUUAUCUCGUUCUGCUCUUCAUACGAGAAAUGGUUGGUGCGAUCAAUAACGAGAAGAAUCAUAAGUGAGGAGUGUUAUAUUAAGCCACCAUCCGAACUAACAUAACACUACAACUCCAAAUCUCGUCUAUACCCCAAAUCACUGAACUACACCAGAUCAUAGCAUCUCUGAUCCCUUAGAGCAAACUAGAUCUCUCUCAUUAAUGUAUUUGUUCUCAUGAUUAUAUUGACAACAAAUAUCAACAUAAUCGCCCAGGCAAUGAGUAACAAAUCAUAGGUAUAUUAUCAAAUGAUUUUUCAUUAGAUGCCCCAUGUCAAUCCAUUUCAACUUGACUGCUUUCCUAGACAUGUUCCGCUGGACCGAAUCAAUCAUGACCCUUGAAUAUCAUGCUAAAGUAGCAUCAUCAAGUAUCCACUUCAUAACAUGGUUCUAAGUCCCAAAGGGUAUGCAAAGCUCACACAGCGACGAAACGGGAAUCAAUUUCGUCACUUUCUAAAACAUAGUGAUCGAUCUUGCACAUACAGUAUGAACGUAUGCUAUGGUGGAGCUACCUCUAAGGACAUGUCACGCUCAAAACACCAUACGAAUGUCGAUUUUGUUGUAACUUAAGACAACAAACCUCAAGACAGUCACCCACAUAGUGUCUUCUUUACAUUCGGCUUCAUACAGGCCGAGUAGAGUCGUGGACCAUCUCUACUAUCGACUUCGUACAGUCUCAUCUUAGCUUAUCUAAGGCGACAUUUAAAGUUUAAACACUCGCCAGCUCUUAUAGUGCAAAGUGGAUCACCUGCAUUACUAACUACAUUUAUGUGAUCUUAUUUGUCUCAUCCUGCUCGCUCUCCUAGCGACAGGGCGAUCACCCGUGUGAGAGGGCUGAUCAAUGGCCUGGUAACAUUCAUUCUCACAAGGAUAUUGUGCACUAAUUUAAAAUUAAAUAAACAUGUAUAUGAAUGAAAAAAGAUAUCAAAAAUAUUUAUUAGCAAAAUUAUUAAUACAAGAUAUAUGAGAGUCAAGCCCUACACAAACCCAAUCCUCUAACAUGUUUAUGAAAAACAUUUCUAACAAGGGGUUUGGUAAAAGGAUCUGCUAUCAUAUCAUCAAUAGAUGCAAAUUUAAUUACAAUCUGUCCCUAUGCAAUUAUAUCUCUAAUGAAGUGAUAUCUAGUCUCAAUGUGUUUAGAUCUUCCAUGAUACUUUGGAUCCUUGGCAUAAGCUAUUGCUGCUUUGUUGUCACAAUAGAUAAUAACAGCAUCAUCAGCAUGAGCUGUUACACUCAAAUUUAUCAUAAAUCUCCUUAGCCAAACAGCCUCUUGUAUUGCUACUGUACAUGCAAUGUACUCCGAUUCCAUAGUUGAUAAGGAGACACAUGGUUGUUUCUUGCUACACCAUGAAAUAGCAGCUCCUCCAAGUAUAAACGCAUAUACCGAGAUAGAUUUGCGUUCAUCUCUAUCUGCGAAUCCAUCAGCGUCGGUGUAUCCCGUCAAUCUAAGCUCUCCUUCAUGAUAGCAUAGAGCAAGGUUCACAGUACCUCGCAGAUAUCUGAAAAUCCUUUUAACUGCUUGCCAAUGUGCUGCACUAGGAUUACUCUGAUAUCGACUAACCAUACCAACAGCGAAACAUAUGUCUGGUCGAGUACAUAUCAUUGCAUACAUCAAGCUGCCGACUGCACUCGCAUAUGGGACUUUUUUCAUCUGCUUUCUCUCUUCUUCUAUUUUAGGGCAUUGUUCAAGGCUAAGAUAAUGACCCUUUUCCAUUAGAGUGUCAAUAGGUUUCGAAUUAUGCAUUCGGAAUCGCUCCAAAAUUCUUUUAAUAUAAGUCUCUUGAGACAAACUUAAGAAUUUUCGAGAUCGAUCCCUAUGGAUCUUGACUCCCAAUACAUAAUCUGCUUGUCCCAUGUCCUUCAUCUCAAAAGUUGAGGACAACCACUUCUGUGUGGUGAUUGUUAACUCCAUAUUAUUUCUGACUAACAAGAUAUCAUCUACAUAUAGUGAAAGAAUAAGAAAACAUUUUUCUUCCCUUUUAACGUACACGCAAUGGUCUUCUUCGAUCAUCACAAAGCCUAUUGAUAUAAUUGCUCUAUGAAAACGUUGAUACCAUUGCCUAGACGAUUGUUUCAAGCCGUAAAUGGAACGUUUUAAGCGGCACACUUUGCGCUCUUGUCCUUCGGCUAUAAAACCAGGAGGUUGAUUCAUAUAAAUCUCCUCGUCUAGUUCUCCAUUGAGAAAUGCAGUCUUCACAUCCAUUUGGAACAGUUCCAAAUCUAAAUGUGCGACGAUAGCCAGAAUCAGGCGAAUUGAGACAAACCUCACCACUGGGGAGAAUGUCUAUUCAUAGUCUACUCCUUUUUUUUGGGUGUAUCCUUUCGCCACUAAUCGGGCUUUAUAUUUGUCAAUUGAUCCAUCCGCCUUACGUUUUAUUUUAAAGAUCCAUUUAUUUCCAAUAGUUUUUCGUCCAGACGUAAGAUCAACUAACUCCCACACAUUAUUCUUAGCCAUAGAACUCAUCUCAUUCUCCAUAGCAGCUAGCCAUAUAUCACAAACUGGUGAACUCAUAGCUUCAGCAUAAGAAGCCGGCUCAUCAACAUCCGUAGAAGCACACAUGAACGAUUCCCCUUCAAUCUCAAAUCGACGACGGGGAACACCUCCACGUUUACUUCUUCGUAAUGAUGGACUUUGUGAGCCAUGGUCAAUCGGCACACUCCCACUGACCAUAGGAUCACUCCCACUGUUUUGGGCUAUUUCUUCAUGUGGCCUCAGUGCCUCAUUCUCGCCUAACAAUGGGACAUUUUCAUUAGGUUCUUGCAACUCGUAUAGUGCAAGAUCCUUUUUAAUCUCACCAAUGUCUGAAAAAUCAUUCUCAAGAAAAUCCAUAUCACGCGACUUUAUCUCAGUCAUUACUCCAUCAGGAUGCUUGCCAUACAUCACAUAGCCUUUCGAGCAAUCAGAAUAUCUAAUAAAAAUUUAUUUAUUUGCUCUAGGGCCUAACUUUCCAUAUUUAUGGGAAGUAUUAUGCACAUAUCCUGCCGAUCCCCAUGGUCGUAAGCCUUUCAAAUUUGGCUUUAUUCCAUGCCAUAACUCAUAGGGAGUUGAAGGAACUGAUUUAGAGGGCACUCGGUUAAGUAUAUAGGCAGCAGUCAACAACGCAUCACCCCAAAAACUAAUUGGGAGGUUGGCUUGCGCCAUCAUUGACCUAACCAUUUCCAAAAGUGUCCUAUUUCUCCUCUCUGCAACACUAUUUUGUUUCGGAGUACCAGGAAUAGUUAACUGUCUGCGUAUUCCCUUUUCCUCACAUAGUUCCCUGAACUGGUCUGAUAAAUACUCUCGUCCUCUAUCAGUACGUAGAACUUUUAGAGUUCUUUCUGUUUGGUUCUCAACCUCCACUAAGAAGCGUUUAAAAUAAUCUAAAGCUUCUGAACGGUGAGACAACAGAUAUACCGAACUAUAACGGGAGUAGUCAUCAAUAAAAGUGAGGAAAUAGUACGCGCCAUGACGUGCUCUUACAUUCAUAGGUCCGCAUAUGUCUGAAUGAACUAGCUCCAAUGGAUGAGUUGCUCUACGUGCCUUACCAAAAGGCUUUAUGCAGGCUUUUCCUGCUAAACAUGGUUCACAAGGAGGUAGGCUAAGCUUAGCGAGUGACCCCAAUAGGCCUUCUCUAGCUAGUCGAGCCAUCCUUUCUUGUCCAAUGUGACCCAAUCUCGCAUGCCAUUUGAUAGAAUCAGAUACAAUAUCAAAAGAAACUAAUAAAGCAGAAUUAUUGUUAUGAUUAAUAAAAUCCAAGUCCAAAUCUAAAACAAAGAAAUCAUUCUUUAAAUAACCAUUACCAUAAAAGUCCUUGCCCAAAUAAAUAGCUAACUGAGUAUCCGUAAAUUGAAAAGAAAAACCUAAUCUAAGUAACGCUAAAACUGAUAGUAGAUUACAUCGGAUGUUCGGUGCAUACAGCACAUCAUGUAAUAUCAAAUAACGAUCAUUGCACAAUCUAAGUUGGUAUGCGCCAAUUCCAAGGACUUCUUCCUCAGUGCCGUUUUCCAUCAUGACAUAAUGGCUGCUAGCAGAUACCCGACGAUAAUCCACAUAUCCCGCUCGAUCUCUCAUUACAUGCUUUGUUGCUCCUGUGUCUAUAAUCCAAUCAGAGAGAGCGUGAGCAACAAAAACGUGCGACCAUACAUAAAUAAGAGAGUCAGGAUUGGGAUUUACCUUUUUUGGCUUAGUGCAAUCACGAGCGAAGUGUCCCAUGUCUCCACAGUUAUAGCAUUUCACCUCAUUUAAAUUUUUUUUUCCGCGCCUGCCUUUUCGGCGCUUCUUAAUUCCGCCCUCAUUCGUCGCGCGGUUCCCAGUCUUUGCAUAUUUAUUUUCUCCAUUUCGGCACUUGUGCUUAGGCCACUUGCCUCUGCGCUGUCCACCGUGGGCAACGAGUGCAUUGGCACGGUUUGCCUCUCUGCGCCCCGCUUCCAACUCAAGAUGUCGAGCUAUAUUGUUGAAGGUCUUGAUACCUUCAUUAUGAGUCAGCACAACCUUGAUUUGAUCCCAAGAUGAAUCUUGUAAGGACCUUAUAACUGAUUGAACCUGUUGUUCAUCAGUGAACUCGCAACCGGCUACUUUAAGCUCUCUUAUCAUAGCAGACAUCACCCUUAAGUGCUCUGUUAUAGAAUGCUUCGGGUCCAACAAGUAUUGAUUGAAUUUGAGAUUCAAGGCACGAAGUCUUGUGGUCAAUGUGCCCCCAUAUUUCACUUUGAGCUGCUCCUACAUAUUUUUAGUAGUCUCAUAAUUCUCAAAUUCUUUGAUCAAAUCAUCGUGCAUACAGCUCAACAUUGUAUAGCGUGCAAUGCGAUCUUUCUCAAGUCACUCGUUAUAGGCUUGUAAAUCGCGACGGUGCUGAGCCGUCGUGCCUUUUUCAGGCUGAACCAUACUGUUGGUUAGAUGGCUAAAUAUCCCUUUCUCAUUAAGAAGAUAUUGAAUUUUUCUAUACCACAUGUUAUAAUUUGCUCCAUCAAGCUUAUUUUGAUUUAACGAAUCCGCGAUAGAAAAAUUUUUUAAAGCCAUUUAUCACUACAAUAAUGCACAUAAUUUUAAAUUAGGCACAAAUAUCCACAAUAUUAUUCUUAAUCUAAUUUGAUAAUAAUCUCAUCCAAUGCAGAUAAAAAAAGAUAUCAAAUUAAUUACGAAUAAAUCCACGUCACAAAAUAAAUGAUGAACAUUAUGCAAUAACACAUUGCAACUUGAAAAAUAUCAUCACAUGUAUCAUAGCAAGAAACAAUAUAUAAUAAUAGCGAUUGCAUAUCAUAAUAUUAUAUAUAAAUGAAAGACAUGCAUAAUUUACAUAAAAACUUGUUAGUCAGGAUGGAUAAGAACCAGUGGUUUGAAGUUCAAGUUGUCGGUUCCAUUAUAUAUAUAUAUAUAUAUAUAUUAUUCUCUUUUAUAAAAUCAUGCAAGCCCAUGGGUUGAGGUCGGGUUGGGCUUAGGCCUAUAUGACGUGGACUUAGAGAGCCUACAGGCCCAGUCCUACGAGGGGGCUAGCCAGGAAGCCCGCAGGUCCAUCCAGGGCGGGCCGCCCAGCAAGCCCAGCGCGGGCGGCUUCACAAGGCCACAGGCCCUGUGUAUGCGGGCCCCUGCAGGCCCUGCACUAGCAGUCCUUCCAAGCCCAGAGCGGGCAGAUCCCGCAAGCCCACAUGCAUACGGUUUGCCUCAUGUGAUUCAUUUUAUUUUAACAAAUUAAAAAUAUAUAUGAUGUUAAAAAAAAUGAAUUAUUCGAGCGAAAACAAGCACUAUAAGGCUCUGAUACCACUGUUGGAUAAAAUUAAUUAAAUACCCAAAAAUCAAUCGUCGCAAAAAUCACAUAAAUUUUUACAUACCUUUUUUCUGGUACGGAAUUGAUGUUGUGAUUAGCAGGAUCUGAUCUCAUCUUGUUUUAAAAAUUCGUUGAUCCGUCAACGUCCUGUCUCAAUUUGUUGCACGUUAUUCUUACUCGUUGCAAUCCGGCUACUAGAGUCGAUCGCCGCACACCGCCCAAAUCCUUAGGGUUUAUGAUGGUGCCCUAGAGCGAACCCAAGAGAGAAAAUUUUGGUGGAGAGAUGAUUUUUUUUUUUUGUUAUCUUGUAUGUGUCAAUACCUCAUGUAUUUAUAGGCCAUAAGGGAGACGUUAAUCCUAAUCAUAUUCGGACUAAAUCUCACAUGGAUAGAGAUUUAAACAGAUUAGGAUUUAUCUGUUAGAUUUAUUCUUUAUCUCCAGUGGAUUAGAAAUAUAACAGAUAAUUAUAAAUAUUUAUUUCUUAUCCCGUAUAGAAAAAAAAAAAAAAAAAAAAAAUCAAAUAUGGAGUUAUUUGGGGUACACUCUAGGGUUCGCACAGCAGUACUCCGAAGAAAAAGACACACACAACACGCGCAUAUAUCAAAAAGCACGGCUCCUUCCCCUGCAUAUUCUCUUCCCAUAUCUCUCUCUCCAAUUGAGUAAAAAAACCCCUCACGCACACUCUCUCUCUCUCUCUCUCUCUCUCUACCCCAAACCUCUUUUCCACUCCCUCUCCCAAAUUCAAACCUCACAGAAGCCGCUCACACCAUCCCCCAAAUCCCAAUCCCUCCUCCUCCCUCUCAAAGAUUCAAUCUUUCUCCCCUUCUCCAUCUCCUCUCUCCUCUUUUCCCUUCAAUUCCCUCUUCUUCUUCAUCUUUAUACGCCCAAGAUCCAAGUUUUCCUCUUCCUCCCCACUCCCCACCCUAAUUUUCCCCUUGCCCAUCUCUUGUUUUGGGGUUUCUUUGGCGAUUUGUAGAGGUUUGUUGUGUGCUUUUGCCCCCUUUGGAUCUGUGGGGGCCAUGUUUGUGGCGCCCCGGUCGUUCUUGAAACCCUAGGCGGCGGAGGGGGCGGAAUUAGGGUUUCGGAGGAGAUGUUGGAGGAGGAGAGGAAGUGUAAUGGGGCGGCGGUGAAGGUCGAGGAUUCGGCCAGGGAGGAGGGGCUUAUCACUUACAAGAGGCGGAAGCGCCCAAGGCCGAGUCCCGAUGAUGGAGGGGUUAGGCGAAAGAUAUCAUUUUUCCUCUUCUUUUUGUCUUUUGUUGCUUCUGCUUAUAUAGGUUUUUCUUUUUUUCUUCUUUUUUGUGAUAUUUGUUGUUAAUUAAAGGCCAUAAUUGGGUUUAACUAUCCACUUGGUGCUUAAGUUUAAUAAAUUGCCAAGGUUACUUCUUGAUGCAAGAAAUGGGAAAAUGCUUCUUGAUGCAAGAAAUGGGAAAAAGAGAUUCCGGGGAAAAAUGAUAAUUUCUAUGUAGUCAAUUACGACUAUUGGUAAAUUAAGCUUCGUUUUUGCCUUCACAUUUAGUAAUUGUGCUACACACACACACGAAUACGCUGGAAUCUUGAUUCUUGUAAACGUAUACGAAAAUAUACACUGGAAUCUUGAUUCUUGUAGCAAUAAUGAUUUAAUUGUUUUGACAUUACUUUUCUGUGUAAUAGUAAUCUCAGGCAUGUCUUGUUUGUUCUAUCUUAAUGAGGAAACAGAGCUGCUUAUUAAGUUAUCUGAUACGUGGGAAUUGUAUUUUUAUAAAGGUAUAUUUUUUUGUCUUGAUGGGAGUGUAAUAGUAAGCUUGUACGUUUAGGACCGAGCUGAACAUCUUAUUAUUAUUUUAAGUGGUUGUAAUAUCUAAAAGAUGCUGAAAUCAUGGUGUGCUUUCAUAUUUGUUUAGAAUAGUUAGUGAUUGCUAUGGAGUUGUUUGUCAUUUGAUCAAACAUUAUUGUAUGGAAUGUUUGGUGAAACUGAAAUCUGAUGAUGAUGUAGUGAGAAAUCUAACAUAGUUUGUUGUCCGUUGGGGAAAUUAUCAACCAAAACUACAAAUAUAUGUAAAGCAUGUUCUAGUUAGUUAAGCUAUAUUUUUAAUGAUACUACAGAAUUGUUAUUGAAAAUGAUUUUGGAUGUGUUUUUCUUUGAGAAUAUUCAUCUUCCUGAGUGAUAUUAUCAUAAGAAAUUUGUUUUUCACCUUAUAUGUUGUGCGGACUUGUAGGCCUCUGACAAUUCCAACAGAAAGAGGGAAAGGGAUAUUGGGUGGGACCAUGCGAUGAUGGUCGAUGGAAACAGAUUGCACUGGCAAUGCAAUUGGUGUGGACUAACACGAUACAAUGGGGGUGUCUCUCGACUGAAGUGGCAUCUCGCUGGUGGCUUCGCGGUUCGUAAGUGCCCGAAUGUUCCGGAAGAAGUUUCUAGAAUGAUAAAGAACAAUCUCUUUAUGAAACGGAGGUCCAAGAAAAGGAGAUUGGAUAUAUCCGGUGGUACAGAUAAUAUGACAAUAUUAAAUUGUUGCAAUGGCGAUGCCGCGAAUGAUGAAAAUCAUUUGCCUGUUGACCUAGAGUUGCAGGUGGAAAGUACUGCUAGGGUUUCAAAGGGAGCCACUAGACAAUCCGAGGCUGACCAUGAUCCAACUACUAAGGUAUUAGAUUUGUUCUAACUAGUUUUCUCCUUAAUGCUUGAUCUUUGGUUUUUAUGCUGCACUCUCACUAGUAUGAUGUUAAUGCCCAAUCUAUCUUUUAUUUUUCUUUUGGCUCGAUGCAUCACCUUGAAGAAAUCAUGGUGUAAUCUCACUAAUUCUGUUCAUUUCUGAGUAAUAAUAUGCUUAAUUUUGUGCUGCAGGGUAUGGAAGAUAUUACUGGCACAGUAUUAUCAAAAUGCCCUUACGAGCAAAAUGUUAAUGGUAGAACAAAUAGUAUAUGGAGCCACUGGAGAGAUGUUUUGAAAAACAUGCUGCAAUUACCAUCAAUAAGUGAUGGUGAUGGUAUAAAAAGCUGCAUAGAUGAUGCUCUUAAGUGUGGUCCUUCAGGAUUCACCAUGAAGCCUAACACAGCUAAUGGACCUAGGGUCAUAGAGAAUCAACAGGUAUCGGGAAAUUGUUUUACUUUGAUGCGUAAUUCUCUAUUCUAUGCCUGUUUGGCCUUGCUUCUAGAGUGGCUUCUUUGACUUGAAAAGCCACAACUACUUGUUUAGCAAAAACUUCUAGAGAUUUCGUUUGGCGGGAAGCUGAAACGAGCCUUUAAGUCAUACAAGUAGAAGCUCCAAUUUGAAGUUCUUCUUCAGCUUAUUGAGAAGCUUUCGGAGGGUUUAUUACAACUUUAUUAUAACUUGGCCUAACCAUCCUACUCAAACAGUACUUAGUUGAAGCUCCAGCAAGGCCAAUAACAGGACCUUCGUGAAUUUAAAUCCGGAAGUUUCUCAUAAUCAUUCUUAUUUUCAUGACUAUCAGGAUAGGUAUGAGGGGCAUUGUGAAGUAAAAACGAAUUCCGAAAGGCUAAAUAGUUCCAUUAGUUCUGCCUCAGAUGGAUCAAGAGAUGGCAAUCAAGUAGAUGCUAAUGCUAAUACUAAUACUACAAAGUGCAAGAAUGCUUUUGAAGAUAUAUUACGUUCGGAGAAGUUUGUCUUAUUAUGUGAUUUUCUUUACAAAGUUUUCCCAGAUAGCAAAAGCAAAACAUACUUUGAUUUUAGCCUAAUCAAUUCAAAGAUGAAAAAUGGGGAUUACGGGCGAUCACCAGAAUCAUUCAAUCAAGAUAUCCAAAAGGUAAUUGUUAACAUCCGCCUCAUGUUAUCUUUCUUCUUCUCUUAGUUCUUUUUCGUUUUUUCCCCUUUAAAUCUCUAUUUUGUGCUUUUUUGUAGCUCUAUUUAGUAUGUAUGCGUUACAGCUCGAGAUGCCCUUAAAGUGUCCUUGUUGUUAUUGAGGGAGCAAUAUAAGUAUAGUUCGGCAGCAAAAGAGUUCUGUUUGCUCUAGAUUCAUGGUUUCUGCCUCUUUUUUUUCCCGUAGAAGGUUUGCACAUAUUUUUGGGUUUGAAUUAAAGAUAUCAACUGUAGGGUCAAUUUAGCUUUCAAAUACAAGUUGAAUUUGCACGUAGCGGGAAAAACUUCUCUUCCUUAUUCUAACAAAAAAAAAUAAAAAUCGAACUAUAUUUGAUGGAUCUUGCAAGUUAAGAAUUGUUGAGAGUUUAAGAGAAGUGCUGAGAUUUCAAAAUUAUUUCAUGUUGCUUGAUUAUAACUGGUAAGAACUCUGUACAAUUCAACCAAAUUGAAAUCAGUUAAUCUUGUUGGAUAAGACAUGUAUAAGCUUUCUUACAUAUUCCACAUUAUAAGUUUUAAUGUCCUUCUGUGCUUUUCCACUUUCCUCUCAGCCAUGCAUAGUUUGAAAUGUCCUCUUAUUGCCAUGAAAGAUGUAAUGGACCAUCAUUUUUUUUUUUUUUUUUUCUAUUUGAGUUUCCUGGUUUUGUUUGCUCUCCAGGGCUCUUAAUCAUCAGGAAACUUAAUAUACAAACCACGUUUUAAUCUAUUCAUCUGUAUCAAUUAAAAUGUAACAAAUUGACGUGCCUCUUUAAAUAUUCCUGCAGGUCUGGGAGGAAAUGCAAAAAGCUGGUCAGAACAUAAUUCAUCUAACAAGCAGCCUCUCAAGUGUGUCGAGGGCUUCUUAUCAGAAGCAGGUACUAUCUGUGGUCCUCUCAUAUUAAAUUUUUCUUAUCAGCUUGAUCCGUUUGUGAAUUCUGAAUACCCCCUGCAAAUGCGCAAAUUUGUGCAAAUACCUCUGCUAAGUUGGUAUUUGCAUAUGAGCCAUUGGAAAACUUGUUUAUUUACACAUACAGGGGUAUCUAUGAAAAAAUGAUUUUUGUGUUUAUGUCCCUCACCAGCAUGAAUGCAGAUAAGUAUGGUGUCAAAGUUACGCAUGCAAAUACCUCUCUGCCUGGAUAUUCAAGCAAUUUCCCAUGUUUCCAAGGGUAUAUAUGCAAAAAAAAAAAAUCUUGAAUUUGAGAAAACGAUGAGGAUCCUUAUAGGUCCUGAAGUUUUUAUUUAUUACCUAUCUUCUGUUAAAAUUCACACCUUUGAAUGUGAUGAUCUUUGUAAUCAUGCCUCUAUGUGGGCUGAUCCAAGCUAAAUCUGUAUAGAUUGAUGGAGAUUUGGAACUUGGGGCGGGUGAACACAAGUCCAAGGCAAGUGACAUUUACUCAUGUUUUGUGAAUUUUUGGCAUAUUUAACCCUGCAGAUAUGCGGGAUUGCAUAAGUAAACUUUAUCUGCAGGAAUUGCAUAAUUAAACUUACAAAGUUAGUAGACGGAUGCAUGCCCCUGGAAUCUGUAUGUUUGCAUUCAUGUCCCUGCUAGGGUAUAUAUGUAAAAAAAACCAAAUUUCCUUUUGUACAUCAAUGGGGUCGCAUCUUCAAAUAAGCAAGCGUUUUAGGCUGGGUUGCACACUUAAAUAACAAUUUUACAGGGGUAUAGGUGAAAUCUCAUAAAAUUGCAGGGUUGUAUAAUUGAAAAUCCAUAUUUUGGUCGAUAUCAUGUGCUUAAUUUAUUUAUUAGAGUGUUCUUUACUCAAUAUUACAUUAUUAAUGCAGGAGAACUGUGUUGUUGAUUUGGAACCGAAGAACUCCUUGGAGUCACACACGACCGUGCAGUUCACUUCCUGCAAUUCAGACCCAUCCACUAAGCUGGAUCAAACUGAUGCCUCCGUCCCGUAUAAAAUUUUCUCAUGCAAACACUGUGGUCGAGAAGCUAAUGGUGAGCAAACCCUCAUGUGUGAUGGGUGUGAAGAGAUGUACCAUUUAUCAUGCAUUCAGCCCCCAAUCAAACCAAUCCCGACCCGUAGUUGGUACUGCAUGGUCUGCCGCACUAAUAGUAUACAGUUCAAGUCCUGCAAUGUGGACCCAUCUACAAAACCAGAUCAAACUGAGGCCUCCGGCCUAUACAAAAUUUUGCCGUGCAAACAGUGUGGCCAAGAAGCUAAUGGCGAUCGGAGGCUUAUUUGUGAUGGAUGCGAAGCAAUGUACCAUUUCUCAUGCCUCCAACCGACUGUCAAAUCAAUCCCGACUAGGAGUUGGUACUGCACCACCUGUCGUCCUGUUCAGAAGGAAUCGCCCAAAUCUCAUCAAGACAGCUUGCAUGAGAAUUGUGUGGUUUGUGAUCGCCUUGAGGUCUCCGAAACUGUGGAAGCCAAUGAGAAUGGAAGCGUGAGAGAGGGCUCAGAACACUCUAGUUUGGAGUCCAAGGACCCUCCGGGACUUUCUAGAAAUGCUCUCUCUCGCUUGUGCAAGCUAUGCGGAGCGUGUGAAGACGACGACAAGAGAUUUCUAAUCUGUGGCCACGUUCACUGUCCUUACAGGUACUACCACAUAAGAUGCCUAAAGACUUCCCAAAUUGCUAGCGAGGCGCAACGAAAUAAGCCCUGUUGGUAUUGCCCUUCUUGCCUAUGCCGAGCUUGUCUCUCUGAUAAAGAUGACGAUAAGAUUGUGUUAUGUGAUGGUUGUGAUGAGGCGUACCACAUAUAUUGCAUGGAACCACCUCGGAGUUCUGUGCCCAAGGGGCUAUGGUAUUGUAUUCCGUGCAACGUGGCAAGGGCAAAGGAGGGGAUGAGGAAGUAUGAACAGAUGAUUUUACAGCAACAUAGAAAGAAUGAUUUUAAUAAGGUAGGUUACGAGACUAACGGGUCGGUGGAUUUGCUGCUUAGUGCUGCGGAGAAGUUGAAGUUUGAGGAGCACAUCAAUGGCAAGUAGAGAUUUAAGGUGGGUACUAAGGCCUGAAACAUUGCUGUUUAAGUCCGAUAAAACUGGAGGAUUUUUUGAUUGGAUUAGGCUGAGUUUUGUCUCACCUUUUCCAUGUACUAAUAUUGUACAAUGUUGGUAAGGUAAUGGUGUAUGGUGGGAGAAGAAUAUGCAGCUGGAUAAAAUCUCUGAAGAAUCUUGGCAGAAUUUGUAUUUUGUGUAUUCAUUUUACCAAAAAUGUUAGAAAGCAGAGUAGAAAGUUGCAGGUGUUUCUUCCUUUUUUUUUUUCCUCUUAUUUCUUUUGGGUUUAAUUUUGCUAGUGCUGUUCAUCAGUUGUAAUGCCCUUGAAGCAACAUUUUGUUAGGGCAUUUCCCCUUAUGAAAUUCCCAGUGUAUUAUGUGUUUCUUUAUGAGAAAGAAUUACUGGUCAUGUACCUCCUGGUCACCAUGCUGUAGCAUUACUACUACUACAUACAUUCAUCACGGAUGUACAAAUAAUUCAAUUUUGUUGUGAAAGUAUGUGACCGCAUUAUGUUCCUUUUUACCAAUGUUCAUGGUGCUCUUGGUUUGAGCUUUGAUAUGUGGUUUUAUGUUUUAGGACAUGCAAAAGGUUUCUGUAAUAUGUGUGAUGAUGUAAGAGAAUCGGAAAAUUUGAAAGUUUUAUUCCUUGAGAAUCGUGCAAUCAUGAAAUCAAUUUUGUAUUUCCUAUAAGGACUGAUCUCUGAUUUGCAAGUUAAGAAAUAGAUUUUGAAAUUAUGCUUCUUUAACUAGUUGUUUGCUGGUGUGUGUCAAAUUCAAUUGUAAAAGCAAUUAAACAAUUAACUUCGAUAUUCGGGGCAUUUAUAUGCUGAUUUUGUACAUUGGAUUCACUUUGGAGUCUGCAGUUGCUGUCUUAAAGAUGCGCAGGCAUGUUUUUGUUUUACAAUAAAUGCAUUUCUGCGUACUUGGAAAAUAAAAAGAAAUCGACAAAACACAUUUUACAAACAGUUUUAAUUCGAACUGAAUUAAGGUUCAAUCCAAAAAUAUAUGUGGCGCUUGCAACUUUUCUGAUUUCUGUAAUCAGAUCCCUUGAUAAAUUCCAACCUGGAAUCUGUGACUUCGUGAGAUGUUCGUACAAUAUUAAAGGGGUAUCAGAUCGCUACUGCACGCAAUUGUAUCACAAUUUUUCGUAGUCUUUUAGACUCAUGAAAAGAAAAGGUAUCCUAAUGGUAUUGAUCACUGUAUUAAUCAUCCUUCUAAUUUCCGAAUCAAUGCAUUUGGUCUAGAACUUGAACAAGUAUAUAGAAAAAAAAUUCUGUAAAGCAGGAGCAUCUAAUCUCUCUGUUAGUUAUUAACCUUUUGGAACAAUGCUGUAAAAGGAAAUCAUCAUAUUCAUCUUUGAUAAUUGAUUGCAUCAAAGAAUUUUACUAAGCACGACUGAAUUGUAUAGAUGGAUUUUCGAACUACCGACUGGCUUAUCGAUCCAGGAAGUUCAAAGCCUCGAUAUCCCGACCUACUACACUCAAAUGGCCAGGACGGGCGGCUGUACAUUUCUAGAACACGCUCAAAAUGCAUGAGCGCUUCUUCACAGUUUACUUUUGUGUUGUAUGAAAGCAUUCUAACAGAAACAAAAGCAACUGCACUCAGUUUAUUUUUCAACUCCAAAUUGCAGGAUCUAAUUAAGAAAUUGGAGCACAUAUUUUAUCUCCUUUAUUCCUCCAGCAAACAGCUUUUUGUCAGAAUAGGAAUAGUACCAUGACACACAAUUUGUUUUCAAGCUAAAUGCUAGCUCUGCAUACAUGCAUAGCAUAGACGAUAACACCCAGUACCAUCCUGGCAAAUCUUUUGCAAGAACCGUAGCACAUCUUUGUUUUCAAGUACCUUUUUAGCCUAGCUUCGAUACAAAGUGCUGUUUAGUUAAGUUGUUUCUAUUUAAACAUAUUGCUUGCUAAGUUUUGGAUAUAUAUAUAUAUAUAGAACUAGGCUACUAUGCUAUUAAUAGCACCAGGAUAUUGUUGCUACCAAGUUUUUGGCCAUUGGAUUAAGAGAUGUGCGGUUGGGAUGAUGUGGGCCCCCUAGGUUUGAGUGGGUGGUUGGUUGAAUAGUAUGAUCUAACGGAUGAAAAUGAUCAAAAGGGUAGAUCUAACGGCGGAAAACUUGGUAGCACCAAGUGCUUCGUACUAUUAAUAGCAUAGUAGCCGGACUCUAUAUAUAUAUAUAUAUAUAUAUAUAUAUAUAUAAUUAGAACCAAUCCUAAGCUCCACCCACGCAUUAUGUGAGAUCUGAAGGUUCGAUCCCCAUCUUCAAUAUUUAACAUGUUAUCUUUCUAUAUUAUAUUUUAGGGUUAAUUUCAUACAGAUUCCUAUAAAUAUAGUAAUGACAGAUAUACCCAUAUAAAGUUCAACUUUCAUAUCUUGUUCUUACAAAAGUCAUGAUAUUUUCAAAUAUGUCCAUACCGUUAGAAUCCGUUAGAAAAAUUUAGUUAAUCAUUGGUUAAAUAUUUUACCCGGAUUCAUUUUUGACAUUUUUAUCCCUCUUAUAUUACAUUGUUAUGACUUUUGGAAGGACAUAUUUGUGACGGUAAAAUUAGAAAUAUAAACAAUUCUCUAAUGGUUCUCUAAUGGCAACAAACAGAGGAACAUAUUUGAAAAUAUUAGAAUUUUUGUAGAAACAAUAUGAAAGUUGAACUUUGUAUGGAUAUAUUCCUGAUUCACUAUAUUUGCAAGGACCUGUAUGAAAUUAACCCUAUAUUUAAUAGGUCAAAUGACUAUCUCUAAUUUACUUGUUAAUUUCAGUCUUUUAAAUUCAUUCGUAUUUAGAAGGGAUGUUAAAGAUUUUUCUAAACUAUUUGAAUGUGUGUAUAUAUAUAUAUAGUCCAGCUACUAUACUAUCAAUGGCAACUAACAUUUGGUACUAUCAAGUUUUCUGUCGUUAGAUCUACUACUUUGAUCAUUUUUACCCAUUAGGUCAUACCAUUCAACCAAUCACUCACUCAAUCCUAGAGACUACUAUUAUCCUAAACGCACAUUCUUUCAUUCAAUGGCCGAAAAUCUAAUGACACUAAUGACUUGAUACUAGUGAUAGUUUCUAUAUAUAUAUAUAUAUAGAGUAGGGCUGCUGUGCUCUCAGGAGCACGAAGGCCUCCGUGCUCUUGAGCCGUUUUCGAUGAUGGAAUUUUCGAAUCGACGUUCGGCUCCGUUAGACUUGAUCUAGUGUAUUUGAAGUUUCUAGAAAAUAAUUUUUGCGAAUUUUUGAUAUCAUUUACCUAGUGAUCGAAAUGAUUCAAAAUCAAUAAUUUUUAAUGGUUGAUAUCUGCCGUUUUCAAGUUUAACGGUGUAGAAGUAUUCAAAUCAGAUGAAAUUUUGAUACAAAAUUCUUUAUACUAUCUACAAUAAGAUCAACAUUUCUGAUAAAAAAUUUUAGUGCUAUAUCACCAGUUUUUAUAGAAUUUUUAUUUUCAGCCGUUAAAAAUUAUUGAGUUUGAAUCCUAUCGAUUGCUAGGUAAAUGAUAUCAAAAAAUCCGAUAAAAAAUUUCUCAUAAAACUUCAAUACGGCUUUAGGAUUCAAGUUGCUACAGAGGUGGCCGAAUAUCGAUUCUCGCCAAUUCCGCGCUGGCUGGGUCAUCGGGGGGAAAACGGGGGGCGGGUGGGGGCGAGGCUCGAAGGGGGGCACCGAAGGGGGCUCUCGCAAGCGGUGGGGUUGAGGGCAGGGCGGGGAGCCCUUACGUUCUCUUCGUUCUGCCUUCUGUCCUCUGGUUACCAUUAUCGUUCUGACCUAGCAUAAUUACAGCUUAACUCUCCUUUGCUGAUACAACUCAAUGGAAGAAAAAUAACAUAUAUCGAAAUAAAAAGAAAAAAAGAAGAAGAGUUUGUAUACUCACAUAUUUGAGUACAUGUUAAUCUAGGUUGGAAAUAAUCAAGAAAUAAUAAAUUAUGUUAUUGAAUAGAAUCUAUGAUUGAGACAUACAUAAUUGUGAGAAGCAUUAUAGGCUUUGGUGUGCGAUAAAACUGAACACAGCGAAUAUACAAAUCUAUGGAAGAGUUCUCAGAGGUAUAGGCCACUAUGAUCCUCUCUACUGUGAGUAAGAGCAUCUCUUAUAUAAUCCUCCUACAAUUUCCUUUCUCUUUUUCCACUGAUGCGCUAUUUCCACUCUCCUCGUCUUCAUCGAUGCUCUCCUGUCGUUUUACGUAUAUUGGCUUGUGAUAUUCGUCACUUAUUUUGACAAUAUAUUUUUUGAAUAAAACACUCCACUUCUUUAUAAAUUUUACCUCUCAGGGGGUAGGUACGUCACAUGGAGGGGUGGUGAGGGCGAAUGCGUGAGAGAAAAGCCACCUGGGUGGCUCUUCUGCGAUGAGCGCGUUCUGUGCGUGCCGCGUGCCUGGCCGCGGUGGUUUGUUAUCGUGCGUGGUAUGAAAUAUCUAUAAGAAUGGUUGACAGAGGUGCGUGUGAGUCUGCCGGUCCAGGCGUGCGGGGCAUGACUCUGUCGGUUCGCGGUGUUGAGCCUGGGCGCGCAAUGCUUUUGUAACAGAGAUUCGUAUAACAGAUCUUACGAGAACGGUUUCUCAUGUGCUCUCAGUUUACUUACUCUCUCUGUAGUCUUCUCGAUAUAAUUCGUAGUAUAAGUGGUCUCCUCUCUCACACAUACAAAUAUGAGAUGUUCCUAGUUUGAGGGUUAUUGGAUAGGAGGAGGAUUUUUCUUUUGUCAUGACACUCCGUAUAUGAUAGAUACUCUAAACUCUCCUCAUACAUGAAGUUGAAUGCUGUUUGAAUUACAUAACACCUUGAAUUUAUAAGUAAGAGUAUCGCCUGAUUUAAUUUUUUGAGUUAAUUACAUGAAUCUUUAUCUCUUCGAGAUUACGUCAGAAGCAAGAAUUCUUUUUCGCUUUAUGAGCAGAGUGCUUUUCUGUCAUAAUCACGAGAAUUUUUUAGGUCAGUAUACAUUUAUUUCUUUAAAACACGACUCUGAAAUUCUUUUACUCAACGCAUAUCACAUCCCUAUCUUUAAAUAUUUAAUUCUAUUCUUGUAGAAUCUCUUUCUUGAGAUACGAGAUAGGGAUGAGUGAGAAAUGGUCGCAGUCUCGAAUAUUCGAGAUUAUAGGUUCUCAAAUACUUUUAUUGGUGAUAGAGAAUCAAGUUCUUAGGGCAGAUGCCGGAGCAGCAUCAGGACGACGCGGCGAUCCGUCAAGUUGAAAGCGCGACCAUUGAAACCAAACUGUAGCACGGAGGCGGGGCGUAGCUACCGUGUAUACCAGCCUAGCUCCUAUAUACGUGUAUUAGUAUAUAUAUAGUAGUAUAAUAGGUGUAUAUGUCCGGCUAUAUGCUAUUUAAUAAGCACGAGUGUUUGGGUGGCUACCACUUUUCCGGCCGUUAAUCUACGUAUUUUGAUCAUUUUCACCGUUAGAGACGCUACUAUUCAACCAACCACACUCAACCCCUAGGGCCCACAUCAUGUACCGCACAUCUCUUAAUCAAGGACAAAAAUUGGGUAGAGCCCCAAUGAUUGGUGUAUUAAUAGGGACAUAGAGACUAGUUCUCAUCUUCUGCUCCGGGUAACUGAUAUAUAAUACCUUCUCUUCUCUCUUCUUCUCUGGCUCUCUCUCUAUAUAUAGGUGGGUGUAUAUAUUAUAAGAGAGUGCGAGAGGAGAGACGGAGAGAGACGAGAGAGAGAGCACUAGGCUUGGAAUACAUCAAUAGCACCAAGUGUUAGUGCUAUUAGUGUUUUUAGUUAUUGGAUUGAGAAUGUAUGCGAGUGUGUGUGUGGGCACCUGGGUUGAGAUGGGUGUGUGUGUGUGAUAGUCGUGUGCUAACGGUAAAAAUAAUCAAAGGUUAAAUCUAAUGGUGGAAAAACUUGAUUAGCCACCAAAUCCUUGGUGCUAUCAUAGUAUCUCAGCCGGACUAAUAUAGUAAAUAUAGUAUAGUAGUAUAUAUAGGUUAUAUCUAUAGUACUAUAUAUUAGUGUGGGGUAUUAUAUAGUAAAGUGAUUAAUAGUGUCAUAUAUCGUUUUAUGGCUAUUAAUAGCACGAACACUGUUGCUACAAGUUUUUCCGCCAUUAGAUUACCAUUUUGAUCAUUUUCACCCGUUAGAUCAUACUAUUCAAUCAACCACCCACUCAACCCUAGGGGGCCCACAUCAUCCUAACCGCACAUCUCUUAAUCCAAUGGCUAAAAACUUGGUAGCACUAAUGACUUGGUGCUAUUAAUAGCAUAGUAGCCUAGUUCUAUAUAUAUAUGUCACGCCCCGAGCCCGAUCCUUUUGGCCGGUUCGAGUGCGUCGAACAGACGCCGAACGGACAGAGUCUCCCCUGUCCGCCCAAGGCUCAACAUUCUGUACAAAUAGAGUAUGAAUUUUGCACAAAACGGAAGCAUACACACAAUGGCUUGCACGAGGGCAAGCGAUAGCUAAUAGUUAAAGUAAUAAACUACACUUAGAAAAUUGUUUACAUUUUUGUAUCAUUUCUUCUCUUUUACAUUACAUGAUCUCAAAAUAUAAGUUCUAGCAUUAAAAUAUAAAAUAUCUUUUACAUCAUUCAUAUUCUUUUUCUUUAACAUCUAUAGUCAUCAAAAUACAAAAAGGCGAUGUAUAAAGGUAUGCAACUAUAAAAUGGAAACCCCUUCGGGAGGUCUCUAUCUAGGGCGCGAUGCCCUUACCCCGAUCAUCCGCUGGCUCGGUCGGUCCGGGCUCUGUGGAAAUAGUACAGCGAGAACUACAACAAAGUUUCCAGUGGGUUCGGCAACCGACCACGCCGACUUUCCCACUAGGUCUAAAUUAGGCAUAAUAGAAGAAUAAAUAAAUAGUAACCAAGCUAAAGCAAAUACAGCUAAUAUGCUUAAACAAUAAAUAAUGCUAUGCUCAAUAAAGUACUCAUGAUGAAUGCAAGGUUACUGCUCAGAACCCAAUCUCUAGGCUAGCCCGUAGGUUUCGCCCACAAUAGACUCACCAACUCAAAUCCCAAAAAUCGGAGAGACUACUACACCCAGUGAUGACAACUCUGGAGCACAUCGCCGGAGGGGGAGUUACCACCCUCGAGUAAGGACUUACAGGUGAGUAUGAUCCAAUCAUUAACUAUAAGGAUGUCAAGUUCAAUCCAUUCCUUAACUAUAAGGAAAUAAUGCACAUAUGACUCUUAACUCUGAGGUUGAAAUUGUCAUAAUGUCACUAUCACACCUUUACUUGCAUUCUUUUCUUUCACUAGCGUCAUAUACACUGCUAUAUUCUUGUACACAUGCCACGCUUGUUUUCUAAGUGUUCCAAUUCUAGCAUUCUCGACUCUUCAAUGUCACUUUCUACUUCUAUAUCAAGAUGUCACAUUUAUUUACUGAGUCCACUAAGUUCUUGUCACUUGUUAUGCAUAAAUAGGGUUUAUAAAAUUCUUACAUUCUUGCUAGUAAUUCACAUGCAUUUGUACUCACAACAUGCAAUGAAAUGCUCAUAUAUAACCCUACUAUGCAAUUUUUAUGCUCAAUACACAUAUGCUCAAAUAGGACACUUUAGACAUAAAAGGAAUUCCAAGGUCUUCGGAGUGCACCGCCCACCUUAUAUGGUUGCAAAGGUGCUACAAUGAAUUUCUUGAAAUUUUUUGAAGCCCUAUUCCUUCGCCUGCGGCAAAAUGAAGCCAAAUUAGGCUUUUUCUCAAUAACUUUAUCUAAACCUUUUUAUAACGUCAAACGGAGUUGUCCCACACGUCGGGAAUACCCCUAAUUAGGUUUCCAAGAGGUCAAUUUACCUCGAAAACAACCGGAGGUAAAAGCCUCAAAAUUCAUGCCCUAACAAUGCCAUAUAGGGUUUUCUCCUUGAUUGAUCUCAUUCCUAAGUAAAAACUAGCUUAGAAUCAAUUAGCAAGCAUUCUAAUAUCAUCACUAAGUUAUUCCAAGCACCCCUAGGGCAUUUACUUUAAACCUUAGUUGUUCACCAUUAGAGCAUCUUGGGAAAACCAUGGUUUCAUGGUGAACAAAGCUCAACAAAGCUUCUAAUCAUGAGAGAAGCUCAAAACUCUAGUUCUAUAGUGAAAAUCCAAACCCUAGAUGAGUUUUUACCCUAAACUCACCUUAGCCAAAAGCUAUCUCCAAGUCCACCUUGUAGGAGAGUCCUAAAUCUUCUCCAAGCCACCAAAAUCGAAGUUUCUCCUUCAAAUCUUCUCCAAAUCCACUUUUUGGAGAGCUCUCUAGAGAGAGAAAAUAAAAUAAAUGAGAGGGAGGGGGUGAAUGGCUGUGGGAGAGAGAGAGAAGGGGUAUUGGGGUCUUAACAUGUUGUAACAAUUACAACAAAACCCUCCAAAAAGUCUUAUUUGCAGCAGUUCAAUUCUUUGCUGCCAAACCAAAGUGUACCGGUACACGGGUUCUUGUACCGGUACAUUUUUUGCUCAGAGGCAACCCGAGAGCAAACUUCUCAGAUUUUACCAAAGUGUACCGGUACACACCAGGGGUGUACCGGUACAUAUUCGCAAAAAAUCAAACCCGAGAGUAUACUCUUCUCGGGCUGCAGGGCUGUAUCGGUGACAACUCGAUGGUUGUUCCGGUACACUUUGCUCAGAAUAUUAGUUUUGUGCCAUUUUCGAUUCUAUUUCGCGUCAAUCGAUGCUAAAACCUUUCUAACAUCUCUUAAACUCAUUUUUAGCUUUUCCAACCUUAUUGGAAUGCUAAACGGAACUUGUCCAUCAAUUUCUCUCUGUACUUUAACCAAUUUGGCUAAAGUUUGAUAAUCGCUAUCGAGAUUUCAAUAGGUUACAAUAUAUAUAUAUAUNCCAUUUUGUACCCUAUACUCAAAUUCUCCUGCGCUUUGGAUCUUUUACAGCUCUUGUUUGCCUGAGACUUGUACUUGGACAUCUAAAUCUUUCUUAUUGUAGCAUAUGAUGGAUCAUUAGUUGAUACGGAUACUAGUUUGAAUUUGGUUGAUGCUUGAUUUUGUGUGGGUACGAGUCCAUAUUUCUGAGAAAUAUCUUCAUCUUUUAGCUCUUGUUUAUGUAGUGAUUAUCUUUCUACCGGACUUGUUUCUUAAUUAAACAAAGAGAUAUACUGAACAAAAUACCCAUGCAUCCAAAUACGCUUUGAGCCUUUAUAUCCUAGUAGCACUUCACAUGUAAGCAACACUUCCAUUCGAUUUAGUCAAACUGGUCUAUUACUGACUCUGUUCUGCGUUUGUAGUUUUCUGUUUCUAGUUCUUUUCUUAAAAUCUCCCCUUUCCAUUCCAGUCCCUAUGUCAGCAUUGGUAAGGUGAAAACAUGUUUGGAAAGUAUAAUUUAUCUAGAAGCUCUAAUGUGUAAGCAUAUCAAAGUCAGGAGGUUAGGCUCGGCACGUAAAAUUGGUUUCAACUUGGCUGGGAUUUUUAGGCAUAUGAAUAUCAGGAUAUGUUGUAUUUUCCUCUGUUCUUAGCAAUUUUUGGUGCUAAAUAGGGUUCUAGUACUUGCAGCUACAAUGCUUCGCAGAUAGGUGGAUGUAUGGCUCACGCGUUAUUAUGCCUCUUAAUUUUCUAAAAUUUAAUUUUCUUUCUUCUGAAAGGGACUACUAUGGAACCAUCAAUUUCAUUGGUAUUUCACCCAGGAACUUUUCUCCAUGAUUUGGCCUUUGACUCUCUUUUUUAUAGUGAUUUGAAUUUUUUUUUUUACUUUUUGUUAUUUAGCAGUAUAUGAAAGUGGAACUUGGGAAAAUAAAUAUUUAAUGUGUGAUUUGUUUGUUUGCUUAGAAAUUUUAUGAUCGAAUGCUUAGGAUUAUGACUGCUUUUGUGAAUAAUGCAGUCAUAAUCCUAGUUCUUGAUUGCAUAGGAGCAAGACUAUACAAGUCAAUAGUCUUUAAAGAAAAUAUCGAAUGCUUAGCAAAUGUGUACGUAGUUAGAGGAUGGACAUGAAUUGUCCAAAUAUGGAAGGGGAGUUAAUGCACAACCAUAAGAAAAUCCCUAGUCUUUGACAAAGUUGCAAAAUGGCCCUUCAUUUACUUCAUAUUUAGGAAAUGUAGGGAUUGGGAGCAUAUCUGGAGAAGAUAUCAAGGUGAACAAGUGUUGGCAUUAGGGCUAGAAGAGUUAUUGCAUGGGAACAUGAUGUCAUAUAUGGUUUUCACCUUGAGUGAAUCUUUUAGGGUGGUAUAGCCAAUUCAGUGGGCUCCAUGGAUGUAUUUGGAAACUUUUUUUUAUUUUUUUAAAAUAUAUUUUGUUGAAAAUGUGAAGUAACUAGGCUUUGAAUUUUGAAUUCCUAGCACCAACCAUCAAACUCUUUAAUUUUCACUUACGGUGGGGAUGAUUGUUUACGUUUUCAUAUAUUGUGUUUGUUUGGUGGGCCUAUUUUGGCCCAUAAAGGGCUUGUGAAUUUUCAUAUAGGCUUGUUUUCGAAAGUGAGGCUUAGAAGUGUGCAACUGUACAAUUCCCAUAAUGAUUUUCUUUUUCCAGAAACUUGCUCUUGAGAACAUUAAUGUAUUUUUGAUGAUUUGUUAUUAACCUCUAAAACAAAAGGAUAAUAUCUCAUAAAGAAAAUAAUCAAGUAAAUAAUUAUUUGAAUUAGAAAGCAGCAGCUCAAAUGCGUGAUAUACCAUAUAUAAAAAUGAAGCGAAGCAUAUUCACGUUCAUUAACAAAAGAGAUAAUAAAAUAGAUAGCUACUGAAAUAAACUCACUUAACGAUGGAUAUGUUAAAUGAUGUAUUCAUUUGGAAAAUUUACAUAGAACUUGUCUAAAUUAUUAGCUACUUUGAUCCAUCUAACCUUUAAUAAGUUUUGAUUUUGCUUUCUAUUUUUUAGAUUUAAGUGAUUUGAGUUGUUCAACUGCUUUUCAAUUUGUGAAUUUAAGCUUAUCUAAUUUGAUUGGAGUGCUUUAUAUGAUUCUUGAAAUAUUUAUUUCUCAUAUAUAGAUGCUUGUUUCUUCUUUUUGCAGCUCUUAAUGCCAGUUGAACCGAAUAUCCAAGACAUAGGUGGUAUUGAAAAAUUCGAAAAGAAAUACUUCAGGUUCGGCUAACUUUGGUACUAACUCAAAGCUUAAAAGGCCUAUGCGCUCUAAGGAAAUUGUAAGUUCUUUUUUUCUUGCUUAAAUUUAUAUUUGUUUGCUUCGUGGCUUCAAUGCUGAGCAACUUCCACUUCCUUUUCCUUUCGAUUUGUGUGUUCUCUCAAAUUGGAGAAUUUUUAAAAUGUUACAAAUCAUGAACCAAACAAGCCCAAAGGGUGAAUCUUCAUGCUUUAGUGUUCGGCAUUUGGUAUAUUGAUUAGAUUUAUUAGCUUUGAUUUGGUCAAAUGGUUGAAUAGGCAUGGAAUUGGACGAUUUCUAUUGAUAAUAGGAUAAUUUGCAAUAGUUGAAAUAGGAUAAAGUUACAAAUCAUUAUCGAUCAAAUCGUUAUUAAAUUAAGAUGGAUUCGGAUAUUCAUUUCUAAGGACGUGAUCUUUGGAUGAUGCAUUUGUGAUCGAAAUCGUUUAGGUUUUAUUGGUUUCGUUUUAGCUCAUUCUUGAUUUGAUAAUUGGGGUUUUGCUGUGUGGAUUGUAUCUAAUUUGGUAAAAUUGAAACAAUUGAAUACGAGAUUAUUGGGUCCAAAAUAGGUUUUGGCUGUAAUAUUUUGUGUACUUAGUGUAGUGGUUUUAUUACAUUAUUUGUUGAUUGCAACUUUGGUGCUUAAAGACAACUUUUUUUUUCUUUUUUUUUUUUUUUCUGUUCCUUAACAAGUUAAUACCUUUUUGGUUUUUAAGUUUUCAGUUGCAGUAUUAGUGUAUGGAGGAACAUGCUAUUGCUAGUAUUAAUGCUAUUAAGGCUUAUGAACUGCAAAGAAUAUAUUCUCAUGAGUUAUGGCAUAAAUUUGGUGUAUUAUAUUGUAUUAUUGAUUAUAUGUAAGGCAAGGAUUAGAAACCACUUAAAAUUUGCAGCAUCUCUUUGUUCUUUUGCUUCCUCUUUGUUCUUCUCUUAAUCAAAAUCUGAUUAAUUGCUUUCAGCUCUAACUUAAUUGAUUUCAUAUUUUUCAUCCAUUGUUAAGUGAAUUGAUAUUUUGGGGCAAUCUCUUUUGUCCUUUUGAACCAUAAAAUGUAGGAUAUUUUAGGGCAAUUUCUCUUGUCGUUUUGAAUGAUAAAACUUGUCCCAAAAAAGAGUUCACCAAUCUUAGGAAAAUUCCUAAGUUCGUAUAUGGUGGGGGCGGACCAAAACUUUUGUUGUUUCUGGUAAAAUGAUACAAUAUGAAAUGAUGCAAUGUGUCCUCACUUUUUUGGCUCUUUUGUUGUUCUUUUUUUAUUGGUGGUGGGUUCAUUAAUCAGUGCUAUAUGCUUCACGAGUUGUGGUAAAUUAUUAAGUGCAAUAGAUUGGGGAGCCACCAUCUUAAUUACUACUUGUAUAUGAAAUGGAGAUGCAUAUAUUAAAUUGCAUUUUGAGUAUGAUAAUCUGUCACUUAAAUAAUGUCUUGCUCAUUGUCAAAUAAUACCUUUUUUAAGAUGAAAUGAUUAUCUAAUACUAGAAAAUUUAUUUGUUUAGAUUUCAAACGCAUCUAGCGUUCGUAAUAUUCAUCCACAACCUCAUUGCCCUUCAGGUAAAAUUAAACUUAUACUAAUUGAUUUUUAUGUUAAAAGAUUGUUUGACUAAUCUUUUAUUAACUUCAGUAUUGUUUAAUUUGUAGGUUCAACAUCUUAAUUGCCGAGCUCACUACGACUGGAUCUGAUAUGAUAUUAUUAGCUUUUGUUUUUAUUUCUCUUUUUCUUGGGUUGAAAAGCUAGAAAUUGUUGGUACUGUGUUUUAGUGACUAAAUACUCGUUUAAAGAUAUAUGGAUACUACUUUGAGACAUUUUGGUAUUAAUUAGUGUAACUACAAAACUUCUUUUAUAUGCUUUCUUUGUUAAUGCAAAUCAAGGCGAAUAAAAUUAAAGAUAUACUUAAUGAUAAUCAUCGUGGAGUGGUAUUAUAUUUUAAAAAGUGUGAUGCAUCAAGAAAAAUUUGGAUAUUUAAAGAAAAUGGGACAGUUAUAAAGUGUCGCUUAAAUUCAAAAAAAGUGUUGCUAGAAUAUUAUUUUGCAUCACUUUUAUGUACUGCUAAAAGCUUAAAUAAGUGUCGGUAUAUUAGUAGCACUCUUUUUAGAUUAUACCGACACUCUUAAAAAGUGUCACUAUAUACCUAGUGACGCCACAUAUAGCAACACUUUUUAAAAGUGUCGGUAAUUUAGCCAGCAGUACUUUUUUUGACAUAUACCGACAUUUAAAAGUGUCGUUAUAUACCGUUUUUGUUGUAGUGGGGUAUCAGAUCGCUACUGCACGCAAUUGUAUCACAAUUUUUCGUAGUCUUUUAGACUCAUGAAAAGAAAAGGUAUCCUAAUGGUAUUGAUCACUGUAUUAAUCAUCCUUCUAAUUUCCGAAUCAAUGCAUUUGGUCUAGAACUUGAACAAGUAUAUAGAAAAAAAAUUCUGUAAAGCAGAAGCAUCUAAUCUCUCGGUUAGUUAUUAACCUUUUAGAACAAUGCUAUAAAAGGAAAUCAUCAUAUUCGUCUUUGAUAAUCUGAUUGCAUCAAAGAAUUUUACUAAGCACGACUGAAUUGUAUAGAUGGAUUUUCGAACUACCGACUGGCUUAUCGAUACAGGAAGUUCAAAGCCUCAAUAUCCCGACCUACUACACUCAAAUGGCCAGGACGGGCGGCUGUACAUUUCUAGAACACGCUCAAAAUGCAUGAGCGCUUCUUCACAGUUUACUUUUGUGUUGUAUGAAAGCAUUCUAACAGAAACAAAAGCAACUGCACUCAGUUUAUUUUUCAACUCAAAAUUGCAGGAUCUAAUUAAGAAAUUGGAGCACAUAUUUUCUCUCCUUUAUUCCUCCAGCAAACAGCUUUUUGUCAGAAUAGAAAUAGUACCAUGACACACAAUUUGUUUUCAAGCUAAAUGCUAGCUCUGCAUACAUGCAUAGCAUAGACGAUAACACCCAGUACCAUCCUGGCAAAUCUUUUGCAAGAACCGUAGCACAUCUUUGUUUUCAAGUACCUUUUUAGCCUAGCUUCGAUACAAAGUGCUGUUUAAUUAAGUUGUUUCUAUUUAAACAUAUUGCUUGCUAAGUUUUGGAUAUAUAUAUAUAUAUAAUUAGAACCAAUCCUAAGCUCCACCCACGUAUUAUGUGAGAUCUGAAGGUUCGAUCCCCAUCUUCAAUAUUUAACAUGUUAUCUUUCUAUAUUAUAUUUUAGGGUUAAUUUCAUACAGAUUUCUAUAAAUAUAGUAAUGACAGAUAUACCCAUACAAAGUUCAACUUUCAUAUCUUGUUCUUGCAAAAGUUAUGAUAUUUUCAAAUAUGUCCAUACUGUUAGAAUCCGUUAGAAAAAUUUAGUUAACCAUUGGUUAAAUAUUUUACCCGGAUUCAUUUUUGACAUUUUUAUCCCUCUUAUAUUACAUUGUUAUGACUUUUGGAAGGACAUAUUUGUGACGGUAAAAUUAGAAAUAUAAACAAUUCUCCAACGGUUCUCUAAUGGCAACAAAACAGAGGAACAUAUUUGAAAAUAUUAGAAUUUUUGUAGAAACAAUAUGAAAGUUAAACUUUGUAUGGAUAUAUUCCUGAUUCACUAUAUUUGCAAGGACCUGUAUGAAAUUAACCCUAUAUUUUAAUAGGUCAAAUGACUAUCUCUAAUUUACCUGUUAAUUUCAGUCUUUUAAAUUCAUUCGUAUUUAGAAGGGAUGUUAAAGAUUUUUCUAAACUAUAUGAAUGUGUGUGUAUAUAUAUAUAGUCCAGCUACUAUACUAUCAAUGGCAACUAACAUUUGGUACUAUCAAGUUUUCUGUCGUUAGAUUUACUACUUUGAUCAUUUUUACCCAUUAGGUCAUACCAUUCAACCAAUCACUCACUCAAUCCUAGAGACCACUAUUAUCCUAAACGCACAUUCUUUCAUUCAAUGGCCGAAAAUCUAAUGACACUAAUGACUUGAUACUAGUGAUAGUUUCUAUAUAUAUAUAUAUAUAGAGUAGGGCUGCUGUGCUCUCAGGAGCACGAAGGCCUCCGUGCUCUUGAGCCGUUUUCGAUGAUGGAAUUUUCGAAUCGACGUUCGGCUCCGUUAGACUUGAUCUAGUGUAUUUGAAGUUUCUAGAAAAUAAUUUUUGCGAAUUUUUGAUAUCAUUUACCUAGUGAUCGAAAUGAUUCAAAAUCAAUAAUUUUUAAUGGUUGAUAUCUGCCGUUUUCAAGUUUAACGGUGUAGAAGUAUUCAAAUCAGAUGAAAUUUUGAUACAAAAUUCUUUAUACUAUCUACAAUAAGAUCAACAUUUCUGAUAAAAAAUUUUAGUGCUAUAUCACCAGUUUUUAUAGAAUUUUUAUUUUCAGCCGUUAAAAAUUAUUGAGUUUGAAUCCUAUCGAUUGCUAGGUAAAUGAUAUCAAAAAAUCGCAAAAAAUAUUUUCUAUAAACUUCAAAUACGCUAGAUCAAGUCUAACGGAGCCGAUCGUCGAUUCGGAAAUUACAUCAUCGAAAACGGCUCAGGAGCACGGAGGCCUCCGUGCUCCUGAGAGCACAGCAGCCCUAUUCUCUCUCUCUCUCUCUCUCUCUCUCUCUCUCUCUCUCUCUCUCUCUCUCUCUAUAUAUAUAUAUAUAUAUAUAUAUAGUCCCGGCUACUAUGCUAUUAAUAACACGAAGCACUUGGUGCUACCAAGUUUUCCGCCGUUAGAUCUACCAUUUUGAUCAUUUUCACCCGUUAGACCAUACUAUUCAACCAACCAUCCACUCAACCCUAGGGGGCCCACAUCAUCCUAACCGCACAUCUCUUAAUCCAAUGGCCAAAAACUUGGUAGCACCAAUGACUUGGUGCUAUUAAUAGCAUAGUAGCUAGUUCUCUUUCUCUCUCUCUCUCUCUAUAUAUAUAUAUAUAUAUAUAUAUAUAGAGAGAGAGAGAGAGAGAGAGAGAACUAGGCUGGAAUACUAUCAAUAGCACCAAGCUGUUAGUGCUAUUAGUUUUUUAGUUAUUGGAUUGAGAAAUGUGCGGUUAGGAUGAUGUGGGCCCCCUAGGGUUGAGUGGGUGGUUGGUUGAAUAGUAUAAUCUAACGGAUAAAAAUAAUCAAAGGUUAAAUCUAACGGUGGAAAACUCGAUAGCACCAAAUCCUUGGUGCUAUCAAUAGUAUCCCAGCCGGAUUAUAUAUAUAUAUAUAUAUAUAUAUAUGCUUUUAUGCUAUUAAUAGCACGAAGCACUUGGUGCUACCAAGUUUUCCGCCGUUAGAUCUACCAUUUUGAUCAUUUUCACCCGUUAGAUCAUACUAUUCAACCAACCACCCACUCAACCCUAGGGGGCCCACAUCAUCCUAACCGCACAUCUCUUAAUCCAAUGGCUAAAAACUUGGUAGCACCAAUGACUUGGUGCUAUUAAUAGCAUAGUAGCCUAGUUCUAUAUAUAUAUAUGUCACGCCUCGAGCCCGAUACUUUUGGCCUGUUCGAGCGCAUCGAACAAACGUCGAAUGGACAGAGUCUUCCCUGUCCGCCCAAGGCUCAACAUCCUGUACAAAUAGAGUAUGAAUUUUGCACAAAACAGAAGCAUACAUAAUGGCUUGCACGAGGGCAAGCGAUAGCCAACAGUGAAAGUAAUAAACUACACUUAGAAAAUUGUUUAUAUUUUUGCAUCAUUUCUUCUCUUUUAUAUCACAUGAUCUCAAAAUAUAAGUUUGUCUGCCACCACGAAUGACGCACCUCGCACGGGGAAUUUUUAUCUUUGAUUUCUCCCGUGGGGUAGUAUUCAUGAUGUAGAUUAAAGUAUGUGUAAGUAUGGUUAUCAGGUAUUGCGGAUCCAUGGCUUCCAAUAAACGCAAGCAUUUAUUGUUAAUUACCCCUACAAAGUGUUAGGGUACCUUCGAUUAAGAGACCUUUGAAAUGCUGAAGAUUGAAUAAAAGAUGAACGAAGUUCAGUGGAUUGAGUUUGAUUCUGAACCGGGGUGUAUAUAACCCUAAUGUGAAUUGGGAUUCGAUCAGGUUCAAAUUGGACUUAAAUAUAUGAUAAAGUCCAAUCAAGCUCUGUAUGUUUAGAGCUCAAUUGUGUUCACCAUAAGACAAAAUCCUAAUUAUAUAUAUUAGGAUUAGUCAUCAUUUGUCUUAAAUUAGACUCUAAGUGUAUGUAUUAGAGCCCAAUUUGGUUUCACGUGAGCCAAAUCCUAAUUAUAUAUAUUAGGAUUAGUCAAAAUGUAGUUGACAUUAAACUCUAAGUAUAGGUAUUAGAGUCUAAUUUGGUCUCAUAAGGGUUCACCCUAAGGUGGUUUAUAGGCCGAAUCCUAAUUAUAUGGGUUAGGAUUAGCCGAAGAUUAAACUCUAAGUGUAUGUAUUAGAGCUUAAUCAAGAGAUGAAAUUUAAACUCCAAGUGUAUGUAUUAGAGUUUAAAUUAGUGAACUCUGAGUGGAUAUAUCAGAGUUCAAUUGCAUAUGAUUUGAUCAAUUCUAAUCAGGUAUUUUAGAAUUUGAUCGAAUUUUAAAUAGGUCAGGAUUCUAACUCUAGUUGUAUGUGCUAGAGAAGAGAUUUGAUUUGGAUUUGACAUAGGAUCAAGGGGAUUUGAAUUUGGGUUCAAAAAGGGGCUCAUUUGAAUUUUGGACUCCUUUUGGACUUAAUUUGGAUUUGAUAUGAAAAUUUGGGUUUUAUAUGGGAAUUGGGCUCAAAAUGGGCUCAAUUUGGAUUUGGUAUGGAAAUUGAGCUUAAAAUGGGCUCAAAAUGGGAAUUUGAGUUUCAUAUGGAAAUUGAGCUUAAAAUGAGCUCAAUUUGGAUUUGAUACGAAAAUUUGAGUUUUAUAUGGGAAUUGGGCUCAAAGUGGGCUCAGUCUGGAUUUGAUAUGGUAAUUGGGCUCAAAGCUGGCUCAAUUUGGAUUUGACAUGGAUAAAUAGGUUCAAUUUGGGUUUGAUUUGGAUUUCAUUUGGACUGGGUAUGAGAAUUUGGAUUUUAUAUGGUAAUUGGGCUCAAAAUGGGCUCAAUUCAUAUGUAGAUUUUGGGCUCAAAAUGGGCUCAGUUCAUAUGUGGAUUUUGGGCUCAUUUUGGGCUCAAUUUGGAUUUGAUAUGGGGAUUUCGAUUUGAUGUUGGGUUGAGAUGUGGAUUUGAUAUGAGAUUUGGAUUUGGGUUGAUAUGGGGUUUGAAUUUGGAUUCAAUAUGGGAUUUAGGCUUUGAUUUAGGAUUUUGGACUUAGGUUUAAUUUAGGCUUUGGGCUUAUUUUGGGUUUUGGGUUUAAUUUAGGUUCGGGCUUUGGACUCAAUUUGGGUUUAUGGAUUCGGGUAUGGGCUAUAUUCAGGCCCGUAUAGUAUGGACUCAGGUUGAGGCCUGAAAUUAAGUUCUGGAUGCGGGCCUAGGCUCAGUUUAGGCCCGUGUGGCUUAAACCUAUAUUUUCCUUUAGGCAAGCUACAGAAUUGGGCUCAGAUUCAAGUUUGGACUGGAUUCACAUUUGGACUGAGCUUGAGUUAUGUAAUUUGAGGUAGGUAUGGGCUCGUUCCAGAUGAGAUUUUUAGAUAGAAAUUGUUCAGAAUUUGAGAUCAAAAUAUAUGGUUCAGGAUCAAAUUCAUCAUUUAGAAAAUUUCUAAUGCAUUUUUUAUUUGUUAAAUUCUUGAUCAUAAAUCACAUAAAAAUGUCUAAUGUGAUUAAAUUUCAAUUUGGUCUAAUUUGACCAAAUAGAAAGACUCAACUUGGAUAGAAUCAAUGUUCAAUUAUUUUCGAACAUUGCAUUGUUCUUCCAAUAAAAGGACGAUCAAAAGAAUAUUAAUCGGUAAUCCGACUAAUUUUCUUUUGUCUCCUCACAUUUUUUCUUUAUCUCUUUUAUCUCUUUUACAUCCAUGGGACAACUGAGAUGGGAUAAAUUCCUUACUUGCCUCCCUAACAAAGCUCCCUCUCUCUUUCAUAAGUAGAGAAGUAAUAUCUCUCUUUUUCUCUUUUUUUUUUUUUUGCAAAGAGAAGAGCACCGCUCUCUCUCUCAGAUUCGCUGUCGAAUACUUGGCGGGCGGCUUCGUUUGAGAGGAGAUCACCGCUCUCUCUCUCAGGUUCGCUGUCGAAUACUUGGCGGGCGGCUUCGUUUGAGAGGAGAGCACCGCUCUCUCUCUCAGGUUCGCUGUCAAAUACUUGGCGGGCGGCUUCGUUUGAGAGCAGAGCACCGCUCUCCUUCUCAGAUUCGCCGUCGAGCACUUGGCGGCUUUGUUGAUGACGGAGCUCCGCUGGGGCUGUGACCUGACAGUGGAGCCACGGAUUUGAGACUGCGACGGAGGAGGACCGUGACGGCGACUUUGACGGAGCUUCUGCGUGGCUUUGGGCGGACCUGCCGCGGGUGGCGCGGCUUCAGGAAGGUCAGCAGUGGACUUUCGAAGUAUAGCUUCGGAGUGGUGAAGGCAUGGUCGAGCUCUGGAACAAGCUCGACGGCGGUGCGGUGUGGCUCGGCUGCAGUGUGGACAGCCUUGGGUUCGGAGAGGCGCUGAGUCGAACAGGUGGCGGGCAUCGAGUCGAAGCAUGUUCAGGCGCGGGAUCGGCAUGUGUCCGAGCAGGGGUGCGACUCGGGCGGCCUCGACUUCGGAUUGGGCCGUGCCCGGUCGGAGGGGGACGAUGCGGACGGCGGUCGCCGCGCCUCGAAGCUUCAAGGCGGACUUGGGCAUCACGGCGUCGGGUGCGAGAUCGGCGUGUACCCGAGCGGGGGGUGCGGCUUAAGGCAGAUCGGCCGCGGGUGGCGCGGCUUCAAGUCGAGGACGCGGGGAAGCGCGUCGCGAGGAUCGGCCGGGGCGCGCUGGAGCUCGUUGGAUGCUCGACGGAGUGAUUUCGGGCUGCUGUUUGGUUUGGGACUUUCGCCGAACAGGUGGCGGGGUGCAGAGAGGAAACUCAUAGAUGGAAGUCUUUGCGGAAGUCGUUGAAGAUGCGGCGGAGCUCGGUGGGUGCUCGACGGAGGCGCGGCGGAGACACGGCGGAAGGGCUCAGCCAACUCCAUGCGGAGCUUGGUGGAGCUUUGUGGGUGCUCAGCGGAGCUUCGGCGGAAGCGCGGGGAGCGCGUCGCGGCUCGAUCGGCAGAGGAGGCGGGGGAGCGCCUCGACGCGGAGAGAGGCAUCGUCGAAGACGGGGACGCGGGGAGGUCGAGGAGGCGCUCAGCGGAGUUGAGGCAGAGACGCGGAGAAGGAGGCCGGAGCGCGCGUCGGUGGAGCGCCUCAGCGCGGAGAGCUCAAGGAGCUCGAGCGCGCGGAGAUAUCGAGGAGGCGGCGAGGGCGACGUCGUCGAGGGCAGGGGCUCGGCGGAGGCGCUCGGCGUCUCCGGCGUAGAAGAGGAAGAAGAUGAGCGGCGGAGGAGGCCGGAGCGCCCGUUGGUGGAGCGCCUCGGCGCGGAGAGCUCGAGCGCGCGGAGAUAUCGAGGAGCUUGGCGCGGAGAGAUCGAAAGGCUCGGGCGCAGGGAAGCUGAGGAGGUGGCAGGGGGGAGGCGCGUCGCGACUCGUGCGCAGGGAAACGAUGGAGCGCGGGGGAGCGCGUCGCGGCUCGUGUGCAGGGAAGCCGAGGAGGAGGCAGGGGAGCGGCGGAAGAAGCCUCGGUGGGUGCUUGAGAGAGAGAGAGAGAGAGAGAGAGAAAAAGAUCUGAGAUCUCUUUUUUUAUUCUCUUUUUCUUCUUUCUCUUUUUUUUUUUUUUUUUUUUUUUUUUUUUUUUUUUUUUUUUAGCGAGAGAGAUAGAGAGAGCUUUGUUUUCUUUUUUUCUUUUUUUUUUCUUUUUUUUUUGAACGGGAGAAAGAGAUAAUAUAUAUAUUUUUUUACCUUUUUUUUUUUUUGCGAUCGACAGAAUGGGGUGGGUAUUUUUUGAUUAGAUUUCGAAGAUUCAAAAAGCUCUUCCCGUUUGAUUUUUUCGAAGGGUAUUUAUGGGGGUGGUUGUAACCAACUUGAGGGAAACGUGCGAGUGAAUUGCGGGACGUGGGAUCGUGGGCGGUUAGGGGAUCGUGGGGUGAUCGUAAUGGGAUCGUGGGAUGUGGGUAGUUGAGAGGAGAUUGUGGGAUAGAUUUUGGACGGCAGCGAUGGGAUUGUGUGAUAAUGGAUGGUUAUGAUGGAAUCGUAGAGAUAUUGGGUGGUUAAGAUGGGAUUGCGGGAAUAUUGUGAAUUAGUCCUUUCCCUUUGAUCAUAUUACACCUUAAUCAAAAUAUCAUAUGAUUAAGGUAGGGCAUUUUGUAAAUAUACAAAAGGGAAUAGACUAAUAUGCUAUUUUAUAUACCCGUGCGUAUUAUUUUUUCGCAAUCCGGUGCAUGAGAUAUUUUCAAAAUUUAAAUUUUAUCCAUGCACCUGGUGCAUGGAUGAUCUCAUAAACCAUCUCUAUUUUUAUUUCUUUCUCUCCCAUUUUUUCUUUUUCCUCUUUUAUUCCUCUCUCUUUUUUUUUUUAUGCUUCAACAAAUGCCCCCCACCUUUUCAAGCUUGUGAUUUAAACAAGGUGGAAAAAGGUGCCGAUCUCCUUUUACAAUUCCGACCUUCAUAUCGCCAUCGAAGGUUUGAUCAUUAAAGAUAUCAGGUAUUUAUAUAUAUAUAUUUUUUAUACCGAUUGAUCUCUUUUGAUGUUAUAUAUACAUAUCUAUAUACAUGUUUGAGAUCUGUACGAGAUAUAUUUGACCCAUGAAUAGAUUGAUCAUGAUAUCUCUGACUUCAAAACAUCUUAUCUUAGAUCGUAGAUUUUACUCAUACGUUUUAUAUUGUAAUCCUUUUUCUAGAUCAUGGGAAAAACGAGCGAGCCAUUAAUUCAUCCCGAUGAUAAAACUUUAGGCGUAUUUAGAGGACUUUCUUUAACGCGUUCACCUCCGGUAUUUGGACGUUCUGCUGAACCCGCAAUUCCUUAUGAGACGCCUAUGUUAAAAGAAUGGGCGAUAUUUAAACAGAAACAGUUGUUGGGUCGUUUCGGGGUUGACUAUUAUGCUCCUGAUGGUGACGGCGAUGUUAUAUUAUUACCCCCAUUAGGUCCUCCGAAAGAAAGAGACACGUUACAAUCUCUCGGGUAUAAAAUACUUAAUAAUCAUCCUGGAUGGUGUGGAAUGAGUAGGAUUUUAGGGGAUAGCAUUGAGGUAGAGGGUUUAAUUGAAUGGGGAAAUCAUAUCAUCUCUCAUUACACCACACAGUUACGUCGUGCUGGCAUUUUAGGGGGUAUCGUAGCUUCACGAGGGAGAUACAAUAAGAAUAUGAAUAUCAUCAAGGCAUUGGUAGAGCUGUGGUGUUCGGAGACAAACACUUUUCAUCUUCCAUUUGGUGAAGUUGGGAUUUCUUUAUGGGAAAUUAGAGAACUCGGUGGGCUUCCGAUUAUCGGUGACAUGUACGACGAAUAUAUCCCUCCAAAUUCUGAACUUUAUAGUAAGAACAAUUAUCCCAGUUGUGUUAGGGAGCUUUUUGAUGUUUAUCAAUGGCUCAUGGCUCGGUCUUCUAACAAGCGUGUGCGGUAUGAUUUAUGGGUAGAUUUCUUUUACACAAGCUGUAAGAAGUUGACUAAGUCUAAGUCUCGGAGUAUAAGCAAUAGAGAGCUCGCCCCCUCAUAUACAGAAGACGCGACCCGAGCGGCUUUCAUUUCUUUAUGGUUAUGCAACUUUGUAAUGCCUUCUGGAUUAGACCAUUUCAUCAGGCCAGAGACGUUUAUUAUGGCUUCUAAGCUGGCAUUAGGUGAGAAAGUUGCUUUAGCCCCUGCCAUUCUUUGUGCGAUCCAUGCUGGUUUAUCUUUUAUGAGUGAUCACCCUGAAGGACCUGCGCAUCCUGGACCUCAAUUUCCGGUUAAUUUUCUAUAUGUGUGGAUCGGUCUUCACUUUGAACAGACUUAUUCUAGAAAGGUGAUUAGCGAGAAUAUCAAGAAUAUCGUCGGCUUACGAAGUCCUCCUCAAAUGAUAUUUUUUAUGGACGCGGCGGCUUCUCCUUUUAAUGCUAAGCGAGCACGGAUUCACCUCAGGUUGAGUGCUCAUUUUGUUUGGCGUCCUCUACCAUAUUCUUAUUCUUUUGUUGAUGACGGUUGGCUUUACGAUGCGAAAUUGGCUCCAGGAGAGUGUAAAUAUCCGAGAGAGGUUUAUGAGUAUAUAAUUUCUAUCAGACAGAGUGUGCUUCCACUUCGUUUGGGGAAUAAAUUACACACCCAGUCAUAUAAUCCUCAUCGUUUUGCUCGACAAUUUGGCUUUGAUCAGUCUUUUCCUGAAAGUAUCACUGUUUCCCGAUUAGCGAGCCAUCUUGGGAUACUUGCUGGAUGUUGGAAUCAUUUCAUUCGCUAUGGGACUUUUAUUAAUUAUUUCAUACCGAAGAAGGACCGGAUUGGGAAACCAACUUUGCAUUAUGCGCGCUGGUGGUCUAAUAGCGUGCAUUCGAGCUUCAAACACGGAGUAGGCUAUCUACUGAGUGCAGAUGAUCCCCGCAAGAAGAAGAAAGGUGUUGCUAUUGUUGGUAAAGAUUCUGAUUUUGAGGAGAGAUUAACCUCGUCAAAUGUUAGAGAUGAAAGGGUUCUGAAUAUUCCAGAACCAAAGGGAAAAGAACUGGACUUAUUUCCAGAAUAUGAUCAUAUUCAAGCUGAUCUUUCAGAUGACUCCCCUCAACGUGAAGUUCUUGGCCUCAGUUUUCCAAUUCAUGAAGACAAGAAAUCUGAGGUAUGUUCAUUAACAUUUUCAACUAUCUCUUUUUUUAUUUUGCAUACUGACCUUCUUUUUUUUUUUUGUAUACAGGAAGUGUUUGUUACAGGUUCGCCUGCCAGGGAUAAAAUACACUUGCAGGACCCUUUAAUGAAGUCAAAGGUAUGACGUAGCAUCCAUAUGAUUCGAAUUUUGUUUGAUUCAUUCUGACACCCUUUCUUUUUAUAUAGGCAUGCGAUGUGGAACCGUCAAGAAGCUCAGAAAAUCCACGCUUGGAUGUUUCAACUAAAGUGGCUCGUGGAAAACUUCCCAUUACUGUGUCUUCAAUGAUAGGUGAUCUUCAUUCGUAUUCUGCUUAUAAUUAAUUCCACAUGAUGUUGCCGCACUCAUCCUUUGUUUUUUUAAUUCACAGAAUCACAAGCCGGCGGGAGUGGAUCCAUUGAGGAUGACGUGCCUUCAGAUGAUGAGUGGUUCUGACGCCUUCGCCACCACAGGUAUUUUAUUUUCUAGUUGAAUCCAUGUCCCUUCUUCUGGUUUCAAAUUAAGAAUUUGAUUCUCAACUAAAGAAGGAGGUAAAAUAUGGAUAAUAAUGUGUAAUUUUUCGUUAGAAAUCUGUAGCCACAAAAAUUUCGCAAAUCGGAGUUAAAACGAAAAUGUUAUGGCCCGUUUACACUUUGGUCCCUGUAUUUACGAAACAGUCCCUGCGGGCAGUUUCAUUUCAGUCCUUGCAGUUUUAUUUUAGUCCCUGCAGCUUCAUUUCCCUUGCUUUUUGAUGCAGAAAAUUACUUUCAAGGAAUUUUAUGGCUAUAACGAUGCACAUUUUGGGAUUAAAAUAUUAUAACCCCUUUCAUAAUAUAUUCGUUAUUCCUUGUUUUUACAAAAUGGUCCUUGUAGCAUAUAUCGAUAUGUGAUUCUUUUUGUCACAGGAUCCGCUCACCGAUGCUGCUGAUAUUGGAGCGUCAUCUUUCAAGGAGGCUUGCUCGACUCAUCAUGAAGUAUAUUUGUAUUUAUUAUCCCAACUUUCAUUUUAUAUCGCUCAUGUUUACACCUCAAUUUUAUUGUGUAGGAUGAGGGUGCUGAAGGAGAUGACGAUAUAGUAGAAGAUGGCAAAAAUGAAGUCUUGCCGGGAUCGUCUUUACUUGGUAAAAGAGAACGAGUCGAUGAUAUUCCGGCUACAGAGGUGCAUAAAAGAGCUUGUUUGGAGGCUGAUUCAAAAUCAACCGGUAAAAUCCUCCCCUCUUUUCUUUAAAAGACAGUAUCUUUUACAUAUUUAUUAUUUCUUUUCAUAUGCAGACCUUCUGGUAGAGUCAAAAUUGGAUGAUGAUCUGAUAGACGCUUUAUCACCUUAUGGCGACGAAGUGGACUACGAGCCUACACCUUCACCACCUGAAGCUCCUGAUAUGGUAAGAUUUAAAUAUCUUCUUCUUUUCUUUUCUUUCUCGUUUUUCAUUCUUUUCAUUCUCUUUUUAUAGGGCGUACCACUUGACGAGGACGUCGGCAUUAACGUGAGUAGCGGUACAGGAGGUUUCCAGAGUGAGGUGCCUAUUGCGGUCAGAUCAUUUUUGAUUGACCGCACAACGGAUAUCAUGAAGACGUUCGACCGUCGACGAUUCAGAUCAGCUCGAGAGGAAGUGUCCAAGUAUUGUCAGUGCAUUUCCUCACUUGGAAUUGAUGUAUUUGAAUUGGAUGGGCGUAUAAAAUCCGUGUUUGAUCAUGCCGAGGUCAUUGAAGAAUUAGAGUCAAGUCCGAGUUUCGCUUCAGCUGUUCGGCUCGUGAAUGCUGAUGAGGAUCUGGCGCUAAAGAAAAGGAAGCUUGCUUCUCACAUCAGCACAAAAAGUUCUAUUCUCAAAGCUUCAGAAGGUGUCUCUUUGGAGCUUCAACAGACUAGAGAGAAAAUAAGAGAGCUUGAGGAGCACAUUUUGCAGUUAAAGAGUACAGAAGCAGAGUUGUCAGUUAAACUCGAAGUGGCCAACGACUCUUUAAAGAAAUUAACGCCGACUGAAGAAGAACUGCAGAAGGACGUUGCUGAUGCGGAGAGGGAAUAUGCUGCAGCCACUGAAGAUUGUAAAGCUUCCAAAGAAUCCGCCGGUCUCCGAGGAUUGAUAGAGCUAUUUGAGGAGCGUCGUCAGAUAUUUGAGAUUUGAUUUUCCUUUACUUUUCUCUUUUUGGAUGUUUAUCGUGGAUGUUAUCUUUAUUUGUCACUAGUAUGAGACAGUAUUUGAUAAUUUGAAUGACUUUGAUUGUGCUUGAAUGUUCGAUCUCUUCCUCCUGUUUUUAUCUCAUACUGCAUUGUAACGAUGAUUGUCUUGCGAGAAUGGUUUGUUCCUUUUGCCUUGAUUCUCACGUACAAUCAACUCUAAAUUGAGUCAUCACUCAGUUGUCUGGGCAAAUAUGCUAUCUUCUCAGCGCUCUUGUAGCGAUAACAUGUACACUGCCCCCCCCUUUUUAUUUUUUAUUUUUUAUUUUUUAUUUUUUAUAUGCUCAGUUUAACGACAUGGCGGUCAAAUUACAUCAAAAUGCCAAAUUACAUCAAAAUGCUCAGUUUAACGACAUGGCGGUCAAAUUACAUCAAAAUGCUCAGUUUAACGACAUGGCGGUCAAAUUACAUCAAAAUGCUCAGUUUAACGACAUGGCGGUCAAAUUACAUCAAAAUGCUCAGUUUAACGACAUGGCGGUCAAAUUAUAUUAGAAUGCUCAGUUUAACGACAUGGCGGUCAAAUUAUAUCAAAUGCUCAGUUUAACGACAUGGCGGUCAAAUUACAUCAAAAUGCUCAGUUUAACGACAUGGCGGUCAAAUUACAUCAAAAUGCUCAGUUUAAUGACAUGACGGUCAAAUUACAUCAAAAUGCUCAGUUUAACGACAUGGCAGUCGAAUUACAUCAGAAUGCUCAGUUUAACGACAUGGCGGUCAAAUUAUAUUUGAAUGCUCAGUUUAAUGACAUGGCGGUCAAAUUACAUCAAAAUGCUCAGUCUAACGACAUGGCGGUCAACUUACAUCAAAAUGCUCAGUUUAACGACAUGGCAGUCGAAUUACAUCAGAAUGCUCAGUUUAACGACAUGGCGGUCAAAUUAUAUUUGAAUGCUCUUUUGAAAGCAAUCGAAAUUGCUACACAUAACUGACCCUAAGGCGAGUUAGUGGAAAAAAUACAUUUUGGGUAAUAGGAGACAUGGUUUGGUUUUUUUUUUUUUAUUUUGCCUCAAGAAGCAAUCGAAAUUGCCGCAUAACUGACCCUAAGGUGAGUUAGCAUUCCGUCAUAGGCAAAAUAUAUUUUGGGUAAUAGGAGACAUGGUUUGAUUUGGUUUUAUUUUGCCUCGAGAAGCAAUCGAAAUUGCCGCAUAACUGACCCUAAGGUGAGUUAGCAUUCCGUCAUAGGCAAAAUAUAUUUUGGGUAAUAGGAGACAUGGUUUGAUUUGGUUUUAUUUUGCCUCGAGAAGCAAUCGAAAUUGCCGCAUAACUGACCCUAAGGUGAGUUAGCAUUCCGUCAUAGGCAAAAUAUAUUUUGGGUGAUCUGGCGCCCAUAUGGGUUUUCACCAGAUACCUUCCCCUAACUUUUGCCUGUGAGCCUCGAAAGGUUUUCUCACAGCGNNNNNNNNNNNNNNNNNNNNNNNNNNNNNNNNNNNNNNNNNNNNNNNNNNNNNNNNNNNNNNNNNNNNNNNNNNNNNNNNNNNNNNNNNNNNNNNNNNNNAUUCGAACAAAAUAUUUCAUAUAAGUUAUUAUCUAUGUUACGAACACAGGUUCAUAGUAUUAAAGGGCAAUAUUGGUAUUUAAAAAAAUAUUAAUCUAAGUUUUCUACUAUUCUCAACUAUCAUCAUAAAAUUUACCAAACAAAAAUUUGCUUAUUUUUCGGAAUUAGAGAAUUGCAAACCAAACACAAAUUUCAUUUUAUUCUUUUGUAUCUUAAAAUACAUCAUAAAUUCAAGAAUAAAAAUAUUUAUUUUCCUAAACACUAUUCCAUCACCAAACGCAGCGUUAGUGAACAACUUUCUUUUUCUAAUGGCUAUUUUCAAUAAAUAUUGAAGGAAGAAAGAUUAAAAUCGCCUGACUUAUUAUUAUUUGUUUUCUGAAUCUUUCAUAUAUAGAAAGGAAAGCCACUUUCUUGAACUAUAACUUUGAACUAGGCCUAAGUCGGCAAUCCAUAUAACAUUCACUAGAUAGCUUGGCAAAUGUUGAAUUAACUCCAAUCUCCAAAAAUAAAAGAUCAGAAUUGUAAGGUUCUCAACUUAUAAUUAGGGUUAUCAUCCCACCUGCAGUUAUAUAAAUUAAAGAGUUAAUUGCAUUCAGCUUCCUGUAAAUAUGAUAAAUUACAAAUAUAUUCCUAUAAAGUUUAAUUUUUUUUUGUUAUUCCUGCAAAAGUUCAGCGAUAUUCAUAUUUAUCCUUCUGGUUUAUUACCAUUAGAAAACUGUUUAGUUUUAUUUGUAACAAUAAAUAAAUAAAAUGUCAAUUUUGUCAUUACAAACAUAUCUUUUCAAAAGCCCCAACUGCUAUAAUCGGGCAGAAAUGUCCUCCUAAAAAAUUUUCAAUAGUCAUCUUUUUCCUCCUCUUCUUCCUCUUCAAUACCAAACCCAAUCCAUCAUUAUUGCAACCUCUUUUCUCACUCUUUUUCUCCUUUUUUUUUUUAGCAAAAUAAAAAAAAGAAAUCAUAGAGAAAAUUGAAUAGAAAAAUAACGCGCGUUCGACAUGGACAAAGCAACACACAUCGUGAAUGGAUGGGGACGGAGAAAUUUUAGUUACGGAUUUGAAACUAGCAUGAAGGAAAGAAAGGAAGAGAAAGAGGAAGAAGAAGAGUUCCCAUUGGCUAGGGUUUUGAUUGAGAAAAGAAGCUAUAAUAUAAGAGGGGUAAAAAUAUCAAUUUAUCUUAUUAACUAUCAGGGUUAAGUUUUCUAUCUAUCGUUAACUAAAUUUUUCUAAUGGAUUCUAACGACAUGAGCAUAUUUGAUACAUAAAAAUAUUGAAUUUUGUAGAGAUAUAUUUACUAUUCACGAUGUUUACAAUGAGCUAUAUGCAAUUAACACUAAACUAAAAAAAUAAUAAUAAAUACAAAAAAAGCAAAACAAAAAAAUGAAACACAAAGACAAGUAUAAUCUGUGUUUGGUAGUUUAAAAGCCUAAGUUUGUUAUGUACGAGGAUGCGAAAGGAUGUUCAAAUUCUGGUUUUUCACAUACAAUGCACAUAUAUAGCUUGGUAUUAAUGUCUUAAACAUUUCCUCAUAAUUGUAUUGUUAUGGUAAAUUACAGUAGGUAGUUUGAAGUGAAAAUAGUAACAUAAAGAUGUGACUUUUUCUUAGGUUUUUAUUAGGUCAAAAUAUAGAAAAUCUAUCUAUAAAUAUAUUUUUUUUUUACUUUCAAAAUUUUUUAUUUUGUCCUCUCAAAAUUUUAAAAAUAUUUGCAGCGUUACGCUGCUAGCGGAGAUGAUUAAAUGAUCAAAUUGCCCUCUCUAGAAAGCUGAGGCCAAGGCUAUCUAGCCCCUCGUCCACGUCCUCAAGACUGGAAUGCUGACAAUCCGACCGUGCGGAAAAACACCUCGUUCGCCAUUCUCUGCCUUGCCCAACUCAAGGGCCUUGUUGGUGCGAUCAGUAGCGCAGGGCACGAUCCCGCCUUUAUUUUCGAACCAAAUGAUGCCUAAGGCAUUUUGAAUAUUUUAAAUUAUAUAAAAGUAUCGCAAAUACCCUUAAAAAUUUUAAAAUUUCAUAUUUGCCCUUCCAAUGUUAUUAGUUAUAUCAUAAAUAUAUGCCCCUCCCUUUAUUGUAACCAUAGUUCAAGACUAGCUUAUUGCUAGUUAAUUUUCAAAAUACCAAUUUUACCUUUAGUUAUUUUUCAUGGCCAUUUUUCAACCCAUUGUUCUCCUCUUUUCUCUAUUCUUCUUCUCCAGUCCAUUGUGGAGCCUCACUCGUGGGAGAUAGUAUUCUAUGUAGCAAUGACAUCGCUUGGCUACAUCUCAAACCAAUCAUUUUUUUUUCAGAGAAAAAAUACAAAAAAAAAUUUUACACAAAAAUUAUGAUGGGACGUGAUGGGAUGGGUAAAUCAUAGGAAUACAAUUUGAUUGGUUGAGAAUAUAGAUGAUGUGAUGCUAUUGAUAGAUUUUAGAUUUUUUUUUUUUUUUUUUUUUUUUUUGGUGAAUCCUCUAAUACUCUCUCCAUUACCAAAAUCAUUACCCAAAAAUAGGAUGCACUUUCUCCCUUUUUCUUAACUACUUAAGUUUUUUAUUUUUCAAAUUUUUUUUAGGACUCUUCUUAAGAGAGUUCCUGCUUAGACUCUUUCUACGCAGACAGAGAAUUUAAAGGGCACUAAUGAUAUAACGGACAAGGGCAAAAAUGGGUAUUUCAUAAUUACGAUAGUAAUUUCUUACGAAAACAAACUAGUGGGGAACUUCGUAAUAUUUGUAACCAUUUAAAAGAAUAUAUGUGAUAUUAUCAAGUUUAUAACGAUAUUAAUAAAAUUAUAGCACGUAAAAAGGACAUUCAUAAAAUUAUCCUUAAUAUAAAAUAUUUAUGAACUAAGGACAAAAUAUUAGCAAUGGGAGGCUAAGUGCAACACCUUAAAAUUUGAGAAAACAGAACAUAAAUUUUUGAAAGUCAGGAAAAAAAAAAAGAAAAAAAGAAUAUUUAUAGAUAUAUUUUCUGUAUUUUAGCCUUUUUAUUAUUAACAGAGAUAAAAAAAAAAAAUGCAAAAAAGUGUGUAUAUUUGGAAGGAUAUUUUAUUAUUUGGCCAGAAAUAGGUAAACAUAGAAGGAGGUAUCGAACCAAUUUAAUUGGGCCAGCAACCAAUCAAUAGGGCCGAAUACUCUUCCGCCCAUAUGUCUUCCACGCCAAAUAUACAGUGCAGUACUGCUGUGCAAUGAGAUGGAGUUUAUCUUUUUAUUUGAGUAAGUCUCCACGGAGAUCUCCGUACUUGUAAGUUAUUUUCAAUGAUAGAAAAUCUGAAUUUUAUAAUCUACUCUGUUGGAACUAUUUAGAAACCAAAUUUUAUAAUUUUUUGACAUCAUUUACCAAGCGAUCAAAAGGCCUAAAAAAAGACUAUUUUAACGGCCGAUGUGGGACGUUUUUAAAUUCAACGGUGUAGAAGUAUCCAAAUUAGAUGAAAAUUUAAUAAAAAAUUCUACUUAAUAUCAAUAGUAAGACCAAUACUUCCGAUUUGAAAUUUGAGUCCUUUAUCACUAUUUUUUAUGAAAUUUUUAUUUUCAGCCGUUUAUUUUGAGGCUACUCGUUUACUAGACAAACGAAGUCAAAAAAAUUUGAAAUUUGGUUUCUAGGUAGUUCUAAUAACGUAGAUCAUAUCUAACGGAACCGAUCACCGAAUCGGAUGUCCCAUUAUUAAAAACAACUUACAAGUACGGAGGCUUCUGUAUUUUCGAAAAUAUAGGAGCCUAGCUCAUACAUUUUUUACUUCUAUAAAAGUCCAAUAAUAUUCUUAUUUGCCCCUGUAAUAUUCCUCCAAAAGUCCCACUUGUUAGAAUUAUAUAAAAAUGUCCUCCCAACAAGUAUUUUAUCCAAUAAUAUUAGAGGGGUAAAAGGGUUAAUUUAACUCAUGCACUAAGCAGGGUUAAGCAUUUUAUUCAUGGUUAACUAUAUUUCUCUAACGAAUUCUAGUGGGAUGGGUAUAUUUGAAAAAGUUAGAACUUUUAAAGGGAUAAAAAUAAAAAGUUGAACUUUGGAGGAAUAUAUUUGAUAUUCGAUGUCACACCCCAAUAGUCCCAUAUGGGAAAGGAAUGAGGUUGUCAUUAGGUAUGUAAAAGGACUUCACCCCAGUAAUACUAACCGGGUUUAAGCAUUUUGGACCAGUGGGUUUAGCCCAACGAAUUAUUAUUACUAACGGGUCAGAUUUUUAUAUUUGGUAUCAGAGCCGGUGGAUCACCAGCCGAACCAGCCGAAAAUGUGGGAUGAAUCUUGGCUGAGUCAAGAUCGUUGAAUAACAAGCUAAAUCAGAGUCGGAAUAACAAGACUAACGAGACAAGUCCCGCAUCGCCUGAUAAUAUUUGGUUCUGUGUGUUUAGGGCUGAUGGCCUUAAGUAUUUUGGGCUGGUGAUUUUGGUCUAACGAGCUAUUAUUACUAAGUUUACUGAAAACUGUAUGCAAUUAAUCUUAAAUUUUUGUUUAAUUUGGCAUUAUUGCUGAUUUUUUUUAAAAUAAAAUUUCUAUAAAAAAUAGUGUAGGAGGGCAGAAUAGAUUAUUGUCCAAAUAUAAUAUAUUUUUUUAGCAAUAAAAAAAAUAAAAAUUUAAAAGUCUUUUUUUUUUUUUUUUUUUUUUUUUAAUUUUUUUUAGUAGGGUAUAUUGUAACCUAACCAAUCAUUAAAAAAAAAAAAAUCCUUCCAGUAAUACACCAACUUCUAUAAAGUAAAAGUUAAAAAAAUCAUGAAAGAACAGCAACAAUGCCAAACAAGGCCUAUAGAUGAUGAGAGCUUCGGAAUCCCAAUUAUGAUAUUUGCAAUAAAAAGUGCUAAACUUUUUUAAUUUAUCCAAUAUUUUAUUAAAGGGGGAAUUGCUUAUAUAUUCAUGAAAAAUUUUCUACUUUUUAUUUACCCCGCUUAAAUAACUAAUAUAAAAAUACCUUUUAACAUUCCCAUUUCUUUUAAAUAUACCCUUAUAGUUAUUAUCUUUAUAAAAUUACUAAUUUGUCAUUUUAAAUAUAUUCUUCUAUCAUCACCAAAGUUUCUUAUUUAUCCUCAAAUUAAAAGCAAAAGAGAUAUUUUGACUUUGUUUAACUCUGGUAGAAAUUUAACUCAAAUUUAAUUCGAGAUAGCUUAACGGUACUAACAGCGAGGGUAUUUUUAAAUAAUAGAGAAAUAUAUGCUGGCAUAUUUGAAAUAAAAAUAGUAAAAAUAUAUAAGAUAUUUCAAAAGUAUUGACAGGUAUAUAGACAAUUAUUCUUUUAUUAAAAAUAAUUACAACCGGAAUAGAAGCAAAAGCGAAAUAAAAUCACACUAACUAGAUGGGCACAUCUAGGUUUGCCCAAUUCGAUAUCUAGGUUUGCCCCUCGGAAAUAGAUAAUUAAAAAGAGAGGAUUGGUACUCAAUCAUAAGCAAAAUCGAAAAAAGAAUCGAAGGAUGGCGGUCGAAGCUUUUGCACCAGAGUGGCAGAUUGACUCUAAUGAAUUCGGUGCUUUCAAAUCUCCCUUUGUACUAUUUCUCUAUGUUCAAGGCACCAAAAUGGGUUGUAUGUCACAUUGAGGUAUUAAGAAACACUUUCUUUUGGAAGGGUAACACAACGGUCAGCAGUGAUUUUUACUUGAUCCAGUAGAAAUCCCUUUGCAUGAGCAAAAAAGACGGUGGUCUUGGGACCAAAGAUCUUGCGACGAUGAAUAUUACUCUUCUAGCAAAAUGGUGGUGGAGAUUUUUAACGGAACCAAAACUUCAAUGGAAAAGUUGAUUAAGGCACUGUAUUAUUGAAGGAGAAUUAGAGAAGGAUCAAGUUUUCGGCCAUUCUCACAAUGGUGGAAAGGUGUUCUACAAACGAGAAAUAUUUUUAAAUGCGGGGUGACGUUCACGUUGGGAAGCAAAAAAUGGACUGAUUUUUGGUCAAAUAUAUGGUGUGGUGAUUGCUCGCUGUGAACAUCCUUCCCUACUGUGUACGACCGUAUUCGAUGCAAAAGCUAUUGGGUGAAAGACUGCUUUACAAGAGGAGGAUGGAAAUGGGAUACGAUUCUAAGAGGCUAUGUGGCCCCUCGUCCCAGAGGAGAGAGAUAUGAUGGAUGACUUGAAAGGAUUACUCAUAGGCAUAGUUGUGAAUGAUGGACAAGACUUGGCCAAAUGGAGAUGGACCUACUCACAACAAUUCUCAGUUAAAUCGCUUUUUAAUUUUCUUAAGUAUGGUGGAGUUAUAGACCGAACCACCUUCUAGAUUUGGAAGCUGAAGCUACUAGAGAAAAUUAAGAUCUUUGUUUGGCUUGUAUUGAGAAAAAAUGUAUUUAUUGCUGAUAAUCUAUAAAAAAGGUGUUGGCUUGGGAAAUAAAAUUGUGUGCUCUGUGCUGUUGAAUUUGAGACAUAGAUCACCUAUUCAUAAAGUGUGUUUGUGUCAAAUUUUUGCUCCUCUGUCUCCUAUCUAAUCCUGAUGCUAUUUUAAGCAACACGAUGACUAGGGAUCUUUGAGAAGCAUGUAGAAUGCAGAUGGAUAAUUCAAACUGGAGGAAAAGCCUUUUGACGCUUACAGUGGUCUGGUGGCUUGUAUGACUAGAGAGAAAUAGCAAAAUAUUUCAGAAUUUGAAAAAUAAUAUAGACUGCACCCUAAGUGAAAUCAAUAAACUAAGAUAGCUUUGGAAAAAUCACUGUAACUAAAGGCAGUUGAUAUAUCACAAUUCACAAGCUAUAGAUUUUAUUUUUAUUUUGAGAUUUCUUUUCUUUUCUUGUUUUUAGCGGAGCUCUGCCAUUUGUUGUUUCUCUCUCUCUCUCUCUCUCUCUCUCUCUCUCUCUCUCUCUCUCCGAGGCNGCGCAGACAGAGGACUGACGUUUUCUUGCAGUUGUCCUGGAUUCCUCCCAGGGGACCCAAUCACAGAUUGGGUGUUUAUUGUUUGGUGAUCGAGAGUGUUGGUAUCAAUCAAUUAAGCCUAAGCCGUUUUUAAGCCAUGCCUAUAUUAAGCCUAUUUUAAGCAAAAAAUUAAAAAUUUAAGCAACUUUUUAUGCCGAUUUUUUGCCCAAGCCAUUAAUAAGCCUAUACAUUAAAUAUGCCUAUAUUAUGCAAGUGGUUAAUUUUUAAGCCCUAGUUUUUAAGCCGAUAUAUUAUUCAUAUAUUUAUAAUUAAAUGAUAUAUAACAGUUGUACAGGUGGGUACUUCGAUCCGACAUCGGUACAGUGGUACACGCUCGGUGAUGGUUUCUUACCUUUGCCCUUUCGUUAUUAUCUAGUAUAUAUAUAUCUUGAUAUAUAGUGUUGAGCCUAGCACCAUGUUGUUCACUUACACUCUACUCGGUUGUUCUCUUUAUAUCAUGAGUAGGAGUAGAGUAGUUAUACCAUAUUUCUUUAUUGCUCUACUUAGCUAUUCUGCAUAUCCUGUGUCAUGUUUAGAGUAGAGCCAUUUCGUGAUUAUCUGUGAGAUUAGCGAUCUAGUCGAUCGAUUCUAGUAUUCAGUAUUUGUGUCAUGAUUGGUCGAGUUUCAUAUCCUAUACUUGUGACAUGAUUGGUCGAGUUUCAUAUCCUAGUUGACCUGAGUGGUCGGUUCUUGUGCUUCUUUACAGUUGAUGACCCAUGCGGUCGAUGGGCCCUGGGGGGCAGGAUUGUCGGCUGGUUGCCGACGGUUGAUCAUUGAGCAUAUUGCAUUGAUCGCCCGAUACUCGUCGCAUUUCACGAACACUGGCGGUCUGAUCCACCGCAAGGAGUGUUCUUUUCCGAAAAAGUGGUUGAAUGGUGACAACCCGUGAGCCCUAGAGGGGUUAUAUGCAUGUUAGAGCGGCAGUGGUACUGUCGGGAGGUGUUGCGGUGCGGACCUCCAGGGCAUUGGCUUGAGGUCUGCGGUGCUGACCAAGAGAGCAUUGGUUUCAGAUUGGGUACUUUUGGACUGAUUGUUCCAUUGACGCAUAUGUUUAUAGUAGCAGUCGUUGCAUGCAUACUUACAGAUCUUACUUUAUAGUUGUCUUGCUACUAUAGUAGAUAUUCAUGUAUGCUUUCUGUUCCAGUUACAGUAGCGGUAGCCGUUUAUUCAGUAUAGUUCUUACUUCCUUUCAGUUUAUCGCUAUUGUAUAUCUGCUUAUUACCUUGUUCAUUUCCACUGACCCAUGUUGUUGUAUAGUUCUUUCUGAUCCGGUGAGUACUCCUCGCCUUUUUCGGCUUGCGGUACCCACUGGGAGGGGAGACAUGUUUACAUGUUCUCACCUCCCCCACCAUUUUUCAGGUAUCGCGGGCGUUGAGUAGUGGGACGAGUCGUGAGGUACGUGUGUAGCGGUCGAUAGAGCUUCCGACCCAGGUUAUUUCGAUUUAGCUAUUACCCUUUUUAUUUCUGUGGAUAUAUAUAGCUUAGUCGGUUUACAUGGUUCAGUUUUGUUUUAUUAUUUGAAUAUCUGAGUUUUCAGUUGGUUUUAGAAUAUAAUAAAGGAAUUGUGUUUUCUUGAAAUAAAAGGUUUUCUACCCCUCGUGGUAGCGUUUCUUAAAGAAUAAAGGUUUCCGUGUAGGGAACAGAUUUCAAAAGAAUUUUCGUGAAUUUCUAUUUAAACACUGAAUGUAAAACUGUGAUGUGAAUGGUGAGUGUAUGAAUGUAUAGUUAUCUUUAUAUUCAUUUGGUUGUGGUUGUUUCCUGGCUAUACUCUUGUACUUGUGCGACGCCGUGCAAAUACAGGGGAGACUCUGUCCGUGUGAACAGUGGAUUCCCUGUAUUUGUGGCGGAUCUGGCAUACCCUGGGGUCAGGUUUGCCAAAAAAAAAAAAAAAAAAUUUUUUUUCGCUGUGUUUUUAACCUAAAGGGACCCCGGGGCGUGACAAAUAAACUAAGGUAGCUUUGGAAAAAUCACUGUAACUAAAGGCAGUUGAUAUAUCACAAUUCACAAGCUGUAGAUUUUAUUUUUAUUUUGAGAUUUCUUUUCUUUUCUUGUUUUUAGGGGAGCUCUGCCAUUUGUUGUUUCUCUCUCUCUCUCUCUCUCUCUCUCUCCGAGGCCCUGUUGCCUUACUAAUGUAGUCUGGUUCAUACUCUUAUUGAAUGAAGCAUUUAGCAUGCUACCGUUUUUCAACAAAAAAAAAAAAAAGAAAGAAAAAAAAAAGAUGGGCAUAUGAACUACUCCCUUCUUACCUUGAAGCUUUAUCCAUGUUGCUUCCAUGCUUUCUGUUCUAUACUAUUAGCUUGGCACUUUUGACCGGUCAAUUACACCAUUAGUCGAAAAAAAAAAAAAGAUGACAAGGAGGAGAAAAAAGAAGAAGUACAAAAAAAAAAAAAGAAAAAAGAAAAAAAAGAAGAAGUACAAAAAAAAAAAAAGAAAAAAAAAAAAAAGAGUAAACUUCAAAUAUUAUUUAUUUGAUUUCAUACUCUCUCAGUUUAGUACUCUAAUGAUUUAAAGUGUAUCAAGUUAGUAUCUUGUGGUUUCAUUUUUAUCUUUUCGUCAGCUUCUCCGUUAAUAUUUUGUUAAAUUAUAUACAAAAAAAAUCUUCAGGUACGCCAUUUAGGUUUAUUGAAUAUUCAUUUUAAUUUUCUUUAGUUUUAACUUUGUCACUAAUUUAAUAAAAAAAUUAGUGAAAUUAAUAAUAAAAAGAUAAAAAUAAAAUCAUAUGGCACUAAAUUAAUAUACUUUAAGCCACUGGGUGCUAAAGUAAGAAAGUGUGAAACCACAGAGAUGAUAUUAAAGUUUUUUCAAAAAAGAAAGAGGAAGCAGAUGAGAGGAAGAGUGAAGAACCAAAAAGAAAAAGAAGAAGAUAAGGGGGAAGAGUAGAGAAGAAGAAAGAAGUAGAAGAAGAUGAUAUGAAUAAGAAGAAGAAGAAGAAGAAGAAGAAUAAUGCGGAAGGGAAGAAGAAGACCGGUCAGAGAGUCUUUGCGGGGAAGGAAAAAUUUCUCUUUCAAACAUUGACCAAGUCUAAUUAGCAAAUAAACGGAAUUAAGGACGAUAAGGACCCAAAUAAAUGGUGAAGAUUGAAAACUCAAUUGACAAAAAAAGAAAAAAGAAAAAAGAAAAUAAUUGAAAAAUUGAAAAAAAAAAAAAAUGAUUUGACCAAUAUUUUUCCUCAGAAUACUAAGAAAAAAAGGAAAACACAAAAAGACCCAUAUUUCAUCGUUGUAAGUAGCAUAGAUUAACUAACAUAAAUUCAUUCGUUAUUGACAAAUUAAGAAGAUCGGAAAAAAAAUAUCCUAACUUGACCGUCACAACGCUUACUUUCCAGGAGAUAAUUUACCCCCACUUUUGUCUUUUUAUUUAGAUAUACAACAAAAAUAAAGUAAUCCACUCUUUUAAAGAGAAAACAAAUCUAAAAAAACAUUUAUAUUGUGCGUUUUAUCUAAAAAAAUUAAUUUUCAACAGAUGAUUAUUUAAAAUAAAAUUGGAAAGGUCUAGAGAUAAUAAUAUCCAUGGUCCAUAGGUGAUGUAGUGGACAAAGCUUCUAGAUAAUUAUAGUACGCAUGCAUUCUCAAUUUAUAUGGAGGCAAAAAGCAAAGUGAUCGAAGGCCCCCUCCACUAUUCCUCAAUUUGAAAUGGAGCCCUCAACUUUAACUUACCUUACAUUAAAAUUUUUUAAUUUAUUUCUAGCAAAUAAAAAUAGAAUAACUAUGGAAGAACUAUUAAACUGGAUACAUUUUUAACUUAAUUACUAAAAUAGUUCGGUUUAAAAUAAAAUCAAAUAAAAACAAGGUGUUGAUUAAGAAAGUUCUACGUACCUAUUCAAAAUUACCUAUAGCUCAGAAGCUUACCAUAUAUUUUUUUAUUUCUAAACAAUUAUAAUUUAUUUUCAUACCUGUAAUGCAAAUACUUAAAUAAUAAUAAUGUAUAGAAAAUAUAAAAUUGGAAACUUUUGUCGCUGCGAAGCGCGAGUAUUUAGGCUAAUGAUAUAAUAACAUUACAAUUAGGAUGGAACCACUCUAUCCAUUUAGUACAUUUUUUGCUAUUUUUAGUGUGUGUAAAUUAAAAUGCAGCCCUUGCGCUUUCGUUAAUUUGCUGGUUUAACCGUAACAUUUAACUAUAACUGUAUAAACCAAGUAAAUAUAUUAUUCAGGAAUGAGAAGCUCGAUAACUUUUAAUGGUAAAAGAAUAGUAUUUACUAUUUAUUCUUUUGCUCUUGGGAUGACUAGAAUUAAGUGAUAGUAGCUGAAAUAGUAUUGAUUUAAUAACUAGAAAAUUAAAAUAAAUACUAUUCAUUUAGUCUUAAUAUUAGUCCAGAUAAAUUCUUAAUUUUUUAACUUGCCCACAAUUACACCAAUAUUGCAAUUUCAAAUUCAAAGAACCAACCCAGCUACUUAUUAGAGUACUUCUCUUCUUUUAUGUGAGAAGAGAAUUUAAAAUCAAUGUUCCUCGACCUCCUUAAAGAUAGAGGGUUUGAUGUGGAUGUUAAUUUAUUUAUAUUAGGGUAAAUUACUCUUUCGGUCCUCAAACUACGAGGCGUGUGACACUUCAGUCCACAAAUUUUACUCUAUUAUAAUUUCUGACCUAAACAUGCUAAACUAUUGAAAUCAAAGUUUCACAACCCAAUUUAACUAUUUGACAAAUUAUUGAUAAAUUAUUAAUAUAAAAGUAGUAUAAAAUCUUAAUUAUUAUCACAUCAAUCAUCACAAUAAUUUUAUAUCACUUCUAUAUCAAUAACGCAUCAAUAUUUAGAUAACUAAAUUGAGUUACGAGGCUUGAUUGUAAUAAUUUAAAAAAUUAAAAUAAAAAAUUAUAAUAAAUUCAAAUUUGAGAACUACGAUCUCACUCCCCUCAUGGUUUGAGGCCCAGAAGUGUAAGUUACCCUCAAUGUCAGAACACUGUUAUCUUUACAUCCCAAAAGGGAAUGCCCAUCCUGCAUCGCUCAUCCAAUGACCAAAAAAAAUGACCCUUAUUUUGUCAAAAAUAUUUAAAAAAUGCUAAAAAUUUAGAAAAUUUUAUAAAUUCUAGAAUGAGAGUGCUCAAAAUAUACAACCUAUUUUGGUUUCACUCCUACUAGUGAUUUUUGUAAUAUUAUUAUAUCAAUACUAUACACCAAAGGCUAGCAGGACAAACACAUGAGAUGACUGAUCUCUGACAGUACAAAAGAAACAACAAAGUACCUACUCUGCAUGGGCAUGAACACAGCUGUCACCACUUUGUACCUCAGUCUUUUAUAUAUCAAAUUAUAUAAUAAUAUAUUUUAUAUAGUAAUAAAUAUUAUAAAUACUAUAUCCAGCUAUAGUCUUAUAAAAGCACCGCAUGUGUACUUUAAAUUUUCCGUAGAACUCUACUCCUCUAAAAAUAAUUUAUAACCGUUAUAUUAUACUAUUCAAACCAACCAACCUCAACCUAGUGGGCCCUCACAUCUAACCGCACAUUCAUCAAUCCAACGCUAAAAACUACAAAAGUACCGGCAUAACUUGUACUUUUAAAACAUAGACCAAUAAUAUCUAUAAAUAUAUAAAUAUAAUAUAUAUAAUAAUAAUAAUAUAAUAGUAAUAAUAAUAAGAGUAGGGCUGCGCUUAAAGCACAGCAGCCCCUAUGCUAUUAACACCACCAACCAUCAAAUAGAUGAGCUAGAUGAAAUGGCCGUGCCGCUCCCCUUUUAACAGGAACCCACAGUUAGAUGGUAGAUUAACGAACUUCUCCUCUCCUCUUUUUUGUCUUUUCUUUUUUCUUUCUCCGUCUUCUCUCACAUCUCCCCCUAUAGGAAUCUUCACCUCCUCUCUCUCCCCAAUCUCUCUCCCUCUCCUCUCCUGAACAUGAGCUGCCCGUACUGACGCCCGCCGAUGACUCCGACAAGCACCUCCCCCCCACUCGGCGCGCGACCAUCUCUGCAGCAACACCCCGACCCCGCCGCCGACCUCAUUAUCGCCCCCCCCCCACCCGCCGCACAUUUCAGCCGAACCCCCAACCCAACCAUAAACCUCCGAACAAAAAAGAAAGAGAAAAAGAUUUUACGAAUAAUUUGCUGUCUAAGUCAUAUCGCUAAGCAAGAUAAAAACAAAUAGAAUCAGUGACAUUUCCUUUCUUUGCAGAAGUGACGAAUGGAAUAUCACAUUCCCAACCAAACAACAAGAAAGAUAAAUUCUCCGGAUUAACUUCGUUAUUUGCCUCGACUUACCGAAAGCAAAUAAAGCAUAUACCAUUUAUCCAAUAUACUUCGAAGCUGAGCAGAACAAAUCUUAGCAAAUGUCGCAACUUGUUGUUGAGAAUUUGAGAACGUCCGCAAACCACUUCAACUUCAACCAUUUCUACAAAUCAAAAAUCGAAAUUCUUCACCAAGUCAUGAUAAAAAACUCAAACAAAAUGGUUAUUAGAUUUAUUUAAAGUCAACUAAAUUUAAUCCCAAAUAAAUCUAUUUGGUUCUGAUUAAAUAUUUAUUGAAAUAGAACUAAUGUGUAUUCAAACGCAAUUUUAAGAAAAUAGUAAACGAGAAAUUAUGAUCAAAUAACAUCAACAGCAGUUCGGUGCCACCAAAUCAAUAACCGUUCUCUUCAACCAUGUUUCCCACCAAUCAAAAAAAAAAAGAAAAAAAAAAAAGAAAAAAAAAACUUUAAAAACACAAACCAAACGUUGUCUUGGUAGCUAAAGAACAGGGGAAACCCGAUUAAAAAAAAAAAAAUUUCACUAUAGAUCAUCUCUCCGACGCGUCCGCACUCUCCAGCGUCUCAUCGCCUGCCCGCUCCGAACUCCCCCAAGACUCUCCCAAUAUCCUAGCGCGCGCUGCUCUCCCUCGCCGCAACACCUACGCCUCCUCUAAACCCUCCUCCUCCUCCCCCUCUCCUCCUCCUCCCCCUCCCUCACUCCCCUCCUCCCCUCCUCCCCCUUCUCCGGGUCUCCGGGCGGCCCAAAUACAGGAGCCCACAUCCCCAGAGAGGGAAAGGAAAGAUGGGAGAAAGAAAGUGAAGCAUUCACUGUACCGGAGGGAGAUAGCCGGAAGACUAGAGAAAAAGGAAAAAAACAAAAAGACAAAAAAAAAAAGAAAGAAAAACGCCUUAAAUCUAACCAUCUAAACCUGCCGGGUUUCCCCUUUUAAAAGCCACCUUAAUCUCAGCAACCAUCUAUGUAGAUGGUGUGAGCUUAAUAGCAAGGGCUUUGCUGUCUCUUUACACGCCAGCAGCCCUACUCUAUAAUAUACUAAUAUAAUAUUAUAAUACUAAUAAUAAUGAGCUAAAUACAUCGGUAGUAACAGACUUUACUACCGACUUUAUUCGAUAUAAGAGCUUCCAAAUGACGAUCCAACACACGCUCAUAAAUAUAUCUAAACCAAUUAAACUACUAGAAAUAAAUUUCACGAGCACUUCAUAUUGUCCUUAUCCAUCAACGUGAACAGAAAAAAUGACUGCUAAAUAAAUACUCUAAAAAAUAUGAGAUCCUGUAAUCCAAGAUCAAUAGUAUAGAUGUUUUUAAAUAGUAUUAACCAAUUCUAACGAAAAAAUUCAAUUGAUUAUACUUUUACCCGUAAACGAAAAACGACCCCUCUUAUCGACCAUUUUAAAACAUAAUUUUGAAAUCCUUUGAUCAUUAGGCCAAAUAUCUUCCCGAAACAGAUUUGAAAAUCGAUCUAAACACUCAAGGGUCUACGAUUCAUGUUUCAACGACCGAUCGUCAAUUUGAAUUCUAUCACGAAACAAAUCGUAGCAAAACGCUCGUUUAUACGAUAUUCUACUCAAUUUGUCAACUUCUCCUCAUCUCUGCUCUCUCUCUCUCUCAAACCAUCGUCUUCCUCUCAUAUAUAUAUAUAACUAAAUAAGAGCUAAGCACUACCUAUUAAUAGAUAGAGCACUGUCCUAUCAAUUGUUCCUGAUAUCAAGAUCAAAUCGAUGAUCGGAGCCGUGAAUGAAUCUAGAGAGUUGAAAAUCAAAACUAAAUUUCAUAAAUUUUGAUAAUUGGUUUACAUGGUGACAAAGGUUCGUAAAAUUACAAUUUUAACAGAGCCUAAAGAGCUUUCUUUUAAAUCCUUAGAGCAAAUCCAAAUGCUGAAUUGCCAUAGAAAAUUCUAUACUAUUUAGAAUAAGUUGAUCCCAUCUGAUUACGACCCGAAAGUCUAAGCAUCUAUUAAUAAGUAUUCAUUAAGACCAUCUUCAUUUCAACAUCUUAACGAUAAAUGAUAAUGAUUUUAAAUAAUACAAAAUUAUUCAAACUUCUAAUGUAAUCAACUUACGGUGCCUGGAUUAUGCAUAACUUCCGAAUCAUCAAAUCAACUAUAGACCAGGGUCCCAAUCCUAUAGACUUCCAAUCAAAUCAAGAUACAAAACUAUUUAAUAAGUAUAAAAAUUCUAAUAAAAAACAAGCAAUUGAUUACUAUACAGACCGUUAAACAAAAAACCUACAUACAAAGGCCCGUAAAAAAAUUGUCGAUUUACACACUACUGAUACACCAUGUUAAAUAAUCUUUACAAAAUUUCAUGAAAUUUAGUUCUAGAUAUCGCAAAACUAUAGAUCAUACUCAAUGCCCGAUAAUGCAUCGCCAUCCAUCACAAGAAAAUUUAUAGACAAGUCUCCCUAUCCAGUUAAUAGAUAGUAGCCAAGCCUAUAAUAUAAUAUAAAGAGAAAGAAUAGAGAGAGAGAGAGAGAGAGAGAGUCCGGCUAUGGUGCUUGUAAAAGCACCAAUCACUUUGUGCUUGUAGGUUUUUAACCGUUAGAUCAGCACUAUUGAUCAUUUACACCCGUUAGAUUAUACUAUUCAACCAACCACCCACUCAACCCUAGGGGGCCCACAUCAUCCUAACCACAUAUUUUUUAAUCUAAAGGCUAAAAACUUACAACCACUAAUGUCUUGGUACUUUUAAAAGCAUAGGAGCUCAAUUCUAUAUAUAUAAUUAAGUCCAAUUUGGCCUACUUGGAGAUUUACUAAGCAAUUGGAUACUAUGUAUUUGUUGCAGUAUAUCUAACUUGUGAGGUGCCAAUUUAUUAGUUGGUGAGACGGGCAGAUCCAAAUCAAUAUACCUUUUGGUUGAGUUUGAUUCGGGUAUAAAUAAGACGGCAUAUUUCAGAAAUAGCUACAAAAUUCAGAUAUAAGCAGAAAUUAAACCAAUUUUAUAUUUGAAUGAAAAUCGAGUUGUUCAUAGAAAUAAGAUAAAUAGUAUUUGUAUGAUUAAAUUGGAACAACAUGAAUAACAGCUAUAAUUUUUAUCUAAUUAAUUAACAUCAUAACAUUACUAAAAAUAAUUUAAUAAAUUAAUAAAUCUAUUAGCUAUGAAUAUUGUAUAAGAUAAUAAAAAUAUAUUAAUUAAUUAAUUAAAUAUAAAAAAUAAGUUAAUUUUUGAAUUAGUUGGUAAAUUAUUUUAGUUAGAUAACUAGUAAAAAAAAUAAUUACAUUAAUAAAAAUAUUAAUGGUUGAUCAAUAUAAAUAUUAGUAUAUAGAUAAACAUAUUAAAUUAUUUGUAGUGUCCCUGGUGUUGGGUUGUCUACGAGACUUCAGCAUCUGUAGUUUGUCGACACGUCUGGUGGGUGUCGGAAUAAGUCGGAGUCAUUUUGGCGCGAAUUAGACGCAAAACGGACUCGGCGCAGUGCGAGAGUGGAGUUCAGAUACUGAAAUCUGCAAAGUGCAGGAUUUCAGUGUUCAGUACCGAUACCCGGGAGGAGUACCGGUACCCGAGAGGAAUUACAGAACUGAAUACUCUCGGGUUUGUGUAGUUUGAUGCUGAGUACCGGUACCUAUUGGUGAGUACCGUUACUGGGACUGAGUACCGGUACUGCAUCGGGCUAGUACCGGUACCCAGCGUCCGGGAUUGCUGGUUGAGUGCCGAGUACCGGUACCCAAGUUGAGUACCGGUACUCCAGGCAGCAAAGUGAGUUGGUAAGGGAUUUUUUGGUCAUUUUGCUGCAUCGUUCAUUCCAACCGACCCACAGCCUAUUUAUAUGCAUAAAAAGCUUGGAGAAGGCUGUUAGCUUCUUUUCUUCUUCCCUCUCCCUAGCUGGUUGGAGUUGAUCGUAGGAGGGUCGAUUGAGCGCGCGGGUGGUCCCAGUAUAGUCGUUGGAGGUACGAAUUGAUCUUCCUUUUCGUCGUCUUGGAGGUUUUGCUCGUGUGCCGUGGUCGCUUUUGGUUGAGCUGCUUGAGGUCGAGCUAGUGCGCGGUUUCUUUCUUCGAUUUCUAGCCGGUGUUGGACGAGCGUUCGAGGUGGGUUAAUGUUUACCGAAAUCGUCAGAUUUCCUUCUAAGUCAUAGAGUUGUCAGUUUGUAUUCUUGGCUUUGUUCAUCAUGUUUAGUAACUCGAAUUCAUAGAUUUGCAUGUUUAUAUGAAAUCUGAAUUUGAAGCCUUAAUGUUAGAAUAUUUGUUAUAUGUUGAAUUGGGAUUUGACUUAGGAGAAAACUCGUUAAACCUACACUGCCACUUUUCGAAAAGUACCAUAUUUAACUUCAGGAGCUGUUAUUCUUUUGUAUCACCGCUGUUAGUGCGUAGUGGAUACUCAGAUUAGUGUAGGUUGAGGUUACGCUCGUGCUGAGGGGCCGAGCUUGUUUUACAGUAGUGUUUAAAUUGUUCUAUAUUGUUGAGUGCCGUCGGGGUUGACGGUGGAUCCGGAUGUUUACAUCUUGUUUCAGAUUGUGCUGAGGGCACGUGACGUUUGGUUGUUAGACCAGUUUGACCCAUUUGCGUUGAUUAUAGACUGUGUGAGCCUGAUUGAGCUCGACAGAGACACGCUUGCAUUCUCGGUUGGGUCGCUCCCACGAGUGCCGCGUCGGAGUCAGGCUUUACUUGCGUUGAUGUCGCAGCAGUCCUGUUUGCACAGUGUACUUGGAUCGGCCAUCCCCGUAGGUGGUGUACGGUAUAGCUUGGCUACAGAUAGGGUGGGUCCAUUUAGGUAGCUCUUGUGAGAUUGGGUCAGUGUGAUGCAUGUCCAUGGCUACAGAUAGCCUGUGUUGGUUAGCAAUAGUAUAGUGGCAUGUAGUUGUAGAGUUCUUUCCAGCUUUCCUUACUAUCCUUUGCAUAUCCUCCUGUAAACUUAGUGGGUAGGCCGUUGGGGUCGAUGACAGUACCCACUGAGGACUACUUUAUUUUGCAGUAGUUCUUACACCCAGUUGUUGCUACAUUUUGAAGAGCCUUCGUCUGCGACUGCUGCUAUUGCUGAUUUUGACCACGGUAAGGGAGCCGCGAGCUAGAUCCCUUCCAUCCUUGCUGCAGUACUAGAGGAGUACCUUCCAGAGGUAGUUUUGGAUUUUUCUUGUACAUACUGUGAUAUUGUCGGCAUGUUUUUGCAGAGCCUUCGCCUACGGCUGCUGCUGUUGCUGAUUGCGACCGUCGUAAGAGAGUCGCUGGUUAGAUCCCUUCCAUCCCUGGUCUUUUGCUAGAGAAGCAUCCAUCAGAGUUAGUUUUGUGGUUUUAUGUGCAUACUGUUAUGUUGUUGUACUCGCUGAGGCGAGUUGGUUCCGUGGCUUCUGUAUGUACAGUGGACCCUUUAUGUCUUUAUACACAUGUUUUAUUUAUAGCAGCUAUUUACCUCUUGUGUAGCUAUAUUUUGUUAUAGGUACAGCUAUUAUUUUGUAUACACGAAAAAUUUCUAUGUAUACAGCGGGUCUGUUGGCGUGCCCAGGAAAACGUGGUCAUCCGGGGCCUGACAGAUUAAGUAGGUAUCAGAGCUUAGAAUUAAGUCGUUGGGACCUAGAAAACCCUAGGUUUGGCAGAUCUUAGGAAGGUAAGACGCAAGAGGCGUGACUUAUCGUGAAAUUCAGCAAUUGAGUUGUUUUAACUCCUUCUAGAGUAGAGGGAGUGUUUGAAGGAGUGUUUGUUUCUGCCAAAAAAAUUAUGUCGGCUGCAGACGGCAUAAUUUUGAGGAGGAACAGGGGCGGUCUUUUAGACUUUUGCUUGAUUGGGUCGAGAGUUGUUUGUGUUUUGUAUCUGACCCUUGUUUUGGUUUCAAUUCGUCAUGAGACCGUAUUGACGUUGAGGUCGAUCGUCGACUCGGGAUCGCUCCGCGCCAUCAAAGAUGCCAGAGCAGGCAGGACCGAGUGCACCCGCGAAUUUGAAAAAGCAAUUGGCUGCCUUGACUGAGGUGACUAGGUGUCACACCCCAAUAAUCCCAUAUCGGAUAGGAAUGGAGAUGUGAUUGGGUAUAUAAGAGACUUAGACACUAAUAAUAAUAACUGGGCUUAAGUAUUUUGGGCCGGUGGUUGGGCCCAGCGAGUUAUUGUUGCCAGUGGGCUGGGUUGUUACAUUUGGUAUUAGAGCCAAUCACCAGCCGGAAAUGUGUGGCCAGUCUCGGCUGAGUCAGGGUCUGAAAGAUAAGGUGAUAGGCUAUGCCGGCGUCUGUAUGACAAGGUGACCGGCUAUGCCAGGAUCUAGAUGACAAGACUAGCGAGACGAGUCUCACAUCGCCUGGUGAUCUUAGUCUGUGUGUGUGAUUGGACUGACGAGGACGUAAGGGCCUUAACGGGAGAGUCUAUCACACCCCAAUAAUCCCACAUCGGAUAGGAAUGGGGAUGUGAUUGGGUAUAUAAGAGACUUAGACACUAGUAAUAAUAACUGGGCUUAAGCAUUUUGGGUCGGUGGUUGGGCCCAACGAGUUAUUCUUGCUAGUGGGCUGGGUCAUUACACUAGGCAGUAGGGUGCGUUGUUGCAGAGAAUGUGCGAGGCCUUUACUCAGCAGUCGAGGGCUGCGCCGGGAGCAUCAGAGCAGCAGGCGCCACCUGUGACUACCCCAGUGGCCGCACCAGCCACAGCUGCACGCCCACCGGCGACAUCUCCUACAACAUCAGUUGCACCUACUGGAGAGGCGCCGCAGAUGUCAGAGGUCGAGCAGGAGCGGAUGACAGAGAGGCUCGCUCGUUUUUGUCGGUUUGAUCCGCCGCACUUCGAUGGUAGUUGCACAGAGCCUUGGAUUGUAGAGACGUGGGUGAGUGCGAUGGAGAAGUUGUUUGAGGAUCUUAUUAUACUGAAGCGAGAGCAGGUACAUCUGGCAGUGCAUUGUUUGGCAGGUGAUGCGCAUGCCUAGUGGAGAAGGAUACGACAGAAUCGAGGUUUGGAUACCCUAGAGAUGAAGUAGGACGAGUUUCGUGGGAUGCUGUACAGGGUCUAUUUCCCAAACAGCGUAAAGCAGAAACUCGAGGAGGACCUGAAGAAGCUUCAGCAAGGGGAGCAGUCAGUAUAGGAGUAUACUCGGGAAUUUACCAGGCUUUUGAACUGUGUGCCAUUUGUCGCAAGGGAUGAAGCCCAAAAGGUCUACCUGCACGAGAGAGGCUUGAGGCCAGAGAUUUUUGUGUUGGUACAGGCGCUGAGGUUGCGGACCUUGGACGCAUCGAUUGAGCAGGCGUUAUGGGUUGAGCGAGGAGCUGUAUCGGUCCGUGAGCGGGAGACGGUGCCGGGGCAGACUCAGGACAGGAAGCGUCCGAUUCUAGAUGACGGAGGACAGGCCAGUGGCAAGCGUCGACCGAGGCCUCCACGAUCACUCUCUCAAGGUCAUGGGUCUUCGGGGCAAUAGCGGUCUGGUGGAUCUCGUCAGCAGCGACAACAGCAGGGGAUUCCGCAGUGCGUCAUUUGUGGAGGACCACACUGGCCUCGAUACUGUGAGCAAAGAGAGGGCCGGUGUUUUGGAUGUGGUCAGCCAGGGCACUUGCGGGCAGCUUGUCCCCGAGCAGCAUCACCAGUACCUUCGACGGUGUCGGUCCCCCAAGUACCUCAGCAGACCUUUGGAUCACCACCGAGCUAUAGCCAGGCUGACAGGGCUUCAGUGUCGCGGUAGAGUGAGUAGUGACAGCAGGCAUCGAGUGGCAGGGUGUAUGUAGUUUAGGUUGAGGACUCCACGACAGCAGACCGUGUGGUGGCAGGUAUCAUUUUGAUUUCUGGCAUUAUAGCUCUUGUAUUAUUUGAUACCGGUGCAUUGCAUUCUUUUAUUAGUCGAGCAUUUGUAUCAUUCCAUGGACUAGAAAUAGAGCCACUGGUACAUGCACAAGAGGUGCAGAUUUCCGACCAUGUUUUAGAUGUGGCGGAGUGUUGUUGGGCUUGUCUAGUACAGUUGGGAUCUUGGAUUAUGCUUGCAGACCUGUUGGUCUUGGGGUAGUUACAAAAUUUUGAUGUAGUGCUUGGCAUGAAUUGGUUGGCUCGGUACUAUGCAACGAUCGAUUGUGGAGCUAGGACAGUGACGUUCUACGAGCCAGACUAGGAGGAGUUCACUUUUAGAGGCUGCAAGAGUAUGCUAUUCAUUACUUGGAUUUCUUCAGGGAGGGCUAGGCAGAUGAUGAGUGGAGGAUGCAUCGCCUUCCUGGCGACGGUAGUAGAGGUGCCUACGGCGGCACCAGGACUCGAGGAUAUCCCUGUAGUUCGCGAGUUCCCAGAUGUUUUUCCUCCGGAGCUGACGACUAUGCCGCCGAAUAGAGAGAUUGAGUUUGUGAUUGACAUGGUUCCUGGAACUGCGCCAAUCUCAAAAUCACUAUACCGAAUGGCAUCGGCAGAGCUUGAGGGAGCUUAAGGCGCAACUUCAGGAUCUGAUGGAUAAGGGGUAUGUGAGACCCAACGUGUCACCUUGGGAAGCGUCGGUGUUAUUCGUGAAGAAGAAUGAUGGUUCACUUAGACUGUGUGUGGAUUACCGGGAGUUGAAUAAAGUAACCAUUAAGAACAAGUAUCUUUUGCCGUGCAUUGAUGAUCUGUUUGAUCAGCUGCAAGGAUCUUGUAUCUUCUUGAAGAUUGAUCGGCAGUCAGGUUACCAGCAGCUGAGGGUGAGGGUUGUGGACGUUCCCAAGACAGUUUUUCAGACACGGUACGGGCAUUAUGAGUUCACAGUGAUGCCUUUUGGAUUGACUAAUGCCCCUGCCGUUUUUAUGGAUUUGAUGAAUCGAGUAUUUAAGCUGUUUUUGGAUAGAUUUGUAGUAGUGUUCAUUGAUGAUAUUCUGAUUUACUUCCGGAGUGAUGUUGAGCAUGAGGAGCACUUGAGGAUAGUAUUAUAGCUUCUGAGCGAGAAGAAGUUGUAUGCUAAGUUGAAGAAGUGGAGUUUUGGCUUCGGGAGGUUUCUUUUUUGGGCCACGUGAUUUCAGCAGCGGGAGUGGCAGUUGACCCGAAGAAGAUUGAUGCUGUAAGGUAUCGGACUUCUAAAAUCAUGAAGUUACGGUGUACAUUUGGUUGGAAGACCAUUUGAAAGGUUCCGGUGAAGUUCGGUGAAGUUUGGGAGCAUUCGGGCGUUUCGAUGCGCGUAGGCGCUAAAACGGAGCCGAAAGGCCAUGUUGGGCCGUGAGCUAAAUCCGGCAUUAGCGUGGAUGAAAAGAUGAUGAAAACAUGCUCGAAAACAUGUUUGAAGAGUCUCGGUUCGAUUUGAAACGAAUCGGAGGUCAAACGAGCGAAAACGGACGAAAACGGGCGAAAAUGCUGAAAAUUUGGCUAAGUCCUUGAGGCUGAGUUCUGGACCUUCGGGGACCGGUCUCUCAGCCAAGGACCGGUCUCUCAUCGCAAGGACCGGUCCCCGAGCGCGAAAAUGGCCCCCGCGGGGGCAAUGUAAUAAAGUAAAAGUUGAGGGGCCUAAAUGCACUUUGGGCAUUAUGAGAGUGUAUAGAGAGGGUUCUUUCUCUCUUUCUCUCAUUUCCCUCACUCCAACACCACCUCUCUCUCUCUCUCAACGUGAAGAAGAAGAAGAAGAAAGAGGAGAAGAGAAGGAAGGAAAAGGAGGAAAAAGGAGAGGAGAAGAAGAGGAUCCUCACCACCAUCAUCACCUUCUUCUUCCUCUCACCAUUAGAGCAAGCUUAACAAGGUAAGCUUCAAACCCUACAAUGGUAGAUCUCUAGGGUUUGAUCCUAAUGCUCUAGAAAUGGUUUGAUUAGUGUUCUAGCAAGCUUAAUAGAUGUUUAAAUCUUGAAUCUAGAGUUCGUAUGGUGGAUUUUUGCAUAGUAGCAAUCUAGGGCUCAAAAUGCUAUUUUUGCAAAUAGGUGGGUUUGAUCUAAAUUGGUUGUAUAUAAACCUAAUUGAUUGGUCACUGAACGCGUUGAAAGUGACGGUUUGGCAAUCCGUCGAGCCGUUACAAAGAUAUCGAAGAAAAGGCCGAUUUUGGUACAGAUUGCCGCAGCUCGCGGCGAAAGCUUCCAAAAAUCAUGGAAAUGGAAUCGUAGCAUCGUGGUGUCGGGGAAUAAACUCCAGAACAGACGGAUCGCGGAUAGGAGGUCAUUUGGCAGUCGCGCUUGAGUUGGGUCGAGCCGUGCGGCGUGCGCCGCAGGAGGCCGAUUGCGAGUGACGACGAGCAAUCGGAACGCUAUAAAAGGUGGGUGGUGUCCAUCCCGAAGCAAUCGGGCUCCCUUUUAUGUCUAAGUUUAUAUUGAUCAAAUUGCAUAUUGACAUCUUGAUUAGGUAGGUGAUAAUGAUGCGUUUGAGUCCCUUAUACUUGCUGUUCUUCGUGUAAUUGAAUAUGAUAUUUGGGCUUAGUGCUUAUAUCUAGCAUGUUUGAGCGUUGUUAUAUGUGAUGUGGAACCUAUAUAUGAGAUGAUAAGUGUGGACGGGAUUAGUAUGUAUUGGUAUUGCAUUGGGGAAACUUGCUCAAAGAAACGAGGUAGGAAUCUAGUUGAUAGUAAAAAAGGACACGAGUUGACAUAUGGUGAGUCGUAGUGUAUAUGAUAACCUAUGGACUUAUAUGUAUGAUUGUGACCAGAGGACAGGGUAUCUCGAGCUUAGAGGUAUUGGAUCAUGUUUCACGGUUGUCUUUAAAUUUGUGAUGGAGCCCCACUAAGUAUGCUCGCGCUCGAGCAUGUUGGUCACGUGGGAUUGCCUAUUUUGGUCACAAGGGAUAUGCUAUUUGGCCCCGUCCGACGGUCUCGGGAGUCCGUAGUAUGACGUUAUAUUCCUCCCUACGUGUCGAGAUGAGCGUGUGAGCUGUAAGCGAGCCUUCGGGUUUAAGCCAUGCAGAUUGAAUGAAACAAAUAAAUGAGAUUAGAUUGAACGAUGAAUAGCUCACCUCUUGGACAUGUUGGAACAGGUUAGUUGCUACUACUUCAUUUGUACAUGCAUUCAUAUAUUAUGAUUGGAUAGUAGAGUAGCUUUACCUUUGUCAUUUACCUGUUUUCCUUAUCUAUCAUUACUAUCGAUUAUCUACUCCUGUGCCAACUUGGAGCCUAGUGGGAAUCGGCGGAUGUCGGCGGACCGAACCACUGUGAAACUAAGAAGUAGGUUCUCACUCCCAUUUUAUACAGGGCGACGGCUGACGUUCAACGGCGAGGAUCGGCGAGUGUAAGGCUAAGCGCCCUAGUGUGCAUUAGUCUCUUCGUAUUCUAUUAGAGUCACCUUUAUAUGCUUUGAGAGUAGAUGAUGUAUAGGAUGUGAGCUAUUUGGGAUGAUGUAAGUUAUACUAUGUUUUGGAAAGUCAAUGUAUAAUCAAAUUGUAUUAUGAAGGCUGAAUGAAUGUAAGUCGAUAGAUGUUCCUCUCUUUAUAUUACUUGUAUGUUCUAUAUUGUAUCUUGCCUUCCGGUCGUUUUGACUGAUUGUGCUCUCGUUUGUAUAUCGAUUGUGUAUGUAUUUCAGUUAUUUUCCUGGGAACUUGUGUACCAAUCUCGUUGUUAGCUUUGGGCGGACAGGGGCAGGUGCUGUCCGUCCGGCGUCUGUUCGACGCGCCCGGCCGAGCCAAAUUGGUAGCGGUCGCGGGGCGGUGAUAGAUAAAGUGGUAUCAGAGCAAUAAAGAGCAAGUAAAGAGAGAAGUUUAGGAUGGACCUAGGAGACCCGUAGGACGGUGAACCUAAGGUUUAGGUGGUGAGUGACCGUGAACUAUGGUUGUGGCGGAAGUUGAAUUGAUUGCGGUCAAGUUUUGUAAACCUCUAAGACGGAUAUUAGAGGUAGACUCAGGUGGGUGUAUUUCUCCCCAGUGUGUUCAUGUUGGCGCGCGACAACAUGAAACCUAGUGAUGAGAAUAGGCACCCUUGUAUGACUUUCGCCUGAUUCGAGUCACGUUGUCUAGUAGUUGCGACGAGAUUAACAGGUUAAGGUGAUUAACCAAGUUGUUGCGUUUCAGGAGCUAUAGCACCAAAGAGACGCCCUGUGACUAGACCCACUCUCGCACCAACGCCCGAGGUGCCCGAGCAGUCUGGAUCUGAAGAAGUGCAAGAAUUACGAGCGCAGAUGACUACGCUUAUCGGCGUGAUUCAACGCCAAGGAAGUCAGAUCGAGCGGCUCCAAGAGCUUUUGGAGCGACAAGUGGCGACGACGGCCGUGACGACAACUAAAGGCCAUGGUCCGCCCGCGCCCUCGGCUCGCGCGCCUGAUGCGCCUGAGGGCGUGAGCAUUUUGGUAGCUCAGGCGGCGGCGCUUCCCCUACCGGCUAGUGUUCCUUUGGCGGCUUCAGGUCCUACGAUACUCGAUGCGGCAGCUGGGGAAGUGAGACCGGAACGCGAGGCGUUCAAGGAGAGUGGAGUGAAGCAACGACCUCGUGGUGGUUCGGGGAGACAGUCUAGUUCCAAAAAGGCCCCGAAGUACCAAAAGCGGCGGUCCAUUAGACAAGGACCUAUGCGGUGCGUGAUCUGCGGUGGAGGACAUCGCGCGGGGAAUUGUAGGGAUCGGGCGGGGCGGUGCUUCAAGUGUGGUCGAGCGGGACAUAUGGCCCGUCAGUGCGCGGAAGGAGUGCCACCUGCCCCGUCAGUUGCAUCUGCCCCAGAGAUUCAGCGACAGUUUGGUGGAGUCCCGUCUGCUACCGCCGUAUCUGCGGGGUGUGUGAUUUGUGGAGGAUCCCACCAGGCGCGGCGGUGUGCACUGCGAGAGGGAAGGUGUUUUCGUUGUGGGCAGUCUGGCCACAUGAAGUAUGAUUGCCCCUUGGACGAUGGACGACUCCCGCCGACAGCGUCGACAUUCACCUCUUCGGGACAGAUGGUGGAUGUGCAGCCUGUGGCACAGUCUGGAGGGCUGGGGGUGGUCGAGCAGCCGGAGGAUUCACAGGAGGCGCCAAGCGGCCCUGGAUACGCGGCUCAUGUCGAGGGACCUGCUGCUGUUGGUGAUGUUACCGCAGGUAUGAUUUAAUUAAAGCAAUCAUACAUUCUAGCAUGAAGUAGUUUGAGCAAUUGUAUGCAUUUGCUUGUGGUCUUUUACUAUUAUUUACAUAUUGGUAUAGUAGAGACCAGGACGCAGGUCAGAGGAGUCACCCAGCAUGCAUAAGUCGUGGUGGUAUGUCGCCUACCUAAAGAAAUUGGUGAUUGGUCGGUGCCGGCAAGCUGCUGGUGACGAACCGAGAGCGAGACUCCCUUUGGGGAUCUAUGCGUUGUAGAGUGAGGAAGGGCACACCUAGCCGUAUGCUGCUUGUAAACAAUCGGCAAAGGUGUGGUGGAAAGGCAUUUGACGGAACCGAUUGCCUGGUAUCCCUCCUAUGGUCUGGGAUAAGUUCGGGAAUUGGCAUUCCCCGUUCACUUCCCCGACGGUAAGCGAGGAAGCUUCAGAAGGGUUUCUGAAGCUGUGGCAGGUAAACAGCACUGUGAGGCGAUACGAGCGGGAAUUCUCCCGUGUCGUGCGUUGCGUCCCGAACGUAGCGCGGGAUGACAAGGACAUGGCCGACUGCCUUGUGCGUGGACUUCGGCCAGACCUUUGCAAGACUGUGCUUGCACAUAAGUUGCAGACUUUCGCCGACGUCCGGGAUCGGGCCUUGUGGAUAGAACAAGUUGAGGAAUCCCUGCGGGAGGAGCGCGAGGCAUACUACAAGGAAAAGGGGAAAGGACAGCCAGUGAGUGAACAUGAUGGUCAGUCAAAUUCCCAACGAACUUCGAUAAGUUCGCGCUCGCGAUCCCGAGCUCCGGGGACUUACCACAUUCGGUCCUCGGCGAGAUGUAUUAUUUGUGGGGGCCCUCAUUGCCACGGUAGUGUGAACAGCGUGAGGGCAAGUGCUUCAGGUGUGGGCUGCUGGGCCACGUGCGGGACAAGUGUCCGCAAAGGCGAUAGCUGGGCCUUGACGCUAACGACGGCCUAUCCCUCUCUGGGACAGCCUGCAGGUGUGCCACCUGCGGCAUGGUCAGGAGAGCAGCCGUUGAGGACGUUGAAAUCAGAGAGUUCGCGACGAGCGCCAAGUGGCCAUGGAUAAGCGACCCGAGUUGCGGUGCUUGCUGUUGUCAACGUCGUUGUAGCAGGUAUGAAUUAAUUGAGCAAGCAUAUUUUUGCAUGAUCCCAAGUUGUUGCAUAGCAUGCAUUCAUCAUAUGGUCAGUUACUACUAUUACUACAUUACAUAGUAGGGACCGAGUGGUCGGGUAAGUAGGUACCCGAGCAUGCUAGCAGGAUGAGAGUAUGGCGCCUGCUGAGCAUGCUAGUGGCCUCUACUACUAUAUUCUACAAUCUAGAUUCAACCACACUAGGUGUCUCUAUAUAUCAUAACCUAGGUUCAACCACGCUAGGUUUUAUGUCAUUUUCCACCUAGAUCUCGACUCUAGGUUCACUUGUUCAACCUAUGUUCCAUGACACUAGGUUCAUGCCACUCGAUCUACUUAUUAUCCUAGCUGUCCACACCUAGGGUUGUAAUUUACAUGUACUUGCUUUGCAACUGUCGAAUUCUCUAAUCAACCUAGAGUUAUCGACCGGAAUUCUCAUCUACAUGAAUCUAGCACAGGCUACAACCUGUCAACAUGCAUGUAUAGUCUAGCAUGAUCCACAACAUGUCAACAUGCAUUUUAUCUAGCAUAUUCUACAAUAUCAACAUGCAUUCAUCUAGCAUAUUCUACAAUAUAUCAACAUGCAUUCAUCUAACAUAUUCUACAAUAUAUCAACAUGCAUUCAUUGGUAGUAACAUCAACUAACAUAAUAUGAUUCCUGCAUUCAUAUUAUAAUCCACAACCUACCACUAUAUAUAUAUAUGCAUCAAUGAUAAUUAAUAUCUCACUUCGACAUGGAAGUGAGUAAUCUCUUUGGUUAGCAUAACCCACCUCGUAUCGCUCUUCGAUUGCUUGUCGACACUUGUAAUUGGCCUCCUGCGGCACUUGUUGUCCAGUUCGGCUCGAACUUGCAACCGAUCGCCAACCGCAAGUCAAUCCGCGACCUAGGGUUGUCAAGGACCCUUCUCUAACCUCCAAUUAAAGAAACAUAGGGUUUAAUUAGAUCAAAACCCUCCAAAUCCCAAAACCCCCAUCUCUAACCCUAGCAUGAGACAAUCUCCAAUUAACCAAAAAUCUCAUGGGGAAAACAUGCUAGAAUUACUUUAGAGACUAGUAGAAUACCAAGCAUAAAGGAUUUAACCAAUCCUAAACACUUACCAAAAUGCGAACGCCGAGUCGGAAGCACGCUGCUCCAAUGGGCGCACGAAGACUCGAUCCGUCGCUCCACACGCGUUCCCACGCCUGCUCUCUGCCAAGCCUCCGAAUUUGGGAGAGGGAUCUAGAGAGAGAAGGAAGAUAUCUAGAGAGAGAGGAGAGGUUCUCUCUCUACCUCAUAGUGUGUGUGUGCGCGCGCGCUAAAAUGGCUGAGGGAGGAGAAGAAAGGAGAUGGCCCCUUUUUAAAGUCAACCCCUACCACUUAAUUACAAGAAUGCCACUCUGCCGGGGCAUUUUCGAGCUUCGGGGUCCGGACCUUAGCCCUAGGAUCCGGACCCUGUAGGUCCAGAAACGCCGAAAAAUUAGCCUUUUGCCAAUCGGGUCCGUUUUCACUCGUUUUCACUCCCGGGGCCUCCGAUUCAUCUCAAAUCGCACCGAGACCCCCAAAACAUGUUUUCGAGCGCAUUUAGACCGUCUUUUCAUCCACACUUUGCCGAAUUUCGGUCAAGGUCCAACCAUAGCUUUUCGGGUUUCGUUUUCGCGCCCGACGCGUACAAAAAAGGCCCGAAUGCUCCCGAACUUCACCAAAACUGUUCCAAUAAUAGCUUUCCAAACUAACAUACCCCGUAACUUUAUAACUAUAGAAGUUCGAUAUGCUACAAUAGAGCUGCUAGGACUAAAACAUAUAUAUAUAUAACAUAAAGGAUUCACUGUACAUACAACAUCUACAACUACACCUCGCUCCAGCGAGUACAAAAACCAUAAAGUAUGUACAUGAAUACAACUCACUCCCUCUGACGGGUACUCCGCUAGCACAGCGACCAAGGUCGGUAGAGAUCUAGCUCGCGACUCCCUUACCACGGUCAGAAUUAGCUACAGCAGCAGCCGCAAACGAAGGCUCUGCAAAAAGGUGGCAACAACUAGGUGUAAGAACUACUGCAAAAUAGAGUAGUCCUCAGUGGGACCAUUCCCGACCUCAACGGCUCACCCAUUAAGUCUACAGUAAGGAUAGUAAGGAAAGCUGGAAAGAAAUCUACAGCUACAUGGCUCUAUACUAUCGCUACCAAAACAAGCUAUCUGUAGGCAUAAACAUGCAUCAUUAGCUACCACUGACCUAAUCUCACACGGGCUGCCCAAACAGACCCAUCCUGCCUGAAACCAAGCUACACCGUACACCACCCACGGGGAUGGCCGGUCUAAGUAAACUGUCUAAAUAGGACGGCAGCAACAUCAACGCAAGUCAGAGCCUCACUCCGAAGCACACUCGUGGGCGCGACCCAAUCGAGUAUGCAAGCGUGUCUCUGUCGAGCUCAAUCAGACUCACACAGGCUAUAGUCAAUGCAAAUGGGUCUAACUGGUCUAACAACGAAAGCUUACAUACCCUUGGCACAAUCUGAUGUAAGAUACAGAAAUCUGGGUCACCGUCAACCACGACGGCACCCGACAGUAUGGAACAGUCUACACUCCACUGUAAAACGAGCUCGGCCCCUCAACACAAGCGUAAUCUCAACCUACACUAGUCUGAGUAUCCACCUCACACUAACAACGAUGAUACAAAUGAACAACAGCUCCUAAAACUAAUUCGGUAACUUUUUGAAAAAUGACAGUGUAGGUUAACGAGUUUUCUCCUAAGUCAAUUCAAGGUCCAGCAUAUAAAUUUUUCUAAAUUACUAAAUCAUGCUCCAAAACUCAGAUUUCAUAAAACAUGCAAUUUCUGAAUUUGAGCUACUAACAUGAUAACCAAAACAAGAACCACAUGCUGACAACUCUACGACUUAGGAGGAAAUCCGACGAUUUCGGUAAACAUCAACCCACCUCGAGCGCUCGUCCAACGUCGGCUAGAAGUCGAUAGGAGAACUUCGCACGCUCGCUCGACCUCCGACAGCUCAACCGGGACAACCCACGCGCUCGAACGAUCCUCCUAGGAAAUGAAGAAUCCAAACGAGAUCGAACCUUGACCUUCCCAACGAACGGAGUAAACAAGCUAGAGAGAGAAAAGAAUAGGAGAAACUUACUGUUUCUCCAAGCUUCUCAGGCUACUAUAUAAGCUGGGGUAGGUGGCGAUACAAUCCACAACCAAGAAGACCAAAAUAUUCCUUACCAACCCAAAUCUGCCCGUGGGGUACCGGUACUCAUCUUGAAUACCGGUACUCGGCCUUCUGUCCGCAACAUAGCGCGCUGGGUACUGGUAUCAGCCCAAUGCAGUACUGGUACUCAAGCUUGGUACCGGUACUCAACGAUAGGUACUGGUACUCAGCAUCAAACAUGCGCAACCCAAAAGCAUCCAGUUUUGCAACCACACUGGGGUGCCGGUACUUCUCCCCAGGUAGAAAUAUUUAAAUUUUGGUUUCUAGAUGCUUUAAGUAGUAUAGAUCAUGUUCAACGGUGCCAAUCGUCGAUUUAGAGGCUCCAUCAUCGAAAACAAAUGGGUGGCAACGGAGCCCGUUUACUAUCGAUAGUAUUCUAGCUCAACUCUAUAUAUAUAUAUAAUUGAGCUAGAAUACUCUCAAAAGCACCAACCUAUUGGUGCUUUUGAAUUUCUAGCCCUUGGAUCUACUCCUUGAUUACUAAUAACUUUUGAAUCAAACACUAUUCCACCUACUACCACCUACCACCAUCAUCUCAACCCUACAUCUCUCCAUCCAAUGGCUAAAAACUCAAAAGCAUCAACCCUUUGGUGCUUUUGAGAGUAUUAUAGUUCAACUCUCUCUCUCUCUCUCUCUCUCUCUCGCUCUCUCUCUCUCUCUCUCUAUAUAUAUAUAUAUAUAUAUAUAGAGAGAGAGAGAGAGAGAGAGAGCGUCUGGUAUGCUUUUGGAAGCACGGAGCGCUCUGUGCUUCCAAGUUGUUUUCGAUGUUCGGACUUUCGAAUCGACGAUCGGCUCCGUUAGACUUGAUCUAGAGUAUUUGAAGUAUCUAGAAAAUAAAUUUUGCGAUUUUUCGAUAUCAUUUGCCUAGUGAUCGAAGUGGCUCAAAAUCAACGACUGAAAAUAAAAAUCUUACAAAAUAUGAUGAUAUGACAUUAAAAUUUUAGAUCAAAAUUAUUAAUCUUGUUUUAUAUGGUAUAAAGAAUUUUCUAUCAAAAUUUCAUGUGAUUUGGAUAUUUCUACACCGUUAAACUUGCAAACGGCUCACCACGGCCAUUAAAAUUAUUGAUUUUGAGCCCCUUCGAUCACUAGGCAAAUGAUAUCGAAAAAACACAAAAUUCAUUUUCUAAGUACUUCAAAUACUCUAGAUAAAUUCUAGCGGAGCCGAUCGUCGAUUCGAAAGUCCGAAUAUCGAAAACAACUUGUAAGCACGGAGGGCUCCGUGCUUCCAGAAGCAUACCAGCCCACUCUCUCUCUCUCUCUCUCUCUCUCUCUCUCUCUCUCUCUCUCUCUAUAUAUAUAUAUAUAUAUAUAUAUAUAAAAUUGGGUUGGAUUACUAUUAAUAGUAUUUGGGCUAUUUUAUUAUCAAGUUUUUGACCCUUGGAUUAAAAAUUAUAGGGUUAGUAUGAUAGUGCUCCCUAAGGUUUAGUGGUGGUCCCCGAAGGUCGAGUAGGUGGUUGGUUGAAUAGUACGAUCUAAAGGGUGAACUUUAUUGAAAGGUAAAUCUAGCGGUUAAAAAAUUGAUAGGAAAAGAACUCAAAUACUAUUAAUAGUAUUUCAGUUCAACUUUCUCUCUCUCUCUAUAUAUAAAGAGAGAGAGAGUCCGGCUAUUAUACUUUUAUGAGUAUAGAUCUUUUUGUACUCAUAAGUUUUCGGCUAUUAGAUCUACCCCUUUGAUUAUUUCUAUCCGUUAGAUCGUACUAUUCAACCCACAACCCACUCAACCCUAGGGAAUCACUAUCAUACUAACCAUACAUUCCUUUAUCUAACGGCUGAAAACUUAUGAGUACAAAAGAGUUUAUACUCAUAAGAAUAUAAUAGCCCUAGCCUAUAUAUAGAGUCCAUGUGAGACCCCAGGUAGUCCUAUAUAUAAGAUAUAAUAGCAUUAAAACUCUUAAUCCGGCUUAAACAUUUUGGGUAGUGGCUAGGCCCAAGAGGUUAAGAGUGUUAAGCGUGCUAGUACGGUAGUCCUAGGAUGGGUGACACCCUGGAAAGUUGGGAUGUCACAUUUGGUAUCAAAACCAAUUACCAGCCAGAAGUGUGAGAUGAGUUAUCACUUGACUGUUUUAGGUAAAGCGCUGCUCCCACAAGGUUAGUUUAGGCUAGUGAGACGAGUCUCACAUUACCUGAUACUUGUGAGUCUAAGCCUGACGAUGACAUCAGGGCUUAAAGGGAGGGAGAAUGUGAGACCCCAGGUAGUCCUAUAUAUAUGAUAUAAUAGGGCUAAUACUUUUAACCGGGUUUAAGUAUUUUGAGUGGUGGCUAGGCCCAAGAGGUUAAGAGAGUUAAACGUGCUAGGAUAAGAGUAGUCCUAGGAUGGGUGACCCAUUGGAAAGUUAGGACGUUACAUUUGAUAUGAGAGCCAAUUACCAGCCGGAAGUAUGAGAUGAGUCUUAGCUGAACCAGGGUUAUACAGCGGGGAGUGCUUAAGCAUUUUGAGUGGUGGCUAGGCCCAAGAGGUUAAGAGAGUAAAGCGUGCUAAGAUGGGAGUAGUCUUAGGAUGAGUGACCUCUUGGAAAGUUGGGACGUUACAUUUGGUAUCAGAGCCAAUUACCAGCCGGAAGUGUGAGAUGAGUCUUGGCUGAACCAGGGUUAUACAACGGGGAGAGCGAGGCUCUCAUACUGUUGACUAUUGUGGGUAGAGCACGGCUCCCCCAUAAGUUCGGUUUAGGCGUUGUGGGUAGAGCACGGCUUCCCCACAAGGUCGGUUUAGGCUAGAGAGACGAGUCUCACAUCGCCUGGUAUGAACCUUACGAGGACGUCAGGGCUUAAAGGGAAGAAAAUGUGAGAUCCAAGGUAGUCCUAUAUAUAAGAUAUAAUAGGGCUAAAACUCUUAACCCGACUUAAACAUUCUGAGUGGUGGCUAGGCCCAAGAGAUUAAGAGAGUUAAGCGUGCUAAGGUGGGAGUAGUCCUAAGAUGGGUGACCCUUGGGAAGUUGGGGUGUCACGGUAAUGUAACGACCCGACCUACUAGCAAUAAUAACUCGUUGGGCCCAACCACCUACCCAAAAUACUUAAGCCCAGUUAUGAUUUCUAGCCUAAUAAAGCUUAUGUACUCCCAUAUCUAGCUAUAACUUUCCGAUGUGGGCUUAUUGGGGUGUCACAGACUCCCCCAGUUUAGACCCUGAUGUCCUCGUCAGUCCUAGACACACAUAGAGCACAACAUCACCAGGCCAAUGUGAGACUUGUCUCACUAACCUUUGUCAUUCCGACCCUGACUUAUCUUGUCAAUUACCAACUCUGACUUCCGACCCUGACUCAGCCAACACUCAUCUCACACUUCCGGCUGGUGAACUGGCUCUGAUACCAAAUGUAACGACCCGAUCCACUAGUAAUAAUAACUUGUUGGGCCCGAACCACCGGCUCAAAAUGCUUAAGUCCAGUUAUUAUUUCUAACCUAAGCAAGCUUAUAUACCCUCACAUCUUACUAUAACUACCCGAUGUUGGAUUAUUGGGGUGCCACAGUUCGGCUACCAUACUGUUAUGAGUAUAGAUCUUUUUGUACUCAUAAGUUUUCGACCGUUAGAUUUACCCCUUUGAUUACUUCCACCUAUUAGAUUGUACUAUUCAACCAACAACCCACUCAACCCUUGGGGACUACUAUCAUCCUAAUCUGGGAUGAUUAUCAUCCUAACCGCACAUUCUUUCAUCCAACGACUGAAAACUUAUGAGUACAAAAGAGUUUAUACUCAUAAGAGUAUAGUAGCUCUAGCCUAUAUAUAGAGUCCGGCUACUGUACUGGUAUGAGUAUAGACCUUUUUGUAUAAGUAUUCAACAAUAAUAGUGAUAAGCAUCAAUACUGAUUGAGAUGGAGCAAAUGGAGGAUUAAUUUUGUGAAAGCACUGCUCGUAGACAAUAAUUUCUCAUUACUCAAAUCAAAGAAUAUAUAUCAAAGAUAGGAGAUAAAAUUAACAUUUUAAGUCAUUUUAAGUUAAUCCAAAGUUCAGAUUAGUCCUAUACUUUAUAUAUGUAUAUAGGAAAUUUAACUGUCCAAAAUAAGUGUACUAUUUGCGAUCAAAUUAUGUAAAUUUCAAUAAAAUUUAAUUUUGUUAAAUGUUUUAGCUGUGCACUUUAGCAAGUGAGUAAAGUUGAAUAUUUCAAAUUAGUAGCUAUGCUAUGAUAUUAUCUAUACUUACAUCAUAUAUAAUUGUAUAGAUUAAUAUAUGAUUUCACUUCGUUCGAUUAGUGAAGGUCUUGUCCGUUCGGUGAACUUGUGCACGUACCUGAGCGGACCUAAUUGGGGUUGGCCUAUUUAUUUAGGUAAUUUUAUAAACACAUCUUCUCGACAUUGCCAUGUUCUUUUGCAUGGUGCUCGGUCAUAUCCAAUACAACUUCAUUGUACACGUGCAAGGAACAUGACUAAGUCAAUAGUAAGGUGUAUAAAUACAUGCAUUAUUUAAUUAAUUUACAUAAUUUACUAUUGUUGAUUCAAUAGUUAAGGCUUAGCACGUGCAAUUAAUGAAUUUCAAAAGUAGCCAUAGCUAGAUUAAUUAUAGAUAUAUAUAAUUUCGGCUGAUUAUUAAUAUCACUUUGUUUUCCGUAGAUUAAUAAUUAACUAAGACUAAGUAAAUUUGUGUACGUAUGUGUGCUCGUGUUUGUGUGCAUAUAGGACUAAGUAUUUAUGCAUUUGUGUUUGUAUGAUUUGGAUAUUUUUGACUAAGGCCUCGUUUGGAAUUAAUUUGUUUCCAUAGAAAGAUACUAUAAUAUUUAGAUUGCACUAAUUCAAUUACAAUAUCAUAUUUUAGUUAUAUUGAAAAAUUUAAAAAUGCAUAAUUUUAUAUGCGUUUAUUCUAUUUUUAGUUUUAUCUAAUAGUUAGAUAGUCCUUAAACAUAAAACAUUUAGAUUGCACUAAUUCAUGACGGUUGUUUUGAAUGACAUUAGCACUAUAUAUAUCAAGAUGUUUCUAAGACUCCAACAAUUUUUUCUACAACAAAAUUAAAAUACUAAAUUUGGAUUUAUAAUGUUGAAGCUGAGAAUCUUAUUUCUACCUCCAGCUAUCAGCAGAAGCCAAAAUUUUUUUUCUUUAUGGUGUGCUUGGAUCCUUGUAAAAUUAUCCGAAAAUUCUUUUCGGUUGAAAAGUAAUUUUUUUGAUGUAUUGUUACUAGUAAAUUUUUUUUAAAAUAAUUUUGUUUUAAAGAUUUCACAGAAAAGAGAAGUUUUUAUUUUCCGCUCUCUUCAAGUACUGGAAAACGAAAACUUCUGCCUGAAAAGACGCAACUUUUGGGAGAGUUGCAUCACACGGUCCAUGAGGUCCACUCUACCUCGUGGCCCGUGUGAGAGAGGUGCGCGGACCACUUGGUCUCCUCUUUCAUUAUGUAUUAUUAUAUUCUUAUAAUUAAGUAUAGAGUUCUUUAUACUCAUAAGUUUUUUAAUCGUUGAAUGAAAUAAUGUGUGGUUAGGAUGAUAGUGAUAUCUCAGGGUUGAGUGAUGGUUGAUUGAAUAGUAUAAUUUAACGGAUAAAAAUAGUCAAAAGGGUUGAUCUAACGGCCGAAAACUAAUGAGUACAAAAGGACCCAUACUCAUGAGUAUAGUAGCCGGACUCUCUCUCUAUAUAAUAAUUUUUUUAAAUAAUAUUUAUAAAUACCUAGUAAUUUAUUUCAUAGUAUUAAAUAUAUACUAUUAUAUAUUAUAUUACAUAUUUUUUGUAUAAUAUAUUUUAAAUAUAUUUUAUUUUAUAAAUAUAAACUAUAAUACUAAUAUAUGUAAUAUGAUAAUUAUUAUAGACGAGCUAUUAUAUGUUCGGAAGCACAAGAGAAUUGGUGUUUUGACCAUUUCUGACCUUUGGAUUAAAAUUAUUAUCAUAUAAGAACCGCUCAAUUCUAGGAAAAUUAUUCAACCCUAAGGUGGGCCGCUAUUCUACAAUCCUUAAUUCAAUGGCCAAAAAGUUGGAAGCACUAAUUCUCUUAUAUUUGAAAACGCAGUAGCCCUACACAUUAUUAUAUAUCAAUAGGCUAAAUUGCAAAAAAUCCUGCUGUCAAUACAUGUUUUUUCACUUUCUCCUCCUGUCAUUCAAAAACCUAUAUUUUGUCUCCUUAAAAAAUAAAAAAAUAUUCACUUUGACCCCUGUCGUCAAUGUUCCACUAGUGUUCUGUUUAUAUCCUAUUUUUUUAUAUCUAAAAUACCCCCAAAAUCCUCCUCCUUCCUUAUCCUCAGUCGCAUCACCUCACUCUGCGCUGCCUCGCUCUCGCCCACCUCUCUGUUCAUGCCCAUACACACACCCUCGCUCGCCUGCGUGGCUUCACCCUCACCUUUGCCUAUCUCUCCAUCCACGCCCACCUUGGAGAGGAUGAGAGGCAAUUUGGUUAUUUUGUCACAACGUACCCCCCUAUAAAUAUUUUUUUUAUUUUUUAAAAGGGUAAAUGAUAAAAGUGGAUAUUGAGAGGGAAUUUUCUAUAAUUUAGCCAUAUCAAUAAUAUAUAUAUCAGUUCGGCUGGGAUACUAUCUAUUGAGUUUUUUACCAUUAGAUUUAAUCCUUUGAUUAUUUUUACCCAUUAGAUUAUACUAUUCAACCAACCACUCACUCAAUCUUAGGAGACCUACAUCAUCCUAACCACACAUUUCUCAAUCCAAGGGCUAAAAAAUUAAUAGCACCAAUAGCUUGGUGCUAUUGAUAGUAUUCCAGUCUAGUUAUAUAUAUAUAUAAUUGAGCUCCUAUGCUUUUAAAAAUACCAAGUUAUUGGUGCUUAUAGAUUUUUAGCCGUUGUAUUAAGGGAUAUGCGGUUAGGAUGAUGUGGACCCCCUUGGGCUGAGUGAGUGGUUGAUUGAAUAGUAUAAUCUAACGGUUAAAAAUGAUCAGAGGAGUAGAUCUAACGGUAAAAAAUUUACAAGCACCAAAUACUUGGUGCUUUUACAAGCACCAUAGCCGUUCAUUUUGACAUUUUUGAUCUAGAUUAAGGUUAAGGUUAACAUUCUUGAUCUUGAAUUUAAAAAUCCUAUACUCAAAUUUUAAAGAUUAUACAAUUUUCACCAUUCAUUUUGACAUAAUUUAUUUAUUAAGUAAACGACGUCGAAAAAAACUAAAAUUUUAUUUCUAAGAACUUCAUAUACCCUAAAUCAUAUUUAAUGGUGUGGAUCGUUAAUUUGAACAACCUAAGAUCGAAAAUAAGACUAUAGUACCGGAGCUCCGGUACUAUAGAUAGUAUAGUAGCCCAAUUCUAUAUAUAUAUAUAUAUAUAUAUAUAUAUAAUAAUNUCGUUAAAAUGGACAAUUAUUAGACCUUUUGACCGUAGGGUAUCAAACGCGAAAAAUUAUAAAACUUGCUUUAUAGAAUGUUUAAAUGUUUUAAAUUAUAUUUAAUAGUAUUGAUCGCCGAUUUGAAAGUUACUAGCAUUAACUAAAAAAAGAAGUAAGAAAUAAUAACCUUAUGGGCAAUGUUAUACGAACCAAGUCCAACAGUGAUCCGAAAAUAUUAUUGAAUCAAGGAUCAUUGGUUCAAACCAAUGAGUCAACCAUUAAUUAAACCAAUGACGUCAGCAUAACAUAUUAAGAGCCUGUUUGGAUACACAGUAAAAUAUCUCAACGAAAUUUAUAAACUGUGGUUUCGUCUAGAUAAAAUGGAGAAUCCUGCAACUCUAAAAAAUUCCACGGAUUCAAUUUUUAAACUGUUUGGAUACGCAUUGUACAAUUUCACAGAAUUUUUCUAAAUUUUAAGAUUAAAAGUUAAAAUUUAAAAUUUNNNNNNNNNNNNNNNNNNNNNNNNNNNNNNNNNNNNNNNNNNNNNNNNNNNNNNNNNNNNNNNNNNNNNNNNNNNNNNNNNNNNNNNNNNNNNNNNNNNNNNNNNNNNNNNNNNNNNNNNNNNNNNNNNNNNNNNNNNNNNNNNNNNNNNNNNNNNNNNNNNNNNNNNNNNNNNNNNNNNNNNNNNNNNNNNNNNNNNNNNNNNNNNNNNNNNNNNNNNNNNNNNNNNNNNNNNNNNNNNNNNNNNNNNNNNNNNNNNNNNNNNNNNNNNNNNNNNNNNNNNNNNNNNNNNNNNNNNNNNNNNNNNNNNNNNNNNNNNNNNNNNNNNNNNNNNNNNNNNNNNNNNNNNNNNNNNNNNNNNNNNNNNNNNNNNNNNNNNNNNNNNNNNNNNNNNNNNNNNNNNNNNNNNNNNNNNNNNNNNNNNNNNNNNNNNNNNNNNNNNNNNNNNNNNNNNNNNNNNNNNNNNNNNNNNNNNNNNNNNNNNNNNNNNNNNNNNNNNNNNNNNNNNNNNNNNNNNNNNNNNNNNCUCUCUCUCUCUCUCUCUCUCUCUCUCUCUAUAUAUAUAUAUAUAUAUAUAUAUAAUAAUUUUUUAUUUAUAACUUCUUUUUUUUUCGUUUCAACCAAACAAUCGUGAUAGAAUACUUUUAUUUUGUUACCAACCAAAUACUAAAUAACGUGAAAUUUAUUUCCUUUAAAAGAAUUUUUUUUUUUUUUCACAAUUUUACGUAGAAUUAAAUAACCCUUUACCAAUUGCUCUCACUAGAGACGUGAAAGCAGCGACGAAAACAAAACAAAUGGAUUCUUUAAUAAUUGAAAAAAAAAUGAUAAAGUUGGGUCAUUUUCAAAUUGAAUUAUUUAACAUUUUUAAUAUUUUUAAAAAAAUUAUAACGUUUUCUUUUUCUUUUUGCUAAGAAAGGGAGGUAGUUUCGUAAGCAUCAAUCACAAAUUAAAUGACGGGAAAUCAUGUUCCCUUCCUCCCCCGUGUUGACUUUUAUUCAAAGCUGCGAACGUUGGUUUAAAAAAAAUAAUAAGCCAAACAUUUUAUAUUUUAUACAUUAUUUAUUUUUUUAUUUAUUCAUUUAUAUUUUUGUGGAUGUAAACUUGGAGGAUAGUUUUGCUGCAACCAACUCAUCUAGAACUUCAAAUAAUUAUUUAAAUUUAUUAUUUAAUNAAAUUUAAAAGUUAAAACUUGAUGCAUUUUUUUGAAUAAGGGAGCUCAAGAAUGGUGGAAUUUUUUUCCUUUUGUUAGAGUGAAUUAUACUUUUACUCCAUUUUUUGGAGUAUAGUUUAACUAUACUCCAAAAAUUACGUUACUUUUUUUCCUCCCAAACGUUUCAUAGGAUAUUUUUUCGACUGCCGUAACAUAGUUUAACUAUGCUACGUUUUCAGAAGUAUCCAAACGGGGCCUAAAUAUUUAAUUAUUUUUUAAUUUUAUUAUCACGCCCCGGAUUACAAGUUCCCCGGGCACGCCAACAAAUCCGCCGUACACGAAGGAAUUUCCCCUGUAUACGAGCGAUAGCUGUACCUGUAAAACAUACAAUACUACAAACAGUAGUAUAGAGCCGCUAGAAGAACUAGUAAAGUAAAAGAAACCGAGUUCCAUAUACAUACACUGAAUCCCAGAGUACAAAACUACUCGCGCUGGCGAGUUAAAAGUCUGUANUAAAGUAAAAUUUCUAUUUGAAAAUUAAUAAUUGAUUCUUUUAAAAAGAUAAUAUCUUCGACCUUUGGAGUUUUUAUUUUUUGUGAAAAACAAAAUAUAAGAUCUUGUUUGGUGUAAGACUUUUGGAGUUUUUAUUUUUUGUGAAAAACAAAAUAUAAGAUUACAAUCCCGGUUUACUAGCAUCUGUAUACCCUUAACCUUAACCUUAAUAAUCAAAUAUCGGGUAUAUCCCUGUUUACUCAAAAAAAGAUCUUGUUUGGUGUUAUUAUUAUAUUUGCUGCUGAAAACUAUUAAAGGAUUUUAAUAAAAAAUCUUUUAGUAUUUUAAAUGGCUAAAUGCUGAAUAAAACACACUCUAGUUUGCCAUGAUUUAGAAAUCAGGUCGAAUAGGCUGGUUCGACCGGUCCGACCGUAAUCUAGUUCAUAAAGUAAUUUGAUUCUAUCCUUUGAAUAUGUUAAAAAACUGUUUUGAACCAUUUGAACCGGCGGUUAAAAUAUUAACGAUGAAGUAAUCCGAUUUUAAUCAAGUUGAUUGUAUUUUGUUCAUAAAGUCAUAUUAAAAUUCAAUGACUUAAAAUUAACUUAGUUGAUUUUAUUUUCUAUUAGUACAUACUAAUUUUAUAAAAAUUAAAAUUUGAAAACUUAUAUUAACUUAAUUUGGUCAAAAAUCAGUAUUUUAUAAUAAAGUAUGAUACUAAAAAUAAAAACAUAUAUAAUAAAAAUAAAAAAUAAUAAUUAAGUUAUGUUAUUUUUCUCACGUCAAUGAUUCAAUUAAUAAUUGACGCGCGCUGUGGUUGAAUCAGCCAUUCUGGACCCAUGCCAACAACUUUUCCGAGGCGUUAUUCGACCUGAUUUUUAAAACAUUUCUAAUCUAGUGAUAUAUUCAAAAUAUAUCGACUCUGAUUAAAUCACGUGUGUCCGUAUAUCCUGUGCACUUUAGUUAAUUAGUCCUCUAUUUUUUUUUUCUUUUUUCCCUGCUUAAUUCCAGGUGUAAUUGGUUUUAUGUGUGAAAUUCUUUUGUAUUUUUAUAACACCCUUUUCGUGAUGCAAAUAAAGAAAAGGAUAAAGAGGGAGACACCCAUUAUAGUACCUCUUUUUAUCAAAAGGCAUGGCAAGUAGUGGUCCUCCCAAUGACUAUUUUGUUGACUUUGUUGAAUCAAUAAAGUAUUUUGUUGAUGUUUAAUACAAAAUAUAUGUCUAUUCAAAUAUUAAUAUAAUCAGCUACUUCAUUUCCUUAAUCUCAUCAGUGCACUGCCUUCCAAAUCUCUCUCUCUCUCUCUCUCUCCACAAACGCGCGCGCGCGCACAUAUAUAUAUAUAUAUAUAUAUAUAUAUAUAUAUAUAUACUGUACUAUUAAGAAUACAGCAGUUCUUGUACUCUUAACUUUCUAACCAUCCAUUAAUUUUAAUAGAUGGUUAGAAUGGGAGAGAACAGAGAUAUUAGAAAAAAAUUCGAAGAAAAGAGAAAUUGAGACACCAAAUUUUUUCUUAAUUUCUUUUCUCCCGUUCAUCUUACCCAUCCAUCAAACUUAAUGGAUGGUUAAAUUCGAUAACUCCAUCAAAUUUAACCGGUAAGCUAAAAUUUGAUAACUCCAUCAAUCGUUAGACUUUCUCAAUUUGAUAAAGAGGGAGCAAUUUAGCUUAAACUUUCUCAAUUCUUGGAGUUAUCAAACGUUAUUUAAAUAGUAUAAAAAUUUCCAUUGUAUUGUUGUCACGCCCCGGGGCCGAUUUUAAAAGUCUUUUUAAAACAGAGUUGCGGAAAACGUGCCUUUUUUUUUUUUUUCAACCUGGCCCACGCGACAUACAGACCCGCCACAAAUACAAAGUUCCUCUGUCCACUUGGACAGAGUCUCCUUUGUAUUUGCACUGCGUACCAGCUAUACAACAGGAUCUCAACCACAACCUACAUUUAUCAAUCAACAACCAAAGUAUGAUAUGCAUUUCCAUACAGCUAACAAUCCUUAGAAUGAUGCAUGCCUCUAAGCACUCCUUAGGCGCUGGAUGAUGUAAUGCACAAUACAACAAACAUCCUAUUUAAAAGUGCUCCCCACACGGAAGCUUUUGUUUUUAAACUCUAAUUCAUUCAUUCAUAAAAACCAUUCGAAAACCUUUUUAAAACUGUUUUCCACACGGAAACUCUAUUUUGAAAACCGACUACCUCGAGGGGUAGAAAACCACGAUGCAUAACUACAAGAAAACCAAAUCUCCACAGAACCAAUAACACAAAUCAAAAACUCCAAUCUCAUGUCAUAAAAGAAACCAACACACAUUUCACUACAUUCAAAGGCAUACAUAAGAUCAUCCUAACUGACAUAUUAUUAAGAAAACUAGGCGGAAAGAGAAACCCAGAAGGUGACGGCACGCGCUAGACCCCGCCAAACUAGAUGUCCUCUCAUCGAGCCCAAAGAUCCAUUGUUCUCUGUCACCGUGUGGGGGGGAAAUGGGUGAGAAAGCGAACCCAUGGUUUUCUCAGUGGGACGACGAGCCAGAGGCAAGUAUCACUGGAAACAGAGGAGAUAGAUAUAACAAGUAUAUUAUACUGUUAAGCUGAUUAUUGAAAAUAGAACUACCAGUAGCUACAACAAGAUAAUGAGGAAGCCAUAAAUAACUGCUAUGUAUUAGAAAAAUAAUGACAAGAUUGCCUCAAUGUACUGAACCGAAAUGUACCCAAUCUGUGCCUGCUGUAUCAGUCCGCAGACUCCAAAGCGCUUACAUGCUCACUUCUGCACGCAUGAAUCCAUCGCCCGACAGGACGACCUAUCGGUAUAAUAACUCCGAUUCGGUGGCAAACCGACUCCACGGUCAUGAAUCAAAGAUGCCAGUGAUAAGUAAAUGGCUGGUAUGCGUCAACCGAACAAAACCCGGCUGAAGCGGUGCGGGUGGACGAAGCAACAACGGGGGCGUACAAUGCAAACUGGAAUAGAAGCUGGCGAUACAACGCCGAAACUGAAUUAGAUGCAUAGGGCGUACAACGGCGAACCUCGAUCAACCAGAUCCGAAAAACACGACGACAAGAGAGUUCGAUGUGUUGCUGGACCAAGGUCCACAGAAAGUACUGAAAUACGAAUGCAGCUGCCUCUACUGUCGAUCCAAAUAACGAAUGCAAUUCAAGGGGCCAUGCGGAUAACAAACGAUAACAAGGCAGAUGACUAUGUAAGAGAUUUAAAUUACAGGAUAGAAACAGGAGAAGGAAGUGAUACGGCUGCUACGUACCAGCUGAGACACCACCUGUGUACUGUUCGCGUCGGAACAUGGUGUACGCAAAUGUCGGCACGGACUACGAGAUCCACGGGUCAGUAACAACCCAGCUCAUGAAAUACACCUAUCUCACAACCCCACACAGGCUUUAUCGGUUUCCCAAAACCGAUUCGUAACGGAAGUCCCGAAAACCACACGGGCGCAGUCGGGGCACUGAGUGCCCGAAAUUACCGCUAGUGCAAAGUCAGCGCCGUGCCCAAGCACUCCAUUUGGAUGCCUUUGGACAGCGAACACAAGGUCACACAACAUCGUCAUCGGGAUAUAUGUACGAAGAUCCGGGUUCCGGAAGUGUUAUUUCGAAACGGAACCCUCGUCGCUCACUAUCAUAUUCGAGACACAAAAUGAUGAUGGCGUUGACGGCAACAAGGCUCUGCGACAAACAGAAGCAACCAAACACCGUCGAAAGGAAUUCGAACCGAAACCGGCGUUUUUUCGCGGCGAAUUUCGCCGAAAAAGACGAAAUGAACUACGGAUUUCGGAAAGUAUAUGAAUGGACAUAUCAGUUCCCAGCGAUCAUAAAAACUCCCAACACUGCCACAGUAGACCAGUCAAAGACAAUUGACGUAAGACCUUAAUAUAAAAUAUCUAUCUUUUAUAGUUAAUUUGAGCGAUCAAGCGCAUCGUUCACGCAACCGGACUUUUAAGUCGCAGAGAAGUAUCUGAUAAGGUCUCGAUGUACGGAGUCCGUGCUAUGAUCCGGAAGCAAGCGGCUCGCUGAGUGGGAAGACAGGAGCAACCGAAGGUUCAGCGACAGCGCAGUCAGGGAAGAUCGCGACGAACAGAACUAACCGGGACAUUCUGAUCAAAGUGGAGGUGAGCAUGUUGAUCAAGCAUCUGCAACGGGCGCUUUGGAUCGCGGAAAGGCGGACGCAAACCAACAGUCAGCAAAAAGGCGAAAGGAGCAAGCCGAAAAGAGCACCCGACGGAGUCCCCGACAGAACUAAGUGAGCACGAUGAUAUCAGCACUUUCAGUCAUCUUGCUCCACUCGUAGAGAUUGGGAAAGGCUCGGGUAAGCUAGAACAAAAUCAUCACAAUAAGCCCUAUUUUGGGCUUGGCGGAGCAGAACUUGCUUCCGGCGGCUCCGGCGGCCCGGCGGCGCGGCGGCGGCAGGGAGGGUGCGGGGAGGUGAGGAGUAUCGGCUCCUCGGUUGGCGGCUGGAAAGCGGCGGCAGAGGCCGGCGGCGGAGCAACGAGCGACGAAUCGUGGCUCGGCGUUCCCAGGAGUUGUGCCGGCACGCUACUGGCGGCGGGGGCUCCGGGACGGCGGAGGCGUGGUAUGCAGAGAGUGGGGCGUUGGUGGCAAGGUGGAUCAGGCGGCGGCGGGCGAGGAAGAUGGCCGCCACCGCUCUCGGCUGGGCUCGGGCUGGACUGUCUCCAGCCGGCGACGGCGCGAGCAGUCGGCGCUGUAUUGGGGCGGCGGCGACCGGAUGCGGCGCGUUGGACGGGGGAUGUCGGCGGGAGAGGAUCUCGGUCGCUUUUCACCUAGUGCGGCGGGGGCAGAGGCUGCCAACCCAAGUCUCGGCUUGAGCUCCGGCCUGGGAUGCUGCAGGCGGCGCAGCCGGCAGCGGCGUCGCAGGCGGACGCGGCGGUCGGGGGGAAAGUUGCCGGAGCACGGUGAAGUCGGGGAAGGUUGCAGGAGGCGAGGCCACGAGGCCUCAACACAACCCGAGUAGGAUGAGAGGGGACGAGAGAGAAGAGAGGGAUGAGAGGUAAGAAGUGUGGCAUCUGCGCGGUGUGGCGGCCGGGGCGGGUUGCGGCGGACCUUGCGGCACGGCAAGCAGGUGCAGGGGAAGGAGAUGGAAAGGUGGUGGGCGACUUAGAGGUAGUAGGGUUAUGUUAGGUGAGACAACCUAAGAGCAACUUAUAUUACAAGGCUGCACUUUGCCAAAAAGCGUCACCAAAACUCGGAAUUUCAAUCGAGCUUCACGACGGACAUAAUAACGCCUAACAUUAAACUAUACGGUACCUACAACGUGGAACGACCUCACGUCGAUCUCACGACAAAACGGUACAUAAAAUAUUCGCGACUUUCGCAAAAAUCGUUUUUGCAUAGACUCUCCUACGAAAACUCGAUGCGAUAUUGCAGAUCGAUAUCGUCAGAUUACAAGCUCUGCGAACGGAUUGCACCAGUGAGUUAGCCGACGGAUGACAACAAGUACGAUUUCGUUUCGUUUUUGAUCGACACGGAUUUCACGACAAAAUUCCACCUUCGUUCGAUGUAGAAUUGUAUUACACUGGUCUUAGCAAUUGCAAGAUUUCGAGUUGUGUUGAUUUGCGUGUGGAGCCUUUCCCAGUUUUAGGAGGGUCGUUGUAGUUGUUCGACCCCUUGGACACGCAUCUGAGGUGUUGAUUGUGGACCUGGCCCAAAUUCCCAAAAUCGAGAUUUUUGGACGUCUGGAGUGCAGCACGGUUGUACCGGAAGACUUGGCUUGUCCGGUAAGGUGGUUGAUGGUUGUACGUCAGCCAUCGUGGCUUAUGUAACCGGUACGGGGACCAGACCGCAGGACCGGCCUCGGUUGCAACUUUCGUCGGCCUGUACGUACAAGAACCGGUUGUACCAGGUACAGGACGGCCAGAUUUGCUACGUUUGAACUGCGCGGUUUUCGCGAUUGUGGGCUUUCUUAUAACUAGCACCCAGCCUUAGGGCUUUUUUGGUUGCUGGGACCUGAGGGGAGAAGGUGAGAGGACUUCUUUCCUUUCCUUGCUUUUUACCCUAUUGCUUGGUUUUUAAUUUGAGAGAUAUUAUCUUUCUCUUUUUGCAUCUUUGGUGGUUAAUCCCAUUGUUUGAUGGCUUGAGUUGGAGAGGAGUUGUGCGUGAGGAAUCUCACAUUGGAUUGGAGCUAGUUUGUGGCUUCAAAGAGGUUAGAAACAUGAUUCCACUUUUGAUUUCAUGUUUAUUGAGGCUUUAUUGAAUUGAACCCUUAGUUGUGUAUUAGGUGUUUUAUUUUGGCAUUUUGAGAUCUAGGGCUUUUGUAAGCUAGAUUGAUUGGCAUUGAGUUCAUUAGGAGUUGCGAUUGGAUGAGCUCUAGCAUAUUUUGGAGCUUUUAGAGGAGAUUUUAUAGAGGUGUUUUCUUAUACCUAUACUUGUUUAGUUAAUGUUGAGAUAUUUGAUGGUUAGUUUCGUUUGUUGUGACACCCAUGUUUCUAUACUUUACGUGUAUAGGAGAUAGAGGAACCCAUCGUGUGGGGCGCACGAGGAGUUUCGGUUGUCAAUCGGUGGUUUGGCUUGUGGAAAUGGGGCAAAUGGCCCCUAUGCUCUUUCUGACUUGUUGUAAAAUAUUAUUUAAGUUAUUUUCUAUGCUAAUAUGGAUUUAUUAUGAAUUUAGACUUAAAUGCAUGCCUUUAGUAUUAUGAAAUUUCAUAAUAUAGUAGAGUUAUAUGAGUUAGAUGGCUGAAUAGGGCAAUGUAUUGUUUUGCAAAUGAAAUAUAAUUUUAUGAUGAUGAUGACGUGGUAUAUGUACUUGGAAUAUGUGCAUGUUUUGAUAGAGAGCAAGAGUGUCAUAAUGGGCUUGAAAUAGUAAACUAUAAUGCAAUAUAGGACAUAUUGAUAGGCACUACAUAUUCUAUAUUCCAUGUUAGAGACAUUGAUGAAUAGGGAUAGGAUUGAAGAUUACCUGACAUUCAUGGUUAUUAGACCAUGAGGACUUCUGAGUACUUGCGACAGAUCGUUUGGACUACUUGGCUAUUUGUCUCAUUCGAUCAUUGUUGUGAUGUCGGCUCCCUUACAAGCCGAGCUUCCGGGAGAUGGCAUCGCGAUAAUAUUCCGUGCGGAGGAUUGGGCGGCCGAAUGUGGAUGCGUUGGGACAGGCUCAUCCCUUAGGGUGGGGAGAUAGAUACGGGUGCCUUAGGUCAGACCGGCGACAGCAUUCGGAUGUGGUCUCAGGCCAUAGACAGCUUCGGGUUGUAGGUACUCUUCAGAUUCGAUGAGCAAUUCGUUAUGAAUUGUAGGGAAGGAUGAUGAUUUAGAAGUUUAUUUGGAAUUGAUAGAUAGUAAACAAUUAUAACUUUAUAUUUGCGAUUGUGAAAAUUAUGAUAUGGGAGACUUUUAUUAUGUAUGGUUGUUUGAUAUUAUGCUAAUUAGGCUAAGUUGCAGAUAUAUGUUGUAGUUAAGUUUACAUUUUUACUUCUUUCGUUUUUACAUUUAUAGUAUAACCUCUUUUGUAGCUUGGGCCUUGUUGGUGCAUUUACUGAAGUCAGUUAAUUGCCCACAUGUGGAAUAUUUUUUUGAGUUUCACGCUGUUUCUGGUGGUUUCCUUUUAGAGGCUUCGGCACGGCGGGAAGGCGGCAAGAUCGCGGCAAGGCGAGAUGCGUAGAUACCUAGCGAGGAGCUUACUUGCCUAGGUGGUUUACUUCUUUUUUGUAAGUUGAGAGAGUGAGAGUUUUUUGUACCAUGUAUUAGAGAACUAUGUAUUAUCAUAGAAUUGUUAUUUUGGGGAUUUCUAUUGUAUUUACUUUAUGUUUUAUUUAGUUGAUUUACUGUUUGAACUUUAUCCUUGUUAGUUAGCCUUAGAAUUUUCUAUGCUCUUGUACUCUUAGAUGUCUUUUAUUAUUGCUCUUUUAUGUAGAGAUGUUUUAGAGCACUUAUAUGUUUGUAACAGUAUGGCGGGUCUGGAUUUUAUGGGCACGCGCCGGGUGGCUUCGCUGGAUCCGGGGCAUGUGACAAAAAACAUAAUACAUAUUAAAAUAUUCUAAUUUUUUGGAUUUUUUUCGAAUCCGUGCGAUCGACUCAAAUCCGUCAAGGUCAUUAUCUCGAACAGCUGACCGGUUCGACGAGCUAUUGGAUGCUAGAUGAACAGAUUCCAGGUACGAGCCAGAAGCCAAUUUUCUCGACGCGGCUUUCACGGAAAAUCGAGUUACUAUUCAUUAAGUGAAACUUGGAAAUCGCGUAGAUAUUUGUUUUAACUCAGAUUUCAAGCCCGAAACUGACGAUGUGCUUUGUAAUUAAUUAAACAAAACUAUCAACUGGAGUUGAUUAGACUACACUGACAAAAAUCUCAAUCUUUCAAUUGUUCAGAUAAAAAUUGAGUUAUUAAAAUUGUAUUUUCUAGAUAGAUGCAAUAAAUUUCUUUUAAUAUUUAAUUGAUUUUUGUUUCUCUACACCUUUAAUUUAACAUCACACACCUUCGUUAAAUGGAUCAUUAUUAGUUUUGACCGUGGGUAUCAAAGCGAAAAUUUAUAAACUUGCUUUUAUAGAUGUUUAUAAUGUUAUUAAAUUAUAUUUUAAUAGUAUUGAUCGCCGAUUUUGAAAGUUUACUAGCAUUAAUAAAAAAAGAAGUAAGAUAAUAUAAUUAUGGGCAAUGUUUACGAACCAAGAUCAACAUGAUAGGAAAAUAUUAUUUGAAUCAAGAUCAUUGGUUCAAACCAAUGAAGUCAACAUUAAUUAAAACAUGACGUCGAGCUAACAUAUUAAGGCUGUUUGGAUACAUCAGUAAAAUAUAUAACGAAUUUAUUAAACUGUGGUUUAGUCUAGAAUAAAUGUGAGAAUCCUGAAAUUAAAUAUUCCACGGAUUUCAAUUUUUAAAUGUUGGAUUACGCAUUUGGUCAUUCGAAUUUUUCUAAAUUUUUAAUAUUAAAUUUAAAUGUUAAAAUUUCAAAAAUUUAAAAUUAAAAUUUGAUAUGUUGAAAUGGAAAUUUUAGAAUUUUAUUUUAAAUUUUUAAAUUUUCAAAUUUGAUUUACAAUUUUAAAAGUUUAAAUAUAAAUCUAAAUUUAAUAUUUUAAAUUUAUUUUAAAUUUUUUAAAUUUUAAAAUUUAAAAUAAAAAAUUUAAAAUUUUAAAUAAAAUUUUAAAAUUUAAACUUGAAAUUGGAAUUUAGAAUUUUAAUUUAAAAAAUACAUUUAAAUUUAAAGUUUUUAAAAAUAAUUUAAAAUUUAAGUUUUAAAAUGGAAAAAUUUGAACUAUGAAGACUUGAAGAUUGACAUUUCAAAUUUAAAUUUGUUUUGAAUUUUAUAUUUAAAUUUUAAAAGGUUAAAUUUAAAAUAAAGUUUGAAAUUGAAAUUUAAAAUUUGAAAAUUUAAAAUAAAUUUAAUAUUUGGAAUUUUAUUUAAAUAAAAAUUUAAAAUUUAAAUUUGGAAAACUUAUAAAAUUUAAAUUUUAAUUUAGAUUUGAAUUUAAAUUUUAAAUUUAAGAAAAAUAAAUUUAAAUUUAAGGUUUAAUAAUUUGAAAUUGAAAUUAAAUGAAUUUAAAUUUGGAAUUUGAAAUUUAAAUUUAAAAUUUAAAUUUAAAAUUUGAAAUUUGAAAUUUAAGUUUGAAUUUAAUAUUUAAAAUUUAAAUUUGAAAUUUAAUUUUUAAUUUAAAAUUUCAAUGUGUAUUUCAUUUCCAAUUUAAAAAUUUUUAAAAUAUUAAAUCUAUGUUUGAAUUUAAAUCUAUGUUGAAAUUUUAAAGUUAAAACUGUUGAUGCAUUUUUUGAAUAAGGGGAGACUCAGAAUGGUUGGAAUUUUUUUUCCUUUGUGUUAGAGAGUGAUUAUACUUUUACUCCAUUUUUUGGAGUUAUAGUUAUAACUUAUACUCCAAAAAUUACGUUAUUUUUUUCUCCCAACGUUUAUAGGAUAUUUUUUCGGAUGCCGUAACAUGUUUUAAAUAUUGCAACGUUUUCAGAGUAUCAAACAGGGGCUAAAUAUUUAAUUAUUUUUUAAUUUUUAUUAUACGCCCGCGUUCGGAUUUACUAAGUUACCCCGGGCAUACGCUAAAGUAUCCGUCUCGUACCGAAGAGAAAUUUCUGUAUUUACGAGCAGAUAAGCAUGUACUGUAAAACUACAUACUGAAACGAGUGAUAUAGAGCCGCGCUAGAAGAAAUGUAAAGAUAAAGACGAGUUUCAAUAUACAUACACUGAUCCAGAGUACAAAAUUACUCGCAGCUGGCGAGUUAGUGUGUAUGUACAUGACCAAACCAAAACAUUUACUUACAGAGUAGUGGAGUGCCUCUAGCUCUGUUCCUCGGUAGAGUCUAACUCGCGACGCACUUGCUCUAGGAUGCCGAUUAGAACAGGCAGUCAGAAACAAACCCGAAAAACGGAAGGCUAUUGCAAAACGUAAGUAACAAGCUGGGCAUGAGAAUACUGUAAAAGUGUCUCAGUGGGUAACCAGGCCCCAUAUUUUUACAACAUCGCGUCCCAUAAUUAUAGAGGGCAGCAGAUAGAAUAUGCAGGAAUAAUAUCUUACCGCUAUCAAACAUACAUAUUAGCUGUACAUAACAACUGUAGAAAUGUCAAUCUGACCCAUCACAAUCGGACUAAUGAAUACCUCACGAUCUGGGACUGGUUGAACCCACGUCCUGCCGUUGCGAUAUUCAGCUCUUCACAAACUAACUAGAUCGGAGAGAGUAAGUACCAACGCAUUAGAGCGACCACGCGGAAAGCACAAGGCUGAUCGGAAGUGGCACUCGUGAGGCCGCUACCCAACCGAGUAUAUGCAGCGAUAUCUUGAUCGAGCUCAACAGGCUCAAUAGCAAUUCAAGUGAACAGGGUCAGAACCGGUCUACAAACGCAACACGUGCCCUCGGCACAAUCUGUGACCAAAAUAAGAAUCUGGGUCCACCGCUAACCCGAACGGCACCCAACGACCCGAAACAGCCUAAACUUUGCUGAAAAAUAAGCUCGGCACCCCAACACAAGCGUAAAUGCCUUCUAAACUACCCCAGAUAUCUAUCGUACUGAUACUGCAACGAUAUAAUCGAACCACGGCUCCCAGAGCUAAAUCUGGUAGUUUAAGCAUAUGACGGGUCAAAAUGCAGGUUUUUUCCUAAGUCAAAUUUCAAGUCCAACAUGUAUAAUAUAAAUAUUCAUUUCAGCAUGCUUCUACAUUCAUAUUACAUUCAAGAUGUUAAUCGAUGAAUUAAAGCAUGAUAUACAAGAACCGAACUAUACACGUCGACUAAACAUGCACUUAGGAGCGAAACCGAUGAUAACUCAUCUCUAGUGCAAUUUCUGGCAGCAAGAGGGUCUCAGAUCACAAGCAACACUGCUGGAAACACCUCCAAACCAGCAACAAAGCACCUCAAGAUCUGGAUAUUACAAUUUACCCAAAAUCCAAUAAAAAUCAUCAAUUUCAGCACUUAAGCUUAGGAUUUAUCCAAUUUCAAUGUCAAAACUCACCUAAUGGUCUCCAAAUCAGGUGAGGACAAUUCCAAAACCAGCAAAUACUGAGGGGUGAUCAAACUCAGGUCUAAAAUCCCACUGCCAACAAAGAUAGCAUCAAGAAAAGCUCAAAAAUCCCAUUUUCAGCUCAAUAUCAACAGCAGUCCAGAAAAAUCUCAGUUCGACCAAGCUAACCUCAUCCAAAAUCUGCAAUUCAGGAUUUCGUGGAUUCCUCUGGAAGUCUAGAAUUCAGCAAACCAAGUUUCGUCGAAAUCCGACCUUCCUAUGUCGCGCACGAGCCAAAACACUGGAGGUCGUCGCUGAAGAACUGCAGAAUCAGCAUCUUGAAAUUCUUGGAGAUGUGGAUCUUGAUGCAAAUUGGAAAGAUUGGAGGGAUUGGAAAUGCAAUUUAUGGGUUCCCUAUGAAGAAGAGAGGAAAAGAGCUCACCAGGGACGCUUCUCAGCUAUUUAUAGGGUGAAAAUAGGGUCAGAUGAACCUCAGGAACAAAGGUUGCAAUCUGCUGUCCCUGCAGAAAAUCCGAGAUCUGGGCGCCCUAAACUCAGUUCUGGGCGCCCAGAACUUCCAGCCUGCACAAAACAGCCCUCAUCGGUUCCUUCGCCUGCGGUAUGCUGCACCCUUAUCCUGCUCCGGCGGCCCACACCUACCACCAGCCACGCGUCAACGCGAUCGAUAUUCACGAUGUAGAAUUUCCGGACCCACUUCUGGGCGCCCGGAACAUAGGAUCCGAAUUGGCUUUCAGUUUCAGUUAAAUUCAGCACUCAGUACUGGGCGACCUAAAUCCAUUUCUGGGUGCCCUAAACUUCUAGGCGCCCUAAAUCCAGUUCUGGGCGCCCUAAACUAGCAAAACUCCAGUUUUGCUUAUUUGAGUGCGCCGAGUCCAUUUCUGCAUCUAUUUCGUACAGAAACAACUCCGACUCAGUCCGACACUCUCCAGAAGCAUCGACCAGUCACUAAUAUUGAAGCCAAUCCUAUCCGAAGCUCAGAAACACUACAUUUAUUAUAUAGAAUAUAUAUGUAUAUAUUAAUUUAUUUUAGCAUCAUACUUAAUUAUAAGAUACUAAUUUUAGAUCAAAUGAAUUAGAUAUAACUUUUCAAGUUUUACUUUUUAUAAAACUAAUCUGUAUUGAUAGAAAAUAAAAUCAACUAAGUUAAUUUUAAGUCAUUGAAUUUUAAUAUUACUUGAUCUAUAACAUCCGGCCGGUUCGAUUAAAACCGGACUGGUUCAUUGGUUCGGUGGUUGCCUGUUCAAACAGUUCAAAAUGGCUUUUUGACUUAUUUAGAUUAAAGGGUUGAACCGAAUGUGAGACCCCAGAUAGUCCUAUAUCUAUAACACUAUAUUAAACCCCGAUUUCUUAUCCAACGUGGCACAAGCUCCGUCAUUAGCGAGACCUAAUUAAUUUCCAACAUGGCCCCACCAAUCUCUCUGUUUUCUUUUCUCCGCCGAACGGAGGGAGUUCCACCCCCUCGCAUUCCACAGCGGUUCUCUCUCUCUCUCUCUCUCUCUCUCUCUCUCUCUCUCUCUCUCUCUCUCUCUCUCUCUCGAUGCUGCAGUUUUUUUGGCUCUCCCUCUCCCUAGGCUACUUUGCCUCUCUGGUGAUGAUGGUUGGAAAAACCCUAAUCUCUUCUUCCUACAUCUCCUGGUUUAGCAAUGGAGAGAUCUGCAUAGCUAUGAGAUGUAUAUUGUUGAGCCUCUGAUUCUCAAAAUUAGGGGUGUAUGAGAGGUAUAUGGCUUCAUUGGUGUUCCUUGAGGCGAUCGCAUUGGGCUUUCCUUAAAUUUGAGGCGAUUGCAUUUGGGUAAGAUUGUUAUAUUUUAAAUUUAUUUUAUUUAAAAUGUUAUUUUUAUUGAAUUAUGUAUACCGAUAGAAUCGAAAAAUAGCAGUCUAUUAAAUCAUAGAUUAUUGUAAUUAAACUGAGUUGCUUAAAAGUUUUUUUUUACCACUCAUUUACUAAUAAGGAUGUGAGUACUAAGUUGGAACAAUAUUUUCUUCCAAAAUAGGCAUCGUGUGUAGCCAUAUAUCUCUAUACCAUAAAUCUAUGGGUAUUUGGGUUUGAAAUAUGAAUGAAAGCGCAGUCUGUACGCUUACAAGUCUAUUAAGUUAUUUAAAAAUCGAAACAUUAAGGUUGAAUGAUGAAAAUGGAAAGUAGAGGUUUGAGAUUAACAGUGCAAUUUACCUCCUUGUCUUUCUACUACACACAACUCCUAUGCGAUCAUCGGCGGAGACAGAGGUGGUGCAAUCAAGCAUCUUUAUCAUCCUCACAGCAACGCUCGCGAUCGUUGUAGACUUACAAAUAGCACUCUUAAAGAAUCGACUUUUGUAAGAAUUGCUUUGAAUCAUAUAGGGACAACAAUCUUAUGGGAACAUAUGUUGCCACGGGAAGGUAUGUAUAUUUCUAAAUUAUUUUAUUAUCCUUUGCUAUAUAUUCUUCAUGUUUUCCAUAUGGGAUUUAAUUAAUUUAUUCGAUAUUAUAGCUUUUUCUAAAUUAUCUCCUUACAUGAUUGGAAUAUGGUUGAUUGAAGAAUAUAUUUGGUUGUAUGUACAAUGCUUUGCUAAAAAUCUCCUUCCUUUACAUAUUUAUCAGAAUACUGGUCAAUAGCAUUUUAGUCCAUAAAUAAAAAUUUCAGGGCGAAAUUCAAAAGAAAAAAAGGAAGAUCAAAGAUACACGAAAAAAAUAAAGGACUAUUUUUUCAACAACCCAAACUAGCUAGGCAUUGAAGUUGCUACAUGAUAUUCUCUAAGCUGCUUCAUAAGGUUGAAAAUAUUUGAACUUAAGUGGUUUGCUUAUUUGAAGUACCGUGUUCAGUUUUCUUUUCAUUGUUUAUAUACAGUCUGCUUAUUAAAUUAAGAACACUGAUUAUUAUAUAGUUUUGUUUUGUUGCUUUUACUUUGCUUUAUAUUUUUUUGCCUUAGCUUUAUAGGUUGUUGUAAGAAGCUUCCCAUUAACACUUCAGGCAUGUGCAGCUUUGUGGAAUGUCUCUUUUGGUAUCUCUUAUAAUAAGCUUUUGAAUAAAAAGUCUCUCCAACUACUCCAUACACGGUGAGUUUAACAAUGAAUUUAUUUACUUUUAAACUAUCUCUUUUUUCUAUAGCAAUAUAGCUUAGAAGAGCAGUAUUUAAUAAUGAAUUUUUGCAUUUUACAUCUUGCUAAGUUUUUAGAAUUUUUCUACAAGCUAUGAUGAUCUAGCCCCUUUUACAACUUGGAUCUUUUUUCUAAUUAUGGAUGCAUACAUUUUUUAGUGUUGAUUUACGAUUCGGCUUAGGAUUCUGAUGAUUAGUUUAUUCUAGGUCCUUUUUGAAUUUUAUUGUGAUGGCUAGGCCAAUUUUGAAUGAUAUGCUCUUUCGUAGAUGACCAUUUGUAGUCAUUUCUUAGGCUUCGUUUGGUAUUGAGGUCUACCUGACAUUAUUAGAUAAAAUGGAGUUAGGAAAAAAAUAUAUAGGGAUAUACUUCUGCGUUCUCCGGUGAGAUCGCGGAAAAUAUAUCAUAACCGAUUUAUCGUAAUAUGCGGAACGCAAUAUUACGUACGGAAACAAACAUGGUAUUUUUUCAUCGUACUUUAUCACCGCACGUGACACAAUCUCUCGCAACCCCAAACGAAGGCUUAGUCCACCAGAGUGGUUAAUAUUAAUCAUAGUAAUUGUAUUUCUCUCUAUAUGGAUUGCAUGGGUUUAAUAUCUCUAGGCCUUUUUUUUUUUUUUUAAUGAGAAUUUGUCUAUUGGCAUAUUAUAGCCAGGGAAUCAUAUUUGUUUUCUAGGUUCUUUGCAGACUUUGAAUAUCUGAUAUCUAAUAUAUGGCCUAAUAUGAGCCGUAUCAUGUUUCUUUUUUUUUUUUCUUUUUUGAAGAAAUCUUUUUGCUCUUUGAUGUGUACUCUAACUAUUUUCUUUUCUCAACCUUUAUGAUGAUGUAGGAGAAGAUUCGUUAAAUUUCACAACUUACUUGAGGAUUAACACAGCUACGUGGAAAAUAAAGUUUCAAUCUCUUUUUCUCCAAAUGCCUGCGACUUUCUUUUGCAAUUUGAUAGUGCUAUAAUUUAAUUUUGCUGGUUUGGUAUUAGUUUAAUAAAUAUACUAGGCUGACAAUGUGGUCUAGAAAUAUAUUACGAACACAUUCGUAGAAUUGAUGUACAGAUUUGGUAUUAGCCCUUUUCCUUUUCUUUCUUUGGCUUUUUUUGGUAUUGCUUUGAAUCAAAUGUGGCACAACAAUCUUGCCGAAACAGAUAUUUUGGGAAGGUAUGUAUAUCUCUAAAUUAGUUUAAUAUCCUUGCUAUAUUUCUUUAUGUUUUUCUAUGUUGGAUUUAAUUUAUUUGCUAUUAUUACUUUUUUGUAAUUUAUCUCUACGUCACUGUAAUAUGGUUGAUUGAAGUAUGAUUUAUUUUUUUCUCUCUUUUUAUGAGUCGUUGCCAUAAUUUUACUUAUGCUUUAACAAUAAAUGCAACUUUUUUCAUGAAAGCAAGUUUCUUCUAAACUAGAAAAAGAAAACUAGACGGCCAUUUUGUAUAUACUUUCUACUAUUUUGGUCAAAAAUAUUUUAGUUCAUAAAUGAUAUAUAAAAGAAGUAUAGUAUCUUAAAAACUCCAACUGUCAUAUAAUGAUAAAUAUAUCCUUUCAUCUGGAGCUCUAUCUCACUUGAAUAAUAUAUUUACUAUUAUUUUCAAGGGCAUAUCUCUUUUCUAAACAUUAAGUAGCAAUUGUUGACCAUUUUUCAAUUCUAGAAUGCAUAUAUCAAAAUUUGUUGUAAUGUUGUCGUCGAUAUGGACGAAGAAAUCAAUAGUGAGGCACAAAAGGUAGCUUGAUAUAGGUGGUGAAUUGAUAUUUAGUAACUAUCCCUUUAUGACUGCUUUCUCUUCAUGAUUGAUUUUUAAUAAUAGCCGCAUUACUUGGUAUCUAAGCUUAUUUAUUAAUUAAUUUAUUACUUUUUUUAAAAAAAAAUUGCCAAUUAAUGUUGAAUGUUGAUUAUGAUAUUAUUUGACUUAAUUAUUAUAUAGAUUGUCCAAUUCUCAGUUUCUUUGCAUCGGUAGCAUUCUUUGAUACUCAACGCACUCAGUGUAUUGUCAUGUAGACUGAGCCGUUAUAUUGGAGAAGUUUCAACUUUUUUUUUUUUGUUUACUUGGAAUAGCUUUUUUUGCUUAGGCUGAUGGCAAUUUAUGACGUGUGAUUUACACCGAUGCUAAUAUAAUCAAAUUUUUUAAAAAAUAUUUAAAUUAUUUUGUCUCUUAUUAUAUAUUUAUGAAAAAGUGUAAUCUGUCUUAUUCUUUUUUUAUUUUAUAUUUAGUAUGCAAAUUGUGAUUCAUAGUUUUUAUUACGAUUUUAUUUUUUAUUUGCAUUAUUUCUAAAAACUUUUGAACAUGUGUUUCUUUCUAUUCUUCAAUUUAUAUUGCAAAGACAACAAGAAGUAGCAACAGAGCAGGUACACCAAAUGAACUACGAAACACCAAGCCAAAGAUAACAACACAUAUUAAAAGAUAUACAAUUAAGGAGGCAAUAGAUCAGCACAGCUUUUGGUCUAUUAGUAUACUUAUUUUUCUUUUUAGUUAUUGUUGUUGUUAUUUAUGACUCUUACCUUUUUUUCUUCCGCAUUACUUUACUACUGUUUACUCUUUUAUCCUUCUUAUCCUUUUUAUAUCAUUGCUAUAAACGUAAUUUAUUUUUUCUUAUGGUUUAGUCUUUACUUUUUUCUUUAUUCUUAUACUUCUAUUGAUGCUGCUUCGUCUUUAUCAACCUUUUUUUUUGUUUCUAUUCUUCUCUUAUUUUUCAGCUCUCCCCAUAUUUUUUUAUUCAUUCACUACUAUGGAAUUGACCCGCCGCAUCGCGCGGGUAUCUUCACUAGUAUAAGAUAUAAUAGGGUUAAAACUCUUAAUCCGGCUUAAGUAUUUUGGGUGGUGGUUAGGCCCAAGAGGCUAAAAGAGUUAAGCGUGCUAAGACGGGAGUAGUCCUAGGAUGGGCGACCCCCUAAUCCAAUUACCAGCCGAAAGUGUGAGAUGGGUCUCGGCUGAGUCAAGAUUGUACAGCUGAAAGAGCGAGACUCUCAUGCUGUUGACUAUUGUGGGUACAGUGCGGUUCUCCCACAAGGUCGGUUUAGGCUAGCGAGACGAGUCUCACAUCGUCUGGUACUUGUAAGUCUGAGUAUGACGGAAACGUCAGGGCUUAAAAGAGGAAAGAUUGUGUCCCCAGAUAGUUCUAUAUAUAAAAUAUAAUAGGGAUAAAUUCUUAAUCCGGCUUAAACAUUUUGGGCGGUGGUUAGGCCCGAGAGGUUAAGAGAAUUAAGCGUGUUAGGACGGGAAUAGUCCUAGGAUAGGUGACUCCCUGAGAAGUUGGGGUGUCACACUAAACUACUUUAUAGACAAGAUCACGAUCGAACCGGUUGAACCGGCCAAGUUUUUAAAUUAUUGCUUACCAGGAAUUCACUAUGUCUAUUUGGGUUUGUUUUUUCUUUUGGUAAAAUGUAUAGAGGUCCCCUUGAACUUUUCCUCUUUUGUAAGUAGAUAUCUAAACUUUUAAUUUUGGCAUUUAGAUUUUCUAAAUUUUAUCAAGUAGUUCAACAUAGCCCUCUUCUUAAAUAAGCUUACUUACUACACUUUCAUUUAAUCGGAUGUCAAUCAUAUAAUUCUGUAAGAUUUUAAAAUAAAAAAUCUAUUUUUUCACUUCUAAUUUUGAUAAUUAAGUUUGAUAAUCAAACAAAUCGUUGAAUCAAACUUCAAUUAAUUUUUAUUACUUUUUUUUGCAUGUUAGAAUAUAAAACAUAAUUUUUUUUUUUGAAUAUUUAUAAAACUAUAUACAAUACAUACGACAAGAACGAUAGUGUAAUCAAUAACUUAAAUUGGAGAGAAGGAUUUAUUGAACUAUUUCAUAAAGUUUUAAGAAAUCUAAUUGUCAAAAUUUUAAAGUCCAGAUGUCUGUCUACAAAAAAGCUAAAGUUCAUAGGACCAUUGUAUACUUUUCUCUUUUUCUAUUUUUUUGAUGGUAUCAAUUUGGUUAAUAUUGCUUUAACAAUUCACACUUUUAAGCCAGUGGAGGCUAUAUAGCCAAUGUGAAAUAAUGCCCCUCCACAUUUAAUAUUGAUGUUUACUUUUCUCUUUAUUUUAUCUGCAUCAAUUUCUCCUUCCUUUCAUGUUUCUUUCUUUAUUUUAAUUUUUUUUUUAUCUUUUAUCAAAACAUCUAGAAUUAGUAGGCAGGAUGUCAGCUAUUAAUCUUCAUUUUUGUCAUUAGUGAAUAGUGAAUGCAAAAAGUCAAAACUUUAGAAUCCUUGCAACCAGGGGAAUUUAGAUUUGACUUUAAUAUCAUAUUAGCGAAGGAGCCCGCGAUUCGCCAUGGGUAAAAAUGUAAGGACUGAGAUUUUUACAGUAUAGCUAAACUCUCAGUUGACGAUGUUUUUGUGUGUAAUUUAAUUACAAAAGCACUCGUCAAAUUUUGGGAGAAAUCGAGUUAAAACGGAGAUUCUACGCGAUUUCCAAGUUUCACUUAAAGUGAAUAGUAACUCGAUUUUCCGGAGAAGCCACGGUGUGAAGUUGGCUUCAGGCUCGUAUCGGACUCCGUUCCUAGCGGUCCAAUAGCUCGUUUCGACCGGUUCAGCUGUUCUGGAACUAAUGGCGCUGAUGGAUUUUUGAGUUUGACUCACGGAUUUCGAGAAAAUCCAAAAUUACAUGUUUUAUAUGUAUUUUUGUGUUAUUCAUUCUGUUGGAAUGAAAGGUUGGAUUUUGUCACGAAUCCGUGGUCGAUCGAGGUAAACCAAAAUCGUAACUUUGUUGUCUCCGAGGUGCUGAUCGCACUGGUACAAUCCGUUCGCAAAUCUGACGGACGGAUCUACGGAGAUCGCACGUUGAUCGAGGAGAGGUCCGUNNNNNNNNNNNNNNNNNNNNNNNNNNNNNNNNNNNNNNNNNNNNNNNNNNNNNNNNNNNNNNNNNNNNNNNNNNNNNNNNNNNNNNNNNNNNNNNNNNNNNNNNNNNNNNNNNNNNNNNNNNNNNNNNNNNNNNNNNNNNNNNNNNNNNNNNNNNNNNNNNNNNNNNNNNNNNNNNNNNNNNNNNNNNNNNNNNNNNNNNNNNNNNNNNNNNNNNNNNNNNNNNNNNNNNNNNNNNNNNNNNNNNNNNNNNNNNNNNNNNNNNNNNNNNNNNNNNNNNNNNNNNNNNNNNNNNNNNNNNNNNNNNNNNNNNNNNNNNNNNNNNNNNNNNNNNNNNNNNNNNNNNNNNNNNNNNNNNNNNNNNNNNNNNNNNNNNNNNNNNNNNNNNNNNNNNNNNNNNNNNNNNNNNNNNNNNNNNNNNNNNNNNNNNNNNNNNNNNNNNNNNNNNNNNNNNNNNNNNNNNNNNNNNNNNNNNNNNNNNNNNNNNNNNNNNNNNNNNNNNNNNNNNNNNNNNNNNNNNNNNNNNNNNNNNNNNNNNNNNNNNNNNNNNNNNNNNNNNNNNNNNNNNNNNNNNNNNNNNNNNNNNNNNNNNNNNNNNNNNNNNNNNNNNNNNNNNNNNNNNNNNNNNNNNNNNNNNNNNNNNNNNNNNNNNNNNNNNNNNNNNNNNNNNNNNNNNNNNNNNNNNNNNNNNNNNNNNNNNNNNNNNNNNNNNNNNNNNNNNNNNNNNNNNNNNNNNNNNNNNNNNNNNNNNNNNNNNNNNNNNNNNNNNNNNNNNNNNNNNNNNNNNNNNNNNNNNNNNNNNNNNNNNNNNNNNNNNNNNNNNNNNNNNNNNNNNNNNNNNNNNNNNNNNNNNNNNNNNNNNNNNNNNNNNNNNNNNNNNNNNNNNNNNNNNNNNNNNNNNNNNNNNNNNNNNNNNNNNNNNNNNNNNNNNNNNNNNNNNNNNNNNNNNNNNNNNNNNNNNNNNNNNNNNNNNNNNNNNNNNNNNNNNNNNNNNNNNNNNNNNNNNNNNNNNNNNNNNNNNNNNNNNNNNNNNNNNNNNNNNNNNNNNNNNNNNNNNNNNNNNNNNNNNNNNNNNNNNNNNNNNNNNNNNNNNNNNNNNNNNNNNNNNNNNNNNNNNNNNNNNNNNNNNNNNNNNNNNNNNNNNNNNNNNNNNNNNNNNNNNNNNNNNNNNNNNNNNNNNNNNNNNNNNNNNNNNNNNNNNNNNNNNNNNNNNNNNNNNNNNNNNNNNNNNNNNNNNNNNNNNNNNNNNNNNNNNNNNNNNNNNNNNNNNNNNNNNNNNNNNNNNNNNNNNNNNNNNNNNNNNNNNNNNNNNNNNNNNNNNNNNNNNNNNNNNNNNNNNNNNNNNNNNNNNNNNNNNNNNNNNNNNNNNNNNNNNNNNNNNNNNNNNNNNNNNNNNNNNNNNNNNNNNNNNNNNNNNNNNNNNNNNNNNNNNNNNNNNNNNNNNNNNNNNNNNNNNNNNNNNNNNNNNNNNNNNNNNNNNNNNNNNNNNNNNNNNNNNNNNNNNNNNNNNNNNNNNNNNNGCUUGAUCGCUCAAAUUACAUAAAAUGAUGAGAUUUUAUGUAAUUAGAGGGUCUUUUAUGCAUUUGUGCUUUGCGUGGCUACUGUGGGCAGCGUGUGGGAGUUUGUAAUGACCGCUGGACUGAUUGUCCAUGGUCCAUUAGCUUUCGCAGAAAUCGGUAGGUCGAUUUCUGUGCGUUUUUCGGCGAAAUUCUCCGAAAGAACGCGGUUUCGGUUCGGAUUCUUUCCGACGGUGUUUGGUUGCUUCAUGUUUUGUCGCUGAGCCUUGUUGGCUGGUCACCAUCAUCACUUUGUGGGUUCGGUGAUGAUGUGUAAGACCCCAGAUAGUCCUACAUAUAAGAUAUAAUAGGGCUAAACUCUUAACCCGGCUUAAGCAUUUUGGGUGGUGACUAGACCCAAGAGGUUAAGAGAGUUAAGUGUGCUAGGACGGGAGUAGUCCUAGGAUGGGUCCCUGGGAAGUCGGGGCGUUACAGCGGUAUCAGAGCCAAUUACCAGCCGGAAGUGUGAGAUGAGUCUCGGCUGAGCCAGAGUCUGGAUGACGGGCUAGCGAGACGAGUCUCACAUCGCCUGGUACUUGUGAGUCUGAGCCUGACGAGGACGUCAGGGCUUAAAGGAGGGGAGAUUGUGAGACCCCAGAUAGUCCUAUAUAUAAGAUAUAAUAGGGCUAAACUCUUAACCCGGCUUAAGCAUUUUGGNAAUAAAGGUUUCCGUGUAGGGAACAGUUUUCAAAAGAAUUUUCGUGAAUUUCUAUUUAAACACUGAAUGUAAAACUGUGAUGUGAAUGGUGAAUGUGUGAAUGUAUAGUUAUCUUUAUAUUCAUUUGGUUGUGGUUGUUUCCUGGCUAUACUCUUGUACUUGUGUGACGCCGUGCAAAUACAGGGGAAACUCUGUCCGUGUGAACAGUGGAUUUCCUGUAUUUGUGGCGGAUCUGGCAUACCCUGGGAUCAGGUUUGCAAAAAAAAAAAAAAAAAAAAAAAAAAAAAAUAUUUCCGCUGUGUUUUUAACCUAAAAGGACCCCGGGGCGUGACAAAAAAUUAUAGGAGUAAUUAAUUAAUGAUAAGAGAAUAUCAAAUAUUCUCUUGUGUAUCUCACUUGCUAUAGUCAUCAAAGGUUCCUCACUAUUAGUAGCGGGGAUGGAAUUGAUGACGCCUUCUUCGGCGACGGUGAUAGUGAAGAUGACGACGAUCCCUUUGGCCACGACGGAUGGAGGAAAUGGGCGUGCAUUAGUGAGAGAGGGAGGAAGGGAAGGAGGGGACGGUGUAUAGGAUUGUAGAUGGUAGCGAAUUGUUUGGAUGCAUUAUUAGAAGUCUGGUGGAGGGAAGGAAAAGAAUGAUAAUGAAUUAAUCGGAGAGAGGGAGCGAGGUAAGGAUUAUAGAUUGCAUGGAAAUAUUUAGAUGCAUUAAUUGAAAGUUUAGUAGUGAGAACGUUUAGAUGUAUUAGUUAAAUAUAUUAAUUAAAAGUUUGAUGAAGGGAAUGGGACAAGUCAAAUGCCGGUGAGGGUGAAGGACAACUUGCCACGUGGCAAAAAAUAUUUGAGAUUGAAAAUUUGGCAGUGAAAACAUUUAGAUAUAUUAAUUAAAUGAGAAAUGAUUCGGCACUUUAUUAUUAAAAAAAUAAAAUAGAUCUUAACCGUUGAUUAAUAGAGGAUAAAGUUGUAAUUUUAACAUUCAGCAGGUAAAAGAGUUACAUCAUUCGAGGUUAUUUUGGUAAUUAAACUAUAGAACAUUUAAAGAAACUUUUAAUUGAUAUCCUAAAUUUAUGCAUUAAUUUGCACUAAUUUGAAAAAUUAAUUGAUUACCCUAAUUUAGCCAUUAAUUAGGCAUUAAUUUAGGCAUUUACUUUACAAAUUUUAGUGUUUCUAAAAUUUAGGCAUUAAUUUAAAUUAUAGAAAUUUUAGAAAUAGUUCUAUUUCUAAAUAUAUUGAAUUUAAAUAUUAAAUAUUAAAUAUUUAAGAUUAAAAAAUUGAAAUUUAAGUUAGAGGAAUUUUGUAUUAUUGUUUAAAAAAUUUCUAAUGUCGGUGGUUAUUUCAAUUAAACAUACUUAAUAUGUUUAAGAAAUUUUUAAAUUCCUAUAAUUUAGACAUUAAUUUUGCAUCACUUAUUUAAAAAAAUUUGAAUGUAGGUAAAAAAAUUAUAAAUUAAAUGUAUUUAAUAUUGUUAAAAAAAUUUAGAAUUGUUCUACUUUAGACAUUAAUUUUGUAUCAUUAUUUUAAAAAAUUUGUAAUGUUGGUAAAUAUUUAAAUUUAACAUAUUUUAUAUGUUUAGAAAAAUUAUGAAUUCAUCUUAGACAUUAAUUUUGUAUUAAUAAUUUUAAAAAAUUGAAUGUGGGCAAAUAUUUCAAUUCAACAUAUUUAAUAUGUUUAAAAAAAUUUAAGAAUUUUUCUAAUUUAGAUAUUAAUUCUUUAUCACUAUUUAAAAAUUUUAAUAUGGAUAAUUGAUUACAAAUAUAAGGUAUACUUCAAAUUUAUUCUUAGAAUAGAAUUGUAUGAACAAAAUUAAUUUAAAUUUUAAUAGUAAAAAUUGAUCUUUUAAAAUAAUAAGAUUAUGUAUUGUAAUUUAAAAUAUAAGCUGAAAACAAAUAAAAUUUGAAGUUUAGAACUUAAAAGGAAAAUAGAAACCUCCAAUAAAUUUAAAUAGUGUAGUGCAAUUUAAACUUAUCAAUAAAUAAGUUUAGACUGUAUAAUUUAAAUUUUAAGUUUGUAAUAAAUUUCCACCAUAGAGUUUUACUAGAGUAAACAAAAUUAGAAAUGUCGAUAAAUUAAAUAAAUUUAUAUUAAACAAGUCUAGGCUAUUUGAAUAUUUUACCAAUUUGAUCAGUCCAAUUAAUUUGAUUUAUUAAAUUGAUUUUGACUCUUAUUUUUAAAAUUUUUCAAUUUUUACUUGAUUUUUUAAAUUUUAGUUUGUUACCUUUUGGUUUACAAUUAACUUCUUAACUUUUUAUUAUUCAUUUUAAUUAAAUUAGUAUCAAUGAUUUAAAACCGGAUUGAACCGAUUGAUUCGACUUAUCAGACUUUAAACUAUUCUAUCAAGAUCUGAUUUCAAUCUAUUAAACUGAAUAAGACUAAGAACAAUAGGGAACUGUUAAAGAUAAUAAACGUUUUAAACAGAAUGACAUUUUAACUGUUAGAGCUAAUAAAUAUUUUAAAUAUAAUUUUAAACAUAAAAAUUAAAAAGAUUAGGAUUACUGUUUAGAAAAAAUUGGUUAGGAAUUUGAAUUCGAACCCGACUAACAAUGGCAAAACCAAUUUCCGAACUUGAUGGAUAUAUUUCAAAAAUCCAUAUCUAAAUCCGAAACUGACUAAUUUUUUGAAACUCAAACUCGAAGAUCGGAACCGGUAGCAAUUAUUUCUCUUUACCAUAUUUCAAAAUAUUUUAUAUUAAAUUUAAUUUUUUAAAAUAUAAAUUCGAAUAUAAUAUUAAAUUUUAUAUAUGAUUCGGGUCGGAUUCAAGAUGGGUAUAGGCAAAAUUCAUAGUUGGUCCACAAAAUAAUCUUACGUUCUUGUUGUUAAAUAAUUUGAAACUUUUCUUAUAUGAAAUGCCAAAAUAUGAGAGGAAAGAUAGAGAGAGAAAAAAGAAACAAAGAGAGAAUAAAANNNNNNNNNNNNNNNNNNNNNNNNNNNNNNNNNNNNNNNNNNNNNNNNNNNNNNNNNNNNNNNNNNNNNNNNNNNNNNNNNNNNNNNNNNNNNNNNNNNNNNNNNNNNNNNNNNNNNNNNNNNNNNNNNNNNNNNNNNNNNNNNNNNNNNNNNNNNNNNNNNNNNNNNNNNNNNNNNNNNNNNNNNNNNNNNNNNNNNNNNNNNNNNNNNNNNNNNNNNGUCGUCGGAAACUGUGGAGGAGAGUCAGAGAAGAAAAGAAAAGAAAAAUGCAAAAAAAAAAAAGUCACAGCCCGGCCUUAGGGGGAUCGGAGGCGAGGAAGGUGGGGGCGACGCCGCUCUGUCUUCGCUGCUCUCUAGGAAGAGAAAGAAAAAAAAGAACGAGAGAAAAAAAAGAAAAGAAAAAGGUAUAAGGGCACCUCCGCUCCGUCUUCGCCGCUCUCUGGGAAGAAAAAGAAAAAAGAACGAGAGAAAAAAAGAGGAGAGAGAAAGAGGAAAGAGAAAAAGAUAUAAGGGUAUUUUGGUCAGUUUGCUGAAAAAGCGGACCGAAUCUGCAAAAGCCAAAAAGAUGGGCCGAUUUUGCAAAAGUCUAAAAUAAGUGGAUUUUUUAUGCAAAUUGGCCUAGAGUUUUACUAGAGUAAACAAAAUUAGAAAUGUCGAUAAAUUAAGUAAAUUUAUAUUAAACAAAUCUAGGCUAUUUGAAUAUUUUAUCAAUUUGAUCAGUCCAAUUAAUUUGAUUUAUUAAAUUGAUUUUGACUCUUAUUUUUAAAAUUUUUCAAUUUUUACUUGAUUUUUUAAAUUUUAGUUUGUUACCUUUUGGUUUACAAUUAACUUCUUAACUUUUAUUAUUCAUUUUAAUUAAAUUAGUAUCAAUGAUUUAAAACCGGAUUGAACCGAUUGAUUCGACUGAUCAGACUUUAAACUAUUCUAUCAAGAUCUGAUUUCAACCUAUUAAACUGAAUAAGACUAAGAACAAUAGGGAACUGUUAAAGAUAAUAAACAUUUUAAACAGAAUGACAUUUUAACUGUUAGAGCUAAUAAAUAUUUUAAACAUAAUUUUAAGCAUAAAAAUUAAAAAGAUUAGGAUUACUGUUCAGAAAAAAUUGGUUAGGAAUUUGAAUUCGAACCCGCUUAACAAUGGCAAAACCAAUUUCCGAACUCAAUGGAUUUCAAAAAUCCAUAUCCAAAUUCAAAACUGACCAAUUUUUCGAAACUCAAACUCGAAGAUCGAAACCGGUAACAAUUAUUUCUCUUUACCAUAUUUCAAAAUAUUUUAUAUUAAAUUUAAAAUUUUAAAAAUAUAAAUUCGAAUAUAAUAUUAAAUUUUAUAUAUGAUUCGGGUCGGAUUCAAGAUGGGUAUAGGCAAAAUUCAUAGUUGGUCCACAAAAUAAUCUUACGUUCUUGUUGUUAAAUAAUUUGAAACUUUUCUUAUAUGAAAUGCCAAAAUAUGAGAGGAAAGAUAGAGAGAGAAAACAGAAACAAAGAGAGAAUAAAAAUUUUGAUAAUAUAGUAGAGAUAAAAUGACUAAAAUAUUGCUCAUGUAUUAAAAGACAAAAAUACUCUUUUUUGACAUACCUGGUAACCGGUACCUCUCCCAAAGUGACCUACUAUUGCAAGUCACAAUUUUAAGAAAAUUAAAUCUGAACCGUUGAAUGGGAGUGAAUGAACGGUAACGAAAAAAAAAAGUAUAGAAGCGUUACUCUAAUUAAAUAUAUUAAUUGAAAGUUUAAUGAAAGGAAUAGAAAUGAUCAAAUGUUGAUGAGGGUAAAGGACAACUUACUACUUGACAAAAUAUAUUAAAAAUUCAUAUAAGUUAUGUAGUAUCCUUUUAUAUAUAUAUAUAUUUAUAUAUAUAUUAUAUAUAUUAUAUGUAUAUAAUUAUUUAGUUAUAGUAUGCAAGUGCCCAGAUGUAUUAUGUUAUCUAAUUAGGGGGGUUUGUACAUGCUCAUUAAUUAAAUUCCUCCUCUUGUUCUUGGAGCAUACGCGAGAGGAGAGCUUGGGUUGGAGCGCUCGUCGGGUCGCUCGACGAGCGGUUGAGGACGUUUGUCGCCGUAGGUCGAUAAGUAGGAGGCGGGCGAGGUGCGUUUCGCCGUGCCCUCGAUAGCAUCGGGUUGGAUUCGCUUCGAUCGUCGAACGUCAGACAUGAUUUCGGCUCGUAUCGGCUGGAAGGAGUAGGAUUUGACGGGUUUGAGUUGUUGGAUUCAGCGAUUUCGGGAAGGAAUCACGAAAGGCCUUAUUUGCUGGAUUUGGUGGAAGGUUUUCUAGGUCGCUAUAUCCUAUUUCUUUCUGCUGCGUCGUUUUUGGGACACGAUUGAUGUUAAAAUAUGGUUUUCUAUGUUUAUCCGUGAGGUGUUGUCGCGAGUUCGCGUGGGCUGCGCCGAGCUUGACAGGACUCGGUGCUUUCACAAUCGGGUAAUUUUCGAUUAAUGUGGGUUAAUCAUCGGAUGUAUUCUAAGUUCCUAUAAUUAUAGACAUGUAAUUGUGGAAUAUCUUGUUUGUUGGCGCAUUGACUCUUUCAGUGAUUAGUGUAUUGGUAAUAAUUGUAGAAUGGAGCUAGAUAUUAUCUUUGAUAAUUAUAAUGUUGGGACCUUUGCGGAUAGACUUUAGGAGAACUCGCGAUUUGAUCAGUCAUAUAUUUAAAAUUGACACUGAUUUAGCUCUAAGGAGGCGUAUGUUUAGUUUGUAAUUAGCGUAUCCUUAGUGGUGUAUCCGAUAGUUUAGCUCAGUUACAUCGUGCGGCAGACGCGGUAUUUUACAGUGCCGUUCAGAGCUGUUCCGGACUGUUGGGUGCCGUCGGUGAUAUGUUGACGGUGAUGGACCGGAUGCUUUUUGGCGUCGGUUGUGGAGGGACAGUUAUCCUAUUGAGUUGUCUUGACCAGUUUGAAGUCGUUACUGACUGUGGCUUUUGAGAGCCGAAUUGAGUGACAGAGAUACGCUGCAUACUCGGUUGGGUAGCUCCCACGAGUGCCACUCCGGAGACGGGCGCUGUGCUUUCGCGUUAGCGUCGCUCAUGCCGGUUGGACUUGCUCUCCACGGACUAGUAGUGUGGAGGUAGCUGGAUAAUCACAACCGGGCAGUGACGGGUGUGUUCACAGUCCCAGGGACGGGUAUGCUUACAGUUCCGAUUGGAUUGGGUCAGAUUUGACAUUUCCUACAGUUGGUUAGUAUAGAGCAUGAUAGUGUAGUGAUUCAUAGCGGUAGAUUUUAUUCCUGUAUUUACUACUAUCCUGGCUCCCUUCUGUAGAUUUAGUGGGUGGACCGAUGUUGUUUAGGGCGGCACCCACUGAGGACUAGUUUUUACAGUAGUUCUCACGCCCAGUCGUUACCCCUGUUUUGCAGAGCCACAGGUUUCGGCUGCUGCGCCUUCCGCGGAUCAGGAUCGAGGCAAGGGCGUCGCGAGUUAGAGCCCUACCCGACGAGCUGAGCUAGAGGCACUCCUACUGCAGGUAGACGUUUUGUUUCGAGUUUAUGUACAUAGCAUACUUAACUCGCCAGUGCGAGUAGCUCUGUAUUUUGGAUUUGGGCUAUGUACAUGAAACUCAGUUUGUUUAGUAUUUGUCUACUCGAGCAGCUCUAUACUACUGUUUGUAGUAUUGUAUGUUUACAGGUACUGUUGUCGCUUUGUAUACAGGAGAAAUUCCUUUGUAUACGGCGGAUUUGUCGACGUGCCCGGGGAACGAGACAUCCGGGGCGUGACAAUAGUUCACACAGAGGGAGCUGACCUGACGGCAGCCGCCGGUGCGUGUGGAGUUAUGAAGGACUAUGGACAUUAGUAUUCAGUAUAUCCCGGCAGGGCGACAUGUGCCUGUGGCAAUGCGGUUGAGCAGAGGAAUAUCAGUGCAGAGCCUGAGUUUAGUAUCACCUGAGCAGUAAGACCCCCUACUCGAGGGAGCUUCAGCGGUGUGGGAUCGAGAUGUACCCCCUGAGUCUACGGCGGAGUGCUGAGCGUCUCUAGUUUUACAAUCACCCGUGUUGGAUAGAUCAGAGAGAAACAGAGUGAGAGAUCCGUACUUGUUGAGGAUUAGAGAGCAGCUAGACAGGGGCAUGCUGCAGGGUUUCUGCUUUAGACAGUUCAGGAGUACUACGGUACAGGACCGACUGUGUGUGCCUUGUGAUUUUCUGAGAUUCGAGUAUACAUUCUGAGAGAGGCUAUUUGUUCUCUGUAUACGGUUCACCCUGGGGAACCAAGAUGUAUAAGGAAUCUUACGGCACGGUUCUGGUGAGCUUGGCAAUGGAAGAGGGACAUUGCAGAUUUGUGUUCAGGUUUCGACUUGCCAACAGGUGAAACGAAGCAAUCAGGUGCCUGUGGCAAGCUUCAGAGUCUGCAGGCCCGAGUGGAAGUACGGUAGUACAUCACGAUGGAUUCGCGUGUGGAUUGCCUAGAGCGCAGUGUGCUACGACGGCAGAUUUGGGUGAUAGUGACAGACUUUACCAAGUCGUGCUCACUUACCUACCGGUUCCACUACUAGUCCACGCAGAGAUACUCGCGCAGCUAUACUGGAUGAGAUGUUUAUGCUGCACCGUGACGUGCAGUGUCGAUUGUUGUCAGACAGAGACCGAGCGUUUGUUAUCCUUAGUGUUUGGGGACUUCAAGCCGCCUUGGGCACUCAGCUGCCAUUUUAGCACGGCUCCAGCCCAACAGACAGAUGGUCAGUCGAGCGACCAUACAGACUCUAGGGACAUGCUGAGGGACGCGUCUCUAGUAUUUUGAGGAGGGUGAUAUCGACAAUUGUGAGGACUGGUUGAGUUUGCGUACCAAAACAGCUAUCAAACAGCAAUUCAGUGCUCUCGUUGAGGCGAUGUAUGGACGCAGAUGUCGAUCCCCCUAUUUCUGGGAGCGAUGUGGCCGUGAGCCGGUAGGACACUUGGACAGGGACAUCUACUUGAGCUUGAGGAAAAGGGUGAGAGUUGCUUCGACGACACCUUUUAGAACCAGAGCGCGCCAGAGGAGAGCUACGCGAUACCAGGAGACGAGACUUUAGAGUUUCAGAUUGAGAGAUCACUGGUUUUCUCAACGCUCGUCGUCCACAGAGCGAUACGCGAUUUGGGGUACAUGGAAAGCUCAGUCACGUCUUUGUUGGGCGGGCCGUGUUAUCGAAGAUAUUGACACGAGUUGGACUGGUCUUGCUUACGAAUGAGCUCUAGCCCGGCGACUUGCUGGCCUCCACGAUGGUUUUCAGUCUCAAGCUUUGAGAGAUUCAUUUCGAUCCUCUCACCGGUGAUCGACUUUUACCACUCGAGAUUGGCAGAGGUAUCUGAGAUUACGAGGAGCGGACCCGUUGCGGAUUCUGCUCGGAGGCACGAAAGAAUUACCGCAACCGGCAUCAUUUCCGUAUGUUGAAAGUUGCCAGUGGAGCAUAUCGAGAGCGGGAGCGCAUUGGGAAGCUGAGACAGAUGAGAUGAGCGAGUAUCUUUACCCAACUUGUUUGAUCUUUUCAAGUUGAGUAUGUGCUAAGUUUCGCGGACCGAAACUUUUGUCAGUGGAGGGACGAAUGAUAUAUAUCUGAUUAUAUAUAUAUAUAUAUAUAUAUAUAUAUAUAUUAUUAUAUAUAUUAUAAUAUAUAUAUAUAUUAUAUAUAUAUAAUAAUAUUAUAUUUUUUUAUAUUAAUGCCCCACGAUAGCCCCCAUGCAUGUAUUUCAUGCUUAGUCUAAUUAGGGGUUGUACAUAGCCUCCUUAAUGGAAAUUAUCCUCCCUCUUCUGUCUCUGGAGCCAAGCGGAGGAGGAGGCAGUGGGAUGGAGCGGUUCGUCGCCGACAUCGCAUCGCCGAGCCGUCUUGAGCGCACGUCUGUGUCGCGUAAGCGUCGCGUGGAGGCCGGCGACGAGGGUGACGUUUUCGCCGUCCUCGCACGUCACACCGGCUUGUGAUUCGCUGUCGAUCUUCGACCGGUCAGUGUUGUUCGGCUGCGUAUUAGCGUAGAACGUCGGUAUUUCAACGGGGAUUAGGUUGUUGGAUUCAGGAAUUCGACGGAACCGAAAUCCACGAAAGCCCUUAUUGUGCUGGAUUUGUGUGUGAAGGGUUUUUCUUAGGUCGUAUCCCUAUUUCUUCUGCUGCUGUGUUUUGGGCAGAAUUUGAAUGCUUACUUAUGUGAUUUCUAUGUUAUAACCCGUGCGAGCGUUCGUUGUCGCUGGUUCGGGACUGCGCCAGCUGUUGAUACGGAACUCCGGUGGCACCUUCUUCACCAUCGGUGAUUUGCGAUAAGGUGGGGUUAAUCAUCGGUGUUACUCCUAAGUGGCUAUGAUAAUCGACAUGUAAUUUGGAAUAUCUUGUGUUGGCGCAAUUGCUCGAGGUUCCAUUGAUUUAGUUAUCGGUUAAUUAUCUGAAUUGGAACUGAGUUAUUAUCUUUGAUAUAUAUAUAAUAAUGUUUGGACUUGAUAAGAUUUAGGAGAAAACUCGCGAUUAUAUCGUCAUAUAUUUGAAACUAAACCUGAUUUAGCUCUAGAAGCUCAUGUAUUAUUGUAUACGUGUAGCAGUAUCCUAUAGGUGAGUAUUUUGUUAAUUUUUUUUUUUUUUUUUUUUUUUUUUUUCCAAGAUAGUUUAGCUUUCAGUUACGUCGUGCCAGGGAGAUGCGAGAUUAUUUUUACCAGUAGGUUCAACUGUUCCGGUACUGUUGGGUGCCGUCGGUGUUCGUUAUGACGGAUGGACCACGUAUCGCACUUUUGGGGCUCGAUUGUGACGAGGCACGUUACUAUUGGUUGUUAGACCAGUUUGAGUCCGCGUUUGACUGGACUUUGCUUUUGAGAGCGUUAGCUGCGCUCGACAGAGAUACGCCCUGUAUACUCGGUUGGUAGCCCACGAGUACCACUCCGGGAGACGAGCGCCUGUGCUUUCGCAGUUAGUGUCGUCAUGCCGGAUUGGACUUGCUUCACGGUAUAGUAGUGUGGAGGCUAGCUGAUAAUCACCACGGGCAGUGACGCGGUGCUGUUCACCAGUCCCAGGGACGGGUCAUGCUUACAAGUUUACAUUGCGAUGUGGGCAGAUUUGCAUUUCUACAGCUUGGUUAGUAUAGAGCAUCGAGUGUAGUGCAUUCAUAGCGGCUAGAUUUUAUUCCUGUACUUUACUACUAUUCUCGGCUCCCUUCUGUAGAUUUAGUGGGUGGACCGAUAUUGUUUAGGCGCGGGCACCACUGAGGACUACUUGUUUUUACAGUGGAGUUCUCCCACGCCCAGUCGUUUACCCUGUUUUGCAGAGCCCACAGGUUUCGGCCUUCUUCUUCUUCUUCUCUCUCUAGAAAAUGUAGGGAGAGGGUGAGAAUGAGAGAAUGAGAGAGGGAAGAGGAGGAAAUGGCUAAUAAGCCCAUCUAAUGUAACAAAAUCCAGUGAGGCCCCUCAAAAAUCCAAAAUUGCAUCAGCCCGAACUGGGCAGUUUUCGCCCAGAGGGACCGGUCUCUCCCCAGCAGGGACCGGUCUCUCGCUGCGAACCCGAAAAACCAGCGUUCGGGAACCGGUCUCUCCCUGCGCGGGACCGGUCUCUCACUGCGAAGACGCGUUCGGGAACCGGUCUCGCCUGCCAGGGACCGGUUGCCUCAGGCUGCCUCAACACUGCUCACUGGGGGGACCGGUCUCUCCCUCCAGGGACCGGUCCCCGAGAGUAAAAACUCUCAGGACUUGUCCAAAGUUCCAGUUUUCGAACUUUUCGGGUCGGGGAACAUUUUACAACCCUCCACCAAGUGUGGAAAAGCUCGAAAUACAACCAAACACUCGAACCUCCCAAUUUGCAAAGGUCCAGUGUGUUACAGGGCAGGUGCUACGGAUGUGGUCAGCCGGGACACAUGAGGGCAGCUUGUCCCCGAGCAACGUCUCCAGCACCAUCAUCAGCUUCAGCACCACCAUCACCAUAGCAGUCUUACGGAGCAGCGCCGAGUUACCGCCAGGAGGACAGAUCGUCUGUGCCGCGGUCGAGUGAGCGGCGACAGCAGGCUCCGAGUGGCAGAGUCUACGCAGCUCAGGUGGAGGAAUCUACAGUAGCCGACCGAGUGGUGGCAGGUAUCACUUUGAUUUCUGGCAUUAGAGUUCGCACUCUUUUUGAUACCGGUGCAUCGCAUUCCUUUGUUAGCCGAGCAUUUGCACAGUUACAUGGUCUAGAGUUAGGAGCGUUGUCUCAGGCACGAGAGGUGCAGAUCCCAGACCAUGUUUUGCCUGUGGUGGAGUGUUGUUGGUCAUGUCCGGUGCAGCUAGACUCGUGGAUUAUGCCCGCAGACCUGUUGGUGUUAGGGCGGCUGCAGAACUUCGACGUUGUGCUCGGUAUGGAUUGGCUGGCGCGGUACUAUGCUACGAUCGACUGUGGAGUGAGGACGGUGACGUUCCGUGAGCCAGGCCAGGAGUUCACUUUCAGAGGCUGUAGGAGCACGCUGUUUGCUACUUGGAUAUCUUUGGCGAGGGCUCGAUAGAUGCUAAGUAGUGGGUGUCUCGCUUUUCUAGCGACUGUUGUGGAGAUACCUACGGCGGCGCCGGGACUUGAGGACAUCCCAGUAGUCCGCGAGUUUCCGGACGUGUUUUCCUCCUGAGUUGACGACGUUGCCGCCGGAAAGGGAGAUUGAGUUUGUGAUUGAUGUAGUUCCUGGAACUGCACCAAUCUCAAAGGUACCUUAUCGGAUGGCGCCGGCAGAGCUGAGAGAGCUAAAGGCACAGCUUCAGGAUCUGAUGGAUAGAGGGUUUGUGAGACCCAGUGUGUCGCCUUGGGGAGCGCCGGUGUUAUUUGUAAAGAAGAAGGAUGGUUCGCUCAGGUUAUGUGUGGAUUACUGGAAGCUGAAUAAAGUGACCAUCAAGAAUAAGUAUCCCUUGCCGCGUAUUGAUGAUUUGUUUGAUCAGCUGCAGGGAUCUUAUGUCUUCUCGAAGAUUGAUCUCCAGUCAGGUUACCACCAGCUGAGGGUGAGGGCCGAGGAUGUUCCCAAGACGGCUUUUCGGACUCGGUACGGGCAUUAUGAGUUCACGGUGAUGCCUUUUGGAUUGACGAAUGCCCCUGCCGCAUUCAUGGAUUUGAUGAACAGAGUGUUCAAGCCGUUCUUGGAUAGGUUUGUGGUAGUCUUCAUCGACGAUAUCCUGAUUUACUCCCGGAGUGAUGCUGAGCAUGAGGAGCACUUGAGGAUUGUGCUACAGCUUCUGCGCGAGAAGAAGUUGUAUGCCAAGUUAAAGAAGUGCGAGUUCUGGCUACGGGAGGUUGCUUUCUUGGGCCACGUGAUUUCAGCUGAGGGCGUAGCAGUGGACCCGAAGAAGAUUGAGGCGAUUCGAGAUUGGCCUAGACCGACGACGGUGACUGAGGUACGGAGCUUCCUGGGACUGGCAGGAUAUUACCGUCGGUUUGUGGAAGGCUUUGCGAAGCUUUCCACACCCCUCACACGCUUGACGCGGAAGGGGAUUCGUUUUGUCUGGAGCGACGACUGUCAGAGGAGCUUUGACGAGUUGAGACUGAGGUUGACGUCGGCUCCUAUCCUUGCCCUUCCGGUGAUGGGGGAUGGAUUCGUGAUCUACAGUGAUGCAUCGCACAGUGGACUUGGUUGCGUGCUGAUGCAGCAUGGUAGGGUGAUUGCUUAUGCUUCACGGCAAUUAAAGGAUUAUGAGAAGAAUUACCCUACGCAUGACUUGGAGCUUGCCGCGGUGGUUUUUGCUUUGAAGCUCUGGCGGCAUUACUUGUAUGGCGAGCACUGCGAGGUCUUCACCGAUCAUAAAAGUCUCAAAUAUCUGUUCACACAGAGGGAGCUGAACCUGAGGCAGCGCCGGUGGUUGGAGUUAUUGAAGGACUAUGACAUUAGUAUUCAGUAUCAUCCCGGCAGGGCGAAUGUUGUGGCAGAUGCGUUGAGCAGGAAAUCAGUGCAGAGCCUGAGUUUGAGGAUCACUGAGCAGAGACCCCCUACUCGAGGAGCUUCAGCGGCUGGGACUCGAGAUAGUACCCCCUGGGUCUACGGCGAGGCUGACGUCUCUAGUUUUACAAUCCACUCUGUUGGAUAGGAUCCGAGAGAAACAGAGUGGAGAUCCGUACUUGUUGAGGAUUAGAGAGCAGCUAGACAGGGGGCAUGCUGAGGGUUUUGCUUUAGACAGUUCGGGAGUACUACGGUACAGGGACCGACUGUGUGUGCCUGUGGAUUCUGAGAUUCGAGUAUACAUUCUGAGAGAGGCUCAUUGUUCUCCUUAUACGGUUCACCCUGGGGGAACCAAGAUGUAUAAGGAUCUUAAGGCACGGUUCUGGUGGCUUGGAAUGAAGAGGGACAUUGGCAGAUUUGUGGUUCAGUGUUUGACUUGCCAACAGGUGAAGACCGAGCAUCAGGUGCCUGCUGGCAAGCUUCAGAGUCUGCCAGGGCCCGAGUGGAAGUACGAGUACAUCACGAUGGACUUCGUCGUUGGAUUGCCUAGAGCGCAGUGUGGCUACGACGCGAUUUGGGUGAUAGUGGACAGACUUACCAAGUCUGCUCACUUCCUACCGGUUCAAACUACCUAGUCCAGAGAGAUACUCGCGCAGCUAUACCUGGAUGAGAUUGUUAGGCUGCACGGCGUGCCAGUGUCGAUUGUGUCAGACAGAGACCCGAGGUUUGUAUCCUAGUUUUGGAGGAGUCUUCAGACCGCCUUGGGCACUCAGCUGCAUUUUAGCACGGCAUUCCACCCACAGACAGAUGGUCAGUCAGAGCGGACCAUACAGACUCUAGGGGACAUGCUGAGGGCACGCGUCCUAGAUUUUGGAGGAGGGUGAUAUCGACAUGUGAGACUGGUUGAGUUUGCGUACAACAACAGCUAUCAAACGAGCAUUCAGAUGGCUCCGUUUGAGGCGUUGUAUGGACGCAGAUGUCGAUCCCCCCUAUUUUGGAGCGAUGUGGGUGAGCGGAGGACACUUGGACAGGACAUUCUACUUGAGGCUGAGGAAAAGGUGAGAGUUGUUCGACGACACCUUUUGACAACCCAGAGCCGCCAGAGGAGCUACGCCGAUACCAGGAGACGAGACUUAGAGUUUCAGAUUGGAGAUCAUGUUUUCCUCAAAGCCUCGUCGUCCACAGGGAUACGCCGAUUUGGGGUACGUGGAAAGCUCAGUCCACGGUUCGUUGGCCUUUUCGAGAUAUUGGAACGAGUUGGACUGGUUGCUUACAGAAUAGCUCUACCCCCGCGACUUGCUGGCAUCCACGAUGUUUUCCACGUCUCAGCUUUGAGGAGAUUCAUUUUCGAUCCCUCUCACGUGAUCGACUUUACUCCACUCGAGAUUGGCGAGGAUCUGAGAUACGAGGAGCGACCGUUGCGGAUUCUUGCUCGAGAGACGAAAGAAUUACGCAACCGGAUCAUUCCGUAUGUGAAAGUGCAGUGGAGCAAUCACGAGGAGCGGGAGGCGACUUGGGAGCCUGAGACAGUGAUGAGGGAGUCUUACCCAAACAUGUUUGAUUCUUAGAGUUGAGGUAUGUGCUAAGUUUCGAGGACGAAACUUUUUGUAGUGGGGAGCAUGUAGUAUCCUUAUAUAUAUAUAUAUAUAUAUAUAAUGCCACGUGCCCCCAUGCAUGUAUUUCAUGCUUAUCUAAUUAGAGGGUUGUACAUGCCUCCUUAAUUAAAAUUUCCUCCCACUCUAUCUCUGGAGCCAUACGCGAGGAGGAGAAGCUUGGGUGGAGCGUUCGUCGCCGACGUCGCGCCGCGAGCCGUUCGAGCGCGCUUGUUGCCGGAGCUUUGCGAGGAGGCCGGGCGAGGGAGCGUCUUCACUGUUCUUGACGUCGCGCCGAGGUUCGACGCUGUCGUAUCGUCGAACGUCAGUGUUUGGCUGCGAUACUUAGCGUAGAACGUCGCGUAUUCAACCGGGCAUUUGAGGUUGAUUGGCUUCAGGACUUCGAGAGACAGAAAUCCACGAAAGCCCUUAUUUGCUGGAUUGGUGAAGGGUUUUCUAAGGUUCGUAUCCCUAUUUCUUUCUGCGCCUGCUGCUUUUGGCAAAUUGAUGCUUAAUAUGGAUUUCUAUGUUUUAACCCGUGGAGCGUGUUUGCUCGCUGGUUCGGGGAGCUGCGCCGAGCUUGAUAGGAACUCCGUACCUUCUUCACCAAUCGGGGAUUUGCGAUUAAGGUGGGUUAAUCUAUCGGUUUAUCCUAAGUGCCUAUAUAAUCGAACAUGUAAUUGUGGAAUUUCUUUUGUGUGGCGCAAUUGCUCGGUUUUCAUUGAUUUAGUAUCGGUUAAUAAUCUGAAUUGGAACUGAGUUAUUAUCUUUGGAUAUAUAUAUCAUGUUGGACUUGGAUAAGAUUUAGGAGGAAAACUCGCGAUUAUGAUGUCAUAUAUUUAAACUUACCUGAUUUAGCUCUAGAAAGCGUUGUAUUAAUUGUUAUACUGUAGCAGUAUCCUAUAGUGAGUAUUCCAGAUAGUUUAGCUUUCAGUUACGCUCGUGCCGGGAUGCCGAGUAUAUUUUACAGUAGCGUUCAACUGUUCCGGACUGUUGGGUGCCGUCGGGUCGUUGACGGUGGACCCGUAUCGCCUUUUGGCGUCGGAUUGUGCGAGGGCACGUUACUAUUGGUUGUUAGACCAGUUUGAGUCGCUUACUGGACUUUGGCUUUGAGAGCCGAUUGAGCUGACAGAGAUACGCUGUAUACUCGGUUGGCGGGGUAUUUAUUAAGGGGGCUCCCACGAGUGCCACUCCGGAGUCAGGCUUUGUGCUUUCGCGUUGGUGUCGCUCAUGCCGGUUGGACUUGCUCUCCACGGACUAGUAGUGUGGAGGUAGCUGGAUAAUCACAACCGGGCAGUGACGGGUGUGUUCACAGUCCCAGGGACGGGUAUGCUUACAGUUCCGAUUGGAUUGGGUCAGAUUUGACAUUUUCUACAGUUGGUUAGUAUAGAGCAUGAUAGUGUAGUGAUUCAUAGCGGUAGAUUUUAUUCCUGUAUUUACUACUAUUCUGGCUCCCUUCUGUAGAUUUAGUGGGUGGACCGAUAUUGUUUAGGGCGGCACCCACUGAGGACUACUUGUUUUUACAGUAGUUCUCACGCCCAGUCGUUACCCCUGUUUUGCAGAGCCACAGGUUUCGGCUGCUGCGCCUUCCGCGGAUCAGGAUCGAGGCAAGGGCGUCGCGAGUUAGAGCCCUACCCGACGAGCUGAGCUAGAGGCACUCCUACUGCAGGUAGACGUUUUGUUUCGAGUUUAUGUACAUAGCAUACUUAACUCGCCAGUGCGAGUAGCUCUGUAUUUUGGAUUUGGGCUAUGUACAUGAAACUCAGUUUGUUUAGUAUUUGUCUACUCGAGCAGCUCUAUACUACUGUUUGUAGUAUUGUAUGUUUACAGGUACUGUUGUCGCUUCGUAUACAGGAGAAAUUCCUGUGUAUACGGCGGAUUUGUCGGCGUGCCCGGGGAACGAGACAUCCGGGGCGUGACAAGUUAAUAAAUAGAUUAAUAGAUAGAUAGAUAAUAGAUAUUGCUUGAAACUUAAUUUGACUUAAAGAAAGUAAAUAUAAUAUUAACAAAAUAAAUCUUACCUUCUUUGGUUUGGAGCUGUUUAGAAGCGGAAAAUUGAAAAAGGAUAAAUUUGUGACAAAUCCAACUUCGUCCCCUCAACCCAAUCAAAAUUGAAGAGCUGAGAAGUUGGGCUGAUCUCACAGCCUUAAUGUCGAAACAAAUGCUAACGAGACAAAAGACAAAUUGACCACAUGCAGGUGAAAGUAAGAAAAUUAAUAUUCCAGACAAGUAAGGGGGAUUCUGGCUUCUAGAAAAAGCGUUAAAAAUUAUUUUAAUUACCGGAAAACAGUUUUUUUUAAGAAAAAUACUAUUUUUUACUGCUUUUGUUUCUCAGAUAAACAAUUUGAAAAACAAAAAUACUAAUUUUUUAUAAAAUUUUAAAAAAUAUUUUUUAAGAAAACUAUAUUUUUAGUAACCAAAUUAAAUGAAAAUAAUUUUUGAACCCGAAAAAUAUUUUUUAGGCUAUUUUUGCGAGAACAUAAGAAGUGGCCAAAAAAAAUUAGAGUAAUUGGCCCUCGAUAUAACAGCCACAAGAAUUGCACAAAGGCAAAAGAGUGUUAAAGACCUUUCCUACCAUUUCCAAUUAUCAAUUAUCAAUUAUAUCAAUAAUAAUAGUAUAGUAAUCCAUACAAUGCGAUAUGUAGAUAAUUAAAGAAAAAAAUAAAAAAUGAUAACAAAGUAAGAGAAAACCGUAAUGAAAAAAGCGACGAUAAAGAAUAAGAUUCAUCUUGCCGAUAAAGAAAACUAAAGGAAGAGGAAGAAGAACAGUUCGCCUCAAUACAGAGGUGUGACCCGGUUUAAUUUAAGAAAAAAAAAAAAAGAGGUUAAUCUCGUUCGAUUUAAGUAAAAAAAGAGAGAAAUCAGAUUCAUUUCAAACAAAGAAAGAAAAUAAAUAUAUAGAAAACUUGAACCGGUUUGAGAAAGCCCACACUUAACAAUAAUCAGUUCGGUUCAAAUAAAGAAAAAAAAAAUUCGGUCCAAUUCAAGUAAAGAAAGAAGAAAAUAUAUGGAGGAUUUAAGCCGAUUCUAGUUAGAGCCCACACUCAAUAAUGAAGAAUAUAUGUCGUCACGUGGCAAAUUUAAAAAAAAUAAUAUAUAAAAAAUAAAUAAAUAAAUAAAUAAUUGGACCUAAGUUAUUGACACUCCCAUUUAUUAAUGAAUCAAUUAAUUAACGAGCUUUUUAAUGCUCCUAAUCACCGUCCAUCAUCCGUGACCCAACGGGCGCGACAUUUCACACACACCCCUUGAAAACAUAAACAUAAACAUCCCCUGUACCUGCAAUAAGAGAGAGAGAGUUAAGAGGGAAAAGUGAGGAAGAGGGCGUGAUGAUCAUGCUGAGACCAACGUGGAGAACGGUUGCUACUACUCGGCACUAAUAAUACAGAAGAGAGAGAGCGGAGUUAGAGAGAAGAGAUGGGAGAGAGAGAGAGAGGGGGGGGGGGGGGGGGGGGGGGGGGGGGGGGGGGGGGGGGGGGGGGGGGGGGGCGAGAGGAGCGAUAAGAGAAAGAGAAAAAGACACGUUUUUUCUCUUCUUUUUCCUUUUGCUGUUCUCAAAAAAAAAAAAAAAAAAAAAAAAAAAAAAAAAAUCCACACCAUCGAUGAGAGAGGGAGCAAGAAGAAGAACUUUGAUUAGAGAGAGAGAGAGACACAGAGAGCAAAGUUCACAAUGAAAGUGCCCACGGGAGAAGAACCCAGAGCACAACAACGCCCGCCAUUAAUGGCGCCGCAAGGAGGAGUCGAAGCCGAAGCGAAGAAGACGAAGAGAAGAAGGAGAGGAGAAAACACAGAGAGAGGAAUGGAGACGAAGAGGAGGAGGAGGAGGAGGAGGAGGAGGAGGCGCAAAGAAAACUAUGGUGGUGGGCAUAAAAAUGGACUCCCAGAGUCGCGAGAUCCUCACAUGGGCUCUCGUUAAACUCGCCUCCCCCGGCGACCGCGUCGUCGCAUCCACAUUCCUCCUCCUCCUCCUCCUCCUCCUCCUCCUCCCCCGUCGACUUGGACGCCAUGAUCGCCGUCUACGAGGGCUUCUGCAACCUCAAGCAGGUCCAAAACCCUAACCCUAACCCCCAAUCCGAUCCUCCCCUUCUCCCCGAAAUUCUCCCCGCCCAUCUCUAAAAAUCCGAACUUUCAGACGAUUUGCGUCGGUUUCUAAUCGAAUUGCCGCGACCCAUUUCGCAGAUCGACCUGAAGCUGAAGAUCUGCAGGGGCUCGUCCAUCCGCAAGCUCUUGGUCCGCGAGGCCACCGCCCUCAACGCCUCCGCGGUUAUCCUCGGCGCCGCCGAUAAAAGCCGCGCCUUUGGGUGAGCCCCAUUCUUUCUCCUCCUCCCCCAUUUCGAUCUCUCCCCCUCUCUCUCUCUCUCUCUCGCUCUCUCUUCGCCCUGUAGUUGUGGUGUGUUAGUGCUUUGAUCAAUUCGCUAGGUCUUCGUCUAUCUCCGUGGCAAAGUACUGCGCAAAGAAGCUGCCCACCAAGUGUUCGGUGAUUGCUGUGAAUAGCGGGAAAGUUGUUUUCCAAAGAGAAGCAAUUGGUUCGUUCGUCUUUUCCGUAUAUUUUUUUGUCUCUAAUCUUUCACUAAGUUUAGCUUCUUUGAAUCAAUUGCUUGGCCUUUUGUUUUGCAGAUGACAAGUGUAACAGCAGCAAAACGGGAAGUCGCAGCUUCUCGACAAGCUUCAUCUCUAAGCUGAGGUCGAGCAAAGAUCCGGCAGCCGAUCUCCCCAGUUGCUGGGACAAUGAUUUGUACUGUAUAUUGCCCGUUAAAGUUCAUCAGGGGAACGAUUCGAGAUCUUCGGAUGAAUUUAACGAUGUUCAUGAUUUGAAUUGUGGUGCCAAGGACUCAGCCGAGCUUCCGAGCUGCCAAAAUGGUGAAUUGUACCCGAUUGAAGAUCGGGAAGAGAAUGAUCACGAUUCUUCAAUUGAGGCGAAAGAUGUCGAUGGGAAUUGCAAUGAUUCUACUCCUUCAACUGAAUUGGAGAUUGGAAAGAAUGACGAAGUUCAUUCGGCGAUAGAUGCUCCGCCAAAAGAGAACUGUUCGGUGUGUAACCUCCGAUUGGAUCCUCCUUGCGCAAAUACAUCGACUAGAGAGGAAGAGAGGCUCGGUUGGCCUGUUGUUAGAAAGAAAAUUGUGACCCACAAAAGGAGUGCAUCCUUCGAUUGGCCCAAGAUCUCUGUGGUUCAGUGGGCGAUGAGGCGUUCGAACCGUAAUGCAGCCAUUCAUCCAGACAGCAAAUCCCUUAAGUCAAGUUCAAACACCAAAACUAAUUCUGAUUCAGAUAGCGGGUCCAAUUUUAUGCUCGAUACCGAUUCAAUUCAGGAUUUUGCUUUCUACGAUGAAGAAGGGUGGCCUCCGAAGGAGUUGGACUCUCUUCAAGAGAAGUAUUCUUCAGUUUGUAGAUUGUUUAGAUACGAAGAGCUCAAACUUGCUACAUCAAACUUCUCGCCUGGUUUGUUCUCUGAACAUAUUAAUUAUGCACAAAUAUCUCAUUAAUUGAAUGGAAUUUUUAUUGAUUUUGAGUUGCUGAGCAGAGAAUUUGAUCGGGAAAGGAGGGAAUAGUAGAGUAUAUAAGGCCCGUCUUUCUGAUGGCGACGAAUUGGCCGUGAAAAUAUUGAAGCCAUCUGAUGCUGCAUUAAAGGAGUUUGUUUCCGAAAUCGAGAUCAUCACCACGUUGCAUCACAAGAACAUUAUAACUCUAUUAGGGUUUUGCUUCGAGAACAACAGCCUCAUAUUGGUAUAUAACUACUUGCCGAGGGGCAGCUUAGAAGAAAUUCUCCAUGGUGCACAUUUGAGAUCAAAUCACAAACUUUUUCUAUUUCUUUUUCUUUUCCUUGUCUUAAUUCCAAUUUUUCUUUAAGUUAUUAUUACUCUUAUAUGGUUUAUUUUUGUUCAGGUGAUCAAGAGAUCAAGUAUGUUGUUAGUUGGGCUGAGAGAUAUAAAGUGGCGAUCGGCAUAGCAGAGGCGCUUGAUUAUCUACAUGGAAUUGCUCAACCUGUUAUUCAUAGAGAUGUUAAAUCUUCGAAUAUCCUACUCUCCAAUGACUUCGAGCCACAGGUUGAUAUAUGCUUAUUUUCUUUUUAGAAUAUAUGGAAGGCUAAAAGGUUGGAUACCCCCUGUAAAAGUUGCAAUUUUCCUGCAUUGACCUAUAAACUAAGUGAUAGAUGUCCCUUAAGGAACAUCAAUGUAAGGGGCAAAGUAUUGAAAUUUUGUAGUUCUUUUUUAUGAAAAAUAAUAUAACAUCUUGUGCUUUUAGGAGGAAAGAUAUAGUUUUCAAUAUUUUAGCAUAGCAACAUGACAAUCUCAGAAUUUUAGAGGGUUUCCUGCAAUUUAGCCUAUAGGGAAUUGAAACAUCAAUCGCCGAAUGAUAAUUUUCUUCCUGCUGUACUCCAGCUGUCUGAUUUUGGGUUUGCAAAGUGGGUCUCAUCUCCGACAUCACAUCUAACUUGCACCGACGUUGCAGGGACUUUCGGGUUUGUAUCGUGAUCGAAUUAUAAAGUUGAUAAAUUAUGUUGAAACUUGCUGUUAUAUUAAUCUUGAAUUCAGCAUCUAAGCUAGCAUCUCCUUUUAUAGGUACUUGGCCCCCGAGUAUUUUAUGUAUGGGAAAGUCAAUGAGAAGAUUGAUGUGUAUGCAUUUGGGGUUGUGCUUCUCGAGCUUAUUUCGGGUAAAAAGCCCAUUAGAACAGGGUGCCCUAAGGGCCAGGAGAGCCUAGUGAUGUGGGUGAGUGUUCUAUCACACUCUCUAUUUCUUUCUUUAAGCAUAUCCCACAAACCUAAGCACUAUUCGCGCAAACUAAAAAUGAAUGGUACAUACUUCACUUACACUGUUGGAUUCAAUAUAAUAAAAAAUAUCUGAGGCGGUCCACUAUUUUUAUUGAUUGAUUUAUUUCUUUCUUUUUUUUUAACGUAUGUUAGGCGAAACCAAUCUUAAGAGGCGGAGAGAUCAAAGAGUUGUUGGAUCCGAGCUUGGGUAAUGAAUAUGAUAGUGAUCAGAUGGAAAGGAUGGCUCUGGCCGCCUCCCUCUGCAUAAGGGCGGCUUCUCGAUUGCGACCACGAAUAGCACUUGUAAGACCCAAUUGUUUCUCCGUAUUACAUAUUUCAAAUGUUGUUGUUAUUCAUUAAUUAGGUUAUUUAUGCUAGGUUGAAGAAAGCUAGUUAGUAGUAGUUGUUCCUUAGUCGCUUACUCUUGAGAAGGCCAUUUAUUGCUAAAUUGACAUAAAACCAUUACCAUGAAAGAAGGGAUGUCGACAAGUGAGCUGAGGCUUUUAAUAAAUGACGGAGUUUUUUGUCAUUUCGAUCCCUCAAAACAGGUUAUCUAAAAAGCAGGAGAUAUAGUCAAGCACUUUUUGUACUAAUAUACUAUUCGGAUUUCAGGUUUUAAAGUUACUACAAGGGGAUGAUAGUGAAGUUUUUAACUGGGCAAGAUCAGAAGUUAGCUCUUCAGAAGGUCUCAAUGAUGCAGAAGAUGAAGAAUCGAACGCCGAGAACAUCCGAUCGCAUCUAAACCUUGCGAUGCUGGAUGUAGAGGACGAUUCUCUUUCCGUCAGCAGCACGGAACAAACUGUUGAUUCCAUGUCCAUGAGCACUUCUAUGGAGGACUAUUGGAAGGAGAGAUGGAGUCAAUCGAUAAGUUUCGACUAACUAAAUCGGCUCUUUUUGUAAUUUUGGUUAUCCACUUGUUUGUAUAGUGUUGAUGCCUUCUAAUUGUUACUAGUUUAAUCUAUUCUACCUACUUGGUUGUGAGGAAUUCUAGGGUUAGAGGUGGUGCUUUGUCCUUGCAGGAGGAGUUUAUUAAUUUUUUUCUUAAUGAUUUUGGUUCUUGAGAGUUGGGAGUUCUUUUGAAGCUGGUGUAGAUUUUUAAACUGAGAUACACUUCAUAUCACUCUUUAAUUAUCCCUCUUAACCAUGACACUCGAUGCUUUAUGGACAUUAGCACUUCAAGGUUAACUACGAAAAACUAUUUGUAAUUUAUUAUGUACUUAUUGAGUAGAUCCAAAAAAAUUGGUGCCGAACAAAAUUGGUCAAUUAGGUUAUAAUUACCUAUAUAACUAAAACCCUAUUGCACACCAAGUUUACCCUUUUUUUUUCCUUUUUUCUUUUCUUUUUUUUUGUGAGAGAUAGGUAGCACGCUAUCCGCUUCGUUUAUUUCAUUUAGAAACAAACUUAGCUAAAAAUGUGAAGCAACUAAGAUUCGAACUUGAGAUCUCGGGUACCAACCAUCAAGUCCUUUGCCACUUGGUUUAGGGACGGUCGGUAAGUUUACCCAGUUUUGUUCGAGGUCAUGCUAAUCAUAUGCAAGGUGGUCAAGGUUGUGUCUGCAGUCGAGAUCUACAAACUUAUUUUAACUUUUUGCCAUAGCUACUAACACACGUGCACACUUUUCGGUUAAAGCAGUAUUCGAUUGCGAAUCUCAUAAGUGAAUUAGGAUACUUUUCAACUGCUCUAAACCGUAAAAAUAAUGCAAAACGUCUUCUGUUCAUAAAGUUAAAACAAAAGUAUAGAAUAUAUAACUAAAAAAAUGUAAUGGCUUGUUGAUUGUGCUAAUUUUUUUUUUUCUACUUUCUUCUCUUCUUGGUUGGAAAGUUCUAAAGACCAAUUAAAAAUCUGCAAAUUGAGUACUUGUUGAGGACCACAAAAUCUAUAUUGAUUCAAUUUCCAUAGGAAUUAAUUAACAUAGGUAUCUGAUGCUUGUCCAAACUUUUAAUGUGAUUAUGUAGAAUGAUCAUAAUAAGGGCAAUAACCAUCUCUAACUGUUUAGAUAGCUCAGUUUUGAAUGCGAUUGAUUGUUGUUUUAAUUUUAAUAGCCACCCAUAAAAUUGUUUUUGAUAAAGAUAUGUAGACCCCUUCAAUGCCCCCUCAACUUUUCAUUCUAGUGACUUAUAUUAUUGUCUCAACUUUUAAUUCUAGUGACUUAUGCUAUUUGUCUCAACUUUCAUUUCUAGUGACUUAUGUUAUUUGUCUCAAACUUUCAUUUCUAGUGACUUAUGUUAUUGUAGUUAGUUAACUAAAGAUUAUGUUUACUUUGAUGGCUCCAUCAGCUAUUAGCCAAUUUUUUUUUUUCGUUUUAUUUACCAAAAAAAAUAGUAAUUGAAUUCAUCAAGUUUGAGGAAAUGACCAAUAAAUUUAAUAAAAUUUUUAAUUUAAAAUUUUUAAUUUAAUUGACUAUGAUUAUUUAGGUUUUGUUUGGGAGUGAGAUGUGGUGCAAAAAGUUGCGUCUCAUGCAUCACUAGUGUAGUAACACGCGCGUUGCGGCGGGCAAAACACAAAGCAAACUGAAGAUGUUGAGUGAAAACUGUGAAAAGAUAUGUUUAGCUAGUAAUAUACUCAUUCACCAUUAUUUCAUAAUAUAAAAUAGACUCCUAGAAAGAUUAAGAAUUGUAGAAAUUAUCUCGUUUAAACUAUUAGGUAGAAAAUCUAAAAUACAGCAGAAAAAUCACCAGCAAAUGUAAACUCAAAAUUUAUAAUAAAAUACUUAUGAAAAAGGAAGAAUAAACAUAACUGAUAGCAACAGCUAGCAGAAUAACAAAAAUAAUAGAAGAAUCUAAAAUUUUGACAGUUUCUUGAAGAGACAUAUAUGCAAACUUAUAUAGUUAGAAAAAUAUUUACAAUUUACAUGAAAACAAAAAAAAGUGAAACUAAUAGUAAAAGAAAAAUUAGGAGAGAGUCAAAAGUACCCAAAGAUGUAUAACUUUGCUGCAAUUACUAUAACUAUUAAAAAUCGAAAAUUAAUAUCGGCUCAGACAUUCUAUGAGUAUUAUCAGAAAUCAACUUAUAGCAGCAUAUGCUCACGGCAAUAUAGGGGCGAACGAUGGGCACCCAUUGUAUAGGCUUUGAUAGGUAAGGGAAACGAUAUUAAACAAUCCUUUGUAAGCAAUAGAAAAACAAAACUGAGGUAGCAAAGGAUGAUUACAAACCAGGUCCCUUUUUUUUCAGUAGGGAGAGUAAUAGACAUGAUCGAAAUGAUUUGGGGGUAGCUCAAUGGUUGUAAUUGUUCUGCAAUUGCCAUCCAAGUUGUUCUACAAUGUAUAAACUUUGUUGAUAUUUAAUUAUAACUGCUUCAUUUUGUCAUCAUUGCCGAUUACAAAAAAAAAAAAAAAGAAGAGUUAAAUGAAUACUUUUUUAAAAUAUAUUAAUACAAAAAUAAAUGAAAGCACAAAGUUAAUAUUUAAAUGAUCAAAAACUUAGUUGAAUGUGUAUAGAAAAUAUUUAAAUAAAUGGAAGAUGUUAAAAUAAUUAUGGAGUACAUAAUAAAAAACAAACGAAAUAGUGCAGAGUUCUCUUACAGGAUUAGAUGAUCGUAGCAACAUGGAGAAAAUGAUAGAUGGCUCAUUAUAUAGGCUCUGAUAGGUAAGAAAAAUGGCACAAAAUAACCCUACGUAAGCAACGCGGAAAGAAAAUCGAGCCAGCGAAGAAAGGGGAAACGAUUAUGAACCAAACAUGUUUUUUCUUCAGUAGGGGGGAGCAAUCGAUGGGAUCGAAGCGGCCGAGAGACUAAUAGACGGGAUNAGAUAAGGGAAAUGGCACGAAAUAACCCUUUGUAAGCAACGGGGAAACAAAAUUGAGGCUGCGAAGAAAGGGGAAACGAUUAUGAACCAAACCUGUUUUUUCUUCAGUGGGGGGAGCAAUCGAUGGGAUCGAAGUGGCCGAGGGACUAAUAAAGGGGAUCGAAGCAACAGGAAAACAAAAUCGAGGCGACGAAGGAAGAUGGAGCGAGCAUAAACCAAAUCCAUUUUUCAGGCAGUAAGGGGGAGCAACCGACAGGAUCGAAGCGGCGAAAGGAGUAAUAGACCCUAUCGAAGCGACGGGGGUAGCAGGGAUCGAAGCGGCGACAGGAUGCAUACAUGGAACUCAGGAGAGGGUGUUAGAAGCCAUACCAAUGGAAACUAUUUAUUAAAAAAAAAAAAAAACGAAGAACCUGUUUAAAAAAAAAAUGAAGAAUCUGAAAAAACUUUACCAUGACGUCAGUUUAGAGAUCGAUCGCUCUCAAAGUGAAGCAGAUUCUGUAAAUAGUUUAGCUUCUGAAAAACCCGUUUUGAAGAGGAAAAGAAAAUACCGUGUUGAUAUUCUCCGCUGCGAGAGCUUGGCAGCUCUUGCACCAGUAACCCUAGAAUGGUUAUUUCUUAGAGAUUAUGAUAUCAUUGUUUCUAUGAUUUCAAUUCCUUCUUCGCCUGUUUUACUUGGGCCUUUGGGCCCAAUUCAUUUCGGGCCACCUUAUUCUUCAAUGACACCUUGGAUGAAGCUGGUGCUGUAUUCAGCUAUAAAUUAUGGUCCAUUAUCUGUUGUUCUUAUGAAAGGGCAGUUUCUUUGACUGCUUCUUGCACCGUUAGCAGGUUGUGAAACCGGUUCAACAUAAAACACCAACAGGUGGGACCCAAGACGGGUCCAUGUGUACAAAAAGAUAAAUGAAGAACCGGUCAAAGGAAUAGAAAGCACCAGAUGGGUUCAACAUAAAACAACUACAGAUGGGACCCAAGUCGGGCNAAAUGAAGAACCGGUCAAAGGAAUAGAAAGCACCAGAUGGGUUCAACAUAAAACAACUACAGAUGGGACCCAAGUCGGGCCCAUGUGUACAAAAAAUUAAGGAUAGAUAAAGGAUAACAUGACACGUGGAUAGAUAAAUACGGGAAUUAAUAGGGGUUAAUAGAGAAUAAUUAAGAGCAAAUAUAGAAAAAUAAGAGGCAGUGUAAAAAAUAAAACCUACUAAACAUCCAAUUGUAAACUUAUGUAGUUAGAGGAAUAUUUAUAAUUCACAUGAAAACAAAAAGAAGUGAAACUAAUAGUAAACGAAAAAUUAGGAGAGAAACAAAAGUAUCCAUGCAUAACUUUGCUUCAAUUACUAUAACAAUUAAAAAAAAUGAAAAUUAAUAUCGGCCCAGACAUUCUAUAAGUGUUAUAAGUAAUCAACUUAUAGCAGCAAAUUAUCACGGUAAUAUAGGGGAGAACAAUGGGCACCCAUUAUAUAGGCUCCGACAGGUAAGAAAAAUGACAUUAAACAAUCCUUUGUAAGCAAUAGGAAAACAAAAUCGAGGCAGCAAUGGAAGAUUACAAAAUAGGUCCCUUUUUUUUGUCAGUAGGGAGAGCAAUACACGUGAUCGAAAUGACUUAGGGUAGCUCAACGGUUGCAAUUGUUCUGCAAUUGCCAUCCAAGUUGUUAUGCAUUGUAAAAACUUUGUUCAUAUUUAAUUAUAUCUGUUUCAUUUUUGUCAUCAUCGCCGAUUAAGAAAAAAGACUUAAAUAAAUACAUUUUUUUAAAAAAAUUAAUACAAAAAUAACUGAAAGCACAAACUUUGGCUGAAAUUGUUUGAAGAUAGAGCUUAGAAGGUGAGCCGGAAUAAAUAAUUAUGAGAAGCAAUGGUUCAUUAAGAGAAAAAGAGUCGCUAGUAAGAAAUGUUCAAAAAACAAUAGAGUUUAGAUAUAAAAGAACAGUGCACUAUACUGAUUAGAUAAUUUGAUGAAUAAAUUAUAAGAAUACAACCUACAUGACAGGAGUUUCAUGAACUCUAUCAAAACCCCACUUCUCAAGCAAACUCUUAAAGAUAUGCAGUAAGAAACAAUAUGAAUAAAAACGGGUAGGUUAAGAAUAGAUUAAUUUUUUAUAAUAAGAUAAGAUAUGAUUGCUAUUAUUAGGAAACAUGUAAACACAAAAUCAAGAAGCAAAGACAACAAAAACGAACUGGACUAAUCGAAAGAGACAAAGCAUUAGGGUUAAGGGCAAAUUGAAUUAAACCCCACCACCCCCACACCGACCAGUGCCAUCGCAGAGGAGCUCCUCGCAGGCGGAGCAUCUGGGAGGAGGCCUCAUUUUGGGAACCAUGGAGGAAGAGGAAGUGUUUAGGGAUGUCAACGGUAAAACAUCCUAACACUUAAACGAUACAGCACAUCACCAAAUUAUUAAUCAACAAAGCAAAAGUAAGAAGAUAUUCAAAUCAACCACAACCAUUGUCGCAAACCAAACUUACUCUCAAUUUGUAAUCCUAUAUUUCACAAUCCUCUUAUAGAAUCGUAAUUUACGAUUCGCCACACAACACGUCACCAAACUAAUCAACAAAUUGUAAGUAACAAACAAUCCAAAUCAUACUCUACUUGAAAGAUGCCAAAAAGAGGAGAGAGAGGAGAGAGAGGAGAGAGAGAGGGAGGGACCUCUUAGAGAAGGGUCCAUCGGAGGUGACGGUGAUCCGGGACUUGUUGCGGGCGACGGCGAUGGCGUCGGCGUCGUCUAGGGCAUCGGCCCUGCCCCCGGCGACCUUGAUUCACUCCUAGAGAAACUUCUCAAGGGACGUGAUCUCUAUGAUCGGGAUCGAAGCAACAAGAAAACAAAAUCAAGGCGACGAAGGAAAAAGGAGCGAGCAUGAACCAAAUCCAUUUUUCAGGCAUUAGGGGGAGCAACCGACAGGAUCGAAGCGGCAGAAGGAGUAAUAGAGCCUAUCGAAAAGGCGGGGGUAGCAGGGAUCGAAGCGGCCGGGGUAGCAGGGAUCGAACUCAGGAGAGGGAGAAGAACCCUGUUUUAGAAAAAAAAAAAAAAAAAAUGAAGAACCGGUCCAAUGAGUAGAAAGCACCAGACCGGUUCACAUGAAGCACCUACAGGUGGGACCCACAACGGGUUCAUGUGAAGAACCGGUCAAAGGCAUAGAAAGCACAUACGGGUUCAAUAUGAAACAACUACAGGUGGGACCCACGACGGGUACAUGUGUACAAAAAACAUGAAGCACCUAUUCGUGAACAACUACAGGUGGGAUCCAUGAUGGGUCCACGUGUACAAAAGUUUAAGAAUGGAUUAAGGAUAAGAUGACACGUGAAUGACUAAUACGGGGAUUAAUAGAGGUUAUAAGAUGUGUAAAACUACGGCACGUUUGGUUUACCUUUUUUUCAUUUUAACAAAUUUAAGUUUUCGUGACGGAAACAUUCCAUAGAAUAAUUUUGUGAACUAACUUUUGGAUUGCAUAUGUGGCACCUUAACGAAGAGCCACAUUUGGUCUUAGUUUUUAAAAACUAAGAAGAGAAUACAAAUUGCAAAAAAAAAAGAGGAGAAAAAUAAAACUAUGGAGUUAUUUCAAAUUGUGCGAGUAAAACAAAUUUUAAAUCUUAAGAACCGCAAUUGAUUCAAUGAACAAGAUCCACAGAAGAUAACCGAGUAAUAUUUUAAGAAAUUUAAAAUGCUUCUCAAUCAUCAAGAGUUGGUUUUGAAAUUUUUAACUUAAUUUUCAAAAAAAAAAGAUUUGGAUUUUGUAGUUUGAGAUUUGGUGGUUGCUUUUUUGGUAUCUGAAAGUAAAAUUUAGUUUAUGAAAUACCUCAAUUUUGAUUCGUAAAUCGUGAUAAAAUAGGAUUUGUUAGGGCCAAUAAUAAAACGUCAUGUGGCAUGUUGGUGUACGGUUCAAUCAGGACUUUCAGAGGUCGAUUUUUGGUGCACCGGAAGUAAUAAAGGAAUAAAUAGCAUAACUGCAAGGCGUAACUGCAAACGGUUACGAGUAGUUUGGAUCGGCUUGUAGUGCCCCCAAAAAUAGGGAAGUGGCCGAUCGUGAGCAAUAACUAUACAAUAACAGCGGAAUAUAAAUAGACAAGUAACGCCUAAAAAUGGGGUCUUUUUUCGAGAACAGAAGACCACCUUUUAUUCUCUCUACAUUUUCCUUACAUUUUUAGGAGUAGUCUACUUGUAAUCUUUUCCUUUCUCGCAUUUACUGCUUUUCCUAGGGGUGGCCUUAGAGUUAGAUUUCUGGAGUCUAUAUGCCCCAAAGGCACACUCUAUUUUGUACAAGUUUCCAGAUCUAAUAUCAAUAUAUAAAGGUAUUCGGCUUUUCAGCUGACCCAACCACUGUGCAUCUCAUUCAUUCGGCUCGUUCAGCCGAACACAAUCUACAGUGAAUGUUUUCGAACUCGGCGGAUGAGGGAUCGCUUGAUCCGUCGGAGAGCGCAAACUUCGAGGAUCACCACCUGAAGCUAUAUCUAAUUCUUUCUUGUUUCUCUAGGGAUAUCUUUGACCAGGUCAAAGGUUGAGGAAAUUGGGCCCAUAGCAAUUUUUGGCAUGCCCGGUGGGACACAUUUAGGUAAAUUUAUUUCUUUAUAAGAACAAUGGCUGACGAUAAUGUCAUGAAUUUGCAUAACAAGGUCGCUCCGCAAAAUUCUGGGAACGACCAAACUAGUAAUUCUGAUAAUGCAAUAGAGCGCCAAGCAGUCUUGCCAGUCGAAGGUGAGGCCAGUGGUCAAUCAGAUUAGCAAGAGCCAAGUUUGGCUCAAGCGCUCGGACAGAUGAAGCAAGUCCUAGAAGUGUUGGACCAAAAUAGUCAGAGAAGUACUGCUUGCUUAGAUGCAGUGUUGACCGCAAUUACGACCUUUAGUGAGAAUAUUACCCGAAUAGGACAAUUGUUGACACGAAACGAGCAACCUACCGUGGGUCUAUAAGGACCUGUCGCCACACCGGUAUUACAAAAUCCUGUAACAUCGGUGAAUGGUCAGCCUCAGCACCAGGGGCACCUUUUCAAGUGGAGACCGACUGUUUUAAAUGCCAGCCAUCAACCGAAAAUAGCAUGGGGAUUACCUCCUCCGCUGUCACUGGCGACAUAUUAGCCCCAAAAUGUAGGGGCUAGAGUUGGGGGGCAAACCCCUAAUAUUGCUAUGCAGGGAGUAAACCCUGCAGUACAGAAUUUUGGACUUCCACCUGGACCAAACCAAGUUCAAGCGCAGGCUCCUAUUACUAGACAAGCGAACAAUAAUAAACUUUACGCUCAAAUUGAGGAAGCUAUCCGAAGUACCUUCGGAGUUGGGGUAAGGCCGGCAAUACGGCCUGUAUUUAGAUCCCCUUAUCCUGCAAAUAUAGAUGCAGAACAUUCUUAUCCGACAAAUUGAAAAAUGCUAAAAUUCCACAAAUUUUCAGGAGACGAGACCGAGAACACGGUCGAACAUGUCGCACGAUUUACGACUCAAUGUCGAGAAGCCACUGCAGAUCCUUUCCUGAAACUCAGGUUAUUUAAUACCUCGUUAAGCAAGACUGCGUUUACUUGGUAUAUAAGUCUGCCAGCCAAUUCUGUCCGAGAGUGGGGCGAAUUGGAAAGAAAGUUUCAUGAGCAGUUUUAUAGAUCAGAGCUGGAACUUUCGGUCACUGAUCUUGUUCAGUUUAGACAGAGAACGGAGGAAUCGGUUGAAAAUUAUUUGAACCGAUUCAAAACGGCAAGAAGCCGUUGUUUUGUAAGAAUGUCAGAAUCAGAGUUUGCUAAAAUGGCAUUCAAUGGUCUGCAUUUCAAAAUCAAAGACCAUUUUGAAGACAAGUAUUUUUCAAAUCUGUUCAAUUUGGGAGUUCGGGUUGUUCAAUAUGAGCAAUUUAGAAAAGGGAAUAAUAAAGAUCGGCCUAGAUGGAGCCGAAAUAAAGAUUGGAGUAAAGGGAAGGAGAAAAACAUUUCUUUCCUUAAAGAGUCUUCAGCUCAAGAUAAGCCGGACAUGUCUGAUGAAACAAAGGAUUCGACUGAAGAAGCUGAAAUAUAUGCUGCUGAAAUGGUAAAAAACCGCCAGCCAUAUAAAUGUGCUUUGCUUAAACCCGCCAAAUCUAGCGAAGUGAAAGCACGAGUAGCAGCAUAUGCUUAUUCUUUCAAUGUGUCGAAGAUCGAUUUGAUUUUUGAUCAGUUACUAAAGGAUGGACGAAUUCAGCUCUAAGAAGGUCAAACGAUACCCUCUGGAGAAGAAUUGAAAAGGAGAAGAUAUUGUAAAUUGCACCAUUCAUGGAGCCAUAGAACAAACGAGUGCACUGCCUUUAAAAGGCAGAUUCAAAAGGAAAUAAAUGAAGGUCGGCUCAUAUUUGCCGACCAGAAAAACAAAAAUAUGGAAGUUGAUAAAAAUUCUUUUCUCUCGCAGGUUAAUAUGGUGGAUAUUAAAAAGAAGGCUUCUGCGGACAUGAAGACCGAUGGUGUUAUUGCCUAUACCAAGAGGACGUUACGGCUAUACAUAAGAUGUAAGGCCGAAAUGACUAAAAAAGAUUGGGAAGCGAUUAUUCAUGAGAAGAAACUACAUAGGGAAUGGGGAGAGUUCAUGCCAUUCCUCGCAGAAUGGGAAGACAUUCCCUAGACGGAGAACAAAUUGGAGGAAGGUUCGGAAGAAGCCUUCAACGAUUCCGAACAGGAAGUUGAUGUAAUAAAGGAUAAGAGAAUUAAUGCAAAAGGUCUUAAAUGAUUAUUACAACAGUCGAAGAGAAUAGCGCAAUAGCCAAUGGAGUUAUCCUGAGAAACCAUUCGGCUCUUAACAAAGAUUUUCAGGAUAUCGGCUAAACUGGCAACAUCAGGCCAGGCCGAGACCUGAACCUGAAUUUGAAGGGACCUGAACCUGAAUUCGAAGGGAUGACCGAGGGAGACAUAGAGUUCCUCGUCCUCGGUCGGUGGUUAGUCAAUGAACUCGGCAUUCAGCCUUGGCCGAGACCAUGGGGAAGAAGAGAGAUACUAAGAGAUCAUCUCAGGACAGUAAAAGUACCUUCAAAUGUGCCAGUCGAUAAAUGGUACAAAGCAAAAAGUGUUUGUCAAAUGGUAUGGGCCGAAAUUGACAAAAACGCAGAAACGUCGGCAGCAAAGGUUGCAAGGCGAAGCGAGACAGCACUAUGAGGAGGCUAAAUGGAUGAAACUGAAUGUAUGGAGGCAACCUCAAGAGCAACAACCUCCCUUUAGGCCUAUGAAAAAUGACCAUGAGGCAGGUGGUUCGGCACCUGUCCCCUGGCUGAAAUCCAAAAUAAAACGGCUACUCCCGGCUGAGCCAGAAAAGAAAGCAACUCGGAAGGAGCUGGAAGAAAAAAUAGCCUCUUUGGAGACCAUAAUCAAACGAGAUAGAUGGCCUCCUAAGGAGAGAGAGAGGCACACAUGGAAAGUGAUUCCUCAGCCGAGACGGCAAAGGAAUCUGAAGAAAAGAAACAAAAGAAAUAAAGAAAAUCGGCUGAUGAAGCUCAAGCCAAUGUGAACAUAGUGUAUACUCUAUCUCAGUCAUUCAAGGUGGAGUCUAUCGAAUAUGAAGAAACAACACAUGACGGAGAUGAGCUUACGGUGGCUCAACUUCAGUUAGAGGAUGCUAGACCAGCCGAUUUGAUGGUUUUUGAAAAACCAUCGAUCAUGCAGAUAAGAUUCGUAAGGCCCUUGUUUAUAAGGGCUUUGAUAGAAGGUCGGCCGAUAGGCCGAGUAAUGAUAGACGGAGGAGCAAUGGUCAAUGUUAUGCCCACUUCUUUCUUUAAGAAGUUGGGCAAAAGUGAAGAUUAAUUAAAGCCUACCGACACCAUUAUGACCGACUUCACUGGUAGCGGUCAACAAGCCAAAAAUGUGCUUACAAUCGAGCUCACGGUAGGAUCUGAAACCUUGCGAACAGCCUUUUUUGUGGUAGAUGCAGAUAGCCACUACAAUUUAUUGCUUGGACGUGACUGGAUUCACACAAACGAAUGUGUACCUUCGACACUCCACGAAAAAUUAUUUCAAUGGAUAGGGGAUAAAGUGGAGGAAAUCAGGGCCGAGGGACGACCUCAGAUGGUAGAUGUUGACUCGGAGGGAAUCGGCCAUAUCAAUUGGGCCGAUACUGACCCAGAUCAAAUUUUAUUUGUACGAGUGACCGAGAAAGGAGUUCAGUUAAUACUGGUGAAGAUGAGGAAGCAAUGGUGGCAGCCGAAGAGCACCAAGUUGGUUCAAAUGAAUGCCAAGAGUCGGGAACCAGAGCUUUAGAAAAGCUUCGGUAGAAUAAGCCGACUAGAGAAGUUGGCUAUUGUAGCAAAUCUCCCGAGCAAGCCGAUGAAAUAUCGUGCAUCAAAACAGCCAAGUUGGCCGAAAAUAACGUGUUUAAAAAAUCGACCAUGGCGGUCGAUAAGGAAAUGUUCAAUGAAUCAUCAAGUAUAACAGCCGAGUUAAAUGAAAAUGAUAGAACUUGGAAAGCAGCCGAGUCUAAUGAUGAAAACGGCUCAAAAAUUCAUAAAAUUAUGAAGGAACCUAUGGAGGAAUCACCUAUCAAAGUCGGCGAUAAGAAACUAGAGACCCAAGAUCCAUUGAUAGAAUUAAAUUUGGGGUUUGAUGAAGAUAAGCGGUCGACAUACAUUAGCGCCAAAGUUUCGGCUCAACAACAAGAGAAGCUGAAGAAGUUGCUGUUAAAGUAUAAAGACUGCUUCGCCUGGAAUUAUGAAGAGAUGCCGGAAUUGAGCUGAGAAAUUGUAGAGCAUAGUGUCAGGGAUUUAGAAAAAUUCUGUGGCAGCCCGGUCCCUAGCCCAAAUCUGCUAGCGCGUUUGGGUUAAAAAUGGGUUGAAUCAGGUUGUCAAGGAGACCCAAAUCCGACCCGCUGUGGGAAACUCAAGGGUUAUGAAACUCAUGGGAGUUAUGGGGUGACUCUUGGGCAUUUGGCUAUUAUGAGGGCUCAUUAUGUAUAUAAUAGUGGGUGAGUUAUGUGGCUAGUGGGUGAGUUAUGAGGGCUCAUUAGGCCUAUAAAUAGUGGGGUUGGCUAAGGCCUAAACACACAAGAGAGAGAGUGUUGUAUGCUGUAAUUCUCAUUUUCUAAGUAGUGUAGUACUUAGCUUUUUGAGAGAAUCUCUGCCUCUUUCUCUUGUUAUUUUCCUUUUGCAUACUUAGUCGUAGGGCGCAAAGGUCCGGGCUAGCAACAGGGACGAAGGCUUGUCCAUCUUCGAGUAGGAAAGAUGGGCGCCGCGCGGGCUUUGCGAAUAAGGACGCUAAGUCCAUGACAAUAGGCUCCCUAUUAAAAAAAGAUGUAGGCCUUACAAACAAUUGGUUCGUAGAUUUGAGCCGAGUAUUGUACUUCAAAUUAAGAAUAGAAUUAAAAAUCUGUUAAAGUCCGGCUUUAUUAGAGCAGCCUGUUAUGUGGAUUGGGUGUCUAAUAUAGUUCCAGUACGAAAAAAGAAUGGCAAACUUAGAGUUUGCAUUAAUUUUAGAAACUUGAAUAUGGCUACGCCUAAAGAUGAAUGCCCAAUGCUUAUAGCUAAUAUGCUGGUGGAUUCGGCAGCCGGACAUGAAAUCCUAUCUUUUAUGGAUGGACAUGCAGGAUAUAAUCAAAUUGUUAUUGCCGAAGAAGAUGUAGCUAAAACAGCUUUUAGAUGCCCAUGGUCUAUUGGGACCUUCGAAUGGGUAAUAAUGCCGUUCGGUUUAAAGAAUACUGGAGCUACUUAUCAAAAAGUAAUGAAUUUCAUUUUUCAUGAUUUGAUCGGCAAAAUAUUAGAAGUUUACAUCGAUGAUAUCGUUGUAAAAUCAAAAUCACAAUCUUAACAUUAGGCAGAUUUAGAAUUUGCUUUUGAAAGAAUGAGAAAAUAUAAUUUGAAAAUGAAUCUUUUAAAGUGUGCUUUUGGAGUUUCGGCGAAAAAUUUUCUCAGAUUUCUAGUACACAAAAAGGGGAUUGAAAUUGAUAAAAAUAAGGCUAAAGCUAUAAUGGAGUUACCGCUGCCAAAAAAAAAAAGGAACUACAAAGUUUAUUAGGUAAAUUAAUUAUUUACGGCAUUUUAUAUCAAACUUAGCUGGUAGAAUAGGAGUUUUCACUCCAUUGCUUAGGCUGAAAAAUCAGGAAGAAUUUAUUUGAACAGAGGAACAACAAGGAGCAUUUGAGAACAUAAAAAGUUAUUUAGCAAAUCCUCUAGUCCUCAUGCAUCCUCGUCAAGGUCAGUCGAUGAAAUUAUAUAUAUCAACUACGGAAGAAAAUUUAGGGUAUUUAUUAGCCCAGAAAAAUCACAAAAAAGAAGAACAAUCUAUUUAUUAUCUCAGCCGACGCUUGUUAGAUGCCCAAAAAUGUUAUUUGGCAAUCGAAAAAUUGUGUCUGGCAUUAUAUUACGCAUGUACAAAAUUAAGAUAUUAUAUCUUACCAAUAGAAGUGUCAGUAGUUUGUAAAACUAACUUGGUAAAGUAUAUGCUAUCAAAGCCUGUAUUGACUUGGUAAAGUAUAUGCUCUUCAUUUUCCAGCCACUAGGACUUCCGAAAGCACCCGAUAGGUGAGCACCGCACUCCUGGAAUCACGUGGAGUCUCGUCCUCACCUUCGUUGCGAUCAAUGAAGGUCCGAUGCGCGCGUAGGACUCGGCCUCUUCGAGGACUAAGCAAUUGGAGGAUUGCUUUCACUGUUUGGAAGCCUUCCGGUCAUCAAUUGCAAUUCAAACAGUGAGCACGAUCAUCAUCACGUUGAGAUGAAAUAAAUCAACAGGUUGGUUGGAUCCGUUGUGACACAGAUCGGGGUAACGAGCUCGAAACUCGUGUUUGUGUAUUAUUUGUAUAGUAAUUAAUGCUAUAAUGGGUUGUUUGCAAGUUGAAUGCAAUGGAGACCUUGCACGCAGCCUCGGAUAGCAUGUAUUCGCUAUUAGUGACCUCUUGACUGAUCGUCAAAGGUCCAGGAGCCGUUGCAGAUUGAAAACAAGGUCCCAUGGCUUCGUUUGCUGGCAAUUCGCCGAUUGGACGCAGUUUAUGUUGCGGUUGAGAUCCCGCCAAGACUUGUUGGCUGGUUGAUACCACCACCUUUGAAGUCCAAAUGGGGUGGAUAAGCGGUGGAUGGCUUUCGAUGCAUUUUUCGGCGAAAUCGCUGGUAAAACGCGGUUUCGUAUCGCGAUGAGUUUCUGGCUAUGUGGCCGCCCUGAAAUUCAUCACCUAGCCUUGUUGGCUUGCCACCGGGGGUACUUUGCAUGUUCGGAGGCUAUAGGUGAGUGGUAGAGAUUUUCGGUGCCAAAGUGGACACUUUCGAAAGUCCGGAGCGAAACGGUCGACCAGCAACGAUCGAAUAGACCUUGGUGCUUAUGUUAGCUGCUUAGACACUCAAAUAGAAGUGUUUUCAGGGUAACGGGUGACUCACGACUUGAGUCGGUGUGUUUCAAGAUGUUUCGUCAGUCCCGCAGGUAUCCCGGUGUGUUUUUAGGAUUCUCGGCGAGUUUGGGAAUCAGUUUUGGGAAACCAAUCCCGCAGGUGGCUUGGAUUUGUGAGUGAUGUCUUUUGAGUCAGUCGGUUUAGUUUCUGACUCGGUAGACCUGUCGUAGGUCCGGUCGACUGUUCUGCAUACUGUAGGAGCUAGGUACAGCUGCGACAUAGGUGGCUACUUCGAUCCAAAGUCGGUUUACUGGUGCACGCUCGGUGAUAUUCCCUUCACCCUUUUCUCUUACUUCUUGUAUAUAUCUUAUGCUUGAGCCUUACACCACAUGGCUUCGACUCUAUCUCUACUUAGCAUACUCAUCUUUUGUUUGUCAUGACAAAGAAGUAGAGCAGUAGAGGUUGCUUAUACAUGAUCGUAUACAUCAUUGUCGGUUCCCGUAGACACGCCAUUGUUCACCUGAGUGGUCGUCUCUUGUGCAUACCCUAUUGUUGACCUGAGUGAUCGGUUCUCUUGGUCGCGUUGUUGUUGACCUGAGUGGUCGGUUCACGUGGAUACAUCCUAGCUGACCAGAGUGGUCGGUUCCCUUAUACUCUUGUCAUUGUUGACCUCGUACUUUCUUGUUGACCUGAGGGGUUGGUACUUGCAUACUCGUGAGGAUGUUGACCUUGUCCAUCCCUGUUGACCUUAGUGGUUAGUGGUCGUAUAUCAAUGUUGUUCCAAUGACCUAUUGGUCAGUGUGCCCUGAUAAGCGGUGAUUGUCGGCUAUUCACCGACGGUUGGCUAUUGAUCAUACUCGCAUCGAUCGCCACAGCUCGACAGCAUUUCAUGAGUACCAGCGUCUGAUCCCCUGAAGAAAGGUAUUCUUUUCUAGAAAAGUGGUUGGUUACCAGUCUGUGAGCCCAAUAGUCAUUUACUGGGGUUAUAUGCAAACAGAGCGGUUGUAGUUUGCCUGAGGUCCUUAGACCGACACGGUGGUACAAAUUUGGUACAUAUGGACUGUCUGUUCAGUUGACACAUAUAGCUACAGUAGUGGUUAUUGCAUGCUUACUUACAGUUCUUCUUUUUUCACACUUGCAUUACUACUGUAGGGUUUUAUUUACUUAUACUCGAUUACCGGUGAGCACGCUUGCCUUCGUCGGCUUGCGGUACCCACUGGAUAACCCUUUGUUGGUUUCUCACCUUCAUUGUUCCAAAGGUAAUGAAAGUGGGAUUGGUCGGGACAGUGCGUGAGGCCAUAGUUAGAGGGCCGAGAUAGAGUUUCCCGACAUACGGUAUACGAUUUGAUUAUACUCCAUACUUAGUAUAGAUAUACUUAUGAAUAGUAUAGUGUUACUCCAUUACUCCUUUAGUAGAGGCUUAUAUGUGGUUCAGUUGAUAUCCUAUACCUUCGAAUUUUGGAUAUUGUACUUAUGAGGGUUUUGGAUGCUCAUGAUUUUGGACAUUUGUGGUUUUACUAUGUGCUACACCGUGCAGAUAUAGGAGAAACUCUAUCUGUUUGUUUCAAGAAUUUUCUGUAUAUGUGACGGAUCUGUUGCAUGCCUGCCUUUGGGUUCCAAGUUUCAUAAAGAGAGGGGGGGCAGUUUUUCGUUGACUCUAAUUAAUAAAGAUAGCCUGUUUUCGAAUUGGUUUUCAAAAAGUGACUCAGAGCAUGACAGAUUAAAAUGGUAUCAGAGAGAAGAUUACAACCACGAGCUUACUCAUGGUUUUUUUAAAAAAUAAAACUGAACCACUGGUUAGGUUGACCCAUAGGAAGACCUAAGAUGAUAGGCAGAUGAGUGUGGGAUUGUUGGAUUGAGUCCCAGUGUUCUGGACGAGCUUUAAUAGUCUCGAGGUGCAUGGUUAUUAUUUCGUGCAUGUUACGAUUUUCUCACAGACUUGUGUCUUAGCCAAGAGUGAAGGCGGUGUACUAGUACAGACAUCAUCAAGUAGUCUAGUUUUAUAUAUAUAUAUAUAUAUAUAAAAUUGGGCUAUAAUAUUAUUAAUAGUAUUUGGGCUCUUUUACUAUCGAGUUUUUAACCCUUAAAUAAAAAAUUAUAGGAUUAGGAUGAUAGUAAUCCUCUAGGUAUCGUUUGGUUCGGGGAUAAGCAAAAAGUGGCUGUUCCAGGGAUAGGUAUAAAUUGAGGUAUAAGCGGGAUUAGAUCAAUUUUGCGUUUGGAUGAAAAUUGGGUCAUUCCUGAAAAUAAAAUAAAUAGUGUUUGGUUAGGUAAAAUGGAAUAAGAAGGAUAGUGAGUUUUCUAAAUAAAAAGUAAUGAUAUUAUCCUCUUAUUCUAUUUGAAUUUGAAUUUUUAAAAUUUUAAAUUUAUAUUUUUAAAGUUAAAAUUUUAAAAUUUGAGAAAUUUGAAAUUUAAAAUCUCAAAUUUUAAAUUCAAAUUUUUAAAUUUUAAAUUUCAAACUUUAAAUUUAAGAUCAAAUUUAAAUUUGAAAAAUUUAAAAUAUCAAAUUUUAAAUUUUAAAAAUUUAAAAUAUCAAAAUUUAAAUUUAAAAUUUAAAAUUAUAAACUUUAAUUUUGAGAUUAUAAAUUGUAAAUUUUAAAAAUUUAAAUUUUUAAUUUUUAAAAUUUUAAAAUACUACUAAGGGCGGGAACAAUUAAUAAAAAUAAUUUAUUAUAAUAAAUUUAUAAAUUUUUUUAAAAUUCUACUUAAACUUAAAUUUAAUAAAAAAAAUUUAUUAUAAUAUUUAAAUAUAAUUUAUUACAAAUUUUAUUAUAAUAUUUAAAUAUAAAUAAUAUGUAUUAAUAUAGUACAAUUAAUAAUUUUAUAAUAAAAAUAAUAUAUUAUAAUAUAUAACAUAUUAUAUUUAUAUAAUUUAGUUUGCUUAAUUUAUAAUUUUAAUUAAGUUUGAAAUUAAGCAUUGGAAUAGCACUAUUCCACCAAAAUGGUGGAAUAGCAAAUUUCUUGCUAUUCCGGGAUAACCGGGAAUAGCAAGGUUUGAUCGGGAUAAAAUAUUCCGGCCAAAUUUCACCCCGUUUGGCGGAAUAGCGGGGAUAACUUUCGUUAUCCCUGCUUAUCCCCCAAACCAAACGGGGCCUAAGGGUUUAGUGGUCAUCCCUCUAGGGUUGAGUGGGUGGUUGGGUGAGUAGUAUUGUAAUACUUGGGAAUUUGAAUUUGAAUUUGUUUUAUGUGUGUGUGUGUGUGUGUGUGUGUGUGUGUGUGUGUGUGAUGGAGAGAAAUGGUUUUGUUGCGAGUCGGCAACCGAUUCUAGCAAAACAAAAUCGCAAGUCUAAUAGUCUGGUACUGCGAAAAGCGUUGGUACAAUCCAUUUGUAAAUCCGAUGAGCCGAUCGUUCGAAAUUCCACGUUGUUCGAGGAAGGGUCGAUAUUGCAUAUUGGAUAUUUUUGCAAAAAAAACCCAAUAUUUUAUGUAUCGAUUCGCAUAAGAUAGCUAGUGGAGGCGCGUUCACGUGUAUUACACGAACCCUAAACGACUCGGCUUGAAAUUCUUUGGAUUUGGCUAGUUUUUUGCAAUUGUACAUUUAUGUAUAAAUGUGCAACUACGGUAUUCUCUUCUCUAACCCUAACCCUAACUCCUCCUGCACCCAACCCGAGCCCUAGCUGCCUUCCCUUUCUCCUUUAACUCCGCUGCUUAUAUCCCCAGCCGUCGAUAACCACUGCGUGGCCAGCCAAACUCCGGCCACCUAUCUCCUCCCGUUCCCUCAACCUCUCUCCUUCUUCUUCUCCCUCUAUCACGGGGUCUGUGAGUACCCGAAGAGGGUUGCGUCCCCCUGACCUCACCUGCGGCACCUUGGGAUCCCGGCGACCCCUCUCCGAUAGCCUCUAGCACUGUCGAGCGUCGCAGCGACCGUUGCGGUCGUCUUGGUGCAUAUUUGGACAGAAGCUGCCGCACCUCUUUGCAAUGUCGCCGUCGCUACCCCUAGCUGCCACUGCUGCCUUCCCUUUGUCCUUGGAGACUCCCCGUUGCGCCUUGCCUCCUCGGCCAUCGCCAUUGUCGGAGAGGCAACCCGAGCUCAAGCUUGAACUCAGGUGGGCCGAGCUUGCUCCAGGGCCAUCGGCGUCACCUCCCGCCGCUGACUAGCAUGAGCACGGUGCUACCCUCAUUGACCAUAUCUUGGCUCUGCCUACGCAUGCGCCGCUGUGCUGCCGGAGGCCUGCAGCCAACCCAAGACCCCUUGCUCCUUGUCUGCCCGAGCUAGGGCAAUUUUUGGGCUCUACUGUCACGCCCUGGGGUCCCUUUUCAGUUUAAAACAAAGCGGAAAAGCGUCUGAAUUUUUUUUUUUUGAAAACCUGACCCCAGAGUAUGCCAGAUCCGCCACAAAUAUAGGGAAUCCACUGUUCACACGGACAGAGUCUCCCCUGUAUUUGCACGGCGUCGCACAAGUACAAGAAGUCAUCCAGGCACAACCACAACAAACGAACAUACAAAUAACCAACCGUUAUAUAUAUUCAUACACUAUUCACUACAGAUUCACAUUUAUGCAUAAAUCCACACCUAUCAGUUAAAAUGUUUCCAACCACAGAAACAGGUUUUGAAAUACUAAGAUGCAAAAUCCACAGAAANCUAUAGUAAGAGUAUAACUAGGAUUACAUACUAUAUAAUCCUACUCUAUAGAAGGCAAUGAUACUACUCUAUAUAAGGCAAUAAAACACAAUAUCCUAAUAUAUCGUAACAUCCUAAUAUAGAUAAAAUAUAUCGUAACAUAAUGAAUGAAACUAGCUAAGAAAGAAAAGAACGGCUACAAGUAAAGAACGGUUAAUGAUAUAAAGUAGAAUCAAGUAAUCUACUUACAUGAUUUACAGGUAUUGCAUAUUGCAUAGCAGCGCGGCAAGGUAUGGUUUUAUUUGUUGCAUAGUCAAAUAUCUAUCUGACUAUUUGUUGAACUAACCUACUGUUGCCUCCUUUGGACCUGGUGGGUCGAGCUCUUCUCUUGGGUGGCCGUACCCACUGAGAACUAUAUUUAUAUAGUUCUCACCCCCGUGUUGUUUUGGGGGUACAGGUUGCACACGAGCGGCGCGAGGACAGGGCGUAGCUCCGUAGAUAGCGCCCCACCACUGAGACCGAGAUAGCAAUACCCUGAAGAGGUCAAGCUCAGCGUAUCAGUAUGAAUGAAACAAAUUUGUAGUAAUUUGUAUAAGUUUUGUAAUAACUUAAAGGUAUUUGAAAUUUUGUAAAUAUAAAAUUCUGAGAUGAAUGCUUGUAAUAGCAUAGUUAGCAUUUUAUGUUUUUGAUACUUAUACAAUCUGUGGUUGAAUGCAGUUCCUGUUUGGAACCUCUUGUAUUGCAGUGUAUAGAUUGUGACGCCUAGAACGUACAGGGAGGCUCUGUCCGUUCGGCGGUCUGUCGGCGUGCCCGAAUCCGACCAAAUAGGCGGAGCUUGGGGCGUGACAGGUUAGUCUCAAAACUGCACAGUUAUUGGUAACGGUCCUAAACAUCACCUUUACAUAUAUAUUUUAUGCGAUAACAGGUUGUUUAGGGGCUUUUAUGCAAUUUUUCUCGGGCAGUGUGGGAUCACAGUUUGUGAUCUUUGGACUGGUUGUCCAUUGUCUCGUGGCCUUUGCAAUGUCCGUUGGUUGGUUUGUAGCGUUUUUCGGCGAAAUCACUAGCGAAACACAAUUAUCGUUGUGGGGUACAUUUGCUGUUAGUGUAAAUAUCCCAGGUUUCUCGCCGAGCCUUGUUGACUGGUUGCACUCGCUAUCUCGAGUUUCUAAAGACAACGGGUGAGCGACGGAGGGUUCCAGUGCUGAAAACGACAUUUCUGGGGAACCGAAUGGGCACUAAGUGUGUUAUUAUAUAUCUAGGUUCUUCUGGCUUGUGUUUUCUAUCCGAACACCUAAUUUGGUGUGUUUUGGGACAGCUGGUGACUUGGGAUGUACAACGAUACUUUCCGGGGUACUUCGUUGUGUUUGGAGGUGUUCUGGUGGACUUUCCAAAAAUUUCGACGGUUUCGGGGUUGUGUUUAGUAUUUUGGAGUCGACUUAGUGGACCUUGACUUGGUAGGUCUUUUGUAGGUCCAGUCAACAUCCUUGCACGCAUUGGGUGUUAGACGCUACUACGAUUGCAGAUGGGCGCUUCGAUUCGAAGUCGGUACACUAAUGCUAGCUCGGUGAUAUUCUUCCUUUACCCUUUUUCAUUGCUUUUGCAUAUUAUUAAUGAGCAUUACACCAGUUGACUUCUAGUUUAUUUACUCUACUUCUGGUCUUGCAUAUAUUAGUAGUAGAGUGGUGUUUGAUAUAUUGCAUGAUCUCUAACUGUGGGAUCUGAUUGGUCGAUGUUGGUCAGUUCGCCGAUCUAGGUGGUCUAAAUUGGAUAGGUGUUGGUUAUUAACUUACUCUCGGCACUUUGCCGUCUUGUGGACUAGUGAGCAUUUUGCGUCGAACGUCACAACUCAUAUAGCAUAUCACGUACACUAGCGGUUUGGCCACCGUGUGAGUGUUCUUUUUCAGGAAAAGUGAUCGCCUCUUUAACUCGUGAGCCCUUGCAAGGAGCUAGCUGGGGUUUUGUGCCGGUAGGUGAGCAUAUUGUGGCACUAACUGCGGUCUUUAGACAAAUAUGGCAAUGUUUGGAUAUCGAUUUUUCAUACAGUUGAUGCAUAUAUUUAUUAUUUAUAGUAACGGUAGGUGCUUACUAUUGUUCAUAUCUGUAUUUCUUUUUCCGCUAUUGUUCACGAGUAUCUAUCUAUCUCUAUUAUAUUCUUCUCGCCAGUAAGUACACUCGCCCUCGUCGACUUGCGAUACCCACUGGGAGACCCUUUUGGUUUCUCAUCCCUUGCCCCCCCUUUAGUGAUCUCAUUAGUGGGAGUCGGGAUGGUGCAUGAGACGUGGUAGCUAGCGAGCUCUAGAGGUCCCGAUCUUUCGACAUUGGCUACGAUUAUCUUGAUUCUGGCCCGUUCCUUUUAUUGUUAAUAAAUUAGAAAAUUGUGGUUCAGUUAUUUGCUUUUGUGAUCUUUGGUUUAUAAGUAUUUCAGUCCUGGUGGAUAGUUGUUUAUUUGCGAAUAAAUUGAAUGGUGAUAUUCUUGUGAUUACUAGUGACGUUGUGGUUUUAAUUUUAUGACAAAGUAAUUUUUUACCCCCUAUAGUAGUCGGCUUUACAAAGGAAUGAGUUUCCGAGUGGGCAAUAGUUUUCAAAUGAUUUUUCGGAUUGAUUGAUGUCUUAAUAUUCCAAAAUAAAGUUUCCAGGUGGAAAACACUUUCAAACGAUAGAACUAAUUGUUGUAAUGUGCAUUCGCAUCAUUCUUCGCUUAAGAAGUGUUUAGAGCAUGCAUCAUCUUAAGGAUGACUAGCUGAUUGAUUACGAUGAGCAUCUGCAUUGUGAUUGAUAUUUGUGUGAGUGGAUAAAUGUGUUGCAGUAUAUACUAGUUGUAGUACGUCGUGCAAAUAUAUAAGAGACUCUACCCGUGUGGAUAGGAAAACUCAUGUAUUUGUGGUGGGUCUGUUCUAUCUCAUGGGCAAGUUUAUAUUAAAAAAAAAGGGGCAUUUUUUCGCUGACUAUAUUUUCAAACUAGCCCUUUCUUUAAAAAGGGUUUAAAAGAAGGGUCCCGGGGCGUGACAAGUAUGAUCCAAAGGGUGGAGUUGAUUAAAGUGUAGAUCUGAUGGCUAAAGAAUUGAUAACAAGAAAAAGACCAAAUACUAUUAAUAGUACCCUAGUUCAACUCUCUCUCUCUCUCUAUACAUAUAUAUAUAUAUAUAUAUAUAUAUAUAUAAAAUUCAAAUUCGAUCUUGGUUGAAUUCCUCAAUUCCAAAUAUCCCAGAUAUUACAUUUUCUUUGUACCAAAAUAUCAUAUUCUUUAAUUUCCAAACCGUACAAUAAUAUAGUCAAACUCUACUUUAUAAUAAAUUGCCUAGGAAUCCAACGAUAGGGAAAAAAAGAAGAAGACUAGUAUACAUUUUUAAUGAUUAUUUCUAAUUUUAUAUGUCUCAAGCUGUUAGUUGGUACACUAAUUCAAUAAAAACUAUUUGAAAAAUAAUAUAACUACAUUCAACUUCAAUUUUAAAAAUCGAAAUUGUUUAUUCAGUUAUAUUUUUCUUUAAGAUUUGUUUGUUCUACAUGUGCAGGCUUCGUUUUGUUUUGCUUACGAGAGAGAUAUUAUAGAAUAAUUAUUUAAUUUAANGUAUAGAUAGAGAGAGAGAGAGAGAGAGAGAGAGAGAGAGAGAGAGAACAAGACUGCUAUGCUUUUAGGAGCAUGGAGGCCUCUGUGCUCCUCAGCCGUUUUCGAUGAUGGAAUUUUUGAAUCAACAAUCGACUUCGUUAGAUCUGAUCUAGUGUAUUUAAAAUUUUUAUAAAAUAAUUUUUGCGAUUUUUCGAUACUAUUUAUCUAUUGAUCGAAAGGGUUCAAAAUCAAUAAUUUUUAAUAGGUGCAAUGUCUACUGUUUUCAAGUUUAACGGUGUAGAAUUAUUUAAAUCAGGUGAAAUUUUGAUACAAAAUUCUUUAUACUAUCUACAGCAGGAUCAAUAUCUCUGAUCGAAAAUUUUAGUUCUAUAUUACCAUUUUUUAUAGAAUUUUUUUUCAGCCAUUGAUGUUAAACCCUUUCGAUUGCUAGGUAAAUGAUAUCGAAAAACUGCAAAAAUUAUUUUCUAAAAACUUCAAAUACGCUAGAUUAAGUUUAAUAGAGCCGAUCGUCGAUUCGAAAACUUUAUCAUCGAAAACGGCUCAGAAGCACGGAGGUCUCUGUGCUCCUAAAACACUACAACAAAAACGGUCUAUAGCAACACUUUUAAAUGUCGAUACAGGUCAAAAAAAGUACUGCUGGCUAAAUUACCGACACUUUUAAAAAGUGUUGCUAUAUGUGGGGUCGCUAGGUAUAAAGUGACAGUUAAAGAGUGUCGCUCUAUCCUAAAAAGAGUGCUGCUAAUUUAACAACACUUAUUUAACUAUUUAGCAACCGCCGAAACUCUACCUUGUUGGUUGCGGUAGCGGAGGAGGAUGAGAGAAAGGAAUCUUCGUCUAGAAUUUCAGUCGAUUGAAUGAGAGGAGAAGGAAAAAUGGUAACCGAUUUUUUUUUCUUUUUUUUUUCUUUUCUGUUUGUAAUCGGGCCGAAUGGGCUGGGUGAGGUGGGUUGAGUAGAGUAACCUUUUAUUUUUGAUUUGAUUGGACUUUAUAUUUAGAUAUUAGUAAAUUUUUUUUUUAAGUUUUGGCAUAAAUGGGACACUUACACAAAAGUGUUCCAAACAUGUGUCCCUAUAACAUAAUUCUGUUAUAGUGAAAGUACCGCAGGAGGUCUUUGUGCUCCUAAAAGUACCACAGUUCUGCUAUAUAUAUAUAUAUAUAUAUAUAUAUAUAUAUAUAGAGAGAGAGAGAGAGAGAGAGAGAGAGAGAGAGAGAGAGAGAGAGAGAGUGGCUAGUGAGAACUUUUGACUAAAUAUUAAUUGUAGAAUAUUAUUCAUCCAGUCACAACAGUCCAACCAACAGCAGAACGUAUUUGAAAAGUACAACUAACGAUGAUUCUUUAAGCCAAUGUAUAAAGUAAUCCAUUGCAUGUUCCACCACAAUUGAUCGAGGAUUUGCCAAACACCCAUCCCCUCCUUUACCCCAAUGCAGGGCCAAAGACCUGCACUAUUUUGAGUUUUUUUUUUCGCUCCGGUGACAAUUCAUUGCCAAAAAUAGAAGCUCCAUACUUCUCAAAAAAAAAAAAAAAAAAAGUGCGACGAGAUAAACAUGGAAGAGAUUUUUAAUGGAAAAGCUGGUGUGCUUACCAAAAAAAAAAAAAAAAAAAAAAAAAAACUUUUAUAGAAGUUCAAGUGUGGUCAAUCUCAAGGUUGUGUGAUGUACGUAGAACCAUGAACGUAGAUUCCACAAUGUUCAUUGCAUAUGAACACAUAUCAGGGAAGGUAAAAACAGUAACAUAUUAAUUUGUAGUCAGUGAAUGAUAUUUAUAUCAAGAACUCGUGAAUUCUUUAUCCUUAUAUUCAACAAUACCAUGUGAAUUAAAAUCACACCUAGAAUUACCUGACAAUUUUUAUGAAAAAUUCAGAGAAAUUCCAUGAAACUUUCCGCCCAAAAAUGUAUUUUUUGACUUGCACUAUCCUAGUUAAUACCUUAAAAAUUCCUCCUCUUUUUCUUUGCUAAUUUAAUAUUUGUAAUUUUCAGAGAGAAUUUUCAAUGAAGUGGAGGAUACAGAAGCAAGUGUUCGAGGACCCAAAGAAUAUAGAAUAAAUUUUAUGGGCAUUGUGCUCAUACAGCUUUAUUUGGGGAUUGCUCGGAGUGGCACCUAUCCGAGUCUUUGCUGGGUUAAAAUGGUAUAUAUGGAGACCCCCUUCAAAUGCUUUUGCAGGGUGGCCCGGAUGGGCCUCGAUAACCACACGGCGCCCAUCCAAGCAAUCCCCAAAUAAAAUUGUUUGGACACAAUACCUAUAAAAUUUUUGUCCGAAUAUGGGGAUCUAACAUUUUUUCUUUUUUUCCCAUCUCGUCAAAUCUCAUCUGAAACAUAGCUGGUGGCUAGCAAUAUCCUAGGGCGUGCCACCUUAACUUUAUCUUCCUCCAAUUGAUGUUCCCAAAAUUUACUAGAAAUAAUUAUUGUACCCAAACUGCAAAUAGUUUUAGAAAGGGAAAACUUUGAAAAAAUCCCAUAUGGUUUCGCACUUUUUUAUUUUAGUCCCCUGUAAUUUAAACUGUAUUAAGUUAGUACCCUAUGGUUUCGCCCUUUCUCACUUUAGUACUCUGUGGUUUAAAGUAUAUCAAGUUAGUACUUUGUAGUUUCAUUUUUGUAUCAAGUUAGUAUCCUGUAGUUUCAUUUUUCUCUUUUUAUUAUUCAUUUCGGGGUAUUUUUUUCAUUAAAUCAGUGGUAAAGUUAAAACUAAAGGAUAAUAAAAUAAAUAUUCGAUAAACCUAGGUAGGGUAUCUGUAGUUUUUUGUAUAUAAUUUAACGAAAUAUUAAACCAUAAGGUACUAAAGUGAGAAAAUGCGAAACCACAUGGUACUAAUUUGAUACAUUUUAAAUUACAGGAUACUAAAGUGAGAAAGUUCAAAACCACAGGGGUAUUUGAAGUUUUUUUUUUUUUAAAAAGUAUCUACUUAAUCACAUCUUUAAAUUUAUAAAAAUAAAUAAAUCAUGUAAUCGUAAAUAUCUUAUCCGCAGCGAAAUAUGUUUUCUAUACUAGUUUUUCAUUAUUCUUUAUAAAAUUAUGAAACACAAGAUUUUUUUAUUCUAAAAAAUCACUACAACAGAAUUAGGUUAUAGGGACACAUGUUUGGGACACUUUUGAGUAAGUGUCCCAUUUAUACUAAAAUUUUAAAAAAUAUAUAUUAAUGCCUAAAUAUAAAGCCCAAUCCAACCAAAAAUAAAAGAUUACUCUACUCAACCCACCACACCCAGUCCAUUUGGCCCGAUUAUAAACAGAAAAGAAAAAAAAAAAAGAAGAUAAAUUAAUCAUCAUCUUUUCUUCUCUCUUCACUCAAUCCACUAAAAUUCUAGACGAAGAGCCUUUCCUAUCGUCCUCCUCCGCCACCGCAGCCAACGAGAUAGAAUUUCGACGAUUGCUAAAUGCUUAAAUAAGUUCUGGUAAAUUAGCAGCACUCUUUUAGGUUAUAGCGACACUCUUUAACUGUCACUAUAUACCUAGCGACCCCACAUAUAGCAAUAUUUUUUAAAAGUGUCGGUAAUUUUAGCUAGCAGUACUUUUUUGACAUGUACCUACAUUUAAAGUGUCGCUAUAGACCGUUUUUAUUGUAGUGAAUAAAGUAUCAAACCACGUACAAUUUUUUUUUUAUUCUUUUAUAUCUUAGAAUAGUAGGUUAUCUCUAAAAUAAAAUUCUUUAGUUUUUUAAAUAUUAUUUCGUUACCAAUUCCAAUCUUAGAGUAACCAAAAUAAAAUUAUUUUUUUAUUUCUCUGUAAUUCGGGAUGUAGCCUUAAAAUUUCUGGAACGGAGGAUAACAAUUAAUUCUUUUCUGAUAUUAUUAUCAUAUGAAUAAAGGACCAUCUCAUCUACAGAGAAAAGAGAUAAAAUUGGAUGCUAUGGGUGAAUUACAAGGCCAAUGUGGCUGCCCAACUGGGUGGCGACCAAAACCAGAUAUAUAUUUUACAUUUUAUCUCUUUUAAAAUAAUUUUUUUUCACUAGUAAUAUUAAUAUAAUUAUAUUAAAAAUUAUGCCAUAAAGUGUAUAGGCUCCGGUGGGCUGUUUCUAAUAGCACUAAGCAAGUUUUGUAUCAUUUUUUUUUAAAAGAUAUAUGUAGUAUGCUAUUCGAUUCCUUUAUUUAAUUUAAAAAUAAAUUUAGUUAGAAAUAUGAAUCAAUUAGGAUUCGAACUUGGGACCUCAGAUACCAACUAUCAAGCCCUUUGCCACUUGCGCUAGAAAUAAUUAGUAUUCCUUUGAUCAUUUUCAUCCACUAGAUAAUACUAUUCAACUAACUAUCCGCCCAACGCUAAUGAAUCACUAUCAUUCUAGCUGUACAUCUACAAGCACUGAAAAUCUAAUAAUUUAUAAACAUAUGAAUUGGGGAUACGGUCGCAUCACUUCAGUGGAGUAUUCAUAGAGCGACACGUGUCGGCGGGUGAGAGGAGCGCGAGGGCGGGCGCGGUUGCGAGCGGACGGCGCGGGAGCGAGCGAGCGGCGCGAGCGGGCUCAGGCGGGCGGGCGCGCGUGGGCGCGGGCGGGCGCGCGGGCGUGGGCGCGGCCGGCGCGGGCAGCGAGCCGGCGAGGUGCUGGGGUGCCGGCGGCGCGGGCAGGACCCGAGCCGCGGCCGUGGGAGUCCAGAAAAAAAAAAAAUUACAGUUUUGUCGGGGCUCACACUUCUCCUUUGCACGCGUCCACGAGGUUAGCACACCUCGUGACCGCCUGAGGAGAGAGAUCCAGCUCUCUCUCCCUCUUUGAGAAUUUUAUAUAUAUUUAUAUAUUAUAUAUAUAUAUUUAUAGAAGAGAGAGAGAGAGAGAGAGAGAACUAGGCUCCUAUGCUUUCGAAAGUACGGGAGGCACGUGCUUGUAAGUUGUUUUCGAUGAUGGACAUCCGAUUCUGCGAUUCGGUUCCGUUAAACUUGAAUCUACGUAUUGGAACUAUCUAGAAACCAAAUUUCAUAAUUUUUGAUUUCGUUUGUCUAGUGAACAAGUAGCCUCAAAAUGAACGGCUGAAAAUGAAAAUUUCAUAAAAACAGUGAUAAAUUGAUUCAAAUUUAAAUCGAAGAUCGGAAGUAUUGAACUUGCUACGAUUUAAGUGAAAUUUUCUAUUAAAUUUUCAUGUAAUUUGGAUACUUCUACACCGUUGAACUUAAAAAUGUGCUACAUCGACGUUAAAAUAGGCAUUUUUAGACCUUUUGAUCGCUAGUAAAUGAUGUCAAAAAAAUCUAAAAUUUGGUUUCUACAUUGUAUUCCAAUAUGGUAGAUAUACCUAACGGAGCGGAUCGUCGAAUCGAACGCCUAUCAUCGAAAACAACUUACAAACACGGACCUUCCCGUACUUUCGAAAGUACGGGAGACGGACUCAUAUAGACAAGGCUCCUAUGCUUGAAAGUACGGAAGGCCCCUGCUUUAAGUUGUUUCGAUGAUGGACAUCAUAUAUAAUAUAUAUAUAAUAUAUAUAUAUAUUAUAUAUAUAUAUAUAUAUAAUAUAUAUAUAAUUUUAAUAUUUUAUUUAAAUAUAAAUAAUUUAUUUUAAGAAUCAAUAAAGAUAGUAUUUUUAUUUUAAUUUAUUUUAUUUGUAAGUUCUACCAAUAAGAAAAAAAUAUUACGUAUUUUGAAUAUACAAUGAGCUUUUAUUUAUUUUAAACUGAUUAUUUAUUUUAGACCACUCUAAUCUCUCUCUCUCUUUUUUAUUUUUCUUUCUAACACCCUUCUUAUUUUUGAGUGUUAUUGUCUACAUACAAAAAAUAAAUUUUAAUUUUAAAAUUUAAAUUUAAAUUUAUUGUUAAUGAUUUUUGAAUGUGUUGCUUAGCUUUAUAUAUUUAGUUAGUAUAUUUAAUGUAAGUGUUGUAAUUAAAUAUAUUUAAAAAAUUUAAUUGUAGUGUUUUUUCUAAAAAAGGAUUAUUUAUAUCUAAAUAAUUGUAAAAUUAAAAUUAAUAUUUAAUGCAUACAAUCUAAAAUAUUUAAAACUUAGGCAUAAAUAAUUAUAUAUUUUAAAGUUUUAUUAUAAUUAAAAUAUAAACUUAUGAAUUUACAAUCUGAACCCGAACGAGUUUUAAGAUCAGUAUUAUUAUUUGUAAGCAAAACUUACAUAUAUGAUACAAUUGAUUACAUGUGAAAAUCUAUUUAAAAUUUUUUUAUUUAAUUAACUAAAAUAUAUUAUUAUUUACUUUAUAAAAAUAUAUUUAAUUAUUUAUUAAUUAUUUAUAAAGAAUUUAAAUGAAUCCGUUACGUAGCACGGGUUCCUUAACUAGUUUGACAAGGAUUUAUGGUCACAUAAUUCCACUCCAUAAAGUUAGCGCUAUUUGAACUUUGAUAAAUAUUGAUAUAUCAAUUACCUAUCCCACUCUACACACUAGUGUGGUGGUGGGACCCCAUGCGAGACUCUUUAAUUUGUCGUUCCAUAAAAUAUAUAAGUUUGUACUUAGUUCAGGGAUUUAAAUAACUGAGUUCAAAUUCCAUUACAUUAAAAUUUUAAUUUAGAAUAAUUUAUUGUGAUAUAAUAUAUAUAUAAAUUUCGUUGAAGAUAAUAACAUUCUGAUUUUAAACGCACAAAUUUUGAUUUUGAUUUUUUGAGUCCCAUACUUCUAAGCAACAACGUGAAUCAACGGCCCGGCCCUUUUAGAGCAAUCUUAGAGGCCCAAGUUUAUUACUGGGCCGGAUUCGUUAUUCACUGUAGAAGCCCCACUCAUUUUGGGCCUAGUUGUUUCUUUUUAUGACCUAACUUUUAAUGGACCUAAUGUGAGGGAUAAGCGUACGUGGGCUGAGUUGAUGGUUAUACGGGCCACAUCCAAGCCCAUUAGGCUCAAAUAUUUAACCCAAACAUAAGCAUCCAAUCCAUGUGGCCAAUUCCUUCUUUCCAAAGUUGUCUUCAUUUUGAACCAUGCUUAUUAUUAUUAUGAUUAUUAUUAUUUAACUUGCUCGUAGGCUCGUAUUAAUGAUUUGGUGCUAUCACGAGCAUCUAUACAAUCUAUCUAUUUGGGACUCUAUCCGAUCCUACGUGGCGCCUCUACGUUUGUUUCAUUCAUCCGAGCCUCUCUCUCUCUCCCUCUUCUCCCACCGAGCCUCUCUUCCUUUUCCUCCACUGCCAGCUGGUCCUCUCUCUUCACACCCUCUCUCUCUCUCUCUCUCUCUCUCUCUCUCUCUCUCUCUCACCCCCUGUCUCUCUCUUUCCCCCUCUGUCACGCCCCGGGACCCAGCGGAAGCCCGCCCGGCACGUGCCCAGACCCGCCAUACGUCUAAAACAUAUAAGGCGUCUAAAAACAACAAUAAUAAAAGCAAUAAUAAAAGACAUCUAGGAGUAUCAGAGCAUAAUAAAUGUCUAAAUGCUACAACAAGGGAUAAGGAUAAAACUGUAAAUCCACUAAAUAAAACAUAAAGUGAUACGAGAAAAUCCCACAUACAAGUGCUAUAGGUAGAUACAUAGGUAGUCUCUAUACAUGGAUACCAAAAACCUCUUACUCUCUCAACUACAAAAGAAAGAGUAAACCACCUAGGCAAAAUACCGCUCCUCGCUAGCUAGCUAAGCGAUCCCCUUGCCGCGAUCCCGUGCCUCGCGGGUGUCGAGGCCUCUGAAAGUAUAACCAUGAAAACAGGGGCGUGAGAACUUAUUAAAAAAUAGUUUCCAGUGGACAAUUACUUGACUUCAAGUGAAUGCACCGAUGAGGCCCAAAGCUAUCAAAAGAUGUCAAGUGACUAUAAAAUAGAAAGCGAAAGCUAAGUAAAAUGUAACUUACUACAACAGAUAUCUCUACUUAGCAUAAUUCAGCAUAAGUAUGAAGCCAACUAUGCAUGAAGUAAAAAGUCUCCAAACUAUCAAAUGUUCACAUCGAAAUAGUAAAAUUCGUGUUUGAUAUUCUAGUCAAUGUCCAAGUAUCACUAAGUCAUCAUCUGAUCACAUGUCAUUAGAUGAAUACUUCAAGUUCAAAUUAAAGAGACCUACCCGAAGCUGUCUUAUGGCCUCUGAGACCCACCCGUUAGCUGUCGCGCGGUGCCGAGGCCUAAUGCCGUGGUAGCAUCAUCCCCACCUUAGAAUGAAGACACUGUCCACGCAAUCCUUCGGCGCCCAUAUCUCCGCACGGAUAUGAUCACGAUGUGCUAUCUCCGGAAGUGCCGGUGUAGCGAGCGACCCUCACAAGCAUGUGCGAAUGAGCAGCGAAUGGCUAAGUAGCAAUAUGAUCUGCUUGCAAGUACCAAGUCCUCAUGUCUAAUAACAUGAAAUAUGUCAUUAUCUUAAGCUGCCUAUCCCUAUGUCAUCAUGUCUCUAACAUGGAAUCUUUGUUAAAAGGCGGAUAAGUAGUGCUAAUCAUAUGUCUCUAUAUUGCGUUUCAUGUUUAGUCUAGUUUCAAGUGCCCUUUGAUAACACUCUUGUUCUCUGUGCACAGAGCAUGCAACCUAAUGUUCCAAAGUACAUAUUCCGAAGUAAAUAAUCUCUCAUAAGUGAUGUAUUUUUCACUUGCAAAAUAAACAUCUUUCGCAAUAUCAUGCAUCAUACUCAUAUAACUCUACUAUAUAGUGAAAUUUUAUAAUACACUAUGGCAUGGCAAUUUAUAAGUGCUCUAAAAUUCAUAUAAAAUUCCAUUUAGCAUAAGAAAUAAUUAUAAAAAUAUUUACAACAAAUAGAAAGAGAAGCGGUCCAUUUCGCCCCAUAUUCCACGAAGCCAAACCUCACCGUCGUUCAACCGAAAGCUUUCGUUUGCCCAGACGAAGGCGGUCCACACACACUACGCCUAAGUAUUCCUAAAAGGUCAUGAAAUAAGUGUCAUCUAGUCGAAAGAUAUACUCUCAAGUUCAUCAUUACCAACUACAAGUAGCGGCUUGGAUAAACUCACAUCAAUGAAAAACUCCUCUCUUAAUCUCAAAUGGAAAGGUAAGUCUUCCAUAUCUAACCUAAAAACGGCUUCCCAACACCAUCAAAAAGGUUUUCAAAAGCCUCAAAUAAAAAAGCCCCAAAUCUAAUCCUAAGAACCCAAUCCAGGGUUUUCAUUCUAAGUAAAACCUAGAAAAAACAUGUAUCAAGCUAGAGAUUACAUGCUACCAACCUACAAGUAGGAGUCUUCGAUCCAACGUCAUAACCAAGUAGGCGUAAGUUUUUGAUCCUCCAAAAGCUCUCAACCGCAACUCGAAGCACCAAAGGUGAGAAAAAAAUGGGAAGAAGAUGAUGCUCCAAAGCUCGCAAGCCAGCUCCUUCCUCUUACAUUUUUUUUUCUUAAUUUCUUCUUCUUCUCUCUUCUCUUCUUCUUUCUCUUAGAAUUGGGUAGGAAGUGAAGAAAUAGGAGAGAAGAGGGUGAAAUGGCCAAUAGGACAUUAAAAGCAAACAAAAUCCACCUAGUUGCCUCAAAAAACUUCUUAAUCAGCCCGGUCUGGCAGUUUUCGCACCAGAGGGACGUCUCCCCGACCUGGCAGACCGAUCUCUUAGACCUGCCCCCCGAAAAAUCCACGUAUCGGGAACGGUCUCUCCCAUGCACGGGACGCAGUCUGCUCCCAGCGUAGACGCGCUGGGGACCGCGUCUCGAUGCAAGGGACGGUUGCCUCGCUGCAUUGCGCAGCACUGUUACACUGGGGGACCGUCUCUACUAUCAGGGACCGGUCCCUGAGAAGUAAAACUCUCAGGACUCUGUUCAAAACUCUCGAGAUUCGAACUUUUUAGCCCGGUAUACCAAUCGACACCCUCCCCAAGUAUUGGAAAGUUCGAAUACAAAUUCGAAAAUCGAAACCUCGCAAAAAAAAAUUUUGCAAAGGUUCAGUGCGCUACAACCCUCUUUCACAUCCUUUUCUUUCUUCCCCCGCCUUCAUUUCACACCCUCUCGUCUUUCUCUACCCCCAUCUCUUAUCUCUUCUCUUCACACGCCUCUCUUUCUCUCCCCCCUUUUCUCUCUCUCUUCCUCCUUCCUAACACUUUCUCUCUCUCACCCACCCUCCUCUUUCCUCUCACUCGGUCUUCUCUCUCUUCCCCACUCUCUAGAUCCUCUCUCACCCGUCUCCUCGCUGGGCGCUGGGGUGUGGCGGCUUGAGGAGGGCUGGCCGCUUGGUGAGAGCGGGGGCCCGAGCGCUGAGCCCGAGCCGAGGCGCCGGGCGCGAUGGCACUUGGGGGCCGGCACGGGCACGCGGCCGGGUGGGGCGGUUCACGAUCUGCAUCUUUCCGUGCGCGGCCAAGCGGGCGAGUGCGAGUCAGCGCGACGCGGGAGCGCCUUCGGUUGCCGAGAGGGCGGGCGCGAGCCGGCGCGGUGCGUCGCCGCGCAGUGUGCACCAGUGUGUGUUGGUCGUCGAGGGCGCGGGAUGCGCGGAGUGGCCGAAGGUGGCCACGGUGCGGGGGCACGAGGACAGAGGGGCGGCGGCGGGACGCUGCACUCUUUCCCCCUCUCCCUGCGCGACGGCGGCGCGAGUGGUCGGGCCGGGAGCAGAGGUGCGCGCGUAGCGCAGCGGGACAGGCGGGCGCGGGCUCCGGGCGGGGCGCGCGACGGGCGCGCGCGCCGGUGGCCUUAUUUAUUAUAAUAUAUAUAACUUAUAUAUUAAUUAUAUAAUAUAUUAUAUAUUUUAUAUAUAAUAUAAUAAUACUUUGGAGUAGCUUCUUUUGCUAGAUCUUCUUUUUUGGUUCUCUCUCUUUCCUUUUGGGUUAAACGUGUGUGUGUUGAUUGUGUGAGAGACGAGAGAGCAAGCGGGAGCGAGAGAGAAAGAGUGAAACAAAGGUUGAGACUGGGUUGGAGGCAAGGGAGAGGAGAGGGAGGACCGCAUAUGGAUCUCCACAAGCAAAGGAUAGCGUGCCAGUCUGCAUCUCUGUCAGUUCAUGCAAUUGAGGUCGCGUGAAGCAUCUCACUCUCAUCUUCUUUUUCUUUCCUCUUUUUUUUCUUUCUUAUUUUUUUUUUUUUUCAAACAACAGUAACUUAAGUCUCAAACCCUUCUGAGUUUAACGCAAUAAUUAAUGGGGUUUUUUGUUAGGAAAUUAAACAAAUUGUCAAAAUAAAUUUUUUGUCAUUGUUUUUAGAGUUUUGAUUGCGAUCUCAAAUUGUGCGGGUUAUCGACUGCCUUAUACAUCUCUCUCUCUCUCUCUCUUUCUCUCUGUAUUUGAUGAAAUAUUAGUCAAAAUUUUUCUAUAUAUUAAACUGCUAAUUAUUAUGUAUGCUAAUAAAUACGGUGGCAUCUAUGAAAUACUAUCUAUAUACUUAUGUGUAGAGUUGUUGUGCUAUCGAAAGCAUAAGGCAGUCGGUAUUUUCAAUUUUUUAAUUCUUGGAUAAAAAAUUAUGAGAUCAGAUAAUAAUAGUCCCCUUUAAAUUUGAUUGGUCCUGAAUAAUAAUAUUUUACAAAAGCCCAAAAUAAGAGCAAAAUUGCUAUUUAUUUUUUUUAAUGUAAAAUUAACAUUUUUUCUAAAUUUUUUGUAUUUUUUAUCUCUUUCUUUAAUUGUUUUCUAUUAAUUUAUAGAAUAAAAAAACGCAGGAGCGUGGGGCGGCCCACGGUGUGGCGCGGACACGCUGGAGGGCGGGGCGGGACGCGGCGCGGACAAUGCUCUUUUUGCCUUUUUCCCUCUCUCUUCUCUCUUCAAUGUUCAAAUUAUUUUUUAUUUCUCUCUAUUUAAAUUUUUAAUUUUUUUUUUUAGCUCUUUAAUUUUUUAAAAUUUAAAAUUUAAAAUUAGAUUUAAAAAUUAAAAAAUUUAAAUUUAAUUUUUUAAAAAUAAAAUAAUAAUAACAUAAAUAUAGAAAUAUAUUAGUUUGUUCAAAAUAUUAAAAAAAAUGCGUAAAUCUCCUUCACUAGUUCCGGUUUAAUUCUGAGUGUAUAUUAUACAGCAUUUUUAACCAAUCCCAUUAGGGUUGCCACGUGGGCGUCUCUGGUUGGCUUGCAAGGGUGUAUAGGCAAAUUGAUCCUGGGAGAGCGUGGGGGUAAAGCCGAGAGAGAGAGAGAGAGGGGUUUGAGAGGAGAGGGAGAGAGAGGAGAGAGAGGCCAAGGGAGGAGAGAGAGAGGCCAAACGAGGAGGAGGAGGAGGAGGAGGAGGAGGGCGAUGUGGUGCCAAUCGUGCAGGGGGGAGUACGAAGAGGAGGAGCGCGGGACGUGCCAAGGAGUGCUACGACGAGGCGAGCGAGACGAAGGCAGGAGCUCAAAGCGCUGAGAUCGACGACCUCAAGUCCAAGGUUCGAGUUCCUCCGCCUCGCCUCCCACUCCCACGAUCCCAAGCCACCUCCCACUAUUUCCACCGUCCAUCCCUGCCUCCCUCCUCCUCCUCCGUCACUCCUACCCGACCUCCUCCUCCACGCUUCCUCCUCCUCCUCCUCCUCCGCCGCCGCCGCCGCCCCUCCCGUCCCCGCCCACCGCGCCGUCCUCGUAAGGAAACCCUAACUCUACCUCUUCGAUUUCUUGUUCCUUUUCUCGGUCGCGCGUUUUCUUGCGUUGAGUUUGGUCUCUUGGACGGUUAAAAACGCGAACUUUGACCGAUUGGGGGCGCGUGAGAUUGGAAAUUAGGAUUGUUGAUCUGUGGGUUCUCCUCUCGGGGUCUGAUGGCCUCGUAAUGUGCGUUUUUAGUUGUGAAUUUCGAUGGCAUUUGAACUUUAGGUGAUGAGUUGCUUUGGAUGGCUCGGUCACCUUCGCUAGGGUUUCUUUGAUCUCCUGUUAUUUAUCUGCUCGAUCUUGUGUCGGUUGCGUUCUUUUUGGUGGAUCGAAUGCUGAAAAACACCAACUUGUAGCGAUUGGGGCGUGUGAAAUUGGAAGUUAGGGGAUUUUUGAUUUGUGGGUUGUCGCCACGGGUGGUGAAAUUGAAAGGUAAGUUAGAGUUUGCAUAGCCAAUUGCAGAUGAUUCAGGUUUAUGUGCCAUCUGGGACUGGAUGUAAGUAUUGAUGGACGGAGAAUUUUAUUGUGCACGUGUAUUGCAUAUUGAGAUUUGUGGGGCGCAUGUGAAGCACAAAAACAAACCAUUAACACCUUAAUUUCUCUAUUUCAAUUGUGAUUAGUAGUUGAGAUUACACUAGGUUAAAAUUCUUUUGAAACUUUGAUUAAAGAAUUUGGGUGAGACUAUUGUUGAAUUUUGUUUAACAGAGAUUAAUUAAAUGGAGAUUGAACUAGUUCAUUUUAUCAGAUAGGAGACUAAAUAGAUAAGAAUGUGUUAUGAUAAGAUAUUUAACAGGAAUUAAAUAGUUGACUGCAAAUUUUACAUAAAACUGCUUCACUUAUCAAUUUUUUAAUGCAUCUUUAGAAAAAAUCUCUGACAAACAUUCAUCCUAGCUGUCUUUUAUUGAUGGACGUUCACUAGGUUUUCAGUAUUUGAUCUGAUUUUAAAGGGUAGAAGUGCUAAAAGUAGAUAGUCAUUAUGUUUAAUUGUGUGUUUUUUCUUAUUUCUCAAUUUUGUUUGGUCACAGAAGUAGGUGGGACAACAUAUUUUGUAGUUCUGUUUUGCCAGGAAAUUAGAUAAUCAAUGUAAAAAUGUAUUUAGUUGGCUGGCUGAAAUGUAGUGUUUAUCAAGAUUAUUGUAAUCUUUACGUCUUCUAUCUCUUCUUCAGUAAGGUUGUCAACGAUUGUUAGGUAGUAUAUACCAGGAUUGUUCUAAUCGUUACGUCUUCGUUCUAUUCUUCAGUAAAUUGGUUGACAAUUCUUAGGACGACGCUUUUACCAUUUGGUGGAACAGAAAUAUUCUGGGGGUAAAGGCAUUUUAUUUCUUUUUCUGAAUGUAUCAACUCUGCUUCUUGACUCUUCUGAAGAAAAGUAGCACCUGUUGACUUGGCAGCAAUGAGAAACCUAUAUUUCCACUUAAGUUGAUAGGGGGAUUUCAAUUAGAGGAUUGAAAAGAUGAAUGAUUUUGAAUUUGUAGAUGUUGAUUUCAUCAAUUUCUGCAUACAAACAGAAAGCAUGAGCAUUACAGUUGAUUGUUCAGUUCACAUAAAUUCGACACUGCAUGUGUUUGACCAUAUUAAAGCUCUUCAAAUUAAACACUUAAAUAUAAUUGUCAUUUAAAAUGUUCUUAAUAUCUUUAUGCAUGUUGGUUUUUCUCACAAUAGAGGACUACAGAGAAUGUGUUUAACUAAGAUGCUUUCAAUCAAGACUCUGUGAUGCAUCGUUUGAAAAGGCGCAAGGCGCAAAAAGGCGCAAAGGCCUUAUGGAGUCUGGGCGCGAGGCGCGCGCCUCAAGAAGGUGAGGCGCAUAUCUAAUAAAAAUAAAACAUUCUUAUCAAGCCUAUUUUAAAUGGAUAUUUUAUGUUAAAAAAUUCUAAUGUGGCUAUACAAAAACAAAAUAAUCAUAAAAAAGUAAAGAAAUCGCAUGUAUAAAUGUUCUCAGCCUAAAAAUAAAAUUAUGUUUCAACUUUCAACUUAUAUGCGCUUGCUGCUGCGUCUUUCUUCUUACCACUACCACUUAUUGCCAUUGGGGUAGAAGAGAGAACGACCAAGAGAAAAGGAAAAGAAAGCGUUCAAUUAGGAAAUUUUUUAAAAAAAUUUUCUCAACAUUUUGAAUAUAUUGAAGAAACUGAAAAUCCGAAAACCCAAACCUUAGAUCCAUUAAACGUAAAUAUCACGAGGCGCGUCUGAGGCGCGUGUCUCACUCCUUGAGGCGCUGAGACUCACGCCUCGCGCCUAGGCACUGAGGUGCGCGCCUGAUGCGCGCCUUUUCAAACACUGUUGUGAUGUUAAUGUUGAUGGAGCUUUUAUGAAUAUCUGAUAUGAACGUGUUAAAUUACCUGUUAGCUUCAUUUACACGUUAUUAUUAUUUCCUUUGCUGCUUUAUGUAGUUUGAAGAAAUAGGGCUAUUGUGUUUAUGAGCGAUAUGGUUAUUAUCAUUUUAAAUUUGUUACCAAAAGUUGAAUAGACCAUAAAAAUAUCAAAAGUUAGUUAGAUCCUAGCUUCUGCUUGCUUUAGCAUGUAGAUAACUUGAAUCAAGUUGGGUAUGAGGAUUUAAAUAUUUUACGGUACUAUUGCUUUUCGACGUCUAACUAACACUUCGUCCAUUUAAUUGUUUGAUCAGUGUAUUUAUGUCUUCCUAGUUGUGCAACCGGAGUGUUUUAUAUGUGUAUCUUUGAAUUUGGUUAGUUUUUGUAAAAGCAAGCAUUAAUACUGAAGCUGAUGAAGCUCCGAUAAUCUAUUGCUAUGUGAGAUCGAUUUGGUUAACUUUAUGAAAGUAAAAAAGGAUGUAGAAAAGAACAAUUCAUUUAAUUCCAAUUUGUAGAAGAGAAGAAUUAAUGUAUAGAAGAGAAGAGUUGAGGUUAGAUGCGGAUAACUGUUUCCUGUGGAGUCAAAAAAAUUCAGUCGCAUAUUUGCAUGUGAUCACAGUGUAGUUGAUAUUUGCUGCAACUGUAGAUGAUAGGAGUUAAAUUCAUCCUUUAGAUGUAGGAUUUUAUUUUUUGGAUAUAUGUACCUUUUCCUUUAGUGAUGAUUUAAAAUUUUGUGUGAUUGUAAUUUAGGACACAACUUUAUAGAUGACUACGAAUGUGAAAGAAUCUUCCUUUAUGUUCUGUAGUAGGUGUUUGGAAAUGAUAUCCAUAUGGGCUUGAUAGGUCUAGAAGCCACUUAUAAAUUUGCUAUAACAGUUGGGGCACGUUUGUUAUGGGGUUAAAAGGGGUGAGAUGCUAUUUCUGUAAACUUUCACUCCGGUUAACUAUGUUUGGUACGUGGGGUGAACCUUUUAGAAAGAUUAAAAUUUCAUUUCCUUUUAACCUCCAACAAUACAAAUUUGUUGACCUAGAGGGGACUAGGUUAAAGGAAGGUUAAAGAAGGUGAAACAGGUGUUUAUUUUCUCUCCACUCACUUUUUUCUUCUUAUUUUCUCUCUAACUUUCUCUCUCUUAACUUUCUUUCUCUUUAUUUUCUCUCUCGUUCCUUUCUUUUUCUCUCUUGCUUUCUCUUCACCUUCUCUCUUCUUUCUCUCGUUCCUUUCUUUUCUCUCCUUGCUUUCUUCACUUUCUCUCUCUUCAGUCUCUCCUAGUUUCUCUCUUCACUUUCUCUCUCCUCUCUCAUCCUUGCGUUUUCUUCUUUCCCUUUCUCUUUUCGCGUCCCUCUCUCUCAUCACAUUCUCUGUCCUUAUUUGAUCUCUACUCGGUUUCUCUCUUUUCACUCGAUUUCUCUCUUCACAUUCUCUUCUUAUUCUCUUUAUUUUCUCUCUCCUUAUUUUCUCUCCCUUCACUCUCUCUUUACUUUUUUUUUUCUUCUCUCCUUUCUCUUCACUUUCUCCUUAUUUUCUCUCCUAACUUUCUCUCCAUUAUUUCUCUUCUUACUCUCUUCACUCUCCUUAUUUUCUCUCUUUACUUUCUCACUUAUUCUCUCUCUUCACUCUCUUCUUAUUUUCUCGCUCCUCACUCCAUUUUUUCUUCUUAUUUUCUCUCUCCUUAUAUCUUCACUUUCUCACUACGUAUUUUCUCUCUCUUCACCUUCUCUCCUUAUUUUCUCUCUUCUUUUUUUCUCUUUUUCUGUCAUUUCUCUCUUCUUUCUUUAUCUCCCUUUUAACUUUUCUGUUCUUAUUUUCUCUUUUUUAUUUUCGAUCUCUUCACUUGCUCUCUCAUCCCUCUCUCCUUUCUAUUUUUGCAUUCCCUCUCCUCACUUCUCUCUCUCCUUAUUUUCUUUUAUCUCUCCUUAAUUUCAUUCAUGACAUGACCAAACAUUAGUAAAAGAAUUUUUUUUUUUUUAUACUCCAUGAAGUGUUACAGGAAGAAUGCUUAGCCCCCCAACUUUUAAUCCAUACCAAACUAAACCUUGGUGUCAAUAGCAGUUGAUUAUUAUUGCUCUUAGGGCUUGUUUGGUUCGUCCAUUUUGGACACGGAAUGGGAAUCGGUUUGAUCAAAUCCGGUUAAUUUUGUUUGAUUCGCAGGAAUCGGUUUCGGAUUCCUAUUCCGGACCGGAAUGGGAAUGGCCCAAUAGCUUUCAACUUGAUUCUGGUCUCCAAGCCCGGAUUGAAAUUUCAUUCCCAAGCCCACCCACACCUCUCCCUCAAGCCCAGCCCACGCCAUCAAUCUCCAUCCCACGCAUCCUCUCUCCUGUACGAUCUCUCCACCCUUUUCUCAUAAAAAAAAUCCUCUCUCAAAAACCCUAUCCCUAACCCUAAAGGCGUCGCGAAGACAACGCUGCAGCGUCGUAGGGUGGCGCGGCGGCGAGUCUCAGCGGAGCAGCAGGGUGGUGCGGCGGCGAGAAAUAAUUUUAUAUAUUUUUUAUAAUUUUUUUCUUACAUAAUUUUUUUAAAUAAAUUUGAUAUUUGUUUGGCAAAGCUCUAAUUUGAGAAUAGUAUUAAAUUUUUCAUAAAUUUUAAAUAGGUUUAUAGACUUAUAUUUGAGAGUAAAAUUAGUAUUAUGUUAUUCUAUUAUUUUUUAGUUUAUACGAACUAAACAAUAGAAUGAGAAUAAUUCAUUCCAAUUCCCAAUCCAUGAAUGAACCAAACAUCUAGGGGAAGUGGGCCAAUGCAAUUACCAUUCCAAUUCAUUCCCAUUCCAUUAUCCAUUCCAAUUCCAAACUUGAACCAAAGAAGCCCUUAGAGCUGAUUCUUGAGUUCUUCUAGUCAUAGAUUUUCUUCUUCACUAAAUUGGUGGGCCCUUUUCAAGUUUUAUGUUUUGUGCAUUUUUCAUUCAUGUUCCCCAUUUAUUAGAUCUCUCAGAAUUUCUCCAUUAAUGCUCCGUUUUACUCGAAGUGAUAAGUAAUUCUCUGUUUUUUUUCCUUUUGUUGACUAUGCGUGUGGCAGUGAAUAGCUGACGUCUUUCAGUUUCAAAUAUGAAAAAAAGUAUCCUCUACAACACGUCUUCUCCCUUCUACUUAAUUUUCGAUACCUUACGCACUUAUGGUAAAAGUGAGUUUAGUUUGCGUUUAGCACCUCACCAAUAUGGAUCAGGAGCUUGCGGCUUGUUGUGUUGCUAGAGCCAUUGUUGCUGGAGCCUUGCAUGUCAAGGUGCUAAAAACUAUUCUAGCACAGCACUAAUGGGCAUGCCUAGGGAUGCAAACGGGGCGGAUCUGGGGGCGGGAGCCCUGCGCCGUCUCCCGCCCUGACUAGCAAAAUCCUGCCCCGCCUCCUGCCCCGAAUCCGUGACGGGUUAAAAAAUACAUCCCAUAAUCCGCCCCGCCUCGUAACCCGCCUCCCGCCGGCGCUCCGAAUCCGCCCCGCCAACUAAUAUUUUUUAUAAAAUUAUAAUAUUAUUAAUAUUUUGUAAAAUAUAAAUUAAUAAUUUUUAAUAAUAGUAUAUAUAUAUUUUAACAAUAUCAAUUAUAAAAAUUAAAAAUAUCAAUCACAAUUCAAAACAAAAUUCAAAAGUUUCAAAUACAAUAGAAAUGAGAGUACGAACUUAUUUGUAUUUUAAACUUUUUUUGUACAUACAUUAUUUUUGAGGAAUAUUUUUUUAAAAUAUAAAUGAUUUUUGGGGCGGAUCAUGGCGGGGCGGAUUCGGGGCGGGUCAAAAUUUCUCCCGUUUCCUGCCUCGAAUUCGUCUCGGAUGGUAAAAUUUAUCCCGUUUCUUGUCCCGAAUCCGUUUAUUUUCUCCCAUUUAUUGCCCCCGUCGGGGCGAGAGCUCCACCAACCCGGAUCUGUUUGCAUCCCUGGGCUUAGUCAUGAAUACUACUACGUAGUAUAUACAAGUUUCUAGUACUAGUCUUUGACUACUGUUCCCACGAGUCAGUCAAUAAUGCAGAUAUAAGUUUGAUGAUACUUGUUACUAUAUUGCUCCCAAAAGUCUUCUCCACUUUGCACAUUUUGCACGUUAGUCUCAAGUUUUCUUAACGUCAGAGUUUAGGAAUUUUCCGAUAAUACACAUGUAUAGAAACUAUUUAUUAACAGUGUGCUAACUUAAGAACAUAUUUGUGUUAUAUUCUUUUUAAUAUACCAAUUGAUGCUAUUCAAUUAUCUCUUAAUCCCAUAAAUCAAACCCAUUACUCAAUUCUCACAUGUUAGCACUCGUUCAAAAUAAAUAGUCACUAUUCAUGCAACCCAAAGAUCCAAAUAUCAUAGAGCAUUACUAUUCAGAUAAAUUUGGAACUCCUGUUUGAGGAUAUAAGAUGGAGGGCGGAAGUGACUAGAUUGAUGGAGAUGGAGAUUUGGAGGAGAAGAGACCCUUUUUUUUUUUCCACAUAAGAACUUUUCCCUUUCUGUGAGUCUUAUACUAUCCUGGGAUAAAAAUACAUUGCAAAAGAAUUAGAAUCAGAAUAGAACCUGAUAGUUGCUGGCGCGUACAGUGGGAUGGUACGCAAAAUCUUCAAGUUUGAAUCUUCUUUGAUUGUUGAUUUUGUCUUUGAUAACCAAUAUUCUGAUUGUUAUGUUAAUCAUACUUUAUGUUUAGUUAACUAUGUUGUUGGCUUUGUCCCUCUUGUGCUCUGGGUAAGCAGUUAAUUGUGAUUUUCUAUUCGAGAGGCUAAAAGUUCUAAAUCUCUGACUGUAGUGGAAAUCUGAAACAAACAAGUUUCUGAGACCUCAAAAGCAAGAGCUCCAAUUUCAGGCUUCUGCUUCUAACUUCAGCAACAAGCUGCUGGGGUGAUUUUAUAAUGAAAAGCUGUUUAAGCUUCUUUCAUAUGCUCUCUCGAGCAAUAAUUCUGCAUAGCUUGAGCAGGCAAAAAGACCAUUUGUAUGUAUUCAGGUGAAACUCAACUACCUUUGCUUGAUUAGAAUAGUGGUUCUUACCCUUGAUGUUCUUCUCUCUCGAGUUAUUGGCAAUUCUAACUAUCAAAAAUUUGAACCUUUUUUGUGUGCGCGUGUGAAUAAUCAGAUCAGCAGGUCUCCCGUUUUUAAGGCAAUGCUGGAGAACGAGAUGGAGGAGAGCCGGAGUGGCAUAAUAAAAAUCCACGACGUCUCCUACGAUGUGCUCCGCUCGUUCGUCCACUACUUGUACACCGCGGAAGUGCUUCUGGAUGAGCAGCUGGCGUGCGACCUUCUGGUGCUAGCAGAGAAGUACCAAGUGAAGCACCUCAAGUGCUUCUGCGAGAAGUUCAUGACGUCCAAGGUGAACAACGACAAUGCCCUUGCAAACUACGCCUUUGCCCACCGGCACAAUGCGAAACCGCUACUCGAGGCGGCCCUUUCGUUGAUAAUGGACAACAUGGCCACUCUGACCGAGAGAGUAGAGUACAAGGAACUCGUGGACGAGGACCCGCGGCUUGUUGUGGAGAUUUACGAGGCCUAUCUCACUAGGCAGGUAAAUACGGCCGCCAAAGAUUCACGGCUGGCACCAUAACAGGGAGACACAAAAAGAAGGGGCAUGUGUGAAUCAUUAUCUUGUAUACAUUCCACCUCCAAUUGCUGAUUUUUUGGGAAUCAUGGAUAAAUAUAGAGAUGCGGAAAUUUCUCUUCUAUAUGCGUGAGCGUUUGUCAAUGUAGUGCGCUUUUUUUCUCUUGUUGUACGAAGAAGGUAUAGUAAUGUAUGGAUAUUCCCUCGCUAUAGGACAUUUUGAGGUAGACACCUCAACUCUAGCUAUUUUGUUGAUCGGUGCACCCUUUAAGUUUGUUUGUUUUAAUUACCUAAACUAGAUUUGGAUUAGAAGGUGAAUUUUAUCAAAUUUAGUUAGGUAAUUUGUGAAUUUAACUAAAAUAUAUGGAAAUUUUAUUAAAUUUAAAAUCUCAAAUUAAAUUACAGUGAAUAAAGUUAUAACGCUUAAUGUGACACUCUAAUACUUCCACAUCGGAUGGAAAUGGAGUUGUCAUUGGGUAUAUAAAAAAACUUCUCUAACAAUAAUGACUGGGUUUAAAUAUUUUGGGCCGGUUUUGGGCCGGUGAUUCGUUACAAAAGUAUUAAUCAAAAGGACGUUAUUUUGAAUUAAAAAAUGUUAAAAAAUUGAGAAUCAUGUGUCAAUAUUAAAAGAAAAAAGAAAUUAUGAAAUAAAUACAAUUCUCACCAAAUUUUUUUUAUUCUCUUUUUCUCUUUCCGGCACUUUAUUAUUAUCCAUAAAAAUACGAUCUCUCCAAUCUUGUUCGCAUGAUUGAGUUACUUUGUUAUAGAAUGGCUGCCUCGAUUUAAUAUUUGUAUCUAUAUAUUUGUGUUAGCGCCAUAAAAAUCGCGCCACGUGGUAAACUGGGAUACACCUCAAGCAAGUGACAUAUGGUGCGUCAGGGGCAGAGAAGAAUGCACCAAAAAUCAAAAAGCAAUUAAAGCUAUGCAGUUGAGAUCGGCUAGUAAUGACCUAUGAAAUCAAGGAUGUGGCCGAUCAUGUGAAUAACUGCAUAACAAUGGACGGAAUUAUAAAUAUAUAAGAAACGCCUCACAGAGAGAUUUUUUUUUUUUUUUUUCUGAGAAACAAGAAGACCAAUUUCUUUUUUUUUUUCACAUUUUUUGCUUGCAAGAGUAGUCUAUCUGUAAUCCCUUUCUUUUUCAACAUUUACUGUCCUUUUUAGGAGUAGUUUUUAGGUUAGAAUUUUAUCUGAAAUUGUACGCCAUAUCAGCGCACCCUCUUCUGCAAACAUCUUCUAGUUUUGAGCAAUAUAUAAAUACCAUUCGACUCUUCAGCCAAACUGGAAAAUAUUGUGCUGUUUCUUAACUCGGUUGAUUUAGUUGAACUGAAGUUAUCGUGAAAUCUCUGAACUCGGCUGAUCCGAUCUAUUAUCAGCCGAAUCGCUUGAUUAGACAGUGGACGCAAACUUCGAGGGUCAUCUACAGUAGCCACUCUACCUCUUCGCACGCUUCCUGAAGAAGGACAUUGACCGAGUCAAAGGUCAAAGAAAUCAGCUCGCAGCAAUUUUUUGGGCAUGCUUGGUGGGAUAACUUUUUCUUAGGUAAUUUUUCACCAAUUUCACUAUAUGGCUGACGAUACUGCCUUGAACCUCCGCAACUGGAUUGCUCCUCGAUCUUCUGGGAAUGACCAGACAAUCAGCACUGAAAAUGCAAAUGAGCAUUAGGCUGUACUGCUAGUAGAGGUGAAACUAGUGGGCAGUCGGCUCAUCACGAGCCAAGCUUAUCUCAGGCACUUGGUCAGAUGACACGGGUCUUACAAAUUUUAGACCAAAAUGUCAUCAAAGCACCGCUCGCUUAGAUGCAGUUCUAGCCGCUAUCAUGACUUCUAAUAAGAAUAUUGCCCGGAUUGGGCAAUUAUUAGCGCCUAAUGAACAGCAUAUGGUGGGUCCACAAGGACCUGUAGUCACGCCAGUGUUGCAACACCCAGUAACACCGGCAAUUACACAGCCUCAAAUGGCACCUUAUCAAGCUACCUACAGAUCGGCGAACGCGAACGCUGGUCAACAACUAGAGGUAGCGUGGGGUUUACUUCCUCCACCACCUUUACCGUUUUAUCAGCCCUAAAAUAUGGGGAUAAGGGCCAGGGGGUAAGGCCCGAAUAAUAUGCAAGCCCCUAUUCUUGUAUUAGGGAACAAUAAUGAAUUAUACGCUUAGAUUGAAGAAGCUAUCCUAAAUAUAAAUACAAUUCUCACCAGAUUUCUUUUAUUGUUUCUUUUCUCUUUCCGGCACUUUAUUAUUAUCCACAAAAAUACGAUCUCUCCAAUCUUGUUUGCAUAAUUGCGUUGUUUUGUCAUAGAAUGGGUGCCUCGAUUUAAUAUUUGUAUCUAUAUAUUUGUGUUGGCGCCAUAAAAAUCGCGCCACGUGGUGAACUAGGAUGCACCUCAAGCAUAACCCUUGAGGCCAGAGAUAAGUGACAUAUGGUGCGUCAGGGGCAGAGAAGAACGCACGGAAAAUCGAAAAGCAGUUAAGGCUUAUGCGGUUAAGAUUGGCUAGUAAUGGCCUACGAAAUCAGGGAUGUGACCGAUCAUGCAAAUAACUAAAUAACAAUGGGCGAGAUUAUAAAUAGAUAAGAAACGCCUUACAGAGAGAUCUUUUUUUCCUGAGAAACAAGAAGACCAAUUUAUUUUUCCUUACAUUUUUUGCUUUCUAAAAGUAGUCUAUCUGUCGUCCCUUUCUUUUUCAGCAUUUACUGUGCUUUUAGGAGUAGUGCCAGCGUUGUUUGCAUGUGAUGUGCUCGGCGCUAUUUGCACAUGAAGUGCCUGGCGCUGGUGAUUGUUCCAUCGCAGUCGCUCCUUCUGCCACCGCUGGCGGUGAAGGAUCUUGGGUUACCCUAGUAGUAACCUGCUGAAGUAGCAAGUCCUCCAAUCGCUUCAUCCUCGCCUCCUAUCGGCGCGCUGCAUCUGCUUGCUGUUGGUCGGCCGUCGUGUCACCAAAUCCGUUAGCACAGCAAACUGGUUUCUCAACUCACGGACCUCACUAGAUCUAGAGGUAGCAGAGGUAUCCACCUCCUCCGCACUAGCUGCCUCGGCCGCCCCGGCGNAGCAUUUACUGUGCUUUUAGGAGUAGUGCCAGCGUUGUUUGCAUGUGAUGUGCUCGGCGCUAUUUGCACAUGAAGUGCCUGGCGCUGGUGAUUGUGCCCAUGCGGUCGCACCUCUUGUCGGCGUUGGCGGUGAAGGAUCCUGGGUCAUCCUAGUAGAAGCCUGCUGAAGUAGCAAGUCCUCCAAUCGCUUCAUCCUCGCCUCCUAUCGGCGCGCUGCAUCUGCUUGCUGUUGGUCGAUUGUCGUGCCACCAAAUCCGUUAGCACAGCAAACUGGUUUCUCAACUCACGGACCUCACUAGAUCUAGAGGUAGCAGAGGUAUCCACCUCCUCCGCACUAGCUGCCUCGGCCGCCCCGGCGGACCUAGAGCGAGUCGUCGGCAUCUCAAGCUACAACAAACAUAACAAGCGCAAGUUAUUAAAAUCCACACCAUCGCAACCCCAUUCAAAGAAAAUAAAAUCCCAAUCAUGCAAAAGUAGUGAAGUGAGCCUCACAACUAACUCCCGAUGUAACGUUGUCAGCCGCCAACGUGACCUUCCACGGAGUUAGAAGUUGCACACUUCAAUCAAACUCCAACCAUUCGGAGUUAAAGAUACGGCCCAAUCGUAAUACUUUCGCUCGAAAAUCAUAUAGACCUGUCUCUCACGAGCCUAUUUCCUAUGGUCCAACCGUCUUAAGGUUUACUAGGUUCACUAAGACUCAACCCUAGGCUCCGAUACCAAUAUAAUUUGUCACGCCCGGGUUCCAGCGGAAGCCUACCCGGCACGUGCACAAACUCCCCGUAUGCACAAGGUACUCCCCGGUGCACACAAGGCGUCUAUUUCAAACAUUUAAAGAAUAGAGCAAGGAAUAUAAGCCUAGCAAGGUAAUAAGAGCAUAAUAUAAAACUAAUCUAUAAAACAACAAGUAAACAAAUAAAGUUCAACUAUCCCCAAAAGAAAAUACAUCAAGUCACUACCAAAAAUACAUAUGGAAUAUAAGGGUAGUCUCUAUACAAUGGUCAAGUACACCUCUCAAAGUUAACAAAAGAAAGGUGUCCACCUAUGCAGGUCACUCCCGACAGGCUCUAGCUAGACGCGACUCUCUUGCCACGGUCCCUAGCCUAUCCCGUAGUGUAUGGCUCUGAGAACAAAAACAACAAGUGCAUGGGGUUAAGAACUAUUAAACAAUAGUUUCCAGUGGGUAAGCCACCGAGAAAAGCGAAUUACACCACUAGAUCAGCUGAGGCAAAAGUGGGGAAUAAAAUGACAUAAUAAAGCAUGAAUAAUAUGCGAGAAUUAAAAGUUCUAGUACCACUAUGUCUCCAACUUACAAUGUUAUAUAACAUGUAUGAAAUCUACUCUAUCAUAUGAAUGAGCAUGUAAAUAGCUAAUGCAAUAUCCAACUGUCAUGCACUAUCUAGUAGUGAAGUCAAAUUAUUAUGUUUAAUUGUCAUUACCCAAAUUAACGAGGACUUACACAAGGUAUAGUCCUGGCUUGCGUCGUGCCUAAUUGCCCCGUGGUAAUCAACAUUCCCCCGCUAGGAAUGAGCCUCGCCGACGGCAAUCCACUUCGGCGCCCAAUCCCGCACGGGCGAGCAUGAUGUCGCAUAGGCCAACUCCGGAGUGCCGGUUUGUAGGGAGCGAGCCUCACAAGCUUGUACGAAUGAGCACAAUGGCAAGCAAGCAUGAUCAACAACAUAGGAAUCUCAUUCAUCAUGUCUAAAACAUGGUAUGUCAACUAGCGACCUAGAGGUUGGAUACUAUUGUCACAAUGUCGAAUUCUAGUUAUUCAAUUAAGUUAAGUACAAUAUGAUUUUGCUACUAUCAUAUUGUGUCACAUUUACCUUGUCUAUAACAAGUAAUGUUAAUUAUCAUGCAAGUUGAUCUACUAAAUCCACUAACCAUAAAAGAUCCAAGAGACAUAUCAUUUACUCAUAACUAACAUGCUUUCUAUUGUUGCAUAAGAGGAAAACACCAUGAUGUACUACUUAGUAGACAUAUCCACAUUACAAGCCUUUACUACAUAGAACCUAAAACUCCUACAUGAAACAUGGGUGUAACAUGCAUUCAAAAAUUUUAUCAUAUUAUAACUAGCAUGAAUAUGCACCAUUUCAAGUCUUAAAACUAAGUAGAAGAUAUAGAAGGAGUUCACCCAUUUCGGCGAGGUCAAAUCCACUGGAUACCCUUCGAAACUUGUUCAUUUCCUCGAACGAAGUUGUCCUGGAGACUUCUAGCACCCUAAGAAAAAUUCUAAAAGGAUUACAAGCUUCUAACAAACUUGCCACGAAAUUCAACAAAAAUCAUACAUAAAAGAGGUGGAAAUUACCUUCAACCAAGGAGAACUUGUCCAAAGCUCAAACCAAGGCUAGAAAGCUUCAAAUCCAACCUAAAAGAGAGUUCUACAAUCAUCAAUUCAACUCCAAAAGUUCUACAACAAGAAACCCCAAAUUAAACCCUAGUUUUCUUACAACUAGGUUUAAUUCCAUAAAUCCUCACAAAAUUGACAAUCAAAGAUAGUAAGAAAACUACUAAACUUAAUAAAAGCUCCAAACCAAGCUAAGCAAAGCUAGGGUUGGAGAUUAAUACUCAAGUAAGCUCCCUUCUUCACUUCCAAGUCUUCUUCAAGGUCCAAAUAGCAAGCUUCCAAUGAGAGGAAGAAGAAAAAGAGAUCAAAACCCAAUUCCACUAGAGAUUGGAGAAGGAAAUCAAGAGAGAGAAAAAGAAAACCUACCUUCCUCUUCUCUCAAGUCUCAACACAAAGAGAGAGUAAGUGGGGAAAGGUAGGGUUAUACACAUGAUGUAACAAUCCCCAAGAGACCCCUCAAAAACUCAAAUAUUACAAACUACACGAAACUGCAUUCUGCAGCAUUGAAUACCGGUACUCAGAUUGGAGUACCAGUACCCCGCAGUUCCGGUACCAAAUACCCAGUUCCGUAGAACCCGUACGUUGGAAAUUCGAGUUUAUACUGCGUUUUCGUACCAGCUCGAUGCAGUACCGGUAUUCAGCUCAGUACCGGUACCCGCAACCCAGUUCCUCAAUGUGAGAUCCCUGGUGUUUGACUGUGGAGGCUUGUCGACAGCUCUGGAGAGUGUCAGGACAAGUCCGAGUCGCGUUGGCGUCAAAUAGACGUAAAACGGACUCCGUGCGACGCGAGGGCAGCUUAUCGCGAAGAAUUCUGCAAAACAGCAGCAUUCUCUGCUUGCUGUACCGGUACAAGCUUAGUGGCUGUACCGGUACAACCAGCGCGAAAUAGCUUAACUGCUCUCGGGUUGGCUCUUGUACCGGUACAAGAGCCCGUGUACCGGUACAAGAGGGUAGGUGGCAGGGUAAUUAGGUAAUUUCUCCCCUCGUUUGUUUCACCCAUCCCACCUACUGCUAUAUACAUGCGUAGAGAGCUGAGAGAGGAGAGUUUUCUUGUUCAUCUUCCUCUCCCUCUCUAGCAUUGGCCGAGCAAGGAGGAGAGAUUGUGGGAGCGCGGAUUCGUCGCCAACGUAGUGCCGCGGAGUUGUUCGAGCGCACGUUUGUCGCCGUGGUGCUGUGAGGAGCUUGGGCGGGCUUGGAUUUGCAUCGUCUUCGAUGUGGUGACGACUCUUGAAGGUUGUUCAAGGUGAGUGUGUUGCUGAAAUCGCCUCUAUUACUUCAGCAACAUCAUUUUGAGCUUGAAUGCUGUUUUGCUGUUUUUCGCCGUCGACCGUUGGUAUUUCAGCUCGUUCUCGACGUAGGAGCACCGGAUUGCGACGAGACUUGGCUCGUUGGAUUCAGGACUGCGAGAGGAAUCCACGAAGCCCUUACUUGCGAAUUUUGGUGAAGGUUAGCUUGGUCGAAACCCUUCCCUUCUCUGCUGCGAUUUCUGGACUGAAUUGGUGAAUUUUGUUGCGUAGAGCUCGGGCUUAGGCGAUUUCUGUACUCAGCGGGUUCCGGGUGAUCAAGCAGGUUGCUUUACACCAGGGGGAGUCCUUCGCUGCCAGGGAUUAGCAUUUUAGGUGGGUUACAUCGGUUUUACUCCUAAGUAUUAUUAGUCGACAUGUAUAAAUCGUGAUUUCUACAAUAGUUGUUAGCUCAAAUUCAUGGAUUAUUGUUAGAAUGUAAAAUCUGAAUUUUCGAGCAUAUUUUAUCAAGUAAAUAGAUUAUACAUAUUGGACUUGAAAAUUGAAUUAGGAGAAACCUGCGAUUUGGACCUGUCACCAGUUUUAACUACCUGAUUUAGCUCUAGGAGCCGUUAGAAAAUUGUACUGUCGCAGUUUCUUCGAGACGAGUACUUCAGGUAGUUUAGAAUGUAUUUACACUCGUGCUGGUUCGCCGAGUGGAUUUUUACAGGGUCGUUCAGGUCGUUUCGGACUGUUGGGUGCCGUCAGAGUUGACGGUGGACCCGUAUCGCCUUUUUGGCGUCAGAUUGUGCCGAGGGCACGUUACCUGUUGGUUGUUAGACCAGUUUGAGUCGAUUACUUGACUUUGGCUAGUUGGAGCCUGAUUGAGCUCGACAGAGAUACGCUGCAUACUCGGUUGGGUAGCGCCCACGAGUGCCACUCCGGAGUCAGGCUUGUCUUUUUUUUUUUUGCGUUGGUGUCGCUCAUGCCAGUUGGACUUGCUCUCCACGGACCAGUUAGAGUGGAUAGAGCCCGAUAUCGCAACGGGCAGGGACGGGUGUAUUCACAGUCCCGGGACGGGUAUGCUUACAGUCCCGAUUUGGAUUGGGUCAGACUUGACUUUUCCUACAGUUGGUUAGUGUAGAGCAUGAUAGUGUAGUGAUUGAUACGCGGUGAGUGUACUUCCUGCUUUUCCUACUAUUCUUGCUCCCUUCUGUAAACUUAGUGGGUGACCGAUGUUGUUUUGGGCGGUACCCACUGAGGACUACUUUUUUUACAGUAGUUCUCACGCCCAGUUGUUACCCAUGUUUUUGCAGAGCCACAGGUUCCGGCUGCUGCACAUCCGUGGAUCAGGAUCGAGGCAAGGGCGUCGUGAGUUAGAGCCCUAUCCGACUGACAGAGUUAGAGGCACCCUACUGCAGGUAGAUAUUUUGUUUCGAGUUUAUGUACAUAGUGGACUUAACUCGCCAGUGCGAGUAGCUUUGUAUUUUGGAUUUGGACUAUGUAUAUAAAACUCAGUUUGUUUAGCUUCUGUUUUCUCUAGCAGCUCUCUACUACUGUUCGUAGUAGUGUUUGAUUUACAGGUACAGCUAUCGCUUCGUAUACAGAGGAAAUUCCUUUGUAUACGGCGGAUUUGUCGGCGCGCCCGGGGAAAGUGUAAUCCGGGGCGUGACACUCAAAACUCGAGAGCUGCUCAUUUUGGCACUCUAUAGGGUUCCGGUACCAUACUUUAGUGCCGGUACUCAACACUAAAAUCUGUAGUUUGCAGAUUUUGAUGUCGGGAAUCCUUUCUUGCGCCUAACAAGCACUAGAAACGGGUCGAUACUCUCCAACAACCCUCGAAACAUCCAAAAUAGUUCAAAAUACUAUUCCUAUACUAGAACCUUUCAAUUUGCUAAAGUUCAAUGUAAAACAUUGCCAUUGCUGAUAAAAAAUACUAAUGCCAAAAUCAGAAGAAUAAAAUAUGUAGUCAAAAUGAUCAGCAAGAAAUAAUAGCAAAUCUCGGUGAAAAAAUCAAUACUAACAAAUUAGCAAGUUUAAGAUAAUAUGGUCACAUAAGUUCCACCAUGGUAACAAAAUAGCAGUAGCAGUAAAGGAAUGAAUAUGUAUGCUUAAUUUAUGUAAACAGGAUUUGCAAAAGUUUGGGAACUUAUAUUCGGUAGAAAAGAAAAACCCCGCAGCCAAGAGAGAAAGUAGGUCGCUUUCAAUUUUAAAAAACAUAGGUAACAUGAGCGAAAUAAAACAUAAAGCAAAACAUAGAAAAAAAAACAUUAACAAAUUUUAGUGAAAACUAAAUACAGCAAACAAAAUAGCAAGGCUCAGAUAACAUAGACAUACAAGUUCCACCAUGAUAAGAGAAUAGUAGCAACGGGAUGUAUCACAUAGAGAAUAAAAAAUAUAAGUGAUGAGUACGUACGUAUGCUUAAUUUAUGUAAAUAGAGCUUGCAAGUUUUUGGAAACUUUAAAUUUGAUGAAAAAGAAAAAAAACACAAUCAUGAGAGAAAGUAGGACACUGCCAAUUAAAGAAAUACAUAUUUAAUAAGGGCAAUAAAACAUAUAGAGAAAUAUAAAAAGAAGCAUUAACAUAAAAUAUAAAAAGAAACAUUAUCAAAUUUUAGUUAAAAAUAAACUUAACAAAUGCAAUAAUAAGGCGAAGAUAAUAUGGACAUAUAAGUUCUACCAUGAUAAGAAAACGGUAGCAAUAAGAAUGUACCGACCGUCCAUAGCGCAAGUGGCAAAGGGCUUGGCGGUAAUUGGUAUUUGAGACCCAAGUUCGAAUACUGGUUGAUUCACAUUUCCAGCUAAGUUUAUUUCCAAAUUAAAUAUUCAAAGAGGGUAGCAUGCUACCUUUCUCUCAAAAAAAAAAAAAAAAGCAAUAAGAAUGUAUUGCCGAGAGAAGAAAGUUGGCCACUGCCAAUUAAGAAAGAAAAUAAAAAUAUGUAAAAUGAGCAAUACAAAAUUUGUAGUAAGAUAUUGGAUUUAAUUUGUUACUUAGCAAUUUCAGGUUGUAGUUGAAUUUAAAGUGGCUCAAGCUGAACCGGAAUCAUGAUUAAAGGUAACAAUUCAAUUAAAUUAUUCAAAUUGGCCCGGACAAGAUCAAAUUGUACCAAAUUGGAUGCAAGUGCCAUUACAAUAAUUUGGAGGACUUCUUUGCAAUUAUCGGAUUUGAGCCAGUCAACCUAGUCAAGUUGUUCAAUUCACCUUUUGGGUUUAAUUUGUGCUUAAUGUCAAAUUAGCCUUAUUUUAAUAUGGUAUGAAAGUGAUUUUAUGUAUGGUAUAAAUUCAAACAUGAUUUUAUUAUGGUAUGAAUUUGAAAAUGUGAAAUAUGAUAUAAAUGUAUUUUACAAGUUUGGUAUUAUUUCAAAAGCUUUUACAAAUGUGGAAUGAAUUCAAAAAGUUUUCAUUUGUAGUAUUAAUUUAAAAGGAUUUUACAAAUUUGGUAUAAUUUCAAAUGAGCUUUUCAAUAUAGUAAUAUUUCAAAUGAGUUUUGCAAAUGUGGUUGAAUUCAAAUUUAUUUUGGAAUUAAUUCAAAUACAUUAGCAAAUAUGGUUAAAAUUCAAAUUGAAAUCAAUUAUGAUUUAAUUAUGCUUUUGUUCCAUUUUUGAAAUGAUGGCUAGUGUAUUUAAAGGGAGGCUUGGAUGUUGUUUGUAUACAACUUCAGAAAAAUUCUCUAAGUCCUAAUUGUUCAUUGAUUUGUAAUUGUGAGCUUCUUGAGAGAUUGUAAAAGAAGUUUUGUGUGAUUGUAAGCGGCUUUGGUCUUGCCCUGUUCAAAAGGCCAAGUGAUAGUGAAAUCGGUACCUCGAGGAGAAGAAGGACCGGACUGGAGUAGGCAGAAGGGCCGAACCAGGAUAAAUCAUCUGUGUUAUCUGAGUUUGAUUUUCUUCUUUUAUUUGGUUGUGCAAUUUUUAUCUGGAUUUAAUUUUACUUGAGUUUUUAGUUGUCAACUAAUUCACCCCCCCUCUUAGUUGCCAUUUGUUCCUUCAUUUGGUAUCAGAGCGUAAGUCUCACUGUUGCAGACUAACUGUCUCAUGAGAUGGCAACUUUUCACGCUACCAUUGAAGGCCAAUCCAUCGCUCGUCCUCCUUUCUUUAAUGGGAGUAACUACACCUAUUGGAAGGUGCGGAUGCAGAUUUUUCUACAAUCCCUAGAUUUUGAUCUUUGGGACAUUGUAGAAAAUGGCUACACUAAGCCUACCACGGCAACUAGCACAUGGAAGGUAGAGGACAAAGGUAAAUUUAAUUUGAACUCUAAAGCGAUGAAUGCUCUUCAUUGUGCUUUUGACUCAAACGAGUUCAACCGGAUUUCUACAUGCAAAACUGCAAAAGAAAUUUGGGAUAAAUUAACCGUUGUUCACGAGGGGACAAAUCAAGUAAAAGAGUCUAAGAUAAAUAUGCUUACUCGCAAUUAUGAAAUAUUUUGUGUGCAACCAAAUGAAAGCAUUACUGAUAUGCAUACUAGAUUUACCAAUAUUAUUAAUAGUCUAAAGGCUUUGGGAAAGGCUUUUUCUGAUGCAGAUCGUGUUAGAAAAAUACUCAGAAGUUUUCCUCAAAAUGGACCUUGGGAACCAAAGUUGGCGGCCAUUCAAGAAGCGCGUGACCUCGACAAAUUUUCAUUAGAGGAACUCAUAGGGUCUCUUAUGACUUAUGAGUUACGAUUGAAAAUAGAGCCUUCUACUUCCAUCAUCCAUACCGAAAUGAAAAAUAUAGCCCUCAACUCUAACGAAGGAGAUAGAAGCGACUCCGACAAUGCCACUGACGACGAGAUCUCACAUCUUACUAGAAAAUUAAAAAAGAUCUUACAAAGAAAACACGGAGCUAAGUGGUCCGGCAAAAGUAAUGGUAGAUCUCACUUUUUUAAAAAAGAUGUAAAAUGCUACAAUUGUAAUAAAACAGGGCACAUGAGUUAUGAUUGCCAAAACCAAAGUAAGUCUCCCCGAAAGGAGAAAAAGAAGAAUAAAGCCUUCUCCGCCGCUUGGAGUGAUGAUAGUGAUUCCGACAAGGAGGAAUCAACCAAGGAGGUCUCUAACUUAAGCCUCACCUAUGACGAUGCACCUUCGAAUUGUUGCUUCAUGACAAACAUAGAAGAUAAGGUAAAUGAUUUAACUUACGAUGAACUUUUAGAAGCUUUUUAUGAUCUUUAUGAUGAUCUCCAAAAAUUUGGUCCCAAAAAUGCUUCUUAAAAAAAAAAAAACAUCUUUAAUCUCCAAUUUAAAUUUAUUAAAAUCUAAAAAUAAAAGUUUAAAAACUGAGUUAAAUUUAUUAAAGAAGCAACUUGAGACCAAAAGUGAUGGCGAAAAUUAUAAAGAUACUAGUUUAUUUAAAACUGAAAAUGAAUCUCUAAAGAAGGACUUGAACGAUUCAAGAAACACUUUAGAAAGAUUCAUUGGUAGCACAAAAGCUCUAAAUAUGAUGUUAGGUAAUCAAAGAUCCUAUUUGGAUAAGACCGAACUUGGAUAUCAACACAAGUCUAGUCAAAGAAAAAAUAUUUCUAAGACAUUUGCAAAAUAUACAAAUGGCAACAAGAAUGUGUUGUACACCUAUUGUAACAAAAUAGGGCAUCAUGUAACCCAAUGUCAAUUUAAAAAUAAGUUUAAACUUAGACAACUUUGGGUGGUUAAACGUUCUAACACAAGUGGACCCACAUCCAGGGUACCCUUCAUAACUUAAAUUUUUGUAGGUAUGCCUGCACUUAACAAAGUCAAGCGACAAAGGUUACUUGGACAGCGGGAGCUAAAGGCACAUGUCGGGCAACCCAACAAAUUUAUUGUCGCUUGAAUAUGAAGACCGUGGGCACAUAACCUUUGGAAAUAACUCGAAAGGUCGUAUCAUUGGAAAAGGCUCAAUCGGUAACAAUUAAUUUUCUUUGUAUUUUUGGUGGAUUCUUAUCACUAUGGUUUAUCUUUCGGUUCGAUCGUUUUUUUUUUUUGGUAUAAGAUUUUCUGUGUAUUUUUUUUUAUCCUCCUUCAUCUUUUUAAAUUNUGAGAUGGCAACUUUUCACGCUACUAUUGAAGGUCAAUCCAUCGCUCGUCCUCCUUUCUUUAAUGGGAGUAACUACACCUAUUGGAAGGUGCGGAUGCAAAUUUUUCUACAAUCCCUAGAUUUUGAUCUUUGGGACAUUGUAGAAAAUGGCUAUACUAAGCCUACCACGGCAACUAGCACAUGGAAGGCAGAGGACAAAGGUAAAUUUAAUUUAAACUCUAAAGCGAUGAAUGCUCUUCAUUGUGCUCUUGACUCAAACGAGUUCAACUGGAUUUCUACAUGCAAAAGUGCAAAAGAAAUUUGGGAUAAAUUAGCCGUUGUUUACGAGGGGACAAAUCAAGUAAAAGAGUCUAAGAUAAAUAUGCUUACUCGCGAUUAUGAAAUAUUUUGUGUGCAACCAAAUGAAAGUAUUACUGAUAUGUAUACUAGAUUUACCAAUAUUAUUAAUAGUCUAAAGGCUUUGGGAAAAGGCUUUUUCUGAUGCAGAUCUUGUUAGAAAAAUACUCAGAAGUUUUCCUCAAGAUGGACCUUGGGAACCAAAGUUGGCGGCCAUUCAAGAAGCGCGCGACCUCGACAAAUUUUCAUUGGAGGAACUCAUAGGGUCUCUUAUGACUUAUGAGUUACGAUUGAAGAUAGAGCCUUCUAUUCCCAUCAUCCAUACCGAAAUGAAAAAUAUAGCCCUCAACUCUAACGAAGGAGAUAGAAGCGACUCCAACAAUGCCACUGACGACGAGAUCUCACAUCUUACUAGAAAUUUAAAAAAGAUCUUACAAAGAAAACACGGAGCUAAGUGGUUCGACCAAGGUAAUGGUAGAUCUCACUUUUUUAAAAAGAAUGUAAAAUGCUACAAUUGUAAUAAAACAGGACACAUGAGUUAUGAUUGCCAAAACCAAAGUAAGUCUCCCCGAAAGGAGAAAAAAAAGAAUAAAGCCUUCUCUGCCGCUUGGAGUGAUGAUAGCGAUUCCGAUAAAGAGGAAUCAACCAAGGAGGUCUCUAACUUAAGCCUCACCUAUGAUGAUGCACCUUCGAAUUGUUGCUUCAUGACAAACAUAGAAGAUAAGGUAAAUGAUUUAACUUACGAUGAACUUUUAGAAGCUUUUUAUGAUCUUUAUGAUGAUCUCCAAAAAUUUGGUCCCAAACAUGCUUCUUUAAAAAAAAAAAACAUCUGUAAUCUCCAAUUUAAAUUUAUUAAAAUCUGAAAAUGAAAGUUUAAAAACUAAGUUAAAUUUAUUAAAAAAGCAAUUUGAGACCAAAAGUGAUGGCGAAAAUUAUAAAGAUACUAGUUUAUUAAAACUGAAAAUGAAUCUCUAAAGAAGGACUUGAACGAUUCAAGAAACACUUUAGAAAGAUUCAUUGGUAGCACAAAAGUUCUAAAUAUGAUGUUGGAUAAUCAAAGAUCCUAUUUGGAUAAAACUGGACUUGGAUAUCAACACAAGUCUAGUCAAAGAAAAAAUAUUUCUAAGCCAUUUGCAAAAUAUACAAAUAGCAACAAGAAUGUGUUGUGCACCUAUUGUAACAAAAUAGGGCAUCAUGAAACCCAAUGUCAAUUUAAAAAUAAGUUUAAACUUAGACAACUUUGGGUGAUGAAAGUUAUAACACAAGUGGACCCACAUCCAGGGUACCCGUCAUAACUUAAAUUUUUGUAGGUAUGCCUGCACUCAACAAAGUCAAGCGACAAAGGUUACUUGGACAACGGGAGCUCAAGGCACAUGUCGGGCAACCCAACAAAUUUAUCGUCGCUUGAGUAUGAAGAGGGUGGGUGCAUAACUUUUGGAAAUAACUCCAAAGGUCAUAUCAUUGGAAAAGGCAUAAUUGGUAACAAUUAAUUUUCUUUGUAUUUUUGUUGGAUUCUUAUCACUAUGGUUUAUCUUUCGUUUCGAUCAUUUUUUUUUUUUCGGUAUAAGAUUUUCUGUGUAUUUUUUUUAUCCUCCUUCAUCCUUUUAAAUAUUUUUUUUUUAUGAUAACAAAAAAGGGGGAGAAGAAAAGGUUAACUCAAAAUUAUUUUGAAAGAUUUUUUUUGGUUAUUUUGAGGGGGAGUUUAUCUAUUACCUUAUUAUCUUUUCAAAUUGUUUGUCAUCAUCAAAAAGGGGGAGAUUGUUGGAUUUUAUCCAAUAAUAAAUUUUGAUGAUAACAAACAAAUAUUGGAUUUAAUUUGUCAUUUAGCAAUUUCAGGUUAUAGUUGAAUUUAAAGUGGCUCAAGCAGAACCGGAAUUGAUCAAAGGUAACCAUUCAAUCAAAUUGUUCAAAUUGGCCCGGACAAGAUCAAAUUGUACCAAAUUGGAUGCAAAUGCCACAACAAUAAUUUGGAGGACUUCUUUACAAUUUAUCGGAUUUGAGCUGGCCAACCUAGUCAAGUUAACCAACUGGCGUUUUGGGUUUGAUUUGAGCUUAAUGUCAAAUUAGCCAUUAUUUUAAUAUGCUAUGGAAGUGAUUUUAUGUAUGGUAUAAAUUCAAACAUGAUUUUAUUAUGGUAUGAAUUUGAAAAUGUGAAACAUAAUAUAAAUGUAUUUUACAAGUUUGGUAUUAUUUCAAAAGCUUUUACAAAUGUGGAAUGAAUUCAAAAAGUUUUCAUUUGUAGUAUUAAUUUAAAAAGAUUUUACAAAUUUGGUAUAAUUUCAAAUGAGCUUUUCAAUAUAGUAAUAUUUCAAAUGAGUUUUGCAAAUGUAGUAUGAAUUCAAAUUUAUUUUGGAAUUAAUUCAAAUACAUUUGCAAAUAUGGUUAAAAUUAAAAUUGAAAUCAAUUAUGAUUUAAUUAUGCUUUUGUUCCAUUUUUGAAAUGAUGGCUAGUGUAUUUAAAGGGAGGCUUGGAUGUUGUUUGUAUACAAUUUCAGAAAAAUUCUCUAAGUCCUAAUUGUUCAUUGAUUUGUAAUUGUGAGCUUCUUGAAAAAUUGUAAAAGAAGUUUUGUGUGAUUGUAAGCGGCUUUGGUCUUGCCCUGUUCAAAAGGCCAAGUGAUAGUAAAAUCGGUACCUCGAGGAGAAGAAGAACCGGACUGGAGUAGGCAGAAGGGCCGAACCAGGAUAAAUCAUCUGUGUUAUCUGAGUUUGAUUUUCUUCUUUUAUUUGGUUGUGCAAUUUUUAUCUGGAUUUAAUUUUACUUGAGUUUUUAGUUGUCAACUAAUUCACCCCCCCUCUUAGUUGCCAUUUGUUCCUUUAGGAGGGAGUGGAAUGAGAGCAAGAGAGAGGGAGGUGGUCCCCUAUACUCUCUAUUGUAACAAUAUCCCAACAGCCCCCUCCACUUUUGCCUCUGUGCACUGCCCUCACUGGGCAGAAUUCGCGCGGAGAGACCGGUUUCCCGGACCUGGGACCGGUCCCCGAGAGCGGGAUUUUCAGGACUUAGCCAAAUUUCUGGCUUUCUCGCUGGGUUCGCGUUCGGGGACCGGUCUCUCCCUACCAGGGACCGGUUGCAUCAAGAAUCCCUGCAACCCCCAGCCUCGGGGACCGGUCUCUCCCUGCCAGGGACCGGUCCCCGAGAGCAACUUUUGCCCAGUGCAAGUUUUGCACUAUUUGCUCUCAUGGACUCGCCUCUAAGGCACCUUUGGUGAUUAAAACAUCUUCGGCCUUUCCGAAGCUCACCAACACGACCCUUGGUCGAUUUUAAACGAAGUCUAACUCUCGUAUUUCGAUAAUUCACUUCUUUACAUAUAUAUAGAGAAAGAAAGAGAGAGAGAGAGAGAGAGAGAGUAGAUUGUGUGCUAUUAGGGGCAUGGAUUUGAGGAUCCUUAAUUAAGGUGCCAUAGAUGCAUAAUGGCUUUUGAUUUCUACAUACAUGUAGAGAUGAAUCUCUCCUCUUCUGUAAGGACUAAGAUUUUGGUAGUGUAGCUAAACUCUCUGUUGAUGAUGUUUUUGUGUGUAAUUUAAUUACAUAAGCACUCGUUAAGUUUCAGGAGAAAACGAGUUAGGAUGGAGAAGUUACGCGAUCAUUACUAAUCACUUAAAGUGAAUAGUAUCUCCGAUUUUUCGGAGAAGCCAAUGAGUGAAGAUGGCUUCUGGCGCGUAUUGGACUCCGUUUAUAGUGAUCCAAUAGCUCGUUUUCAAUUGUUCGACUAUGCUGGACCCAAUGACACUGACGGAUUUGGAUUUUGAUGCAUGAUUUUCGAGAAAUAGGAGUUUUAUCGAAAAGAGGGUUUUUGUUCUUUGCUGUUCGUGCAUUAUAAAACUCCUUGUGCUCCGUGCAUGUGACCUGGAGUAGGGUGAGGGAUGUUUCGGGUACCUACUAGUGGAAGGGAAUUCAAAUUUGAAUUUGAAUUUAAGGUUUAUUGGGUUUACACAUAUGUUUAUAUGUGGUGUAUGGAAUAAUUGGAGAGAUGAUGGGUUUUGUCGCAAAUCGGCGACCUUAUCGGGCGAAACAAAAUCGUGAGUUUGAUGCCCCGGUCGUGCUGAACGUGCUAGCGCAGUCCGUUUGUAAAUCCGACGGACGGAUCGCCAUAUAUUGCGCAUUAACCGAGGAUGGGUCGAAUUUAUGUUUUUGGUAUUUCGCGUGAAACUCUCUAUAUUUUAUGCGUGAAAUUCCUUGUAUUUCUGAGGGCUAAUGCGUGGGGUUGUCAUACACACGCGGUCUGGAUCACAGCGUGAAUACCACACUUUGGAGGGAGGUACACGCAAAGUUGGCAAGCUUUAAGAUGAUUCUUCAGGGUGAAUACCCUAACCCUAGGCCUAGCAACCUCAGCUGAACCCCUAGCCACCGACCUCUCCUCCUGCUCAUCUCCAUGCAUGCAGCAGCCGCCGCCGCCAACCUGCCGCGGCCUGCCAAAGUGGCCGUGAAGCCUUUCUUCCUCUCCUCCUCUCCACCUUCCUUCACCCCUACCCGAGGUCAAACUGGAUGAGUCUCACCCUCGGGCCCCCUCUCUGUCAGUGGAUGCGACCUCCGGUGACCUCCCUGCCGGUCGCCGCCGUUCCCGCGCACCGCCGUCGCUGUCGUCCUGGUAGCUGGCGACCAAAUCAAACCGUCUCGGGCUGAGACAGAUCCGGCACCUCCGCCGCACACCGCCGUCACUCGGGGCCACCUCGUUCAUUCUUCCCGACCCUCGGCGACCUGCCCCCGCCGGUCACUGUCGUCCCUGCGCACUGCCGUCACCACCUGGGUGACCUGCGGCCAACCUAGAGCUGGUGUGGGCGGAGGGUGUGUCAUCCCCUUGCCUCGUGCGUCGCUGCUGCUUAGGACCGGCCGCGUUGCCUUCCUGCGAACUCCGGCGACACCGAGGCCGUCGGCCGUCGCCCCCGAGGCCGUCGGCCGUCGCUUUUGCUUCCUGUGGCCGCCCAGGCUUUGUGCAGGCCGAGGCAGAGCCACCCUGGCCUCCGCACGCUGCCACCGCCCAACGUCAAAUGCGCCGCCCUCCCUCGGCCCCCGGUGACCGAUCGUCGUUGCCUCAUCGCUCCCCUGGCCGCUGCCCGGUCGCAGUUGCCUUUCAAACCCGAGCCGAGCUGCACGGGUUGGAUCUCCUUCGCUGCGCUACCGGCCUCCUCCCGCCAAUGGCCAGUGCAUGCCCGAGCCCCCUCUGACCGGCCGCGACCUUCCCCUGCUGGAGUGCCCACCGUCCGGCCACUGUUGGCCACCCUCGUGCUCCAGCUUGCUUCGAUAAGGCUGUUGCUAUUUUCUGUGCACUGUUUGGGAUUCCGGUCACCUUUUCGGCCACCCGGAGACACCUCGACACCCCUAGAAGUGAGCACGAUGAUCUUUGAUCUGUGCCGAACAUCGUGCUCACCUCCAUUUGGGUCAACGAGGCCCCUGUGUGCGUAUUAAAUGCAGUUUUGGCACUGUACGUGCGGUUUCGCUGAAGUUACUGUCGCUCGUGUGCUUGCCACAGUGGCCGGCUGUGCUCCGAAGUGUGAGCACGGCCUUUGGCACAUCAAGACCUGAUAGUAGGUGCCCCGGUCAGGCUUGAGGGUUCUCGGUUUGCGCUGUCGGGGUGUAAAACCUCGAAAACUACAUGAAAUAAGGUGAUAUUAUGUUGUCACAGGAGUUUCUUGGCAAUUGUACACUUUGUGGUAGCUGUUAGCAGCGUGUGCAGGCAGUGGGUGACCUCUGGACUGAUUAUCCAAGGCCCCAGGCCUUUGCGGAGAUCGAAAAUUAAUUUUCGGUGCGUUUAUCGGCAAAAUCCGCCGACGGAACUCGUUUUCGGUUCAGAAUUCUCCCGACGGUGCCUCGCGAUAAUUUGUGUCAUUGCUGAGCCUUGUUGGCUGGUCACCCGUGUCGUUUUGAGGGUUCGUAAACGACGGGUGAGCGUUGGUGGGUUCCGGUGUUGAAUUGGACACUUCCGGGAACCCGGAUCGAAAUGAUUAUUCGACGAUAAUCGUUUCAAUGUGAGUUAGUGUAUUUGUUGCCAAAUCACACGAAUUUAUGUGUUUAGUGGCAGCGGGUGACUCGUAGCACGAGUCGGUGAGUUCCGGAAUAGUUCGUGGGUCCCGACGGAGUCCCGGUGCGAUUUCCGGGACUUCCGGCGUGUUACGGCAAUCGGUUUUGAAAAACCGAUUUUCGUAGGGUUAGUGGUUCGUGAUUGUGGGUUGGAUACUAAUCCGGUGGACCCUUUGUAGGUCCGGUUGACUUUCUUCCGCAGCCAGGAGAUCAGUGCUACGUACGUACAGGUGGGUACUUCGACCCGAAGUCGGUACAGUGGUGCACGCUCGGUGACAUUCCUUUCACUUCUUCCUCAUUAUUAUUAUUGCAUAUUAUAUAUUGAGCCUUGCACCCAUGUUGUUUCUGUUAUACCCUACUCGGUUGUUUACAUGUUUAGUAUCAUGAGUAGGAGUAGAGUAGAUUUAUUUACAUGUGAUAUCUAUGACCUAAUUAGUCGGUUCUUGUAUCUCGUAUCCGUGACCUUGUUUGUCGGCUUAUUGCAUUGUUAUCGUGACUUAUUUGGUCGGUUGGAUUAUUUGAUGACCUAUACGGUCGGUAUACCCUGAGAGGUAGGAUUGUCGGCUAGUGGCUGACGGUUACUUCUGGAUCAUACCGAUGUAUGAUGUGACAUCCUUGUGACCUAUUGGUCGGUUCAUGUGUAUAUAGAUGUUAGUUGACAUUGAGUGGUCGAUACUUCUAUAUCUUCGAUAGGAUGUUGAGUUGUUCUAUUCUAGUUGACCUAAGUGGUCGGUACUUGCAUUCCUUACAGUUCAAUGACCUAUUGGUUAAUAUGCCCCGAGGGGCGGUGAUUGUCGGCUAGUUGCCGACGGUUGGCUAUUGAGCAUAUUAGCAUCGAUCGCCACUGCUCGUACGCAUUUCACGAACACCAGCGGUUUGGCCACCACAAGAGGGUGUUCUUUUUCGGAAAAGAAGUUGGGAGUGCCAGCCCGUGAGCCAGGAGCUUUAUGCUAGGGUUAUAUGCUUUCAGGCAUAGGAGCUUUAUGCUAGGGUCAUUUGCCUUUCAGACCCAGGAGCUUAUGCUAGGGUCGUAUACAGGUUGGAGCAGUUCUGGCACAAGCUUGAGGUGUUGCUUACCAAUAUGGCUGUUUCAGAUUGGGUAUUUUUGGACUUGUCGUCCGGUUGAUGCAUACAUACAGUAGCGGUAGUUGUUCAUUUAUACAUAUCUUGUUCGUUUAUUAUUGUUGCUACUGUAUUAUCCUUACCCAUGCUUUUGUUUAUUCUCCGUGACUGGUGAGUACCCCUCGCCCUCGUCGGCUUGCGAUACCCACUGGGAGGGGAGACAUGUGUACAUGUUCUCACCCCCCACCCCCUUUCAGGUGACAUUGCUUGUCCGAGUCGGGACGGUUCGUGAGGCGCGCAUCUUAGCGAUCAAUAGAGCUACCGACCCGUUGUAUUGGUUAAAUUCCUUAACUUGCUUUCUUAAAAUAAUUGACUUAGCUAAUAUGGUUCAGUUGGCUUUUAUUUAUUUGAAUAAAUGUGAUUUCGUGAAUGUAAUAAAGAACUUAUGGUUUUCUAUGUGAUGAAAAUGAUUUUCUACCCCUCGUGGUAGUGAGUUUUAAGGAAAAAUGGUUUCCAUGUGGAAAACGGUUUUUAAAAAGUUUUUCUUGAUUUUCAUGACUUAGCGUUUUAAAACAAGUUUCCGGAUGGGAAAUAUUGUAAACUAAUAGUUGUGGAAUUAUGGAUAAAUUCUGAAUGUGAAUGUGAAUGGUGUAUGAGUGUGUGUAUGUUCAUAUGUGGUGGUUGUAUCAUGUAUUUUGUAUCUUGUACUUGUGCGACGUCAUGCAAAUACAGGGGAGACUCUGUUCGUGUGAAUAGUGGACUCUCUGUAUUUGUGGCGUAUCUGGCAUACCACUAGGGGGUCAGGUUUUUCAAAAAAAAUAAAAAAAAAAUUUGGGCACUUCCGCUUUACUUUUAAAUAACAAAGGGACCCCGGGGCAUGACAUCUCCAGAUUUCUCUCUCGCGUGCGUAUUUCUCUUCGAUCAACUUCUCUACUCUUCAUUGACUAGUGGAUCAUAAAGGAUUGCUAGCACCGUCCAGAUGGUUCGUGACUCAUCCAGUUCGUGAGACGAAUAUCGAUUGGGUAUGGCCGAUUCUGUGUGGAUAUGCGUAGAAGCCGAGCACAUGCGCGGCUAAUCGGAACUUCUAUUCAUCAUAUUCAGUUUCAACCGUACUGUAGAUCAAGAGACCUUAACUGCUCUAUCGCAAGAUUAAUUUUUUUUGCGUACUAACAUGAGAAUGAUCCGCCGACGUUGAUUGAUUUCUUGGAUUUCGGUUUUCAUAUGUGAUAUGCAUUUAGCUUCUAAAAAAUUUUAAAAGUGCAAAACUAUUUUUCGUUGCGUUUUUCCUUUGUGCCGGUAAUUUCUAACAAUAACACCAUGAUAAUAGCAAUAAAGCACACUUACCUUAAUAUCAAUUCUAAAAUUAAAGCAUUGGAUCAAACCCAACGAUUUAGGCCUAUUUCAAUAAAUACUCUAAGUUUAAAACAUUGCGAGCUUAAUGAAAUUUUCAUCAAAUUUAAUAUAAUUUCUAAUUUAGUAGAUGUUAAUCAAAAUAACCAGAUUUGAUAUUUAUUCUGUAGAUUAAGAGAAAAGGUGGGACCCAUUUUUUACCCUAAAAUAUGGAGAGGGCUUGAAUCCCACGGGGAUUAAUAGUAGUUAUAGAUUAUAGAUGGUAGUGUAAAUAUUAGAUAUGCAUGCUAGAGGCAUAUGCUAUGUGAAAUGUAUCUUAUUACUUAUGUAUGGAAUAUGAAUAAAUGCAUACAUGUGAUAAAUGUAGGUUGCAUUCUCUAGAAAUAGUAGAGAACUCAACAUGUGAAUAUAGAGAACCUAGUGUCAUUGAACAUAGGUGGUAGGAUGACCACUUGACAUGAAUAACUCUAAACCUAGAGAGGUUGACACAUAGGGUAGAACAUAUAGACCCUUGACGAGGCCGUGAAAGUGGCGAUUCCACUACUAUGAUUAGGGCAUGAAAUGGAGAUGGCGAUUCCAUUGCCCGGCACCCAAUAAAUGCGGCGAUUCCGCAUGUUGUGGAUUUAUGGCUAAGUGGUGUAGCAAUUCCGUAGCCCAAUGCCAAGAUGAGGGCGGCGAUUCCACCGGUGAUUGACUCAAGAGUGAGUCAGGUGACAUGACUAUAAUGGGGAACCUAGUGAGUAAAUAUACUUUACAUCACACAAGUAGGUUGCAUGAUCAUGAUUGAGGCAUAAGCUUGUUAUUUCCUAUAUGAUUAUAUAUUAAACUAACCCAUGCUUGUGUUUCCUCCUUUGGACCUAGUGGGUCGACCUUUUUGUUAGAAAAUUGCGUAAAAUAAAAAAUGCAACGGAAAAAAAAAUCAAACAAAUUUGAUUUUUAAAAACUCUUGAGAUCCAAUCUCAAAACCACGCAAUUAGGAUCCCUCGGGUUCUUUAAGAUUAAAGGAGAAAAGCAAGAUCCAAUCUUUACCUUUGCGUGGGUAGAUCUUCACCUUAAUUUGAUGAUCGUCGAAUUAGGUUUUCUUGAAACCGCACACGCAUCCGGGCUCUAUAGGUAUCCACACGAGGUUGGUGAUUUGAUCGAUAUCCUCACCGAGGUGCUAGCUCCCUUACAAAGGACGUCCUUCUUGCUAGAAGAUGGAAGAGAGAGGAUAAGAAAAAUGACGGCUAGGGUUUUCUAAUAUACGGGAAAAGGAUAAGAAAAAUGACGGCUAGGGUUUUCUAAAAACUCCCGUAUAUUAUAUAUAGAGAUAUAAUGACGGCUAGGGUUUUCUAAAAACUCCCGUAUAUUAUAUAUAGAGAUAUAAUCCUCUUUUUAAUAAUAUAAUGAUCAUUAAGGAUAAGUACAAAUCUAGAUUUAAAUUUAUCAUUUCCUUAAUUGGUUAGAUCGAUCAAAUCCUAAUUUGAUUCGACUUAAACUUUAUCUUAAUUUGAUCAAAUCAAAUUAAUAAUACAAUAUUUGCACAUAAGUCCUCUCAUAUUUACUAACUAUUAGUAAGUCCUCUCUUGUAACAUUUACACUUUAAUACCACUAAUUUGUGAUAAUUAUAAAUUGUCCAAUUAUCAAUAUAUUGACAAUUAGGUCCUCCGAUGAUUCAAAUAUCGCGAUCUAACUAUCCGAUCAGUCACAACCACUUAUGUGUGUGAUCCCAUGGUUCUAUUCUAUCUGGUAGUGAGAUAUAUUUUGAUCACUACCAACAAUAUCACUGAAACUCCUUUCAAUGGAUCGGAACAAUUCCAACUCAGUCCAAUGAGAAUUAUCGAUUAUCUAGAUAAUUCUUAUGAGUCUCACUGUCACGCCCCGGGACCAAGCGAAAGCCCGCCCGGCGCGUGUCCAGAUCUGCCGUACGUCUAAAACAUAUAAGGCGUCCAAAAUAAAGCGGUAAAUAAAGCAAUAAUACAAGGAGAUCUAGUGAUAUCAGAGCAUUGUACAACUAGUUAGUUCUAUAACAAGGAAAGAACAUAAAACUGAUAAUCCACCAAAUAAGAACAUAAAGUAAGUGCAAUAGGAAUCCCAUAACAAGUGCUAAACAAAGUACAAGGUGGUCUCUCUAUACAUGGUACAAAAUCUCUCCCUCUCUCUAAUACAAAUAAAGAAGGAGUAACCACCUAGCGCAAAAGAACUCUCUCCCGAGCAAGCUAUGCGACACUCUUGCCGCGAUCCCGUGCCUCCGCUGGUGCCGAAGGCUCUGAAAAGGAAACAUAGAAACAGGGGCGUAAGAACUAUUGAAUAAUAGUUCCCAGUGGGCAAUUACUGACUUCAGUGAAAUGCGCCACUAGGCCCAACUACAACAAAAAGGGGGUCAGUGUACAAGUAUAAGCCAAAGCGAUAAAACAACUAGAAAAUAAAUAUGAAUACUAUCCAUCCAUGAUGUCUCUACUUAGCAUGACUUGCAUAAGUAAGAAGGCAACUACUACAAGUAUGUGCACAAGAGUAUCCAACAUGCAAAUGCAUAAGUAUGCAACUAACCCAAUACCCACAAUGUAAAUAGUAAAGGUGUCAUUGUUUACUAUUCUAGUCGAUGUCCACUUGUCACUUUAACUGUUUAAAGUUCAACUCUAAUAAGACCCACCUGAAGGCUGUCUGGCAUAUGACCCACCCGAAGGCUGUCUGGCUUUACCGUGCCUAAUGGCCCCGUGGUAGUCAACAUCCCCACCCUAGGAAUGAGCCUUUCCCACGGCAAUCCACUUCGGCGCCCAAUCCCGCACGGCGAACAUAUCGCGAUGGCCAACUCCGGAGUGCCGGUUUGUAGGGAGCGACCCUCACAAGCAUGUGCGAAUGAGCACAAUGGUAAGCAUGCAUACGAUCCGACACAAAUACCAAGUCCUCAUGAGUAAUACAUGGAAUAUAUAACAUAUCUCAUAGGCCUAUCUCUAUGUCAUCAUGUUGCAGUUUCAUAGUUUACUAGUUUCAAAUGCCUCUUUAUGACACUUUUGUUCAACAAGUCUAAGCAUGAUAAUUAUGUUUAUAAUGCAUAAUUCUAGUCAUUUCCAUUAUACAUAAUGAGUUCCCAACUCGCAACAAGAACCACUCCUCUCAUGCAUGCUACCAACACAUAUAACUCUACUAUAUAGAGUGAAAAUUUUAUGAUACAUAAGGCAUGCAUGUUAAGUGUUCUAAAAUUCUUAUAAAUCAUAAAUAGCAUGGAUUUGCACUUAGAAAUACUUUACGACGAGUAUAGAAAGCAUAGGGGCCAUUUUGCCCCGUGUUCAAGAAGCCAAACCCACCAAAACACUCGCGAUCCUUCGUAAGCUCCGACGAAGGUGUCGACUAGCCUCCUAGCACCCUAGAGAUGUAGGAACAAGGGUCAAACAAACGUAACGAACAACCACAAGGUUGAUCAUUAACCAUCUCAAGCUAGGGUUGGGAAAAACUCACCUCAAGUGAAAAACCCUCUCUUAAUCUUCAAAUGGGAGGUAGAGGUCUUCCAAUCUAACCUAUAUAAAGGUUCCAAACCAUUCCAAUGAGAUCAAGAAGCCUCAAAUCAAGAAUCCCCAAAUCUAACCCUAAAAUCCAAAAUCUAGGGUUUAAACAAGCAAAAAGCCCCAAAACUAAGAUCUAGAGGAAGGAACCUUGCCACUUACCUCUAGGAUGCUCCAAUCCAAGCUCAAAAUCUUCUAGGGUUGAAGAUUGAUCCACCACAAAGCUCCAAAAGCAAGCUCCAAGCCUCCAAAGGUGAGAAAUGAGGAAGAAGAUGGUGCUCCAAGGCCUCCAAGCAAGCUCCUCUCCUCUCCUUCUCCUUCUUCUCCUUCCCUUUCUCUCUCUAGAAGUGUAGGGAGAGUGUGAGGGAGAGAAAAUGAGAGUGAGAGGGGGAAGAGAGGCUGCCUAAAGCCUCUAAGGUAACAAAAUCCACUUAGGCCCCUCAAAAAUCCACUCUGUGCACUGCCCGGUCUGGGCCGCUCACGCGCUGAGGGACCGGUCUCUCCCUGCCAGGGACCGGUCUCUCGGCUCGUCCCGCAAAACCAGCGUUCGGGAACCGGUCUCUCACAGCCAGGGACCGGUUGCCUCAAGCCCUGUCGCAGCACUGUGCUGAGGGGACCGGUCUCUCAUAUCAGGGGUCGGUCCUCGAGAGUGAAAACUCUCAGGACUUGCCAAAACUCUAGAGAUCGAACUUUUAGGCCGGUAUACAUCGACGGCCCUCCACCAAGUGUGGAAAAGUUCGGAAUACAUAUCGAACACUCGAACCUCGCAAUUUGCAAAGGUCCAGUGUGCUACAUUCACCCCUCCUAAAAAGGAGUUUCGUCUGCGAAACUCGAAUGCUAACAUACCUCAAAACUCCGUCUGAAAUAGAUGGGGAUAGCGCUCCUGCAGUGCACUCUUUAGCUCCCACGUGGCCUCCCGCUUCCCGUGGUUGCUCCAAAGAACCUUCACGUACGGAAUAUCCCGGUUCCGCAGUUUCCGCACCUCGCGGGCCAAAAUCUUCGCUGGUUGCUUCUCGAAGCUCAAGUCGUCCCAUAACUCCAUAGGUGUAGCAUCCAACACAUGAGUCCGGUCGAAGACAUACUUCCGAAGGACCGAUACAUGAAAGACGUUGUGCACGCCGGAUAGGUUCGGUGGUAGAGCAAGUCAAUAUGCUACCGGACCUACACGUUCCAAGAUCUCGUACGGUCCAAUGAAACGGGGGCUCAACUUACCUCGAAUCCCAAAUCUCUUAAUCCCUCUAGUCGGCGAGACCUUCAAGAAAAUAUGGUCUCCAACUUGGAACUCCAAGUCUCGCCGUCGUCGAUCGGCGUAGCUCCUCUGUCUACUCUGCAUCGUCAAAAGUCGCUCCCGAGCAAUUCGAACCUUGUCCUCAGCUUCCUGGAGCACGUCGAGGCCUAAUGCCAAUCUCUCGCCGACUUCACUCCAAUAAAGUGGCGAUCUACACUUCCGUCCGUAAAGUGCUUUGAAGGGCGCCAUCUUGAUGCUUGCUUGAUAACUGUUGUUAUAAGCAAAUUCCGCCAUCGGUAGAUGCUGCGACCAUCCUCCUUGGAAGUUUAUUACACAUGCUCGGAGCAUAUCCCCUAAAGUCUGAAUGGUGCGCUCCGACUGCCCAUUACUAUGAGGGUGGAAAGCAGUGCUGAAGUCCAAUCGAGUGCCUAGGGCGUCCUAUAGACUCCUCCAAAAAUGAGACACAAACCUAGUGUCUCGAUUCGAUACUAUCGAUGUAGGCACUCCAUGAAGCCGCACAAUCUCAUCAAGGUACACUUGCGCAAGCUUCUCCCCGGUCCAAGUAGUAUGAAUAGGUAUGAAGUGCGCCGACUUCGUCAACCUAUCCACGAUCACCCAUAUAGCAUCAUGCCCGGCCUGAGAGCGAGGCAAUCCAGUCACAAAAUCCAUGGUGAUCUUCUCCCACUUCCACACGGGUAUAGGCAGACUCUGAAGUUUUCCCGCAGGCAAUCGAUGCUCUGCCUUUACUUGUUGGCAAGUUAGAGAACGAGCUACAAACUCGCCAACUUCCUUUUUCAUUCCGGGCCACCAAUAAAACAACUUCAAGUCCUUGUACAUCUUGGUGCCUUCCGGAUGUAUAGCGUAGGGCGCUCGGUGCGCUUCUUGAAGAAUAUCCUCUUUAAUUCCCGAAUCCGUCGGUACACAAAUCUGUCCACGAAAACGCAUCAAUCCUUGAUCAUCCACAAGGAAGUCGCCGGUGCAACCAUUAACCAUUUUACCUUUAAUCCUUUGCAACUCUACAUCGGAAGCUUUCUUUUCUUUAAUUCGAUCCAAAAGUGUAGGUUGCACCACCAACGUCAUCAACCUCAAAGGCGUGUCAGGAGUCACUACCUCCAACUCCAACCGCUUCAUUUGCUCGAUCAACUGCGGUUGAGUAACAAUAUGCAUCGCUAAGUUUUCAGUUGACUUCCUACUUAGCGCAUCCGCCACCACGUUAGCCUUGUCCGGGUGGUAAAGAAUCGUUAGAUCAUAAUCCUUGAGCAGCUCCAACCAUCUGCGCUGUCUCAAGUUCAACUCCUUCUGAGUAAACAGGUACUUUAAGCUCUUGUGAUCCGUGUACACUUCACACCGCUAGCCAUAAAGAUAGUGGCGCCAUAGCUUCAAUGCGAACACUACGGCCGCUAACUCCAAAUCAUCCGUCGGGUAGUUCCUUUCAUAUUUCUUUAGUUCGAGAAGCAUACGCAAUCACCUUGCCAUCCUGCAUCAACACACAGCCCAAUCCGUUAAGAGAUGCAUCACUGUAAAUCACAUACCCUGCUCCAGUCACCGGCAGGGUUAGGAUCGGGGCGAUCGUCAAUCGUUGCUUCAGCUCUUGGAAGCUUCUCUCACACGCAUCAUUCCAGAUGAACUUAACGCCUUUAUGCGUGAGCCUCGUAAGGGGAGUAGACAACUUAGCAAACCCCUCAACAAAUCUCCGGUAAUAACCGGCCAAUCCAAGGAAGCUCCGUAUCUCCGUGACGCUCGUCGGUCUCGGCCAAUCCUUGAUUGCUUCAAUCUUCUUAGGAUCCACAGCUAUACCCGAUCCUGAUAUCAAAUGUCCAAGGAAGGCUACCUCUCGAAGCCAAAAUUCGCACUUUUUCAGCUUGGCAUAAAGCUCCUUUUUCCGAAGUAUUUGAAGUACAAACCUCAAAUGCUCCUCGUGAUCCGCAUCGCUUCGGGAGUAAACCAAAAUAUCGUCGAUGAACACCACGACAAACCUGUCCAGAUAUGGCUUGAAAACACGGUUCAUCAAAUUCAUAAAAGCUGCCGGGGCAUUAGUAAGCCCAAACGGCAUCACUGUGAACUCAUAGUGUCCAUACCGUGUUCUAAAAGCUGUUUUCGAUACAUCCUCGGGUUUGAUCUUUAACUGGUGGUAUCCCGACUUCAAGUCUAUCUUGGAAUACACACUCGAUCCUUGAAGCUGAUCAAACAAGUCGUCAAUCCUCGGCAACGGAUACUUGUUCUUGAUCGUGACUUUAUUGAGCUCACGAUAGUUCACACAUAGGCGAAGUGAUCCGUCCUUUUUCUUGACGAAUAGAACUGGCGCUUCCCACGGCGAGACGCUUGGUCGAAUGAAGCCCUUGUCCAACAGAUCCUGUAGCUGUGCCCUCAGCUCCUUCAGUUCCGCCGGUGCCAUCCUGUAGGGUGCCUUCGAGAUUGGGGUAGUCCCAGGGACGAGAUCUACCACAAACUCAAUCUCCAUAUCAGGAGGCAUGCCCGGAAGCUCAGCUGGAAACACAUUCUGGAACUCCCGCACCACCGGAAUAUCCUCGAUCCUAGGGGUGUCAUCCUCGCCCCUCAUCACAACACUAGCCAAGUAGGCUACACAUCCUCGGCUGAUCAGCUGCCUAGCUCGAGACGAGCUGAUCGACAUCGCGAAAAGCGAACUCCGGCAUCCUCUAAACACAACCUCAGUCUGCCCCGGUUCUCUAAAGGUAACCGUGCGAUUCUUGCAAUCUAUUGUGGCAUAAUACUUAGUUAGCCAAUCCAUACCCAAGACCACCUCAAAGUCCCCUAGCUUGCGCAGGGCUAGCAAAUCUACGGGCAUGAUCCAAUCUCCUACCCGAACAGGGCAACUAGGGCAAUACUCUCUAAUAUCCAGAGUGUGGUCGGGGACUACGACAUGUCUCGGAUGCAACAAGAAAACCAAAGGGAUGCCAUGCAACUGGGCAAACAGCCGAUCAAUAAAUGAAUGCGAUGCACCGGUAUCAAAUAAAGUACGAACUCUAAUGCCAUCACGUAAAAUGAUACCUGCAACCACAUCCUUGGCUGCUGCUGCCUCCUCGGUCUGAGCAGCAUACAUGCGUCCACUCGGGACCUGCCGAAACCCCUCACUCUGCCGCUGGACGGUUGGCCGCCCAGGCUGGUACUGUGUCGACGGAGUCCCCUGGCUGGCGGCUAGUAGAGCCGGUGCCGAUGCAGUCGACGUUGCUGGUGAAGAACCUCUCGGGCACUCAAUCCGCACGUGGCCCUCCUGACCACACUGGAAGCACCUGCCCGCCCGCUGUGGACACUGCGGUGGGUGAUGAGGACCACCACAGAUCACACACGAGGAGAGCCGGCGUCGGUCAAAUCCUCCUCGCUGCGCUGCUGAGCCGCGUCCUCGCUGCUGGCUUUUAGGAUGCUUCGGCGGCCUCCUAGAGUGCGUCUGGCUCGCACCCUCAGCCCCAGGCCUCUUGGCCUUGCCUUUGUCCAUCGCCUCUCGUCGCUCCUGGACCUCUGCUGCGCCGCUCUCCACUAUGAGCGCGCGAUCCACCACCUCCCGGUAGGUUUGGAGGUUAGAGGAUUGCACAAAUCGGAAGAUCGACGGUCGCAACCCUCGCUGGAAAAUGCGGGCCUUAUCCUCGUCGUCCCGCACGACGAAGGGCACGCAGUGAAGAAGCCGAGAAAACUCCCGCUCGUACUCGGCUACAAUCCGAUCACCUUGGCGCAAGUUGCGCAGAUCCUACUCCAUCUUCCGCUUGACGCUAGUCGGAAAGUAAUGCGCCAAAAGAAGCUCCUUGAACUUCUUCUAUGUGAUAGCUGCCAAAUCAGUGCUGGGGUUCUCCUGGAGAUCCAACCACCAGCGGUAGGCCUCGCCGUCCAAAUGGUGUGUGGCGAGCCAACCUCGAUCCCUUUCCUCCACGAAGGUAUCGCGGAAGAGCUUCUCCAUGUGCAUCAACCACUUUUCCACGAUCCAGUGGUCGACCUUCUCGCCAUCGAAAAUCCUGGAGCUGCACCUCCUGAACUCAUUAAGGCGUUCCAUCAGUCUGUCCCACUCUGCUCCCUCGGCUAACACGGAAAAAAUAGCUCCGAUCGGGGGCGCUUGAACAGGGGGUGCCACCAAACCCUCGCCCUGAGGCGCGCGCCGCAUGCGAAGAACUGGGCGCGGGGGAUGGCGCUCUCGGAGCGACGUCCACAACUGGUGCUUGCGGUGUAGGGGCCUGAGUCUCCCUAGAAGCUGCUGCCUGCUGCAGUAAAAGGUCCUCCAGGCGCUUCAUCCGCGCCUCCUGUCGGAGCGCCGCUUCAGUCUGCUGUCGGGCUACCUCCACCUGCUGAGUGACUAAAUCAGUGAGGGCCGCAAGCUGGCCCCUCAACUCACGGACCUCGCUGGAUCCGGAGGUAGCGGAGGUCUCGACCUCCUCAAAGUUUGCCACAUUAUCUGCCCCGGCAGAUUGGGAGCGUGUGAUCGGCAUCGCACUACAACAUCAUAAAAGCGUAAGUUAGCAAAAACCCACGUUAUCGCAUCCCCGCUCAAAGAUAAAACCCAAAUCAGGCGAAACUAAGGAAGUGUGCUUCACUACUAACUCCCGACGUUAUGUUGUCGGCCGCCAACGUAACCCUCUGCGAAGUUAGAAGCUAUACACUUCAAUUCAACUCUAACUUUUUAGAGUUAUCAAGAUAACCAAUCAAGGUACUUUCGCUCACAAAUCAAAUAGACCUCGUCUCUCACGAGCCUAUUUCCAAUAGUCCAACCGGUCUAAGGUUUGCUAGAUCCCCUAAGACUCAACCCUAGGCUCUGAUACCAAACUAAUCUGUCACGCCCCGGGACCCAGCGGAAGCCCGCCCGGCGCGUGUCCAGAUCCGACGUACGUCUAAAACAUACAAGGCGUCCAAAAUAAAGCAGUAAAUAAAGCAAUAAUACAAGGAGAUCUAGUGAUAUCAGAGCAUUGUACAACUAGUUCUUUAACAAGGAAAGAACAUAAAACUGAUAAUCCACCAAAUAAGAACAUAAAGUAAGUGCAAUAGAAAUCCCAUAACAAGUGCUAAACAAAGUACAAAGGGGUCAGUGUACAAGUAUAAGCCAAAGCGAUAAAACAACUAGGAAAUAAAUAUGAAUACUAUCCAUCGAUGAUGUCUCUACUUAGCAUGACUUGCAUAAGUAAGAAGGCAACUACUACAAGUAUGUGCACAAGAGUAUCCAACAUGCAAAUGCAUAAGUAUGCAACUAACCCAAUACCCACAAUGUAAAUAGUAAAGGUGUCAUUGUUUACUAUUCUAGUCAAUGUCCACUUGUCACUUUAACUGUUAAAGUUCAACUCUGAUAAGACCCACCCGAAGACUGUCUGGCAUAAGACCCACCCGAAGGCUGUCUGGCUUUACCGUGCCUAAUGGCCCCGUGGUAGUCAACAUCCCCACCCUAGGAAUGAGCCUUUCCCACGGCAAUCCACUUCGGCGCCCAAUCCCGCACGGCGAACAUAUCGCGAUGGCCAACUCCGGAGUGCCGGCUUGUAGGGAGCGACCCUCACAAGCAUGUGCGAAUGAGCACAAUGGCAAGCAUGCAUACGAUCCGUCACAAGUACCAAGUCCUCAUGAGUAAUACAUGGAAUAUAUCACAUAUCUCAUAGGCCUAUCUCUAUGUCAUCAUGUUGCAGUUUCAUAGUUUACUAGUUUCAAAUGCCUCUUUAUGACACUUUUGUUCAACAAGUCUAAGCAUGAUAAUUAUGUUUAUAAUGCAUAAUUCUAGUCAUUUCCAUUAUACAUAAUGAGUUCCCAACUCGCAACAAGAACCACUCCUCUCAUGCAUGCUACCAACACAUAUAACUCUACUAUAUAGAGUGAAAAUUUUAUGAUACAUAAGGCAUGCAUGUUAAGUGUUCUAAAAUUCUUAUAAAUCAUAAAUAGCAUGGAUUUGCACUUAGAAAUACUUUACGACGAGUAUAGAAAGCAUAGGGGCCAUUUUGCCCCGUGUUCAAGAAGCCAAACCCACCAAAACACUCGCGAUCCUUCGUAAGCUCCGACGAAGGUGUCGACUAGCCUCCUAGCACCCUAGAGAUGUAGGAACAAGGGUCAAACAAACGUAACGAACAACCACAAGGUUGAUCAUUAACCAUCUCAAGCUAGGGUUGGGAAAAACUCACCUCAAGUGAAAAACCCUCUCUUAAUCUUCAAAUGGGAGGUAGAGGUCUUCCAAUCUAACCUAUAUAAAGGUUCCAAACCAUUCCAAUGAGAUCAAGAAGCCUCAAAUCAAGAAUCCCCAAAUCUAACCCUAAAAUCCAAAAUCUAGGGUUUAAACAAGCAAAAAGCCCCAAAACUAAGAUCUAGAGGAAGGAACCUUGCCACUUACCUCUAGGAUGCUCCAAUCCAAGCUCAAAAUCUUCUAGGGUUGAAGAUUGAUCCACCACAAAGCUCCAAAAGCAAGCUCCAAGCCUCCAAAGGUGAGAAAUGAGGAAGAAGAUGGUGCUCCAAGGCCUCCAAGCAAGCUCCUCUCCUCUCCUUCUCCUUCUUCUCCUUCCCUUUCUCUCUCUAGAAGUGUAGGGAGAGUGUGAGGGAGAGAAAAUGAGAGUGAGAGGGGGAAGAGAGGCUGCCUAAAGCCUCUAAGGUAACAAAAUCCACUUAGGCCCCUCAAAAAUCCACUCUGUGCACUGCCCGGUCUGGGCCGCUCACGCGCUGAGGGACCGGUCUCUCCCUGCCAGGGACCGGUCUCUCGGCUCGUCCCGCAAAACCAGCGUUCGGGAACCGGUCUCUCACAGCCAGGGACCGGUUGCCUCAAGCCCUGUCGCAACACUGUGAUGAGGGGACCGGUCUCUCAUAUCAGGGACCGGUCACCGAGAGUGAAAACUCUCAGGACUUGCCAAAACUCUAGAGAUCGAACUUUUAGGCCGGUAUACAUCGACGGCCCUCCACCAAGUGUGGAAAAGUUCGGAAUACAUAUCGAACACUCGAACCUCGCAAUUUACAAAGGUCCAGUGUGCUACACUCACAAUCCACUAGUGACGCCUAGCAACAUGUAGUGGCAUUCCAGUAGAAUGGAAUACUGAACCUCUUGGUGCAGUUACUUCUUCUGGAUAAGUCAAUUAGGUAUCUGUUUGUUCCCUUUCUUCUAGUUGGUAAUUUGUUGGUCUUAGAUUGGUGAGUCUAAUCAGUAAGUAGAACUUCUUGUGAACUUUAUUUUAUUUUUAAUCUCUUUAUUAAUUUUCUAGAUUUAUGUACAUACAUUUUAUCAGUUGAUGUAUCAUUUUAUUUUAAAUUUUUUGUGAUAUAAAUAUUUCAUAUUGUGGUCUUACUCUUUGAUAUAUUUCUUUCGUUGUUCUUAAUAUUCUUGUACCUCCAGCUCUGUAUCUAUAAACUAAGAUUUUUUACUAAGGAGAAUAUGAUCCUGAAAUAGUUUUGUGAUUUUGUCAUUCUGAAUAAAACCUGUAUUCAUUUACAUUAAACCUUAAGCAAAAUAUUCCAUAUAGCUAGGGCCCUGUCAAUAGAUUCUAGGAAGCAAUGUAUUAAGGUGUGGUGUGGUUUAUGCUGUGCGAUUGCUGAAUAUGAUGCAUGUCUAGUGCUUAGUUGAGUUAAAAACUUAAAAGAUCAAUUGUCACCUCAAUAAAGGUAGGCUGAUGAACAAUGAUAGGACUUGCUAUGUUCCAUUAAGAAAUCUUGUACCUAAAAUGAUUGUUAACAUUAUUUAAUUGUAUAAUCAGGACAUUGAAAUUAGUAUUGAAUGUUUUUACCUGUUAUUCCAAGGAUUCAUAUGUAUGCAGACAAUGCAGCCACUACUUACAAUGUUAAAUGUGUUCUCAACAGUCAACGCUAGUGUUCUUUCGAAUUUGAAGUCAAAAUUCUUGCAUAUUUUCUCUCUAUUAUUUAGCAAGUUCAAACCGUGGGUUGUUAAUAUCUAUUCCAUUGGAUAACUGUGUAGAUUUCUAAAGGACUUGGAAGAGCUACAAAGAAUACACCGAACGACCAAUGCAUCAAGUUAACCCUUCAUCAUGCAAUCAUGAAAGGGGAAUGAAUUGAUACGUAGAGGGUUUAAAACAAUACAUGGGAAGGAGCCCUUUUUUGUAAUUUUGUUCAUAUGGGCAUUUCGUACGCUAUGGUAUGAGUUUGCAUAGAUUUUUAAUUAGGUAAUUUUUUUGUGUGUGAAUGGAUUGUUAUUUCAUGAACAAUUUUAUUGUGUAGGUAUAGUACAUUCGCUAUGGAUGUAACUCAUAUUUUUCAGUAUUAAUCAUAGUAAGUUAUUAUGAUCAACUUUAUAGAUAUGUAAAUAUAUAAAUUAUUUUUUUUAUUAAUAUGUUGAAAUAUUUGUUGGGUGCAAUAAAAAUUUGAAAAAAAUAAUUAGAAAAAAAUAAAUUUAUGAUGUUUCAAAGUGUCAGGAAUUUUGAAGAGUCGGGAAAUUAAGAACAAUAACCGGACGCUUCAAAGCGUCAAGAAUUCCUGACGCUUCAAAGCGUCGAGAAAUUGAGAGAAUUACUGACGCUUGAAAACGUCAGAAAUCGUGUAAUAGGAUGAUGGUUAAAGAUUUUCAACAUAAUGACGCUCAGAAGCGUCAAGAAUUUAUUUUAUUUUCUUGACGCUUAUUAGUGUCAGAACAUUUUAUUCUACGACGCUUGUAAGCGUUGAAAAAUAUUUUACCGACGCUUGGUUAAAGCGUCGGUAAAUACGUGACGACUCUUCAUUUGUUGACGCUUUUACCGACAUUUUGUAAUGCGUCGGUAGAUUUUUUAGGGACAUUUAAAAGCGUCUCUAGCUGUCACGCCCCGGGACCCAGCGGAAGCCCGCCCAGCACGUGCCCAAACCCGCCAUAUGUCUAAAAACAUAUAAGGCGUCUACUAACAACAAUAAUAAAAGCAAUAACAGAAGACAUCUAGAAGUAUCAGAGCAUAGUAAGUGUCUAAAUGCUACAACAAGGGAUAAAACAGUAAAUUCACUAAAUAAGACAUAAAGUAAAUACAAUAGGAAAUUCCAAAUACAAGUGCUAAAAGUAGGUACAUAGGUGGUCUCUACACAUGGAUACAAAAUCUCUCACUCUCCCAACUACAAAAGAAAGAGCAAACCACCUAGGCAAAGAACCGCUCCUCGCUAGCUAGCUAAGCGAUCCCCUUGCCGCGAUCCCGUGCCUCCGCCGGUGCCGAAGGCUCUGAAAAGAAAACCAGAAAACAGGGGCGUGAGAACUAUUAAAAAUAGUUCCCAGUGGGCAAUUACUGACUUCAGUGAACUGCGCCACAAGGCCCAAAAGCUACAAGAAGAGGUCAGUGACUAACAAUGUAAUAAUAAAAAGGUAAGCAUAAAGUGACUUACUAUAACAUAGAGUCUCCACUUAGCAUGAUUGGCAUAAGUAAUAAAGCAACUAUAUCAUGAAUGUACAUGGAUGGGUAUGACAUGCAUAAGCGUAGGAAUGCAACCAAUCCAAUGUUCUCAAUGCAAAAUAGUAGGGAUGUCAUUGUUUACUAUUCUAGUCCAAGUCCACUUUAAUAGUUUUAAAGUUCACAAAGCACGUUCCGUCACUAAGUCCCAAUCAUAUAAGACCCACCCGAAGGCUGUCUGGCCUGCGCCGUGCCUAAUGGCCCCGUGGUAGUCAACAUCCCCACUCUAGGGAUGAGCCUCCCCCACGGCAAUCCACUUCGGCGCCCAAUCCCGCACGGCGAGCAUGUGUCGCGAUGGCUAUCUCCGGAGUGCCGGCUUGUAGGGAGCGACCCUCACAAGCAUGUGCGAAUGAGCACAAAUGGCAAGCAAGCAAUGAUCCGUCUCAAGAGCCAAGUCCUCAUGUCUAACAACAUGGAAUAUAUCAAGUAUCUCAAUGGCCUAUCUCUAUGUCAUCAUGUCUCUAACAUGGAAUGUAGCAGAUAUAUAGUGGCCUAUCAACAUGUCCCUAGGUUGCAGUUUAAUAGUUUACUAGUUUCAAGUGCCCCUUGAUGACACUUUGGUUCAACGAGUUCCAAGCAUGGCAUUAAUAUGUUCAUGACGCUUAAAUUCACUCAACUCUAGCAUGGAGACAUGUUCUCAACUUGUAAAACCAAGCACUAUUCACAAUGCAUGCAAUCUACACAUAUAGCUCUACUAUAUGGAGUACAAAUUUUACGAUAUAUGAGGCAUGCAUAUUAAGUGUUCUAAAAUUCACAUGAGUCAUAUUUAGCAUGAAUUUGCAUUCAAAAAUAUUUUACAAAAGUUUAGAAGACAUAGGGGCCAUUUUGCCCUAUUUCCAUGAAGUCAAACCCACCAAAAUCAACUUCUUCGUUUCGCCGAACGAAGGUAUCCACAAGCUCCCUAGUACCCUAGAAACAUCAAAAAUAGGGUCACCCAAACGAAACGAAGAGCAAAUAGCUCAAUCAUUAAGCUCCUCAAGCUAGGGUUGGAGAAAACUUACCGAUUGCGAAGAAGGCUCUCACGAUCUCCAAAUGGGAGUUAGAGUCCUUCCAAUCUAACCUAAACAAAGGUUCUAAACCCAUCAAUUUGGUUCCAAAGCCCCCAAAUUCAAAAACCCCCAAAAUAAACCCUAAAUCCCAAAAUCUAGGGUUUCAUCUAGUAAAACCUAGGAAAGCAUGUAACAAAUGGGGAUUACAAGCUACCAACCUCAAGAGAAGCCCCAAUCCAAGCUCAAAACCAAGUAGGGUUGAAGUUUGAUCCUCCACAAAGCUCCAACCGCAAGCUCCAAGCCUCCAAAGGUGGGAAAUGAGGAAGAAGAUGGUGCUCCAAGGCCUCCAAGCAAGCUCUUCUCCUCUCCUUCUCCUUCUUCUCCUUCCCUUUCUCUCUCUAGAAGUGUAGGAAGAGUGUGAGGGAGAGAAAAUGAGAGUGAGAGGGGAGGAGAGGCUGCUUAUAGCCUCUAAAGUAACAAAAUCCACAUAGGCCCCUCAAAAACUCAAAUUUACAUCAGCCCGGUCUGGGCAGUUUUCGCCCAGAGGGACCGGUCUCCCCGACCUGGGACCGGUCUCUCAGCCUGCCCCCGAAGAUCCAACGUUCGGGAAUCGGUCUUUCCCUGCGCGGGACCGGUCUCUCCCCGCGCAGACGCGCUCGGGGACCGGUCUCGACUGCCAGGGACCGGCUGCCUUGCCGGCCACGCAGCACUGUUCACUGGGGGACCGGUCUCUCCUAUCAGGGACCGGUCCCCGAGAGUAAAAACUCUCAGGACUCUGCCAAAACUCUCGAGAUCGAACUUUUAGACCGGUAUACCAUCGACGGCCCUCCACCAAGUGUGGAAAAGUUCGAAAUACAAAUCGAACACUCAAACCUCGCAAUUUGCACAAGUCCAGUGUGUUACACUAGCUGUUCAUAAAAAGGUCCUUAAAUAUCAUAUUUUUUGUAGUGAGGACAAAGGACUAGUCACACUACUACAACAUUGAGUAAGUCGCUGACGAGUGAGUAGACAUCCAAGUGACUUUUCGCAUUGGUCACGCUUAGUACCCUUUGUCACGCCCCAAGACCGCUACCAAUUUGGUCCGGUUCGGGUGCGUCGAACAGACGCCGAACGGACAGCACCUUCCUUGUCCGCCCAAGGCCAAACAACCAGAUCGUGUAUAAGAAUUUGCCUAGAAAUAGAAAUUCUAUACAUACACAAUCAACGAAGGGCAUAACAAGUGCCAACAACUAAGAGCAAGAGUCACGAGUGCAUACAAGUGAACAAAAGAGAGAUUUACUAGCUAUUACACCACAUUGCAUUCAGUUACAUCAUUUUACAUUUACAUCUUUCCAAAAUGAAUACCAUUGCUACUAGGUCAUCAGCAAAAUACAUACAUAGCUCUCCAAUCCUCACCUACAUAAGUCUCUCAAUACAUAGGGUAAUGCUAAUGCAAAAAGGAAAGCUACUAUGUACUACCGCUCAGGCGCGAUGCCCUUGCCGCGGUUCUCGCCGGCGUACUCGUACUAGGCCCUGCAACAAAGUGGGGUGAGAACUAUUAUCCAUAGUUCCCAGUGGGUUCGGCCGCCGACUCCGCCGAUCUUCCCAUUAGGUCCGAAUGGACAAAAGCAGAUAGAUAGAUAGAUAGAUAGAUAGAAAAACUGUAACUAACAUAGUAAGAAAACUAUGCUACUAUAACCAAUCAUAAGUAAUGUAUGCAUGUAUCAUAUAGUAAAUGGUUUACUAACAUGCCACUAUAUCCACUACUAUGUCCAAUAAGNACUAGAUGCCACUCGUUCUCGGUUCAUUGUUAACUAGAUGCCACUCGUCCUCAUUACACUAGUUUACAAUAUGCUAGGUUCUUAUUCACACAGACAUGCUCAUCAUAUAUAGGGUUAACUAUCCACAGUGUUCAACGCAUGCAUACUAGUUCUCAUUCACUAUAUCUGCGAAUUCAACUAACACUAGUAUGCGAUAAUAUGUAACAACUGCAUAUAAAACCCUAUAAUGCUAUAUCACAAUAUGCAAUUGAUCGACGAUAGAACUCAGACAUAGAAAGCAGUUCAACUGCUUCGGUAUGGCACUCUCCCACCUCGUGGCGAUGUCGUGACUCUUCGAAUGUGAUUCACCGACUUUUCGACGUCUCGUUCGCCUUCUAGGCGGGAACGAAGCUCUGAGGGUCUCCUUUGACAAUAACUUCGCACCCACUCGACGGAUUGACAAACCGUUUUCGCCGACACGUUCAGGGACCUAGCAAUUAGGUUUGCGACCCCUCAAAUUAGAUCAAAACCCUAGCAUUGCCAAAAUCCUAAUUCUGAGCCCUAGGUCUCAAUACUGGAGAAAUCCGUGGUGCGAGCUUCAAUUUCAAGCUCGAACCUUCUCCCUAGCUUCAAUAGGUUCCAUUCGAACUAUUUCUAAACCAUAAAACCCUAACCCAAGAAAUCCACCAUGGUAGGGUUAGAAGCUUACCUUCAAAAGCUUAGCCCAAUGAGAGGAAGAAGAUGAGGAAGACGAUCCUCACCCUUGUCUUCUUCUUCUCUUACUUCAUCUCCUUCCUCUCCUCUUCUUUCUUUUCCUUUCUCUUCCUUUCCUUCUUCUUCUCCUUCUUUUUCUUUCUAGAAAGAGAGAGAGCAAAAGGGUAUGAGAGGGAGAGAGCAACUGAGAGAGAGAGAGUGUAACACACUGGACCUUUGCAAAUUGCGAGGUUCGAGUGUUUGGAUGUGUUUCGAGCUUUUCCACACUUGGUGGAGGGUCGUAGAAUGUUUUCCGACCUAAAAAGUUCGAAAACUAGAAUUCUGGAUAAGUCCUGAGAGUUUUUACUCUCGGGGACCGGUCCCUGGAAGGAGAGACCGGUCCCCCAAUGAGCAGUGUUGCGGCAGCCCUGAGGCAACCGGUCCCUGGCGGGCGAGACCGGUCCCCGAGCGCUCCUUCGCAGAGAGAGACCGGUCCCGUGCACGGAGAGACCGGUUACCGAACGUUGGUUUUUCGGGUUCGCAGCGAGAGACCGGUCCCUACUGGGGAGAGACCGGUCCCUCUGGGUGAAAACUGCCGAGACCGGGCUGAUGCAAUAUCGGAUUUUUGAGGGGCCUCUCCGGAUUUUGUUACACUAGAUGGGCUUAUUAGCCAUUUCCUCCUCUUCCCUCUCUCAUUUUCUCAUUCUCACCCUCUCCCUACACAGAGAAGAGAUAAACUCAACCACGUAUCGAUUUUCCAUUUCCAAUUGAAGGACCUACCAAAGUCAUGUCCAGCUGUGCCUAAAUGCCUGGGUGACCCGACAUUCCUACUCUUGGGAAAUGUGUCUGUCCACUCGACGCCCGUAGGUGUCUCCUAAUACCGCACGAGCGAACAAAAGCGCGUGGCUAACUCCGGAGUGCGCUUGUAGGAGCGACCCUCACAAACAUGUGCGAAUGAUGACAAAUGGCAACAACAAGUCAACUGUCUCAAAUACUUCUAUCCCGCAUGUCUUCUAACAUGGCAAGGUCGACUAGCAUCCCAAAGGAUCUAGCCAAUGUCUCUAAGUGAUGUCCAACCUCACUGCUUAGUCUCUUUAUGACACUUAAGCAUCACACUCGAUCAAGUCAAUUCUUGUCUAUGUUUCCAUUAAUACGAUCAAUACCAAUGAUUACACACCCGGCCCAAGUGCCGCUUUAUGGCAUGUGUCCAAUUCUCAAUAGUCCAGUUCUCAAACCUCCUCUAGGCCUUUCUAACAUUCUAAUGAUCACAAUUGGCAUAUAGGUUAAAUGCAUUGAAAGCAAUAGGUUCAUUUAAUAAGAAGGAUCAUGCUUUCCCAAUCAUAAAUAGAUAUCUAACAGUACCCAUGCAUGCACUCUUACCGACAUCAGGGGUCUACGAAAUUUCACCUAUACAUAAUAUAUGCCCAUGUUAGCAUUCUAAAAUUCAUAUUAAAUACAUUUAACAAGAAAUGAUGAGUUUCUAUUUUACGAAACAGUAUUUUGCCAAAUAUUGAGCCAUUUCUCGAUAUCACAGGCUAGGUCGAAGCCCACCGAACCGUCUCGCUUGCUCCUCGAUUCGCUAGAACGAGUUGUCCACCGAGUCUCAGAAUACCUAAAAGUGAUAAUCAGUCGUAAGAGAUACAGAGGGCAUUACGACCAAAACGUAAGAUUCAAACAGUUAACCUAGGAGCAAAAGGCGUAAACUACCUCAACCGAGAGAAAUCUCUUCCAAAGCUCACAAAAGAGCUAGCACCCUUCAAUCAAGCCCAAGGAACGUUUAAACCACUAAUUUAGGUCCAAAGCGCCAGAUCAAAAAUGCCCAAAAUCAACCUAAAUAUCAUUUCUAGGGUUUCAAAAUGGUAAAAACCUACCAAAAUCAGGAUAAAGGUAGAAUCCAAGUACUAACCUCCCAAGAUGCCUCCAAACCAAGCUCGAAUUUUCUAGGGUUGAAGAUUGUCCACCACUAAGCCCUACAAAGCAAGCUCAAGCCUUGCAAGGAAGGGGAAAGAGAGAAAGGGGUUGAUGCUCAAAGCUCCCUCAAGCUAAGUCCUCUUCUUCUUUCCUCUCCUUCUUCUUCUUCUUCUUCAUUUCUCUCUAGAAAUNNNNNNNNNNNNNNNNNNNNNNNNNNNNNNNNNNNNNNNNNNNNNNNNNNNNNNNNNNNNNNNNNNNNNNNNNNNNNNNNNNNNNNNNNNNNNNNNNNNNAGAUACAAAAAAGGGCGAAACAGUAGGAACGUAAUUCAUAUAGGCCUUGCUAACCACAUAGAAAACCCAAAAUAUAUCAAGUUUGUGUGCAAGGCCGCAAAAACCAGGUGGCAGAUUAAAGAUAUUUAUCUAGUUAGGAGGGAAGGAGGGUGCGUCAGGCUUGUUUCCAGCGGCCAGCUAUUGCAUGACCACUUGACGGUCAAUCCACAUAUACAAAAUAUCUCCACUCAUAGACAUGAACAUUGACCUAUUGCGCUCAUCCUUGAAAGCGUCACAUGCAGAGAGGAUAGCUUCAAGAGAUAGACCGGGAAUGUUAUUUAGUCUUACCAUACACUCCUCUAUGGAGUGAAGUUUUGGACAAGCGUCAAUCUCACGCUGUAGCAAUCGCUCAGCUAUGUUCAAUCUUUUUUUGCCAAGCUCAACCAACUCUUGCAUACAAUCAGAGUUGUUUUCAAUUUUUCCCUUACGGGUUGAUGUCAGUGUAGUCUUACGUGACGGAGGUGAGGAACGACGUCUCUUACCAGAAGAAGUAUGAGCAGAAGCACUAGUAACGUGCGGAUUUCCACUCUUAACUGGGGUUGGAGUGGGAGAAUAUGAAGUUGCAUCAUUGAUGCCAUCUUCAUUUUGUGGCGACAUUGCCAUGGGUAAUUGGUGGCUACCAGAAGUUUGCCCAUGUCCUGAAGGACCGGCCAUGGAUUUUCUGAUUUGCUCUAAAAUGGCGGUUGUGCCCGGGGAUGAUGAUGACAUGCUACGAACAUCCUCACUUUGCAUUCCAGUCGUAAAUCCAUGCCUACCCGUAGCAGUGGUCUUUCCAGAUAAGAACUCAAUGUCCUUAUAUGCAGGGAACGGUUUGUCCCUACACUUAGCAUAAGCUGAAUUUUCUUGUAACAAUAUAAAACACAAUGGUCAACUGAGAAAACUAUAAUUAUAUAAAAAUUAAAAUUUCAAGAUAAUUGGUUCAACAACAUACCGCUACCACUACAUCCCAAUCACUUGGGUCGCCGGCUGUUGGAAUGUUGCGAUCAUAAUCCCAACCCCAUCCACUCUUAUUAGCUAAUGUUUGAUACAUGACGAAUUGUCGCUUCAACACUUUUAGUCGAUUUUGUAAAUGGCUUUUAACAAAGUUUGCUUUUGUUCGCAGGUUGAAAUCAUGAAUUAUUCUUCCCCAAGCAAGUGGAGUAAAACUUCCAUUGACGAAAUUUCCAAGAACAUGUUCUUCUGUCAUCAAGUUCAACAUUGCCGAAUCCAUGACCUUUGUCCAAUUUCCAGAGCGUACUCUGGGUUUCGAGAUUUCCUGACUGUGGCUUUGGAGGCUUUGGCUAUCAGUUGAGGUGACAUCAAUAACGUUUAUGUUUUGUCUUACAAAACGAUGAACUUGUCUAUUUUGAGGUAGCAUCUGAAGUUAAUCAACAUAUAAAUAAAUAAAUAAAUUAACAAGUCGUCGUGAAGUACAGCUUAUAGUAAGUUAACAUGGCUUAGAAGAAAGGGGAUAAUGAUGAUCAUGGUGGCUGCAAUGCGAAAAACAUGCCACCCAACCAUGAAGUUCUAGUUUCUUACCCAUGCAUCAUCGUCUCAUUUUAUGUCAAAUAAGGCAUCCAACAAGGCAACAGAGAAAGCACCACCAUUUCACAAUACCUCCAAGAUCAUAUGCAUUGAGUACAUGUUCAUCAGCAGAUACUGAUAAUUCCCAGUGUUCAGCUAUAUAUAGAACAUGGUUAUUCCAGUUUUUUAACUGUGUAGAAUUGAUGGCAGCAUAUCUUUAUUUUUGUCCUGCUAUUUAUGAACCUAUAUUAUUGCACUUUGAAUAGACCCAUACAAAUGAUGGCCUAUCCAGAGAGCCUAAAUAAAAUGCAAUAGGAAGACAAAGAAACAUAAUAUAAAUAGCAUGCAAAAUUAUAUAAAACAACAACCUUGUCUUUCAACAAUAUUAUUUACUAUUAUUUAAAGUAGGCACAUUAUAUUACAGAAAUUAAGCAAAAUCUGAUGGUUUACCUAAAAAUCUAAUUAUUUAAAAUCAACUAUUAUGAACUUUUCAGCAUAAUAGUUGUAAAAAAUGAAUAAGAAAUAAAGUAAUAAGACGAAUCUAGUAGAAACUAAGAGAAAAGCAAGACGUAAGAGUAGAUGAAUUUUCGGCCAUAAUUAAUACACUCAAACUGAAGCUUUACAAUUGAAAUAAAAUAAUAAUAGGAAUCAACACAUAAAUAUAAAUGGAGCAAUCACUCAGCAUGAAUGAAUCGUCCUAUGUAUUGAAUUGGUAGCUGCAUAGGACUAAUCCCAUAUGCCUCCAAACCACAAUACAUCUGAAUUCAAAAAUGCUUCACUGCUUGUUAAUAGGAUACAUCUCGUUCCCAUUCAAGGCCCAGCAUUAUCAAAGUUAGGCCACAAGUUACAUCAAACUAGUUAAAAAAAAACCCACCUUUGUAAGAUCAAGGAGCGCAAAUACGAUUAACUAUUCAGAUGAGCACAAUGAAGGGUAGAGUUUCCUCAACCACAGAAUUUUUGAGGGGUUUGCAUCUUACCCUGGUGCAUACUAUUUAUAGGGAAGAAGUCAGGACUUACUAUGUUAGGUAGGAGAAAAUAAGUGUAGUUAAUGGAGACGACUCGACAACUCGAACUAACAGCAAGAUCGGAGAAGAUAUCUUUCUGUUGUGCAGCCGAGAGAGAUUGCCUUAAUUAAUGGCCGAUCUACGCAGGGAACCGAGCUUUUGAAAACAAUAGAUGCGUAGGAGACAUUGCUUCAGGAGUAAAAGCAAACCACUCCAAUAAAUAGGGUUUUGGGGGCAGUGAAGAAGACGAUAAAUAGGGUCUUUGGGGCGGUGAAGAAGAUGACGCUAUCUUUGGUAGGCGCGAGGCAGUAAAAAGGAAAAAGAAAGAAAUGUUCGCCUGGGGAAAAGAAGAAGAGUAGGGAGAGGGGUAUAGAUAGGUGCGAGGAAAAAGUAAAGAAGAUUCACAAGAGGAAGAAGACGACGCAGCUUCUCGAGAAAAAGAUGAAGACGAAGAUGGGACAGGUGCAAGAGUAAAGGGGCGAUACGAACGAGGCAAAGCAGCAAAAUAAAAUAGAAUUUCCCAUCCCUGCCCCUGGGACAAAAUCUAAUUCCAGGGGUGGGGGGGAAUUAAUCUUAACGGGUUAUUCCAGUUUUUUCUGGAAUAACCCGCUUUGACCGGUAUAAGCUAUUCCUAUCUUUUUUUCUUUUGUUUGGUAGAAUAUAUAGGAUAAAAUACUUUAUCCUCUGGUUAUUCUAUUACCAAACAUAGCCUAAGGGUAUUGGACAAGAACAAUGUAGAACAUGACAUGAACAAUAGGUAAGAACCUAUAAAGACAUCGGCAUUAUGACUUGUACUAUGUAUCCUCAACUUGAGGAUUGGAUCGAGGCUUACGUGGACUUAGGCUUGAGGGAGGUCGCUCCUCCUCAAGCGGUGUACUUCGAAGUGUAGACACCAACGGGGAAGUACCCCGUCAACGAUCCCUCGGGUGGUUGUACUUAAAGCCUCCCCCGGUAGACGAGAGAUGAAUUGUGAGCUAUUAGGGUUAACAAAGUUAACCGGUAAGAUUGGGUACAGAAAGAUAAAGUAAUGAUAAAGAACAUGCAUGCAUGCAUACUAUAUAUUGUUGAUUAUCUAUAUCCACUGACAUUCUUUUGCAGACAUAGUAUUAGAUGCAUUAGUACUGGUUACUUUUCUUCCUUUGUUAUACUUAUGCCUGAAUAGACCUAGUGGGUAAGUCGGCGAGGUCGGUUGCCGAACCCACUGGGAACUUCGUUGUAGUUCUCACACCACUAACCCCACAAGUCCGAGUACGAGCGGGGUGGCGGAGGACCACGGAAAGGGUUUAGCGCCGUAAGUAGCGGCCACCGGGACUUUUUCACAUUUUGUAGUCAUUUCCCUUUUGGUUUACAUGUAUCAACUUCUUUUGUUGAUUUAGAAAAUUGUAAAGUUGAUAACAAUUAUGUAAUUUGGUGAAUGGCUAAAUNNNNNNNNNNNNNNNNNNNNNNNNNNNNNNNNNNNNNNNNNNNNNNNNNNNNNNNNNNNNNNNNNNNNNNNNNNNNNNNNNNNNNNNNNNNNNNNNNNNNNNNNNNNNNNNNNNNNNNNNNNNNNNNNNNNNNNNNNNNNNNNNNNNNNNNNNNNNNNNNNNNNNNNNNNNNNNNNNNNNNNNNNNNNNNNNNNNNNNNNNNNNNNNNNNNNNNNNNNNNNNNNNNNNNNNNNNNNNNNNNNNNNNNNNNNNNNNNNNNNNNNNNNNNNNNNNNNNNNNNNNNNNNNNNNNNNNNNNNNNNNNNNNNNNNNNNNNNNNNNNNNNNNNNNNNNNNNNNNNNNNNNNNNNNNNNNNNNNNNNNNNNNNNNNNNNNNNNNNNNNNNNNNNNNNNNNNNNNNNNNNNNNNNNNNNNNNNNNNNNNNNNNNNNNNNNNNNNNNNNNNNNNNNNNNNNNNNNNNNNNNNNNNNNNNNNNNNNNNNNNNNNNNNNNNNNNNNNNNNNNNNNNNNNNNNNNNNNNNNNNNNNNNNNNNNNNNNNNNNNNNNNNNNNNNNNNNNNNNNNNNNNNNNNNNNNNNNNNNNNNNNNNNNNNNNNNNNNNNNNNNNNNNNNNNNNNNNNNNNNNNNNNNNNNNNNNNNNNNNNNNNNNNNNNNNNNNNNNNNNNNNNNNNNNNNNNNNNNNNNNNNNNNNNNNNNNNNNNNNNNNNNNNNNNNNNNNNNNNNNNNNNNNNNNNNNNNNNNNNNNNNNNNNNNNNNNNNNNNNNNNNNNNNNNNNNNNNNNNNNNNNNNNNNNNNNNNNNNNNNNNNNNNNNNNNNNNNNNNNNNNNNNNNNNNNNNNNNNNNNNNNNNNNNNNNNNNNNNNNNNNNNNNNNNNNNNNNNNNNNNNNNNNNNNNNNNNNNNNNNNNNNNNNNNNNNNNNNNNNNNNNNNNNNNNNNNNNNNNNNNNNNNNNNNNNNNNNNNNNNNNNNNNNNNNNNNNNNNNNNNNNNNNNNNNNNNNNNNNNNNNNNNNNNNNNNNNNNNNNNNNNNNNNNNNNNNNNNNNNNNNNNNNNNNNNNNNNNNNNNNNNNNNNNNNNNNNNNNNNNNNNNNNNNNNNNNNNNNNNNNNNNNNNNNNNNNNNNNNNNNNNNNNNNNNNNNNNNNNNNNNNNNNNNNNNNNNNNNNNNNNNNNNNNNNNNNNNNNNNNNNNNNNNNNNNNNNNNNNNNNNNNNNNNNNNNNNNNNNNNNNNNNNNNNNNNNNNNNNNNNNNNNNNNNNNNNNNNNNNNNNNNNNNNNNNNNNNNNNNNNNNNNNNNNNNNNNNNNNNNNNNNNNNNNNNNNNNNNNNNNNNNNNNNNNNNNNNNNNNNNNNNNNNNNNNNNNNNNNNNNNNNNNNNNNNNNNNNNNNNNNNNNNNNNNNNNNNNNNNNNNNNNNNNNNNNNNNNNNNNNNNNNNNNNNNNNNNNNNNNNNNNNNNNNNNNNNNNNNNNNNNNNNNNNNNNNNNNNNNNNNNNNNNNNNNNNNNNNNNNNNNNNNNNNNNNNNNNNNNNNNNNNNNNNNNNNNNNNNNNNNNNNNNNNNNNNNNNNNNNNNNNNNNNNNNNNNNNNNNNNNNNNNNNNNNNNNNNNNNNNNNNNNNNNNNNNNNNNNNNNNNNNNNNNNNNNNNNNNNNNNNNNNNNNNNNNNNNNNNNNNNNNNNNNNNNNNNNNNNNNNNNNNNNNNNNNNNNNNNNNNNNNNNNNNNNNNNNNNNNNNNNNNNNNNNNNNNNNNNNNNNNNNNNNNNNNNNNNNNNNNNNNNNNNNNNNNNNNNNNNNNNNNNAUACCGACUCGAGCUACGAGUCACCUGCUGCCACUAAACAUAAAUAAUCAUGCAUCAUGGCAGCGAACACAACUCCUCGUGUCGAAACAAUUAUCUCCGGAUAAUCGUUUCGAUUCGGGUUCCCAGAAGUGUCUAAUUCGACACCGGAACUCACCGUCGCUCACCCGUCAUUUCCGAACUCUCGAAAUGACGCAAGUUACCAGCCAACAAGGCUCAGCGACUACACAAAAGCUCACGAAGCACCGUCGGAAUAAUUCCGAACCGAACCCGCGUUCCGUCGGCGGAUUUCGCCGAAAAAUGCACCGGAAAUGCAUUUCCGAUCUUCGUAAGGGUCUGGGGCCUUGGACAAUCAGUCCAGAGGUUAACCUCAACCAACACUUGCUGCCAACAGCAGCUAUGACGAACCAAAAUGCAUAAAAGCCCUCCUGAAUACCUGAAAUCGCAUUAUUUCAUGCGAUUUCGGCGCUUUUACGGUCCAACUACGCAAACCAGAGGUCAAACAGCCAAGACGAGACUCCCGCUGACUGGUCUCGGCGUGCCGGAGGCCGUGCUCACCUUUCGGAGCACUGCCGGCCACUGUGGCACGCGCACGGGCGACGCAAAAUUAGUGAAACAGCGCGCACAGUAGGAAAAGCAUGCUUAUCUCGCUAACCAGUGGCUCGUUGACCCUAAGUGAGGUGAGCACUGUGAUCAGGACUGACUGACGAUCACCGUGCUCACCUCCGGAGGCAUCGGAACAGCCUCAGGUCGCCGGAACAGUGAGUAGAACAGGAAACACUGCGCAGAAAGGCUGAAAACAAGCUUACCGGCCAGGGGAGAGCUAGGGUUGGCCGCCGGUGGCUGGACGGCGGGCGGCCCGGCCAGGGGAGGGUGCGGCCGGUCGGUGGAGUCCGGGGCACCUGCUGGCCGACGGCGGGAGGCGGUCAGUUGCGCGGCGGCGGAGAUCAACUCGAUCUCUAGCUCUCGGGUUAAAAGCUUCCCGGCGGCGUGGCGGCGGUCGGAGGAGGUCGGGGCGGCGACGGUACGUCGGCGGAGGUCGAGGAGGAGGUGGUGCGCCCCACUGUGGGCGGCGGCGACGCGCGGAGGCCACUAGGGCUCCGCCUCGGCCCGCACCAGGUCUGGGCGGCCGCAGGAGCCGCUAGCGACGGCCGGCGGCCUCGGGGACGGCGAGGAUCGUGAGCGGGAGGUCCCCGGAGGUGCCAGGAGGGCGGCGCGACCAGACCAGAAAGGUGGCAUCGCGAUGGGAGAGAGGUUCCACAGCCUCGGCCAGAUCUGCUCAGAUCUGGCCGCAACUUGCCGUGGCGGCGGCGGCGGCGCUCGGGACGACAGGGACGGCGCCGGGGGGGGAGAUUCUGCCAGAGGAUGGUGGUGCUCGGGCUCACUAGCUUUCCCGAGCACAGCAGCCAACAAGGUGCAAGUUGGGGCCCGGAGGAAAAUCGAGAGGAGGCCGGGGUGGCUCUUCCGGCGGCCGGACGAGCUCGCCGGCGGCCGGGACGCGCGCACAAGUUGGGCGGGGACCAGCUGAGGUCGGCUAGGGCUAGGUAGGGAGCACGGUUGCAGGGUCUAGGGUUCCUCAUGGAUGAAACCCUAGGAAUACAAUGUAAACAAAGGCCACUUUGCACCAAAGUCCUCCGAAACAGAAAAUUUGCAACAGAGACCUUCACAGCGUGAGUAAAUCGCGUGUACGCACCUCCACGUUCGACCUCGUGCGAUUCGGUACAUAAAAUGUCGCAACUUUUGCGAAAUUACCGUUUUGCCAUCACCGACCUCUCCUCGAUCAACGCGCGAUCUCCGCAGAUCCGUCCGUCAGAUUUGCGAACGGAUUGCACCAGUGCGAUCAGCACCUCGGAGACAACAAAGCUACACUUUCGAUUCAUUUCGAUCGACCACGGAUUCACAACAAAAUCCAACCUUCUUCCAAUAGAAGGAAACACACACACAAAUACAUAUAAAGCAUGUAUUUUUGGAUUUUCUCGAAAUCCGUGCGUCAAACUCAAAAUCCAUCAGCGCCACUAGUUCCAGAACAGCUGAACCGAUCGAAACGAGCUAUUGGACUGAUAUGAACGGAGUCCGAUACGCACCAGAAGCCAACUCUACUCCGUGGCUUCCCCGGAAAACCGGAGUUACUAUUCACUUAAGUGAAAACUGAAAGUCGCGUAUCUUCUCCAUUUUUGCUCAUUUUCGCCCGAAACUUGACGAGUGCUUAUGUAAUUAAAUUACACACAUAAACAUCAUCAACAGAGAGUUUAGUAGCACUGUCAAAAAAAUCUCAGUCCUUACAGUAAAGAAUUGUGAAUGAAAGUAAAGAAAUGUAAUAGUUCAGUUUACUUUUAUUUGGUUCAAAUGCAAUCAAGUAUUAUGUAUGGUUAUAUAUAUUAGCGUAGAGCUUUCGCUUCCGUUGUUGCUUGCCCUCGUGCAAGCCUUGUAUAAAUGUUAAUCUCAUUGUUUGAUUGCUUUAUUAUACAUGUUUUGAGCCUUGGGCGGACAGGAGAGGUUCUGUCCGUUCGGCGUCUGUUUACGUGACUCGAACCCUACCAAAUUGGUGGGGAUUGGGGCGUGACAAAAUGUUACUGAUUAGAUAUUAUCUGAUGCUUGUGAAGUAUUGACACUAAAGAGAAAAAAGAGAGAUUUCAUAAGUUUGUAUUAGAGUUGUUGUUGCUUGAAAAGUUCGAGCAAUCCACAUAUAUUCUUUCUAGGACAUAAAUUUGUAUUUGACUUUAAAAUAUUAUGAAUAACUUUGGGUUUUUAUUUCUAUUCAUGUUGUGUAUGUGUCCAUGAAUCGUCCAAGGAAUUAAUAAGAUGAUGACAUAUAUUCUCAAGAGUUGAGAAUUUGAGACAUGUGUCUUUGGUGGUUAAUUCCUAAAUGCUCCCGAUCAAUGGAUCAUCACGGGGACGGUGAUUGAUCCAGUGAGAUUGGUGCAUAGGUCGCUUCCCUUUUGGGUAGACGAGUCUCGAGUCGACAGUGUGGGGACACUGAAGCGAAUAUGCAGGUAGUUGUUAGAGAACAAGGGUACCGAGCGUGACCAACGCGAUAUAACUGUUAAUCCAGGAGGCUGCUAAGUUAUUAGCGCUAGAUCGAUAAGCUAGUUAGUGUUGGAGAAUACACACACUGGGGUAUCCAAGAUAAGAUAGACCAUCACUCUAUAUAAAACUAGUGAUAGUUGUUAUAGUGACUUUGAGGAAAGUUACCUAAUCUUGUUAAGGUUGAGUCGGGUUACUCUUAAUAGCUAGUAGAUCUAUUAAGACCUAGCCGUCAUCUAUCCUCUCUUCUCUCUUCCAUCUUCUAGCAAGAAAGACGUCCUUUUGCAAGGGAGCUAGCACCUCGGUGAGGACAUCGAUCAAAUCAAGAACCUCGUGUGGAUACCUAUAGAGGCCGGACGCGUGUGUGGCUUCAAGAGAACCGAAUUCCACGAACAUUAAAUUUAGGUGAAGAUUUAUCCGCGAAUAAGGUAAAGAUUCGAUCUUACUUUUCUCCUUUAAUCUUAAAGAGCAUGAGGGAUCCUAAUUGCGUGGUUUUUGAGAUUUGAUCUCACAAAAAUCAAAUUUGUUUGAUUUCUUUUUCCGCUGCGUUUUUACCGUACGCAAUUUUCUAACAUGUAUUAGAGUUGUUGUUGUUUGAAAAGUUCGAGCAAGAUAACAUGAAGGUUAUGUGUGGCAAGAUAACAUGAAUUUGUUCUGGUUUAUGAAGUUUAGAACUCCAUAUGGUUCAUAUAGAACCUAGGUCUCAUCAAUGAUCCAGAUGUAUUUAGUGAAUGGAAAUGAUUUAUACUACGAAUAACAUUUUUAAGUAGAAAAUUAUAACCAUGAAUAGUUCAGUAGAUGCACUAGCUAAAAAGCAUUCUCUCCAAGAGUUGAAGAGUUGACUUUAAAUAAUGCAUAUAAGAUAUGUAAUUGUUUGGCUUUAGUGCAAGUGGGAGAUUGUUAGUUAUAUGCCUAAAAGCCAAUCUGGUGACACUAGCUUAAGGGUAUUUAUGUAUUAAUCAUUUAUAAUUCAUAAUAUAAGGGCGGAUAAUCUAUUCAUAUCUAUUGUAUAGCAGUACAAUAUUGACAUGAAUCGUCCAUAGGGUCUUUGUUUGAAAAGACAUAUUCUUAAGAGUUAGAAAUUUGAGAUAUGUACUUUUCUGUACCAGACUCUUUAAAUACUCCUAGCCACAGGAAUAUUACAAGGACGGUGAUAUUCCGGAUAGGCCGGUGUAUGCUAUGUUUCUAAUUGAGGUGACGAAUCUCAAGUCACUAGUGUAGGGACACUAGAACAAGCAUACAGGUGCUUGUUAGAGAACAAGUACACUAAGCGUGACUAUUUAGUUGAACAGUCAUAUGGUUCUAUGCUCGCCAGUGAUAAGUUCAUUGCUACAGUUGUGUGAAGUACUCCUCGGACCUGAGGCAUCAUAGUUGCUUCACGUAUAGAUUGCUACCGUUUGACAGUACUAAUAAUUAGACUCUAGACACGGGUCUAUAUUCGGUACUGAUUGGCUGUGGUGAUUUAUGUGAGGAGGCAUGUGAUUGCGCAAUAAGAAAUCCAACACUCUCAAUGACGAGGGAGAAUGUCCUAUGCAGUCUAUCGAACUGACUCGAAAAACCCCUAGCCAGGGUACAUAGUAUGUGGAAAGAGUUUCCAACUGUGUUGCCAUAUUGAGUUGAUUUCAGAUAGUUUAGUCAUAUAGUCGAAUGAUAAGGUUUGGCGAGUAACCAUGGCCUUAGUUCGAUUGGGACAUUGUAUGUUGGAAGGAAUUAAUCACAUGGUAACUGAAAGCGGAAAGGUUCAUUCUUCAUCACCAUUCUGGAUUGCCGUGAUAUACUGCUAGGUGUCACUCACGGACAGUGAGAGAAUAUGAAUGAAGAUUAGCUAUUUAUUCUUGUUAAGUUAAGCUUAAUANAAAUAUCAAAGAGUUUGAUGUUGAGCUCCACUGCCGAAUGGUAAUGAACCUAUGCGGUCACACACAUUAGAAAUUGUGUGCGCCUGAAUCGUUUGGAUGAGAGUCGUUCACCAAAGAGUUUAGUGUAAGCGAUGAAAAUAAAAAGAAGCUGUUUAAUUAAAUUAGAUUUAAUUAUUCGAUUCGGUUAUAACUGAUAGUCCUAAUUAGAUUAGGAUCUCAGAAUCAGUUAGAGAAUUAUGCGCAAGAUUUAAAUUUAUCUCUAAUUAGAUUAGUAGAUAAUAUUUAAUCAUAAAAGAUAUUUAAAUGAGAUUUAAAUAUUAGUGAGUAAUCUUAUUGGAUAAGAUCAAAAUUAGAUAAGAUCUAAUUAAAUAUUGGAGAGAUUAGAUUUAGUUGGAUAAGCAUGAAUAUUUAAUUGUUAAAUUUUAUUGGAGAGAGAGAAAAAUCUUAUUAGAUAAGAUUUUACGAAAUAAGAUUCUAUAUAUACAUAUAAAGAUUUAUAUGUAUGUAUGAAUAUACAAUGAAUUAAAAAAAGAAAAAAGGUGAAACCGUACGGCACAUAGUGUCAUAUGGAUUGAAUGCAUGGUAAUUAAGAUGCCAUGCAUCUUAAUUAAUUUGAUGCAUGUUAGCCUUUUGAUCUAUAUACAUAUAGAGAUCAAUCUCUCUGAUUUCUCUCCCGCGCGCGUGUUUCUCUCCGGUCAACUUCUCUACUCUUCAUCGACUGGUGGAUCAUGAAAGGAUUGCUAGCACCGUCCAGAUGGUCCGUGACUCAUCCUAUUCGUGAGACGAAGAUCGAUCGGGUCGUCAAUUCCGUGUGGAUACGGGUAGAGGCCGGGCAUGUGUGCGGCUCAUCGGAAUCUCUGUUCGUCAUAUUCACUUUCAACCGUACAGUAGAUCAAGUGACCUUAACUGGUCCACGGUAAGAUCUCUAAACAUAAAGAGUUCUGUUUAGAUUAAAUUUUUACAUAGUAACAUGAGAAUGAUCCGCCAGCAACGGUUUGAUUUAUUGGUUUUCGGUUUUCAUAUGUGAUAUGUAUUUGGCUUCCGAAAAAUUUUUAAAAGUGCAAAAACUAUUUUCCGCUGCGUUUUUCUGAUGUGCCGGUUAAUUUCUAACAGGAUUACCUGACCUUGACGGAAUGAUAUUCGCCGCAACUUCCGGCUACACAUAACGAGCAACAACCGGUGUGUUUACCAAUUGGUCCACAGCUUCCUGGAGUCUCUAGAUCCACUUUUCCUAGUGCAAGGCAGCCUCUUGCUUACACUGCACCACAUCGGCUUGUUGCCUCACCACUCUAAUAAGUAGGGCCAACUGAUCACAGAGUUUCGCGUCUCUACUCUCCUCGGCCUGCUCAGGGACAUCACUUGUCUCAACCCAUGUCGAUCUCAUUGAAGAUCGGCCAUGCGAAGUCAUCGUUUCCUAAAACACGACAACUCGGUCACUCCUCGACCCUCAAGGUCAAGCGCGAAACAACUAACAUCGACCCAAACUCAAAUCAAGCGAAAGCCAUGCAAGAGAGCCUAUUCUUAUCCCUCGGUUUCAUGAUAUGUGCACCCAACAUGAAAAUCCUCUGCUGAGAAUAAACCACACCUUGAAUCCACCUCUAACAUCCUUUUUAGAGGUAUAAAACACACAACCCAAUCAAUUCACCUUUCACCACAAGUCAAAAUUCCCGUCUCUCACAAGCCUAGCUCCUUACGGUUUCCAUCCUAAGGUCCCUAGAUCUAUCCUAUAUUUUUACUUUUAUUGCUCUGAUACCACUCUAUCUGUCACGCCCCACAACUGCCAAUUUGGUCGGUUCGGGUACGUACACAAACGCCAAACAGACAGAGCCUCCCCUGUUCGCCUAAGGCUCCACAAUCACGAACAUGUAUAAAGAAUUUGCCCAGGAAGAAUUUCAAUAUACAUGGCUUGUACGAGGGCAAGCAACAAAAGCAAGUGAAAGUAACCAAUUAUUACAUCCAUAUAUUGUAUCAUGAUUACAUUAAACCAAAUACAAAGCUUACAAGAUCCAUUUACAUUACAUUCAUGUCCAAAUACAUAACUUUUCUUUACAUGUCCUUUUUCAUCAACUACAAAAGAUGAAAUAUAAAAGGUACAUCUAUACUUGAAGGAAGUUCACUACCUAGGAUGCAAUGCCCUUGCCGCGAUUCUCGAUCGCUCUGCUCGUGCUACGAUCAGCAAGGUUAGUGGGGUGAGAACUAGAAGAAGUUUCCAGUGAGUUCGGCUACCGACCCCGUCGACUCACCCACUAGGACUAAUCAGGCAUAUGUAGGAAAAGGAAUAGAUAAGCAAACCAAACUGAUGCAGCUACUAUGCCUGGAUAAACUGAAACAACCAAUAUGAUGUUCAUGAUGUAUGCAUUUUUCUUUUAUCUUUAUCUUUACCCAAUCCUUUUGGCUAACUAUUUGGUUAAACCCAACUCACCAAACCAAAUUCUUUUUUGUCGGGGAGAAUUUCAUUACAAAUCCGACGGGACCGUCUGCUGGGGAGAAUUCCGCUACCGCCCAGUUGAUGACAACUCCGGAGCUCACCGCUUGAAGUAGAGCGACCACCCUCAAGCAUAUUAGACUACCUGUGAGUAUGAUUCAAUCCUCAACUUUGAGAAUACCAUGUCACUAUUGCCACAAAGUUCAUAAGAUUUUCUUUGCCUAGCAUUCCAUAAUUCUUGGUGCUAUUCAAUCCAUCUCGUCACAAUAUCACCUUAUUUAUUAUUAUCAUAGUCCAACACAUUGCUCAUACAUUCAUAGGGUUUCUAAGUUCAUGGUCCUUUGUCAUUUCACAUGUAUUCUUACAUUGAAAGCAUACAAAAAGUCUAAUAUCUUAGCCACAUAUCACAUUAACCCUACAAUGCAUGAAGUCAACACUAUACACAUACAAACAUGCUCAAAGAGGUGAUAUAGACAUAAUGAGAAAUUCGGAGAUUUCAGAUAGCACCACACACCUCGUAGGGAUGCCGAAAUGUGAGAAUCCAAGUCCCGCAAUUUUUAGACGCCUAUUUGUCUCGACCCACGACUAACGAAAGUGAAAUGAGGUUUUUCCUCAAUAUUUCGCCAUAUACUCGUCGGAACUUCGAUCCGAGUCUCCCAACACGUCGAAUUAACCUUCAAUUAGGAAUAUAAGAGAUCAAUUUCAUAAUAGACCUCAAUUCCUACAAAACCCUAUUUCCGACCCUAGGGUUUACACAUACUAUCCAUACUCCAAAUUUCUUAGGAUUUCAUGGAGUAAUCCAAGCUUCCAAAACCCAAGAAUCUCAAAAACUUGCGAUUUAGGGUAAUUAAAUUAAACCCUAACUCAUACGUGUAAGAAUACUUACCUAGACUCCUAGCUCCUCAAGUUCUUCCUUGCCUUGAGCUUCUUCUCCUUCCAAAAGCUCCAAUUUCCUACCUUUAAUAUUCUCCAAAACCCUUUGUUGGAGAAACCCUAGAGAGAGAAUGAGAGGAGAAAUGAGAAGAAAAUGAGAAGAAGAAGAAGAAGAGGAAUAGCCGUACAUGAAGGCUAUUUUAAAAAUAAAAUAGGGGUGGGCUUUGGGUGAGAGACGCAUAUAAGUGUUAUGUGAACCUUGAAACAUAGGUAAACAACAAUGACAUUGAAAAUAUGUUGGAGUCUAAGGUGUGAAAAUAGUGGCAUCAAAUCUAGGAUGGAACCUAGGGUAUGAGACAUAGUGGCAUUUGAACUUUAGAUAAAACCUGAGUUAGAGAUUAAGGGAAUGUGUAAGUGAUCGAUAUGAUUAACCUUAAAAGUCAUGAACUUAGGUGUGAAACAAGUUGCAAUCUUUAGGAAGUGUCAUAAUAGGAGAAGUCUAAUCUACUGGCCUUCGAUUAUGAUAACUGGGGAAGUCCGAGAGCCAUCCACUCCAAAUGCCUACCAAUUGGAGAGAAGUCCGAGAGCAGUUGACUUUCCAUAAGGUGUAUAAUAAGAAGAAAACCAAACUAAAAAGUUAGUUAAAGUUAAAGAAAAGAAUUGUAACGGAUGUGUAGGCCAAUAACAUAGUAAAAUAUUGUGUACAUAUUGAGGCAUAGUAGUAUAUUUCCUUUCCUUUUCUGGCUCUUGUAAAAAUAAAUGUUUGGUUUAUUAUCAUUUUCUACUAAUACUGUAAGGACUGAGAUUUUGACAGUGCAACUAAACUCUCUAUUGACGAUGUUUAUUUGUGUAAUUUAAUUACAUAAGCACUCGUCAAAUUUCAGGAGAAAACGAGUUAGAACGGAGAAGUUACGCGAUCUUUAUUUUUCACUUAAGUGAAUAGUAACUUGGUUUUUCCGGUGAAGCCACGUUGUGAAGUUGGCUUCAGGCUCGUAUCGGACUCCGUUCAUAGCAGUCCAAUAGCUCGUUUCGACCGGUUCAGCUAUUCUGGAACUAUUGGCGCUGACGGAAUUUGAGUUUGACACACGGAUUUCGAGAAAAUCCAAAAAUACAUGUUUUAUAUGUAUUUGUGCGUAGUUUCUUCUAUUGGAGAGUUGGAACGGUUCUUGUCGCGAAUCCGCGACCAAUCGAGAUGAACCAAAAUGGUAGCUUUGUGGUCUCCGUGGUGCUGAUCGCACUGGUGCUAUCCAUUCGCAAAUCUGACGGACGGAUCUGCGGAGAUCGCACGUUGAUCGAGGAGAGGUCGGCAAUGGCAAAAUGGUAAUUUCGCAAAAGUCGCGACAUUUUAUGUACCGUUUUAUGCGAGAUCGCACGUGGAGGGGUAUUCUCGCGUUGUUCACGCGCUGUGAGGGAUUCAGUUUGAAAUACUGAGGUUUUGCGGGCUAACUCGCAAAUCGGCACCUUGGUAUAUAUAGAGAUUUUAGGGUUUUUGAUCCACCUAACCCUAACCCUAGCCCCCAACUGCCCUAGCCGCACCCUGCCACCUUCAUCCCUCUUCCCUGCCCUAGCCGUACGCCUCCCGGCCGCCGCCGACUGAUCUCCGGCCAGCCACCACCACCUCAGCCUCUUUCUCUCCCUCUCCAUCUCUAUCUCUCUCUUCCUCUCGGGUUGAGGACAGAUAUAAGACCGUAUUUGCAUCCCUGUACCCUACCAGCAUCGCCCCGACCUCAUCGGAAUCUCCCCCGCCGGCCACCGCCGCCCCGAGCACUGCCGCUGCAACCUAGACCGGGUGCGGCCAUCCCGAAUCUGCUCGGGACGAGCAGACUUGGCAGCCUCUCCUUCGCGCUACGCACCUUGGCUCGCGCGAGCCUCCCCGAGCGCCGGCGAACCACGCCGCGCCGCCGCAACCGCCCCUGCUGGCCGUCGCCGCCGCCUCGGCCAGCCCGCAGCCACCCCAGCCUGCUGGGGCCGAGCUUGGCCUGCUUCCGCCCCGCGCGCCGCCGCCGCCCGGGGGCCACCGGUGCCACCUCCCUCCUCCUCCUCCAGCCUCUGGGGACCUGCUUCCGUCGUCCCCGAGGAGCCCCGGCCGCCGCCGUGGCCGUAGCUUCGCUGGAAUCCGAGCCCUAACUGGUGCAGGAUUGCCUUGUUCCGCCGCCGCCGCCGCCGCUUCCAGCCGCCACCCGAGGUGAGCUUGGUACUCUUCAUCUCCCCCGCAACCUUCCUUGGCCCGCGCGCACCCCGUCGUGCCGCCGGUAGCCGGUCGGAGCAAGCUUGCUCCGGCCAAGCCCGAAAUAGGGCUUAUUCUGGAUGGUUUACUAUUCCGAGCAACCCGAGCCUCCCUGAUCUCUAUGGAAGGGAGCACGAUGAUCGUGGCAAAUUGCUGAUCAUCGUGCUCACCUUUGAUUCUGUCGGGGAGACUCCGUUCCGUUGUUUAAGCGGUGUCGACCCCGUGGAGCCUUUUUGGCUGCUGUUUCUGGAUUGCGUGUGUUGUUCCGGUGAUCCGAGGCUGUUCCGAUGCCUCCGGAGGUGAGCACGAUGAUCGAUGGUCAGUGCUGAUCACAAUGCUCACCUCACUUUGGAUCAACAUUGCCCGGUUAGCCCUGUUUGGCGCGAUCUUCCCCGACUGCGCGCUAUUCGCUGAACCUUCGGGUUGCUCCCGCGCUUCCCACAGUGAGCCGUUGUGCUCCGGAUCGUGAGCACGGCCUACGAUACAUCGAGACCAAGCAGUACAUGUCUCGGCGGACCUUAUAAGUUCUCGGUUUGCGUGAACGAGCCACUUAAUCGCCCGAUUUACAUAAAAUGAUAGGAUUUUAUGUAAAUUGAGGGGAUUUUGUGCAAUUGUGCACCUUGUGGCUACUGUGGGCAGUGCAUGUGUGUGUGUGGUGAUCUCUGGACUGAUUGUCCAUGAUCCGAUAGCCUUCGCGAAAAUCGAGGAGUUGAUUCCGGCGCGUUUUCGGCGAAAUUAGUCGAAAGAACACGGUUUCGGUUCGGAUUUCUUCCGACGUGGUUUGGUUAUCCUGUAAAUUAUUGCUGAGCCUUGUUGGCUGGUUACCAUCAUCAUUUUGUGGGUUCGGUGAUGAUGGGUGAGCGACGGUGGGUUCCGGUGUCGAAAUAGACACUUUCGAGAACCCGGAUUCGUACAAUUAUCUGGCGAUAAUUGUGUAGUGGAGUUAUCUUGUGUUUGCUGCCAAAACAUCCAAAUUGGAGUGUUUUGGGGAAGCAGGUGACUCGUGACACGAGUCGGUGAGUUUCGGGACACUUAGUGGGUCCCGACGGCGUCCCGGUGUGGUUUUCGGGACUUCCGGCGAGUUACGGUAAUCGGUAUUGGGAAACCGAUCUUCGUGAAAUUGUUUGUGGGGUUGUGGAUACUGUGGUUAUUAGUUGUGGGUUAGAUACUAACCCGGUGGACCCUCUAUAGGUCCUGUCGACAUUCUUUUGCAGUCAGGAGACAGACGCGACAUCCGUACAGGUGGGUACUUCGAUCCGACGUCGGUACAGUGGUGCACGCUUGGUGAUGGUUUCUUACCCUUACUCUUCUGUUGUUACUAUCGCAUAGUAUAUUGAGCCUUGCCCCCUUGUUUAUUCGUUAUACACUACUCGUUGUUUGCAUGCUUAGUAUCCCGAGUAAAAGUAGAGCAGUUCAUCUAUAUGCGUAUCUGUUGACCUAGUUGGUCUGUUGUUGCAUUCUGUAUCUGUUGACCUAGUUGGUCUGUUGUUGCAUUCUGUAUCUGUUGACCUAGUUGGUCUGUUGUUGCAUUCAGUAUUUGUUGACUUAGUUGGUCGGUUGUUGCAUUCCGUAUCUGUUGAUCUAGUUGGUUGGUUGUUGCAUUCCGUAUCUGUUGACCUGGUUGGUCGGUUCUCGUACUUCGUAUCAGGGACUUUGUUGGUCAGUUGGACUCUGUGGACCUUGGGUCCAAGCAACACAUCGACUCUCUUGUCAUGUGUUUCGAUCUGGUUGAUCGUGGUUUGGCGUUGUACGCCCUUGUUUCUGGCUUCAGCCUAGGCAUCGGCUUUAGCCGGAUUUCGUUUGAGCACAUCAGCAUGAUUUAGUCACAGCACUGUGUAUUCUAGACACCAGGUUGGUUUGGCCACCAACAAGAGGUGUAUGUAUCCGGAUAGGUCGUCGGUGACGCAUGAAUAAGCUCUCAGUGUCUGCUCUGUGACAGACAACGCUUGAGGUCUGCGGACUAAUAUGGCAGCAUCAGAUUGGGUAUAUUUGGACUUAUCAUCUGGUUGACGCAUAUAACUAUAGUAGCAGUUGUCGCUUGUAUAUCUUCAGUUCUUUCGUUAGAUUGUUUUGCUACUAUAGUCUUGUUACAUGUAUACAUUCAGUUGUUCAUUACAGUAGCGGUAGUUGUAUUUUCUUUCAUAUACAUGUCUCUUUCAUUCAUUAUUAUUACUACUGUAUUUUCUACUGACCCGUACUGUUGUUUAGCUCUUCCUAAUCCGGUGAGUACUCCUCGCCUUCAUCGGCUUGUGGUACCCACUAGGAGGGGAGACAUGUUUACAUGUUCUCACCUCCCCCACUAUUUUUCAGGUAUCGCGGGCGGUGAGGGUUGAGACGAGACGUGAGAUACGUACGUAGCGGUCGAUAGAGCUUCCGACCCAGGUUAUUCGGUUUAGUUUCUACCCUUACUAUCCUGUUGAUAUAGCUUAGAUAGUUUGUAUGGUUCAGUUUUUGGGUAUUUCAGUUAACUAUCAUAUUUUGAUUUGGCUUUAUGAAUGUAAUAAAAAGGAUUCGUGGUUUUCGUAAAUAAAAGGUUUUCUGCCCCUCGUGAUAACGUUUUUAAAGAAUAAAGGUUUCCGUGUAGGAAACAGUUUUCAAAAGGAUUUUCUGUGAAUUUAUGUUUAAAUAUUGAAUGUAUAACUGUGAUGUGAAUGGUGAAUGAAUGAUUGCAUAGUCGUUUCUAUAUUCAUUUGGUUGUGGUUGUACCUGAGUUACUUCUUGCGCUUGUGCGACGCCGUGCAAAUAUAGGAGAGACUCUGUCCGUGUGAACAGUGGAUUUCCUGUAUUUGUGGCGGAUUUGGCAUUCCCUGGAUAACGGUUUUCAAAAAAAAAAUUUCCGCGGUGUUUUUAUCCUAAAGGGACCCCGGGGCGUGACAAAUACUUUCUAUGGACUAAGUGCAUGGAGAGCGCCACUUUGCUGCAUUCAUUAAAAACAUAUUUAAAGUUUUCACCCUUUUAUUGUUCACCUUUUUCGAAUCCUAUAUACCAUCGCCGGUGAGGCAAGGACUGUGGCAAAUACAUCGUGGAGUAUUUAAACUGAGUGAGUGGUCUAAAGUGUACCCUUUUAUGAAAAAAAAGACUUGUAAUAUUUUGAAAAUUUAAUAAAAGUAUUAAAUUUUUGAAAACUCUAAAGACAAUGUUCGUAAUGGUUAAAUAUAAAAGUAUUAUUUUGAUACUCUGUGUAUGUAUAUCAUGUAUGCUAUUGUCUAUAUUGGUAUAUGUUUUUGGUUAGUGUGGAUAGAAAAAAUUUUGCCCAUUAGCGGAUCCAAUUGGUGGAACACGGGGCAUGACACGAGAAGUUUCCGGUGCCCGAAAUAUCUUUUUGGGCGUCCAAAAGUUUUGAAAAGCUGAUUAUUACUUCUUUUGAAACUCUAAUUUAUCAGAAUUGAUUCCAAAUCAAUUCUAACUCAGCCAAACUUCUCCAAAUCCAUUCUAAUUAUGUUUAACUUGACUUUUAUCCGCAUUUUACCUAUUUAGCCAAAAUUUGGUAUAUUUUAUUAAAAUUCAGCAUAUUACAACAACCAAAGUCCUUACUGUGGCAUAAAGCUAAAUAAGAUUUGACGAGUUCCGAAAGCAAAAUACAAUUUGAAGACUCUCACUUUACUAUAUACUAGUUUAUGGCCCGCGCUUCGGGGCGGAUCGAUAGUAUUUCAGUCAAGCAACAUAUACAAUUAUUAAAAUUUUAAAAUUUAAAAAAUAUAAUAAAAAAUUCAUAUAGCCUUCUAUACAUUAUAAAGCUAAUUUUUUUUAUUAAUAUUUUUUAACAUUCAGUAUUUGUAGAGUUAAAGUAUUCUAACAACUUUACCUAAAAAUUCAAUCAAACUUAAUAAUUUUAGUAGCUAUUCUAUAAAUAAAAUUUUUAUUUAAAAAGUUAAAAUUGAAGGACUUAUUUAAAUUGCAAAUAUAUGAUGGUAUUCUUAUCUAAUUAACAUUAAUUGGAGAAAGAAGAAAUAAUUAUAUGCACAUGGUGUAUAUUAACACACUAUACACCACAACUUACAUUAAAGGACUAAUUUCUAAUAUCAAAAUUUAAUUAAAUAUAUAUCUAAAUUACAAAGUCUAAUAAUUUAAAUAUGUUUACUGAAUUAAAUUUUAAAAUUUCUAUUAAAUGUUUUAAGUAUGUGGUGUACGUUAUUAUAUACAUCCGGUGUAGAGAACGCUUAAUAGAGUGUAUUUAUAAUUCCAAGAAAAAGAGGAGAAAUCUUUACUUGCACCUGAUGUAUUGUCACGCCCCGGAUGGCCAUGUUUUCCCCGGCACGCCAACAGACCCGCCCGCCGCAUACACAAGAAUUUUUCAUGUACACAAAACGAUAGUUGUACCUGUAAUUAAAUUAUAGCUACAACCACAAGUACAAAGCUGCUAAACUAAAACAUGUAUAUAAAUAAAACAUAAUGUUCAUAGUACAUACAAAAUCUCCGAACCAACACUAACACCUUACUCCAGCGAGUAAACCGAACAUAAGGUAUGUACAUGAACCAAACACCUCAAAACUACCUGUGAAGGGUACUCCUCUAGUACGGCGACACAACUGGUAGGGAUCUAGCUAAUGACUCCCUUCCCACGGUUAGAAUCAAAACAGCAGCAGGCGCAGACGAAGGCUCUGCAAAAGAGUGUCAACAACUGGGUGUGAGAACUUCUGUAAAACAGAAUAGUUUUCAGUGGGUACCGUCACCGAUCUCAACGGCCCACCCACUAGGUCUACAGAAAUAUGUACAAAGAAUAGUUGGAAAAGCAGGAAAGAACUCUACAACUAUAUGCCACUAUACUAUCGCUAUCUGUAGAUAUGAAAAAAAAAUGCCUCACUCUGACCUAAUCUCAAUGGGGACUGCGAUACGCCCGUCCCGCCUUUCGAAGCUACCUCGUCCACCACUCAGAGGGCUGCCUGUUGCGAGAUCUCACUAGGGACUGUGAUACACCCGUCUCGUCUGCCUAAACUACACCGUACACCACCCACUGAAAUGGCCAUCCAAGUAGAAAGGUUCGACAGGACUGCUGCAACUCAAUACACGUCACAGCCUCAAUGAGGGUAGAGAAAGGCGUCACUAACUACCACUAACCUAAUCUCACACGGGCUGCCCAAACGGACCCACCCUGCCUGUAUCCAGCUAUGCCGUACACCACCCAAGGGGGUGGCCAGCUCAAGAACAGUCCAAACAGAAACUGCAACAUCAUCGCACUGAAAACCUCAUUCCGGAAUGACAUUCGUGGGCGCGACCCAACCUAGUUUAUAAGUGUCUCUACCGAGUUCAUUCAGAUUCUCACAGGCUGUAAUCACUGUAAAUAGAUCAAACUAAUCUAAGUCAGUGUAAAUAGGUCAAACUCAUCUAAUCUAAGUCAGUGUAAAUGGGUCAAACUGAUCUAAGUCACCCAAAACUCACGUGCCCUUGGCACAAUCUGAUGCAAGAUAUAAAAAUCUGGGUCCACCAUCAACCCUGACGGCACCCGACGAUCCAACACAGUCUAACACUACUGUAACAAUACACUCGGCUCCUUAGCGCGAGCGUAAACUCAACCUACACUAACCUAAGUAUCCACCUCCCACUAACAGCGGUGAUACAGAAAUCUGGGUCCCCCGUCAAUCACGACGACCCGCGACAGUCCAAACGCUACUAUACAACAUGCUCGGCCCCUCAGCACGAGCGUAAUGUCAGCCUAUUCUAAGCUAGGUAUCUUCUAUGCACUAAUAGUGGCGAUACAAAGGUACAGCAGCUCCUGAAGCUCAAUCUGGUAACUUUUCAUAAAAUGACAGUGUAGGUUUAAUGAGUUUUCUCCUAAGUCAAAUCCCAGUUCAACAUAGAUAAUUCAUCUAAAAUCAAUAGACUAUGCUUCAAAUUCAGAUUUCAUAAAACAUGCACAUCUAUGAAUUUGAGCUACUAAACAUGAUGAACAAAGCCAAGAAUACAUGCCGACACUCUACGUCUUAUGGGGGAUUUUGACGAUUUCGGUAAACAUUAACCAACCUCGAACGCUCGUCCAACGUCGGCAAGAAGUCGACCGGAGAAACCCGCACGCUUGCUCGACUCCAACGGCCUCCACCGGAUGCAACCACGAUGCGCGCACAAUCCUUCAAGGACAAGUGAACAAAAACUAAGAUCAAAUCUCCAAAAUCCCCAAAAAAACGAAGGAAAAAAGCUAGAGAGAGAAAGAGAGACACCAACCUGCAUUCUCCAAGCUCCCAGCACAAAGAGAUAAGGCCGGGGGUUUUGGUUGGUUUUAACGCCAACAAAUGACCGAAAAGCCUACUUGCUCACUUUUCCAGCUGGAAUACCGGUACCCAACUUAGAUACCGGUACUCGGCCUUUCAAUCUGCCGUCUCGCGCACUGGGUACCGGUACCAGCCCGAUGCAGUAUCGGUACUCGAGCUCGAUACCGGUACUCAACAACCAUGUACCGGUACUCAGCAUCAAAUAUGUGUAACCCGAGAGCAUCCAUCUCUGCCAUCCCACAAGGGUACCGGUACUCCUCUCAAGUACCGAUACUCAACACUGAAAUCCUGCACUUUGCGGAUUUUAGUGUCAGAGCUCCACUCUCGCACCGCGUCGAGCCCGUUUUGCAUUCAAUUCGUGCCAAAACGACUCCGACUUGUCCCGACACUCUCCAAACAUGUCGACAACCCUCACGACAACCCUCAGAUGCUGAUAUCUCGCGAACAGUGAAGCACGAGGGACAUUACAUAUGAUACUAUUUCGUACACCAUAAAAGUAUAAUAAUAAUUGAUAAAAUAUUUGAUAAUUAGUAUUAAAGAUUUUUGUGAUGUGAUAGAACUGCCAAAUUAUAUAUCUUAUAGAUUUUAAAAUAUUAAUAAUUAAAAAAGACUUGGUAUAUGUGAUCUUUUAAUAGACCAGGUGCAUGUAAUAUUGUUGAAGUACAGAAGGAGAGGAAAGAGGACACGUGUUGCUCUGAAGGCUUUUGAUGUGAUCUAACUAUCAAAUUAUAUAUUUUCUAUACUAUAUAUAAAAGCGUAUAGAAAUUCCGACAAUGACAGACGGAAUCCAAAAAGAAAUAAAAUAAUAUUCCCUACAAAUGGUUAUGAUUAAUUCAAUUAAUUCGUGACGUGUCAAUGUUGAAGUAAAUUUUUGAUGAAUUUUUAGUAGAUUGGGAUGGAUCAAUAGUAGAAAGGAAUCUCUCAUCUCCAACUUUAUUUGUUUAGUGGAUUAGGGCGAAUCCGAAAUUAGUUAUCUUUUUUUUAAAAUUCUUGGGCCCCCACUUACAACCUCAUGGGGGGGGGGGGGGGGGGGGGAGGCUCAAUCCUUUCCGAAUACAUUUGCAUCUCCAAGCAUUUUGUGUGGAAAAAGAAGCAAAUUUUCUCUCCAUAAUUAUUUCAUACAAAAACAAUAACACAUAAUUAUAUUUAUAUAAUCCUCACUUUAAUCUAUUAUUAUCAUUUUUAUUAGAUUCUUUACUUUCUUUUUAUAUAGCAGAAUAAAAUUAAUUUGGGGUAUAUUCUAUACAAUAUAAUUGUUACAAAAAAAGACUUAUUUCUAAAAGAAAGGACAUGGUAAGCUCAUUAGUAAAGGUUAAUCGUAGACCAAAUAAGAUUAUUGUAUCAGUUUAUUGUCUUUGCUAACUAAGAACAUUAUAUAUAAUUGCUUGUGUUAUUAAAUCUUUUCUAGUCAUUAACAUCACUGUAGAAAGAGGUUGGUAUAACAGAUCUAACAAUAGAUCAAAUCAAUUAUUUUUCCUUGUUACUUGUAAGCAUACCCUCCUUUAUUAACUUUUACAGAUGAAGGGUUAGCCUAGUUUUUAGCAGAGUAAAUUUUACAUAAUUAAUUUUAAUUCAAAGAAUUUAUUUUGAUUAAAAAUUAUAGAGUGCUUCGUUGAGUCUAACAGAAAAUCGAUUUUUGCAAACUGAUUUUAUAAAAUAUGCUGGCAAAAUUUUAUGCUAGUUUCAAAUAAUAAUUUUUUUACUGAAUUUUAUUAUAAAAAUUAAAUACAAAAUUCAAUUAUUUUUAAAUUUUAAAAAUUUUAACUUAAAAUUUAAAUUUUAAUUUAAUAUCUAAAUUUAAAAUAAUUUUAAAAUUUAAAAAUUAGAAAUUUAAUAUAUAGAAUUUUAAUUUAAAAAUUAAAAUUAAAAUAUUGGAAAAAUUAAAUUUAAAAUCUAAAAUUUGAUAUUUCAAAUUUAAAAUUUAUAAUCUAAAAUCUCAAAUUUGAAAAUUAAAAUUUUUAAUUUUCAAAUUUAUGAUUUGAGAUUUAAAACUUAAAAUAUAAUAUCUAAAUUUAAAAUUUAAAACUUUAAAAUUUAAAACAAAAUUUUAAAAUUUAAAAUUUAACAUUUGAACUUAAAUUUAAAAUUUGAAUCUAUAUAUUAGAAUUCAAAAUUGAGUUCAAAAUCAUGAUCAAAUUUUAAGAAGAAGAUUUUAGUUGUUCCUGAUUUUGGAGUCUCUAAAAUCAAAAAAUCGAUUCUAAAAACUAAUAUUUUGAAAAAAAAAUUUGCCAAAUGCUCUAUUAAAAAAGAAAAAAAAUCACUUUUAGCUUUGAAAUCACUUUCUAGAAUCUGGCCAAACACAGCCAAAGUUGAAAAAUAACCUGCCAUUAAAUAUGUUCCGUUACUCUCUGAUAAAAGUAAGAAUAAAUUAUACCACUAGUCCCUAAAUUAUCAUCGAGUUAUAUUUUGAUUCUUAAAUUUUAAAUUCAACAUCGAAGAUCCUAAAGUAUUAAAAAAUUUUACUUAAGGUUUGUUUGGGUACUCUUCAAGACAGAAAGACAGAGAAAUAAUCUAAUUUACAAUAUAUUUUUUACAUCGUUUGGAAUAAUAUAAGGUGUAGGAAACUUUUUAAGAAACUAAGAUCGUACCUUCUGCCAUGAUUUCGAUUUCUGCACCCGAUUUGUAGGCGGCGAUUCUUGCUCGUGAUUCGUCCUCGUUCGUGAUCUGCAAGAAGACGGAACGUUUCGAGUCUAAUUUCCUUAUCCCCGGAGAUGGAGCCGUCACAGACAAUUGGAUUGGGGUUAGACCGGGACUCCCGUAUGUUACAUAUUUAUAUAUAACUUGAUAUAAGGAUGUUAAAUCACGCCCGUCCAUCAAGGACGUGUCCAGUUACAUCCUAACCGUAAGAUCUAAAAUAUCUUUAUAGAUCGACUUAAAUAGAUUGACCGUAUCUUUAUGGAUCGCCUUGAAUAUAUCACGUGGGCCACAUCCAACAUUCUCCCACUUGGCCUAGUGAUAUAUUUAUUACCGUAUAGGCGAUACAAAAACUUUAUUAGGUACCAACUAAAUUAUACAGUCAAAAUCUCCAACUUGACCAAGAAAUCACAGUACUUUGAUUAUAGCGGUUAUGCCCUAAAAGAUGAACACUUCCUUCCAUGUAUCAAAAGUACGAAUUCCUUAAUCAAAUAACUUUAUGAGUUACAACCGUAUGAAUUUAUUAUAAGUUCAACUCAGAGUCCCACUUUAGUGCACAAUAAUACUUUAAUGUACAAAAGAUAACUUUAUGCGCAUAUGUGCAAAAACCAAAAUAUAUUCUUACUCAAAUAAGAAUAGUUUUUAAAGUCUUUAUACAAGAAAAAAAAUACUUAAACUGUAAAUGGACUCAAGAUACCCAUAUGAUGAAUAUGAUCCUUGAAUUUGUUUGCUGGCAAUGCUUUAGUCAUAGGAUCAGCAAUCAUCAUCUCGGUCCCAAUGUGUUGGAUAUCCACCUUCUUCUUGUCGUAUUCUUUUACAGCAAGGUACUUUAUAUCGAUAUGUUUGCUGCGAUCUGUAACUCGACUAUUCUUGGUAAAGAACACUGCAGCAGAGUUGUCGCAAUAAAUCUUAAUUGGCCUUGAGAUAGAGUCGACAACUCUUAAACCUGAGAUAAAAUUUCUCAGCCAUAAAGCUUGUGACGAAGCCUCAUAGCAAGCGAUGAACUCUGCCUCCAUAGUGGAUAUAGCAACUGUAUCUUGCUUAGUGCUCUUCCAAGAUAUAGCAUGUCACGCCCCACGCCCCGCCUAUUUGGUCGGGUUCGGGCACGUUAACAGACCGCCGAACAGACAGAGUCUCCCCUGUACGUCCAAUGCAUCGCAAUCAACACAAUACAAGAGGUUCCAACCAGAAACAGUAUUCAUUCAUAGAUUGCAUAAGGAAGUAUCAAAAACAUAAUACUACUAAGUUAUUACAACAUUCAACUUACAUACAUUUUUGCACAUAAUUUUUUUUUACACUCAUCUUCCAAAUACAAUCCCAAUUAUUACAAUUUAUUACAACUUGAUCAAAGUUUGUUCUUGUAUUUAAACCUCCCAAGCUAGACCACCGACUCGGGUACUGCUAUCUCGGUCUCUGGGGUAGGGCGUUAUCUACGGAGCUACGCCCUUGCCUCGCGCCGCCGCGCCGCUCACGUGUGUGCCUGUAAACACCCCAAAACAACGUGGGGUGAGAACCAACUCCAUGGUUCCCAGUGGGUACGGCCACCCAAGGGAAAAGCUCGAUCGAUAUGUCUAAUGAGGCCCUGCAACAAGUUAGUCCAAUAACAUAUAACAGAUAUAUAGCAGAUAUUGAACUAAGAUAUCCUGCCUCCCGAAAUGCAAUAUGCAACGAUCAUGAAACUAGCCCAGUGGGUUAAUUAAUCCUACCCUGCUCAUUCAUUCUUUACUCUUUAUUCAUUAUCAUUCUUUACACUACGCCCAUUGGCGAUUCUUUAUUCGUUAACAUUCUUAAUUACUGCUAGCCAUUCUUAUUCUUUGCCAUAGUCAUUGACAACUCAUAUCUAAGGUUAUCUCUACCUUAGUCAUCUAUAGUACCCGACUCGGUCUUGAGCCAAUCAACUGCGGAUAAUCCACGCUCUGGCUGCUCAUCAGCCCCCCGCCCUCCUGAUCUAGCCGUCUGGCGGCGAACGAAUCGCACCUAACCCAACAAUGGCCUAGGUCAUGACUUAGCCACCCGGCGGCGAAAUCGUCGCACAAACGCCACGACAGUGGUUCAAGUCAACUGGCGGUACAAUCCUCAACCGGCUCAACCAUCCGACGGCGAAAUCGUCGCACACGCCACGACAAUGGUUAGCCCUGGGCGGCGAAAUCGUCGCACACACCCAACACCACUUUGGGUGUAUCCUAUUGCCACUCUCGGCGCAUUCUUUUAGCUUUGGGAUUCCGGAAUCCAUUUCACACAACUCGAGGGUUGGUCUUAACCCUAAGGAGUUGACCUAUCUAGGUCCAAGCCUUUACUCAACCUAAGUUAAUACUUUAGGUUCAUUGUUACCAUACUCAUAGCCUAGGUUAUUAACUCUAGGUUCAUUACCUUUGCUCACCUAGGUUCAUGUGAUUCUAGAUUCAUUAUCUUUAUUUCACAACCUAUGUUCUCUAACAUUAGGUUUAAUGCCAUUCUUAUUUAACCUAUGUUCAUCGACACUAGGUUCAUUGUUUCUCUUGUCCAACCUAUAUUUACUAACAUUAGGUUCUUGCCGCAUUUGUUCAACCUAUAUUCUUGACUCAAGGUUCGAUGCCACUCGAUCUAUAGGUGCAUUUAUGUCCCAAUAGGUGUUCUACAUCACUGUUUCCAUUUUUGAGUUCUCUACUCAUCCUAGAGUUAUCAAAUAAGUUCACAAACAUAUAUAGUCUCACAAUGCUAAUCAUGCAUUUACAAUCUCACAAUGCUAAUCAUGUUUUUUAUAUAUUGUACUUACAUGCAUUCGUGAUCUCUAUAUCAUUUUAUAUGCAUCUACUUUAGCAUCUACAUCAUAGCGUUAUUCUCAUGCAAUACUUAGCAUUUUGCAUUAUACUAUCAACAUGCAUGAACUAUCAUUGACUACAUGCAUUAUCCACAUACCUCAUUUACACUUAUAUGCAUCAAUAGGAAUUCUUACUAUUUCUUAGACAUAAGGGCGACCUAGUCGCUUCGAUAAACACAACCCACCUUGACUUGAGCUCCGAUUGCUUGCAGUCACUUACAAUUGGCCUCCCGCGGCAACCGUUGCCCGGUUUGGCCCGAACUCUUGCGCGACUUAGCGAACGAUCUCCGAACCGCGAUCCGUCUUUUCCGGAGUUUAUUCCUUGACUCCAAGAUGCUCCAGUUUCGAUCUCACGAUUUUUAGGCGUCUAUUCCGCGUGCUGUGGCCAUUUGUAUGACAAAACACUAUUUUGUUAAUAACUUCGCGUACACUUGACGAAUGGUCAAACCGACUUCGCCAACGCGUUCGUUAGGUCCCCAAUUAGGUUUCCAAGUAGUCAAAAUAGAUCAAAACUCCAUAUAAGCAAAACCCCUCUUUGGGAUGCCCUAAUGUGACAUAUGCUCAAUACUCCGGAUUUGAUCUAUAAAACAAGUAAAAGAGAGCUUGUUUAACAUCUAGGAGCUCAACUAGGAGCAUUCGAACCAUUUCUAGGGUGUUUAGAACAAACUCUAGAAAUCCACCAUUAGAGCAUCAUGAGAAAAUCAUGGACUUCAUGGUGUUCUAGGUCUCUACAUGGUUCUAAACAUGUGAGAAGCUCCAAAACUCUAAGUAUUAGGGUAUAAAACCAAACCCUAACCCUAAUCCUACCAUGAGAGGAGGCAAAAAGCUUACCUCACAAGGUUGCUCCAAGCAGGAGGAAGAUGAAGAUGAAGGUAAGCUCUUUCUUCUCCUUCCUUGUCUUCUUUUCCUUUCUUCUCUGCUCUUUUUCCUUCUCUUUUCUUCUUUUUCUUCCCCUCCCUUGCAACCGGUUGAGAGAGAGGGAGAGACACGAGAGAGGGAGAGAGAGGGUGAGCUGCUGCAGGGAGAGAGGGCUUGGGUUAUUUGUUAGUAGGUAACAAUUGCAAAUAAACCCCCCAAACAUUCAUAUUUGCAGCAGACUAAUUUUUGCUGUCGAGUCCAUAGCGUACCGGUACACGAGCUGGUGUCACCGGUACACGACUCGCUCAACAGCCAAACCCGAGAGCCAUCUUCUCAGAUUUUACACUGCGUACCGGUACACGAAAUCCUGUCACCGGUACACAGCCUUUUUCCAGCUCAAACCCGAUAGCUUUCUCCCUCGGUCAGCAAUGGUUGUACCGGUACAGCCAUCACAUGGUACCGGUACACAAGCUCCAGAUUUCUAUUUUUUGCGUCUUUUUGACUCUAUUUAGCUCCCAUUAUUGCUAAAACCUCUCUAACUCUUUUAGAACUCAUGUUUAACCAUUCCAACCUUGUCGGAGUGUAAAUUGGAGCUUGUCCAUUCAUCUCAUUCGCAUGCUUUAGCCAAUUUGACUAAGGUCCAACAUAUCCCACCUAUAUUUCGGUAUGUUACAUAGCACCUUGAGCAAGUAAGAGAAUAUAUCAUGAUGUGGAUUUUCUAGAAUCCACGCAUCCGGCACAAUCAGAGUUCGAAUACCCAACCAUCUCAAGAUGGUCAGAAUGUCUGUAGGUGAGCAUAUAAUCCUUUGUUUCUUGUAAAUAUCUCAUAACCUUCUUUGCAGCUUUCCAAUGAUCAAGACCAGGGUUGCUUUGGUAUCUACCCAACAUCCCUACUGCAUGAGCUAUAUCAGGUCUGGUACAGAUUUGCGCAUACAUCAAACUCCCUAUUAUAGAGGCAUAGGGUAUGCUCUUCAUAUGUUCUCGUUCUAAAUCAUUCUGAGGACACUGUUUCUGAUUGAACAUGUCACCUUUUAUAAUAGGCGCAGCUGUAGGUGCACAAUUUGCCAUAUUAAAUCUUUCUAGAACUCUUUCGAUGUAGGCUUUCUAAGAUAGACCCAAAAUUCUUUGAGAUCUAUUUCUGUGAAUCUUUAUGCCAAUGACAUAAGAAGCUUCACCCAUAUCCUUCAUCUCAAAAUUCUUAGAAAGAAAAACUUUAGUCUCUUUAAGUAAAUUCAAAUCACUAUUUGCAAGCAGAAUAUCAUCCACAUACAGAACUAAGAAAAUAUACUUAUUCCCACUAACUUUAAGGUAUAUGCAUUGGUCCACAAUAUUUUCUACGAAACUGAAUGUAGUAAUUACAUUAUGGAACUUGAUAUACCACUGACGGGAAGCCUGUUUAAGUCCGUAUAUAGAUUUCUUUAGUCUACAAACAAGGUGAUUACUAUCAUCUGUGCUAAAACCUUCGGGCUGUUGCAUAUAAACUAUCUCCUCUAUAUCCCCAUUUAGAAAUGUCGUUUUCACAUCUAUCUGAUGUAGCUCUAAAUCGAAAUGAGCUACCAAAACCAUAAUAAUUCUUAAUGAAUCCUUCUUUGAUAUUGAAGAGAAGGUUUCAUGAUAAUCAAUGCCUUCCUUUUGAGUGAAACCUUUGGCAACAAGUCUGACUUUAUAUCGUUCUUUGUUACCUGAAGAGUCCCUUUUGAUCUUGAAAACCCAUUUACAGCGAAUGGCUUUGACUCCUUGUGGUAACUCAGCGAGAUCCCAAACUUUGUUAUCCGUCAUAGAUUUCAUCUCUUCUUCCAUGGCAUCAUACCAUAGUAAGGAUUUAUCUCCCUGUAUGGCUUCUGAAAACGUCCAUGGGUCUUUAUGGUGUCCAACAUCAAAGUCAGACUCCUGAAGAUAGACUACAUAACCAUCAGGAAUCGCCGGUCUCCUUUGUCUUGAGGAUCUUCUUAAGCCAACCUCUUCCUGCAGAUUUUUAUUAUUCUGUGCAGCUGGCUCUAUAAUUAUCUGUUCCUCUUGGGACAGAUCUUUAUGGGGAGGUUCAACUGAUUCAGCAUUUUCAUGCUCUAAAAUUAGUUGAUCUCCAUUAUGGUCAAAUUGACCUCCUGGAAGAACAAUUAGAUUAUUAUCUGUUGAUGGAUAACCAGUUGAAUCCCUUAUUUCCUCAAAAUCCAUCUUUUGAGAAACAACACUCCCACUAGCUUCAGAAUCCUCAAGAAAUUUAGCAUUCCUGGCCUCAACUAUCUUGGAUGGGUGAUUUGGAUUGUAACGACCCAGCCCACUAGCAACAAUAACUCGUCACUAGCAACAAUAACUCGUUGGGCCCAAACCAACAGCCCAAAAUGCUUAAGCCCAGUUAUUAUUACUAGUGUCUAAGUCUCUUAUAAACCCAAUGACAAUCCCAUUCCUAUCCGAUGUGGGAUUAUUGGGGUGUCACAAACUCCCCCCGUUAAGGCCCUGACGUCCUCGUCAGUCCAAACACACACACAGCCCAAGAUCACCAGGCGAUGUGAGACUCGUCUCGCUAGCCCGUCAUCCAGACCCUGGCUCAGCCGAGACUCGCCACACAUGUCCAGCUGGUGAACCGGCUCUGAUACCAAAUGUAACGACCCAGCCCACUAGCAAUAAUAACUCGUUGGGCCCAACCACCGGCCCAAAAUGCUUAAGCCCAGUUAUUAUUACUAGUGUCUAAGUCUCUUAUAAACCCAAUGACAACCCCAUUCCCAUCCGAUGUGGGAUUAUUGGGGUGUCACAGACUCCCCCCGUUAAGGCCCUGACGUCCUCGUCAGUCCAAACACACACACAGCCCAAGAUCACCAGGCGAUGUGAGACUCGUCUCGCUAGCCCGUCAUCCAGACCCUGGCUCAGCCGAGACUCGCCACACAUGUCCAGCUGGUGAACCGGCUCUGAUACCAAAUGUAACGACCCAGCCCACUAGCAAUAAUAACUCGUUGGGCCAAACAACCGGCCCAAAAUGCUUAAGCCCAGUUAAGAGUUUAGCCCUAUUAUAUCUUAUAUAUAGGACUAUCUAGGGUCUCACAAUCUCCCCCCCUUUAAGCCCUGACGUCCUCGUCAGGCUCAGACUCACAAGUACCAGGCGAUGAGUAGUGGGACGAGACGUGAGGUAUGUGUGUAGCGGUCGAUAGAGCUUCCGACCCAGGUUAUUUCGAUUUAGUUAUUACCCUUAUUAUUUCUGUUGAUUUAUAGCUUAGUCGGUUUACAUGGUUCAGUUUUGUGUUAUUAUCUGAAUAUCUGAGUUUUCAGUUGGUUUUGGAAUGUAAUAAAGGAUUGUGUUUUCUUGAAAUAAAAAUAGUUUUCUACCCCUCGUGGUAGCGUUUUAAAAAGACAAAAGUUUCCGUGUAGGGAACAGUUUUUAAAGGGUUUUCUGUGAUUUUGUAUCUUAGUAUUUAAAAACCUGUUUCUGUGGUUGGAAAUAUUUUAACUGAUAGAUGUGAAUUUAUGUUUAAAUAUUGAAUGGAAAAAUGUGAAUCUGUGGUGAAUGGUGUAUGAAUAUAUAACUGUGGUUAUUUGUAUGUUCAUCUGGUUGUGGUUGUAUCAUGUUUGAACUCUUGUACUUGUGCGACGCCGUGCAAAUACAGGGGAGACUCUGUCCGUGUGAACAGUGGAUCUCCUGUAUUUGUGGCGGAUCUGGCAUACCCUGGGGUCAGGUUUUCAAAAAAAAAAAAUUCAGACGCUUUUCCGCUAUGCUUUAAACUAAAAAGGGACCCUGGGGAGUGACAGACGCUGGGGUGGCGGCGACCGGCGGGGAGGGUAGCCGAGGGUGCGGGGACAGCAGCGGAAGCGGGCUCAGGCGGCGGCGGCCCGCGGGGAGGCCGCACGCAGGCCUAGGUCUGGGCUCGGCCUAGGAAGCAGCAGGCGGCCAGCUGAGGUGCGGCGGCGCUCGGCGACGGCGGCGGCCGACUGGGAGGCUUCGAUGAAGUCGGGGCGACGCCGGCAUGGUGCAGGGAGGCCGCUGCAGCCUCAGCCUGGGCUCUAACCUGAGAAGAAAAGAGAGAGAUGGAGGGAGAGAUGGAGAGAGAGGAAGAAAGGUGGCUGCGGCGGCGGUGGCCGGCCGGAGCUCGGUCGGCGGCGGUCAGGGGGCGUGCAGCUAGGGCAGGGGAGCAGGGUAAAGGUGGCUGGGGGCGCAGGGAGAACUAGGGUUAGGGUUUCCACGAAGCCCUAGGUUAAACAAUAACUCGUUGGGCCCAAACCAACAGCCCAAAAUGCUUAAGCCCAGUUAUUAUUACUAGUGUCUAAGUCUCUUAUAAACCCAAUGACAACCCCAUUCCCAUCCGAUGUGGGAUUAUUGGGGUGUCACAUGGAUAAUAGAACCUAAAUCCUUUGGAGUUUACCGCAUAGCCAAUGAAAUAUCCACUGACUGUUCGAGGGUCCAAUUUCUUUAUGUGUGGAUUAUAAACCCUCACCUCAGCUGGACAUCCCCAUACAUGCAGGUGAUUUAAACUAGGUUCCACCCUUUCCAUAACUCAAAAGGAGUUUUGGAAAUAGCUUUCGAUGGAAUCCUAUUUAAAACAUACACCGCUGUCUUUAGUGCUUCACUCUAAAGAGAAAAUGGAAGACAAGAGCUACUAAUCAUGCUCCUUACCAUGUCCAUAAGUGUUCUAUUCCUCCUUUCGGCAAUGCCAUUUUGCUGAGGCGUGCCAGGCAUCGUAUACUGUGCAAUGAUGCCUUCACCUUCGAGGAAUUGAGCGAAUGGACCGGCCAUUUGACCUUUAUCCGUAUGUCUUCCAUAAUACUCACCCCCUCUGUCGGACCUUACAAUUUUGAUUUUCCUAUCCAAUUGUUUCUCUACCUCAACCUUAUAAGCUUUAAAAACAUCAAGAGCCUCAGCUUUUUCAAAUAAGAGAUAGAGAUACAUAUAUCUUGAAUGGUCAUCAAUAAAUGAGAUAAAAUAUCUCUGACCAUUGAAACAAGAAGUAGGAAAAGGUCCACAGAUAUGUAUGUAUGAUCUCAAAAUUUCAGAACUCCUUCUGGCACCUUUAAUGGUAUUUGUGUUAGUAUACUUUCCCUUUAUGCAUUCCACGCAAGUACCAAAAUCGGUAAAGUCGAGAUCUUGUAAGAUCUUUUCUUUUGCUAAUCUCUUUAUUCUCUCUAAAGAGAUAUGAGCUAAAUGCUUGUGCCAUAAAUAGGAGGAGUUUUCUUUAAUAAUGUUCCUUUUAACACCAAUGUCAUGAUCAACAUUAAAAUUAUUUUCAAAAGAUUGACUCAAAUUAAAUUUGUACAAAUCAUCUACCAAACAACCAUUGCCAACAAUAACAUUAUCGGAGAACAUAGUAAAAAAUUCAUUUUCAAAUAAAAAUUUGAAACCUUUAUUUCUCAAUUUAGAAACAGAAACUAAAUUUCUAGAAAAUUUAGAAACAUAAAAAGUAUCCUCAAGUUCAAGUACAAAACCAGUUUUAAGUUCUAAAAUAAACUUUCCUACGGUUUUAACUUGAGAUUUAUUUCCUUCUCCACUAAUUAAAAUCUUUUCAUUUGGCUUUAACAUAGUUAGGUUGUGAAAACCUUGCAUGAUAUUUGAAAUAUGUACAAUAGUUCCAAAGUCAAUCCACCAUGUGUUUUUAGGAACAUUAACUAAAUAAGAUUCAUAACAAAUAUAUAUAGUUUCAAUACUUUUCUUUUCGAGUCAAUCUUUAUUGGAGCUGACAAACUGCUCCUCAAUAGCCUUUGGGUAAUCCUUGCCUUUAUCACAUUCUCGAAUCGAUCCCUUUAUACUUGUUGAUACUCUAGACUUUAUGAGCAUUAAACUUAAGCGGUUAGAUCGCUCUCACUUUUCCUGCGCGGAUUCCUGCUGUGGAGUUAUUGGCCCCACUAUCUUAGGCGGUUGCUCAGCAAAGCCAAGUCUAAAUCGAAGUAAAAGAAAUAAUUUCUUUCCAAUAAGAAUAAUUGUCCUCAAGUAUAGGAAUACGAGAAACAUCAUUAAGAGAUGCAGUAGAGGAAGAAGCUGCAAAAAUAAAGAAAAUAUUGAACUUUAUCGCCUACUAUAAGAUAAUAAUCUUUAGAUUAGAUAAAUUCUACCUUUCUGUGGGCAGAUGCGCUAUACGCAUAGAAUUUAUUUACUUUAAUAAUAAGUCUAGCAGAAAACUAAUUUUUAAAUAACAAGAUUUCUGUACCUGUGGGCAUAAGAAAACUCGCUAUUUAAAAUUUAAUCUACUAUCUUAUUCUAGUCAAAAUUAAGAAAUUAUUUUAUUUGACUGUAAUAAAUAGUCAAACUUUAAUUCAAUAUCACUAAUAGCUUAUAUAUUUUUCAUUAUCUAUAGAAUGUUGUGGCUACUCCUGAGCAUAAUGAAAAAUACAAAUAACCUUAUUUGACAUUGAAUGACUAUUUAAAAUAAAUUGGGAAUCAAUAUAAAUUUUUGGGAAACUUUAAUUCAAUACCAUCUUAUAAAAAUACCAUAAGUAAUCAUAUACCAUGACUAAAAUGCUGUGGCUACUCCUAGACAUAGUUGAUCUCACAAGUCCGUAUAUGAUAUUAAUGACCGAAAAUUUCAUAUUAUUCUAAAACGCAGCGAAAAAAUAAUAAAAGUCUUGAAUAAUUUUUUUAACAACCUUAUGUGACUCAAAAAUUAUAAACUGUAUGAAGUCUAUAUUCUCUAACUCUAAAAUUUUCAUGAUCACCUUAUAUAUGUUUAGAGUAAUAAUACAAAAAUAUACUGUAAAAUAUUAAACUAAACAUAUUACUUUAUAUCAUGAAUAAACAAACGAGUAGAACAGAAAUUAUAUAUAACAAAUACCAAAAGUUAUAUAUAAUUUUAAUAUAUAGACUUCUUCAUAAAUAAGUCACGUUAGAAAAUUAUUAACCAAAACUAUAAUAUAUAUAUAUCUCUAUAAUCUUUUCAUUAAAAAUAAAUAAAUAAAUAAAUUUUAUUGUGUCGAUGUUUGAUCACCACCCAGGCAGCUCCUAAUGGGGCUUGGUUUGACUGCCACUUAGGCAGCCCCAUUAGUACAUUACGGGCUACCUAGUGCGGUCCUUUGUGGGCCGUGCCUUGUGCGCCCGGGUGGCGUGGUGGUGCGAGUUCGCCACGCCGCCCCAUCGUCCUUCCUCUUUUUUUUUUUCUUUUUUUUUUUUUUUGCUUCUUGAUCGCUCAAUGCGAUUGGGCCGGUGAUGCCAUUCUUCCGAACGCCGGUCUCGAUUGAGAUCGGCCGACGUUACUAUUAACGCAAACCAUUGACGAUUUAUUUAUUUAUUUUCUUUAAUGAAAAGAAAACCAAACGAAAUCUGAAAAGAAACGAAAAUCCGGCAAAAAGUUUAGCUCUGAUACCACAUGUAGGAAACUUUAUAAGAAACUAAGAUCGUACCUUCUGCCAUUAUUUCGAUUUCUGUACCCGAUUUGUAGGUGGCGAUUCUUACUCGUGGUUCGUCCUCGUUCGUGAUCUGCAAGAACACGGGACGUUUCGAGUCUAAUUUCCUUAUCCCUGGAGAUGGAGCUGUCACAGACAAUAGGAUUAGGGUUAGACCGGAACUCCCGUAUGUUAUAUAUUUAUAUAUAACUUGAUAUAAAGAUGUUAAAUCACGUCCGUCCAUCAAGGACGUGUCCAGAUACAUCCUAACCGUAAGAUCUAAAAUAUCUUUAUAAAUCGACUUAAAUUGAUUGACUGUAUCUUUAUAGAUCGCCUUGAAUAUAUCACGUAGGCCACAUCCAAUAUAAGGGGCCUAUAUGGAUAAGUUUUGGAAUUGUAAAAGAAACAGAAUAAUGAAUUCAAAACGGAGGUUUUUUGGAGGAGAAAAAAGAGCAUGGAUUAUUAUUAUUAUUAUUAUUAUUAUUUCAUAGAACUUAUCCCACCUCUUUUCUUCUUACUCCCUGCAUUCUCCACCACCUCCUCCUAGACUCCACCGUUGAUACUUAUGAGCUCUCUCACUCCGUUAAUCGAGCACCCCUCCACCUCCCGGCGUCUCCACUGCCCUUCGACCUGCUACUCUUCUUCUUUUACCUUUGCUAUCUUUCUUCGAGAUUGUGACGUUUUUCCUCGUCGUCGAUUGUUGCUGCCGCUCAUAAACGCUUUUGCUCCGAAUACAGGUGAAUUUUUCAUAUUAAUUGGAUUGCCACAGCAGAGGGUGAUGAAGAAGGCGGAAGGGAUGGGGAGAUAAGUGGGUUUAAGCAAGUAGGAGAAGAUGAUAGGGAUAAAUUUGAGUAAGGCGAAAGUGAUGGGAAGGGAUUUUUCUUUACAUCAAAUUAUUUUUUUUUUUCAGAAUUGAAUCAAACACUAAAAAUAGAGUAAAAUAUUAUAGAAUUUUAAGAUUUUUGUACCAACAUAUUACAACAAUGAUAUAAAAUUUUAUUUUAAAUUCCUGUUUGGCCCUUAGCUCUUAUGCAUAUUUAAGAUUAGAUGGUCAAUCGUCACCAACACCCGUUCAUUUUUCUACAUUAUUGUAACAUACAUUAUGAAUCAGUUUUCUACCUCAAACAACAAUUUUUACUACUAUAUAAGGACUAAAUUAAACAUUAUUGAAAAUUUAGAAACUAAAAUGUAGCAUAAUUUAAAGUUUAGGAUUUCAAGCUAUGAAUUUUUAAAUCUAAGGGCUGAAAUAAAACUUGAAUUAAUAACAGUGAAAUCUAUCCGUAAAGAUACAGUUGAUUCGUAUCGUAAAAGAUUAUUUGAAAUACGACGUAUUCCAUGUUUGAUUCAGAGAAUAAUGCUCUUUUGAAACGUUGAAAAUAUCAAAAUAACGGGCCUGGUCGAAAACCCGUCAACCACUCUGUGGUUUUCAAACCCCACAAGAAAUCCUACUCUCGUAAACUCAUUUUACAUCAAGAAAAGUUUAUAAAAAAUUAAUUCUUAACCACUAAACAAGUCUACAAAAACACGGAGAAAACUGCGUUAAAUCUUUUUUCUUCUUUUUUUUGACAAAAGUUUCCACCUCCCAUUUUUGACCAAGCCGUUCCGUUCGACUUGGCCGUGCCACAGUCCAAGUCGCAGGGUCAAUGUCGGGUCCGCAUCAGUGGGACCACUCGGGCCCCACUCACUCGCACAAUCCACCGUUCAUUCGACGAUCCGCUUGAUCGCAUCGAACGGCCUUUAUCUCCUAGCGUCCUCUAGCCGCCAGAGUCAACAAAAUGUUCUUCUAUGCGGUGGAGACUGUAAAGUACUCCUCCGAACUAUGACGUGGCGGUACGUAAUUGGUUAUUGUAGUUUUAGCAUGUGUUUCGAAAUUUUAGAAGGUAUGUAUUUAUUUACAUAUCCAUUAGAAUUUUGCCACGUUUCAAUUGUACCAUAUAUGUACAACUUUCUUAAGUUGGAUCUCGUAUAGAACGUGCUCUAGCUGGCGCACUACAGUAUCAGUCGCAGCAAUAGUUGAGUGGACCAGGUUCAUCGGGUAAGCACAUUGACUGUGCGUUUUCAAUUUAAAUCAUAUUGUUAAAUAUAUAACUGAAGAUGUAAAUUAAGUUUUUUUAUUUAUCAAUUGCUGGCCGUCUUUGAAAGUUGAAGCUCCAUUAGCUUAAAAUCUAUUCAAAAAAAUUGAAUUCAGCAAAAGCCCCAUUCGAUUUAUCGAAUGCUCUAAUUUAAUUGAUAAAUUAUAUAAUACAAAAUCAAAGGGGUAAAAAUUGAAAAUAGUUGUUUAAAUUUUUUGAAGAGGUGAAUAUAUAUAUAUAUAUAUAUAUAUAUAUUUUGAGAGAUAGGUAGUUAGUUUAUUUUAUUUAAAAAUAAAAUUAGUUAGAAAUGUGAAUCAACUAGAAUUCGAACUUAAGUCUCGGAUACCAACUACCAAACCCUUUGCCACUUACUCUAAGGACAAUCAAUAAUAUAUGUAAUAUUUUUGUUUAAAUAUAACUUAUUGUCGAAGGAAUUUUUGUAAAUUUCUGAAGAGUAAUGUUAAUAUGUAAAAAUAUCACUUAUAACACUAAUUUUAUUGAUGAGUUGUAUGAAAAUAGUGUUUCUAAUAUAUAAAUAGGUAACAAAGGAGAAAAUACUUAUGCACAGAAGAUUAUAGCACUUGACAAGAAAAAUUAAAAUGCAAAAAUAUGUCAAAUUUAUUUGAUCUAUAGUUUAUUUCGAAAUGACUUUCGAAUCUUUAAAGGUUUAAAUCUUAUUUAUCUAUUUUUAAAAAAAUUUAUUAGAUUUGAAAUAUUUGAUGACUAUUUUAUUUUAAAAUUUGGAUGCAUUAUUUAUUUUAACAACUUUAUAAAAGCAUAUUAAUAUGUUCUAUAUUAUUAUAUUUUUAAUUAAAAACAACUAGUGUGCCCGAAUUUUAUCUCUAAGUAGCCAUCAAAUAGCUCAAAAGAAAUUAAUGACCAGAAAAAUUAAAUAUUAAAAUUAAGAAUUUCAAAGCUGGAUAAUUGAGUCAGAAAAGGUGUGAGCUCAGCAAAUUUCAUUCCAUACAUAUUUUUUUCUUUUCUUUUUUUUUUCCGCCUACAAUUAUGACAUCCGGAAGCGCACAGCUGCAGAUGCACCGGGUGCAAGAAUGAGUUUCCCAAUUGUUGGUCCAUUUCCGACCUCGUCGUCGGAGGGGGAGAAAGAGAGAAAGAGGACUAUCUACUUCGUCUGCUCUCCUCCGUUUUCUCAGCCAUUUUCGCUCUACGUUCUUACUCCUCGAUCCCUCAGCACUACUACAUAUAAACGUGAGAGAAUAUCAUAAAAAUUAGAAGAGCCGAGAGCCGAGAGCCGAGAGAGAGAGAGGUUUUUCUUCUCCUAGCCGGUUCUUCUCUGCUCUCCUCUACCCCUCUCUCUCGCUUUCUCUGUUUCUUUACUCCCCAAUCCUCUUUAGAGGGAGAUAGCGCGCGCGAUCCGUGUGUCUGUGUGUACCUUCGCUGGACCGAAAAUGGCGAAAUCCUUUCGCCAGUAGUUAAAAGCGGCACCUUAAUUCGCUCGGCUCCAAAUUAAAGAUGGCACCUCUACUGCCGCCGACGCUGCUGCUAGUCCUCCGGCUCCUAGUCCUCCUCUUGUUCUCCAACGCGGGCGGCGCCGGCGCCAUCCCUUUGGGAUCCGUGCUCACCCCGUCCAAUUCGUCGUCGUCGUCGUCGUCGUCCUGGUCGUCCCCGAACGGCACGUUCUCCGUCCGCUUCGUGCCCUCGCCGUCCCACCCCUCCCUCUUCCUGGCGUCCAUCGUCUUCUCGGGCGGCCUCCCCGUCUGGUCCGCCGGCGGCGCCUCCGCCGCCGUCGACUCGUCCGCGUCCCUCAGCCUCCUCCCCGACGGCGACCUCCGCCUCCUCAACGGCUCCGGCGCCCUCGUCUGGAGCUCCAACACCUCCUCCCUCAGCGUCUCCUCCGCCGCCCUCCUCGACUCCGGCAACCUCGUCCUGCAGAACGCCUCCGACUCGCCUCUCUGGCAGUCCUUCGAGAACCCCACCGACACCCUCGUCCAGUCCCAGAACUUCACCUCCGCCGCCUCCCUCGUCUCCGGCCCCUACUCCUUCUCCCUCCUCCGCAGCUCCGGCAACCUCACCCUCCGCUGGAACGGCACCGUCGUCUACUUCAACGAGGGCUACAACGCCUCCUUCACCGCCAACCGCACCCUCUCGUCCCCGACCCUCUUCCUGCAGUCCAACGGCAUCCUCUCCCUCGCCGACGCCGCCCUCGGCUCCUCCCCCGUCGUCGUCGCCUACAGCAGCAACUACGGCGAGAGCGGCAUCACGCUCCGCUUCGUCCGCCUCGACCCGGACGGCAACCUCCGCGUCUACAGCGUCUCCGGCGGCAGCUCCGCCCCCACCGAGCAGUGGUCCGCCGUCGCCGACCAGUGCGAGGUCUUCGCCUACUGCGGCAACAUGGGCGUCUGCUCCGCGGACCCCGCCGACCCCCGCCAGGGCUGCCGGCCCCGCACCCCGCUCGAUGACUGCCGGGCCAACUGGACGAUGCUGGAGCUGGAGAACACCCGCUUCCUGACCUACCCGCCCGACGUCGCCACCGAGCAGUUCUUCAUCGGGAUCACGGCGUGCCGCCAGAACUGCCUCUCCGGCCAGUCCUGCCUCGCGUCCACCGCCCUCGCCGACGGCUCCGGCUUCUGCUACAUCGUCGUCGACUUCGUCAGCGGCUACCACUCCGCCGCCCUCCCCAGCACCUCCUACGUCAAGGUCUGCGCCCCCGAGGAGCCCAACCCCCCGCCGGGCGCUCUCGCCGGCGCCCAGCCGGGAACCUCCAAGCUCCGCGCCUGGAUCGUGGUCGUCGCGGUCCUAUGUACUCUGCUGGCGUUGGUGUUCUGCGAGUCCGCCCUGUGGUGGUUCUUCUGCCGGAACAGCCCCAAGUACGGGCCGGCGUCGGCUCAGUACGCCCUCCUCGAAUACGCCUCCGGCGCCCCGGUCCAAUUCUCGUACCGGGAGCUCGACCGGUCCACCAAGGGCUUCAAGGAGAGGCUCGGCGCCGGAGGGUUUGGUUCGGUGUACCGCGGCACCCUCGCGAACCGGACCGUCGUCGCCGUGAAGCAGCUCGAGGGGAUCGAGCAGGGCGAGAAGCAGUUCCGGAUGGAGGUGGCCACCAUCAGCAGCACCCACCACCUGAAUCUCGUCCGCCUCAUCGGCUUCUGCUCGGAGGGGCGGCACCGCCUGCUCGUCUACGAGUUCAUGAAGAACGGCUCGCUCGACCGCUUCAUCUUCUCCGAGCAGCAGUCGUCCUCGUCGUCGUCCUCCUCCUCCUCGGAGAAUCUGCCCUGGAAGACCCGAUUCAGCAUCGCCGUUGGAACGGCCCGCGGGAUCACUUACUUGCACGAGGAGUGCCGCGACUGCAUCAUCCACUGUGAUAUCAAGCCCGAGAACAUCCUUCUCGAUGACAAUUUCAGUGCCAAGGUGUCCGAUUUCGGACUCGCGAAGCUCUUACACCCCAAGGAUCACCGGCACCGGACUCUCACCAGUGUUAGGGGGACCAGGGGCUACUUAGCCCCCGAGUGGCUGGCGAAUCUCCCAAUCACGUCUAAAUCUGAUGUGUAUAGCUACGGAAUGGUGUUGCUCGAGAUCGUAAGUGGGCGAAGGAACUUCGACAUGUCGGAAGAGACUGGAAGGAAGAAAUUCUCAGUGUUCGCGUACGAAGAAUUUGAGAAAGGGAAUUUGAGGAGUGUGCUUGAUAAGAAGAUCUAUAAUGAGGAGAUUGAUAUGGGGCAAGUGGAGAGGGCAGUGAUGACGAGCUUUUGGUGCAUCCAAGAGCAGCCGUCGCUGCGGCCGUCGAUGAGUAGAGUGGUGCAAAUGCUGGAAGGGGUGAUGGAGAUUGAAGUGCCGCCCGCGCCAAAGGUCACGGACAGUUUGAGCCCGAUUCCGUAUUCGUCGAGCUCGGUUCAAGCUGCCGAAGGAUCGUUGUCGAUUUCCAUGAAGAGGAGUGCUGAGAAACCUUCCUUGUCACUUAUCUCUUCAGAACAAUCCUCGGCAUAAAUACAUUCCAGAGGAUGUUAAAAUAUGUCCUCUGUAAGUGUUUACUAGAGCAAAAUUUCUUUGUAUACAUGUUAUAAUUUAUGUUAAUAAAUAUGAGAAUGAGCUUAUAUAUUGGAGCAUUUAGAAAUAGUACAUUCAUCUAAAUUGGAUGAUUUGAAUGUAUACUGGCAAUGGAUAAUUUGAAUGUGUUUUGCCAAGGCCUCAUCCUGUUAAAUCUAUUAGUACCUUAUUUUAUCUUUUUUGUUUCUGUUUUCCCCUAAAAAGGAGUCCUUUGUUUUUCUACUUGCUCUUUGGUUGUUAGGCAGGAUUGAUUACCGCAUGCUAAUUAAUUGUUGAAGUGUCAAAAUUAUGGAAACCCUAAUUUUUGCGUGUCUAAUGAAUGAUGCCAUGGAAGAUGCUUUGUUUCUUGAAAUAUGUUACAGUAAGCUUAUCUUUGUCUAUUUUAUCGAAGAAAAAGACGGGUCAUAUCUGAGUAUUUCUAUUUACAAGAAAUGUUAGCAUUAAGAUGGGUUUAGGUUAAAAUGGGUGUGGAUGUGUACAUUUCUCUUUGAGCCUUGUAGAGGAAUAGGAUGAUACAGAAAGGGGAAUGAUAUUGAUGAGAGUUGUGGCUAAUUAAAUGUGAUAUUAAUAUUGCCGCCUUGUUUGGCUUGAUUCAAUGCACCAAAUAAUGAGCUUUUCGAUGAUUGUUAUUGUUGGUUAUCUUGUAAAUUCAUCUUUUUCCAUUUAAAGUUAAUAGUUUGUUCUUCUAUUAUUAUUGAAAACACCUUAUAUGUUGUAAACCAUCUGCUAUCCAGUGGCGCAUUUUGUUGCAUAGAAUUCCACAUAAUGUUGCAAGUAAUCUGCCAUUCACUGAUGCAUUUAAUUGCAGAUUAUUUUCUUUUAAAUUAAAGAAAAAGGGUGAAGCAUAUGACCUAAGCUUUUGGAAUGUUGAUAGCAGCUUGUUCGUAAGUUCAAAAUCAAUCAGCUUUUUCUAUCUUUGUUGAGCUUUCCUCUUCGCUUCUUGUGUUAGCCGAAAUUUUCUUUUCAACAUUUUAUAUAUUCUUCUAUACUUUUCUGCAGCUAUUAGCUGGUAAACGCACACUUAUAUCUUCAGCAUUAAAACCGUUUAGCUUACUUGUACGGAUCCCACAUGUCACCAUCUGAGAUACUAUUUCAGAAUGUGAAUUUGUUAUUAGCAUUUGGUGUCUCAAUAACUGAAGAAUGUCGUCAGUUCCUGUCCAAUUUAGUUGAACAUCGCCUCAAUCUAUAGGGAAAAUGCAUGCACCUUAUCAAUAAUGGUGUUGAAGCUCUUUAUGGACGUAGCUUUCUGACCCGCUAGCAAUAAUAACUCGUUGGACCCAAACCAUCGGCUCAAAAUAUUUAAGCCCGAUUAUUAUUAUUAAUGUGCGAGGUCUCAUGUAUUCAAAUCAGAAUUAUUUUUUCAUCCGAUGUGAGAUUAUUGGAGCGUUACAAAUUCUCCAUGUUUAGACCUUGACGUUCUCGUCAGAUCCAACCCAAAUCACAGAUGCAGACUAGAAUUAUCAGGUGAUGUGAGAUUUUAGAGGUAGUUUCUAUGGUUCAAGAGGUGGCUCUAACCAAAUCCGCUAGUGUAACACUUUGCCUCGUAUAGCACUUAGUUCUCACACUUCCAGUUGUAACGACCCGACUCGCAAGCAGCAUCGCUGGGCCCAAAUCACUAGACCAAAAUGCUUAAACCCAGUUAUUGUUACUAGCUUAGAGGCCUUAUAUUCUAAUCAGAUCCAUCCGAUGUAAGACUAUUUGGGCGUUACAAAUUUCUCCUUUUUAGAUUACUAGCUUAGAGGCCUUAUAUAUUCUAAUCAGAUCCAUCCGAUGUGGGACUAUCGGGGCGUUACAAAUUCCCCACUUUUAGACCACUAGCUUAGAGGCCUCAUAUAUUCUAAUCAGAUCUAUGUGAUAUGGGACUAUUGGGGCGUUACAAACUCUCCCUUUUUAGAUCUUGACGUUCUCGUUAGGUCCAAACCUAGAUGUGUUAUUUGCUACUAAUAAAAACUUUUCGUUCUUAUAAUUAAUAUGAAGUAUGAGAAAUUUUGCAGAGCUUUAAGGGUUUGUGCAUUUCUGAGUGUUGGUAAAAUUUAUUAAUACCCAAAACGAUUCGCAAAAAUCGCAUAGAUUUUUACAUAUCUCUUUCGCAGUGGAAUGUAUUAUGAUUAUUAGAAUAUGAUCUUAUCUUGUUUUACGAACUCUUCGAUCCGCUAAGAAUCUGCCGCACACUUUAUUCUUUCUCGUUGCGAACCAGCUACCAGAGUCGAACGCAGCAUACCGCACAAAUCCCUAGGGUUUCUGAUGGUGCCCUAGAGCGAACCAGGAGAGAGAAUUUUGUGGAGAGAUGAUUCUAAUUUUUUGUCGUGUAUCGUAUCUGGUCAAUACCUCAUGUAUUUAUAGGCCAUAUGGGAGACGUUAAUCCUAGUCAUAUUCUAACUAAAUUUCACAUAGAUAGAGAUUUAAACAGAUUAGGAUUUAUCUGUUAGAUUUAUUCCUUAUCCCAUGUAGACUAGGAAUAUCUCAGAUAAUUACCAAUAUUUAUUUCUUAUCCCAUAUAGAGUAGAAAUAUUUUAGAUAAGUCCCAAUGUGGACGAAUCCUAACAUCUCCCACUCUUACACACUUGGUACUUAUUCAUACUUUGUCAUCCCAAAUAUUCUUAUGUUGUUUUGCUCUUCAUACCGAAAAUAGUUGGUGCGAUCAAUAACGAAAAGAAUAAAAAAUAAAGUUUUAUAUUAAGCCACCAUCCAACUAACAUAACACCACAACUCAAAUCUUGUCUGUACCCCAAAUCACUGAACACACUAGAUCAUAACAUCUCUGAUCCUAUAGAGCAAGCUAGAUCUCUCUCAUCAAUGCAUUUGUUCUUAUAAUUAUAUUGACAACAAAUAUCAACAUAAUCGUUCGAGUUAUGAGUCACAAAUUAUAGGUGUAUUAUCAAAUGAUUUUUCCUUAGAUGCCUCAUACUAAUCCAUUUCAACUUGACUGCUUUCCCAGACAUGUUUCGCUAGACCGAAUCAAUCAUGGCCCUUGGAUAUCAUGCUAAAGUAGCAUCACUAAGUAUCUACUUUAUGACAUGGUUCUAAGUCACAAAGAGCACGCAAAGUUCACACAACGACGAAACAGGAAUCAAUUUCGUCACUCUCUAAAACAUAGUGAUCGAUCUUGCACAUACGGUAUGAACGUAUGCUAUGGUGGGGCUACCUCUAAAGACAUGUCACGCUCAAAACACCAUACAAAUAUCGGUUCUAUUGUGAUUCAAGACAACAAACCUCAAGACAGUCACCCACAUGGUGUCUUCUUUACAUUCGACUUCAUACAGGCCAAGUAGAGUCGUGGACCAUCUCUAUUGUUGAUUUCAAACAGUCUCAUCUUAGCUCAUUUAAGGCGACAUUCAAGAUUUAAAUACUUGCCAGCUCUUAUAGUACAAAUUAGAUCACCUGCAUUACUAAUCGCAUUUGUGUGAUCUUAUUUGUCUCAUGUUGCUCGUUCUCUUAGCGACAAGGCGAUCACCCGUGUGAGAGGGCUGAUCAAAGGCCUUGUGACAUUCAUUCUUAUAAAGAUAUUGUGCACUAAUUCAAAAUUCAAAAAUGAUGUAUAUGAUUAAAAAGCAAUGUAAAAAAAAAAAUAUUUAUUAGCAAAAUAUUAAUAUAAGACAUAUAAGAGUCAAAUCCUACACAAACCCAAUCCUCUAACAUGUUUAUGAAAAACAUCUUUAACAAGGGGUUUGGUAAAAGAAUCUACUAUCAUAUCAUCAGUAGAUACAAAUUUAAUUACAAUCUGUCCCUGUGCAACUAUAUCUCUAAUGAAGUGAUAUCUGAUCUCAAUGUGUUUAGAUUUUCCAUGAUACUUUGGAUCCUUUGCAUAAGCUCUCGCUGCUUUGUUGUCACAAUAGAUAAUAACAACAUCAUCGGCAUGUGCUGUUACAUUCAAAUUUAUCAUAAAUCUUCUUAGCCAAACAGCCUCUUGUACUGCUGCUGUACAUGCAAUGUACUCCGUCUCCAUAGUCGACAAGGAGAUACAUGGUUGUUUCUUGCUACACCAUGAAAUAACAGCUCCUCCAAGUAUAAACGCAUAUCCCGAGAUAGAUUUGUGUUCAUCUCUAUCUGCUGAUCUAUCAGCGUCGAUGUAUCCCAUCAAUCUAAGCUCUCCUCCAUGAUAGUAUAGAGCAAGGUUCGCAGUUUCUCACAGAUAUCUAAAAAUCCUUUUAACUACCUGCCAAUGUGCUGCACCGGGAUUACUCUAAUAUAGACUAACCAUGCCAACAGCGAAACAUAUGUCUGGCCGAGUACACAUCAUUGCAUACAUCAAGCUGGCGACUGCAUUUGCAUAUGGGACUUUUUCUAUUUGCUUUCUCUCUUCUUCUGUUUAGGGCAUUGUUCGAGGCUAAAAUAAUGACCAUUUUUCAUUGGAGUGUUAAUAGGUUUUGAAUUAUGCAUUCGAAAUCUCUCCAAAAUUUUGAUGUAAGUCUCUUGAGACAAACUUAAGAAUUUUCGAGAUCGAUCCUUGUGGAUCUUGACUCCCAAUACAUAAUCCGCUUGUCCCAUAUCCUUCAUCUCAAAAGAAGAGGACAACCACAUCUGUGUGGUGAUAAUUAACUCCAUAUUAUUUCCGGUCAACAUGAUAUUGUCUACAUAUUGUGAAAGGAUAAGAAAAUCUUUUUCUUCCCUUUUAACAUACACGCAAUGGUCUUCUUCGAUCAUCACAAAGCCUAUUGAAAUAAUUGCUCUAUAAAAAUGUUGAUAUCAUUACCUAGACGAUUUUUUCAAGCCGUAAAUGGAAUGUUUUAAGCGGCACACUUUGCGCUCUUGUCCUUCAGCUAUAAAACCAAGAGGUUGAUUCAUAUAAAUCUCCUCGUCUAGUUCUCAAUUCAAAAAUUUAGUCUUUACAUUCAUUUGGAACAAUUCCAAAUCUAAAUGUGCGACUAUAGCCAGAAUCAGAUGAAUUGAGACAAACCUCACCACUGGAAAGAAUGUCUCUUCAUAGUUUACUCCCUCCUUUUGGGUGUAUCCUUUCACCACUAGUCGGACCUAUAUUUGUUAAUUGAUCCAUCCGCCUUCCGUUUUAUUUUAAAAUCCAUUUAUUUUCAAUAGCUUUACGUCCAGACGGAAGAUCAACUAACUCCUACACAUUGUUCUUAGCCAUAGAACUCAUCUCAUCCUCUAUAGCAGCUAGCCAUUCAUCACAAACUGGUGAACUCAUAGCGUUGGCAAAGAAGCUGGCUCAUCAACAUUCGUAGAAGCACACAUGAACGAUUCCCCUUCAAUCUCAAAUCGACGACGGGGAACACCUCCAUGUUUACUUCUUCGUAAUGAUGGACUUUGUGAGCCAUGGUUAAUCGGCACACUCCCACUGACCAUAUAUAGGAUCACUCCCACUGUUUUGGGCUAUAACUUCAUGUGGUCUCAGUGCCUCAUUCUCGCCUAACAAUGGGGCAUUUUUAUUAGGUUCUUGCAACUCGUAUAGUGCAAGAUCCUUUUUAAUCUCACCAAUGUCUGGAAAUUUAUGCUCAAGAAAAUUCACAUCGUGCGACUCUAUCUGAUCAGUCAUUCCUCUAUCAGUAUGCUUGCCAUACAUCACAUGGCCUUUCGAGCAAUCAGAAUAUCUAAUAAAACUUUAUUUAUUUGCUCUAGGGCUUAACUUUUCCAUAUUUAUGAGAAAUAUUAUGCAAAUAUCCUGCCGAUCCCCAUGGGCGUAAGCCUUCUAAAUUUGGCUUUAUAUCAUACCAUAACUCAUAGGGAGUUGAAGGAACUGACUUAGAGGGCACUCGCGCGGUUAAGUAUAUAGACAACAGUCAACAGUGCAUCACCCCAAAAACUAAUUGGGAGGUUGGCUUGCGCCAUCAUUGACCUAACCAUUUCCAAAAGUGUCCUAUUCCUCCUCUUUGCAACACCAUUUUGUUGUGGGGUGCCGGGAACAGUUAACUGUCUGCGUAUUCCCUUUUCCUCACAUAACUGGUCUGAUAAAUACUCUCGUCCUCUAUCAAUAUGUAGAACUUUUAGAGUUCUUUCUGUUUGGUUCUUAACCUCCACUAAAAAGCGUUUAAAAUAAUCUAAAGCUUCUGAACAGUGAGACAACAUCAAUGAAAGUGAGGAAAUAGUAUGCGCCAUGACGUGCUCUCACAUUCAUAGGUCCGCAUAUGUCUGAAUGAACUAGCUCUAAUGGAUGAGUUGCUCUUCGUGCCUUACCAAAAGAUUUUCUGCAGGCCUUUCCUGCUAAACAUGGUUCACAAGGAGAUAGGCUAGCUGAGCUUAGCGAGUGACCCCAACAGGCCUUCUCUAGCUAGUCUAGCCAUUCUUUCUUGUCCAAUGUGACCUAAUCACGCAUGCCAUUUGAUAUAUAGAACCAGACACAAUAUCAGAAGAAACUAAUAAAGCAGAAUUAUUAUUGUUAUUAAUAAAAUCCAAGUCCAAAUCUAAGACAAAGAAAUCAUUCUAUAAAUAACCAUUACCAUAAAAAUCCUUGCCCAAAUAAAUAGCUAACUGAGUAUCCGUAAAUUGAAAAGAAAAAUCUAAUCUAAGUAACGCUAAAACUAACAAUAGAUUGCAUUGGAUGUUCGGUGCAUACAACACAUCAUGUAAUAUCAAAUAACGACCAUUGCGCAAUCUAAGUUGGUAUGUGUCUAUACCAAGGACUUCUUCCUUAGUGCCAUUCCCAUCAUGACAUAAUGGCUGCCAGCAGACACCUGACGAUAAUCCAUAUAUCCUGCUUGAUCUCUCAUUAUAUGCUUUGUUGCUCCUGUGUCUACAAUCCAAUCAGAGAGAGCAUGAGCAACAAAAACAUGCGAACAUACAUAAAUAAGAGAGUCAGGAUUGGGAUUUACCUUCUUCGGCUCAGUGCAAUCAUGAGCGAAGUGUCCCAUGUUUCUACAGUUAUAGCAUUUCACUUUAUUUAAGUUUUUCUUUCCGCGCUUGCCUUUGCGGCGCUUCUCAAUUUCGCCCUCAUUUUGCGCACGAUUCUGUCAUGCCCCGGGUUCUAACACUACCCCGUCUCGCGAACAGAUCCGCUCCAUACACACGAAGCCUUGUGUACACGAAGUGAUAGAAAAACCUGUAACCUACACAAUAACAACUACGAGAGAGUAACAGAGCUACUAAAAAAGAAUAGAAGUAACUAGUCACCUGUACAUACUUGUAAUUCAAGGUGUAUAUAGUAUCUAGUACAAUAUCAACAUCUUUCAACUCCGAAUGGAUGAAACAAAAUACAACUAUAUGCACAUGACUAAACAAAAAUGAACUAUCUUCAUUAAGGGAUACUACUCUAGCAUGACGACCGGGAUAUAUAAGGAUCUAGCUCGCGACUCCCUUACCUCGAUCAAAAGCAGCAGCGGGAAUUGAUAGCUCUGCAAGAAAAGUGGCAACAAUGGGUGUGAGAACUACUAUCAAACAAAGCAGUCCUUAGUGGGUACCGUCACUGGCUCCAACGGCCUACCUACUAAGUUUACGAGACUCAAAAUAUAGCUAGUAGGUAAAAAAAAAAAUGAUCAGCUAGAAGAAACUCUAUAGCUACUUGACACUAUACUACCAUUAUCCAUGUCAUACUCUUCAUAUAUGUAUAUAUCACUAACUACAAAGUAGUCAUCACUGACCCAAUCCAAAGGGACUGCCAAUCGGCCCGUCCAGCCUAUGCCUAAGCUACACCGUACACCACCCCAGGGGUAGCUGGUGCAAGUAACAUGUCCAAAUGGGACUGUUGCGACAUCAACGCAAGAAGCCAGACUCUGGAGCGACACUCGUGGGCGCGACCCAACCGAGUAUGCAAGCAUGUCUCUGUCGAGCUCAAGCAGGCUCACAGGCUAUAAUCAAUGCAGAUGGUUAACGAGUCAAGAAAUCAAAGUUCAUGUGCCCUCGGCACAAUUUGAUGCAACAAGUAUAGAUCUGGGUCCCCCAUUAACCCCGACAACACCCGACAAUACGAAUAGUCUAAACUCUACUGUAAAAACAAGUUCGGCAUCUCAGCAUGAGCGUAAUCUUAGCCUACACUAGUCUAAAUAUCCACGACGCACUAAUAGCGGUGAUACAAAAAAGGAAUCAGCUCCUGAAGCUAAUUCUGAUAACUUUUCGAAAAGUGAGGUGUGUAGGUUUUGUGAGUUUUCUCCUAAGUUAAGUUUCAGUUCUGCAUAUAAAAUUUAUGUAAAAUUAUUAAAUUAUGCUUCAAAUUCAGAUUUCAUACUAUGGCAUGCAAAUCUACAAACUUGAGCUACUAACAUAAUAUUCCAUACAAAAUGAAACAUGUUGAAAUCUCUACAACUUAGGAGGGAUUUCGAAGAUCUCGGUAAACAUUAACCCACCUAGCACGCUAAUCCAACUACCGUUCAAACCGAAACUUCGCAGGCACCUUUCUUUAGCUAAGGAAGUGAAGAUGAAAGCCAAAAUCGCUGUCAGAGUUAACAAAUUUUAAAAGUGGAAUAAAGUUUCUAACGAAAGUCCAUUUUACAUGUAAAUUCAACUUCGGAAUCAAAUUUACCUAAUUCUAGGCCAAUGCACCUUACAAUCUAGCUUGGGAUAUCUUUGAAUCAGCUAGAAUUUAGGCAUGAAUCAGCUAGAAUCCCCUAAAAAUCACUCACAAGAAAGUUGGAGUCACAACUCGCAAAGAUGAAGCUUCAAUAUCGAAAAUCAGCAUUGCGACAAAAGUUACCUCAAUUGAAGCUCAAUUUCAUGACAAUUUAGCUAAAUAACUUGCUCCCCUAGCUCCUCACAAUGAGGUAGUCCAAGAGUAGGUUCCAAUUUAUUAGCUUGAAGCGUCGAAAUCCAUCAAUUUCACCCUCAAGUUCAGUGAUCAUUGCUGAAAUGUUAGUUUAUAAACUUGUUUAUUUGUUUAAUUUUAUUUGUUUGAUGAAAAGUUGUGUAUCUUAUGAAAGGGUGUGUCCUUUUGUAAGGGUUGUAUCUUUUGGCUUAAGGUCAUAUCCUUUAGUGAAAGGUUGUGUUGUUUCGUGAAGAGUUGCUUCGUUUCAUGCUCUAUAAUAGAGAGCAUGUAAUUUGUUGAGUAGUUGUCAAGUAUGGAUCAAAUUGUAUUAUUCAGUUGUUGUGUACUGAAGUUUAGUUAUAUUAAUAAAGUUUGUUAUUCUAGUGAUAAAAACUUUCUAGUUCAUUUAUAUAUUUAACCAACAUUUGGUAUCAGAGCUAGAACGAAACUCUGUUAAAAAAUGGCUACACAACUUCUCCAAACUCAAAUCCCAAAAUUAGUAAAAGAUAAUUAUGAGAAUUCGUGCAUUCAAAUGAAAGCACUUCUCGGUUCUCUAGAUCUUUGAGAAUUAGUUAAAACUGGAUACCAAGAAUACACAGAGCAAGAAGAAGCUGCAUUAAUUAUAGCCCGACGAAACGAUUUGAAGGAUUUAAGAAAGAAGGACAAAAAGGCACUCUUCUAUCUUUUACCCAGCAGUAGACGAGUCGACAUUUGAGAAAAUUGCCGAAGCAACUUCGAGCUAAGCAGCAUGGGAUAUUCUUGCCACCGUCUUUACAGGAGAUGACAGAGUAAAGCAGAUUCGUCUACAAAAACUUCGAGCGGAAUUCGAAGCAAUCCGAAUAAAGGAGUCCGAAAGUGUCGCAGACUAUGUUUCUCGCAUUUUGGUAAUUGCCAACCAAAUGAAGACAAAUGGAGAAGAACUAAAUGAUGAACGAGUUGUAGAAAAGGUUCUUUGCUCCCUCACAUCAAAGUUUGAACAUAUUGUUGUCGCCAUAGAAGAGUCAAAAGAUAUCAGUACUCUUUCUAUCGACAAAUUGACAGCAUCGCUCCAAGUGCAUGAGCAAAGACUACAAAAGGUGUCUGAAGACGAGUCGACUGAGCAGGCUCUCAAGUCAAAAUUGAAACUUGAUAAUAGAAAAGGCAAAAAUCGUGGAGAAAAUAAUUAUAAUAGAUAUAAGAAUCAAAUGAAAUAUAACAAUGACUGACAGAAUAGCAACAACAGUGGACGCAAUUCACGACAUGUAUAUGGACCAAAAAGAGGCGGACAAAAUAACAAUUGCCUAGGGUCUUAUGGUGGUGCAAGAUCAAAUAUACAAUGCUAUAAUUGUAAAAAAUAUGGUCACUUCAGCAAAGAUUGCUGGUAUAAGAAGAUUGAAGGAGUGAAUCACUACAUCGACAGUACAAUAGAAGAUGAAGUUGCAGAAACAUCACUGUUACUUGCAUGUCAAGAUGAAGUUAAAGAUCCAGAAUAUGUAUGGUUUCUGGUUCUGGUGCUUCAAAUCAUAUGUGUGGAAGUAGAGAACUAUUUGUUGAAAUGGAUGAAAAUGUUGAUGGCAAUGUGAAGUUUGGUGAUUCAUCCAAAGUACCUGUUAAAAGAAAUGGAAAAAUUAUGUUUAUAUCAAAAAAUGGAGAAGAAUUUAUGACUAAUGUGCAGCAUGAACAAGCAAAUUGGUUGAGUAAGAUUCAGCAAGAAAGAAAAGAAUUUAAAAGGGAUAUUGAAAUUCGGAGAAAGGAAAUAAAGAAUUCUAUUAAUCAAAGGGCGGCGGAAAUUGAGACUUCUUUAAGAGAUAAAGAGGAAGAAUUUGAGCAAAAGAAAGCUAAAGAACUUCAGUAUAUGACUUCUCAAAAGGAUAUGAUUAAAAUACAGCUAGAACAUAUAGCAUCGCAGUUGGAGAUGCUCGCUAGUGAGAGAAAGCAAAUUGCUCUUGAUCGCGAACAGAGGGAGAGUGAAUUAUCUGAAAUCAAAAGCUCCAUUGAAUUGCUUAAUACUCAAAGGGAAAAGCUGCAGGAGCAAAAUGCACACAAGUAAUACCAAUCAUAAUGAAGAAGAGAUUAUUGAAGAAAGAAAUAUGGCUAUUAAGGUCAAGGCUUCUGAAGCUUCACCAUCAGCAUCAACUCCUAUUUUCUGGGUCAGGAGAUGUGCUGAGGUGGUAUUCCGACGGUCUUUAGACGAAAAAGCUUAUUUUGUUGCUGAUAAAGAUGCCCAAAAUAGAAAUUUGGAAAAUAUUGGAAAAGUGAGGGAGGAAAAGAAGGAAAUUCAAUCAUCUUUAGCUGAAAAUGUUAGAAGUAUACAAACAGUGGUAACUUCGUUGGGAAGAAAAAGACUGAAAAAUACUAUCCUUUGUAAUGAUGCAGACUCUGAGUUGGAGCCAAGCAGGAAGCUCCAGAAAAUAGCGAGACAAAAAAAAAGAAUAGAUGGGAAAGAAAAAAAAAAACUGUGCUCCUGAGGGUCAGCAACCAUGCUCGAGUGAUGAAAACCCUGAAAUUACAAAUCGAACAGGGCCAGAGAAUGUACCGAAAAUGUCAGAUGACGUGCUGUUGUUGGAUUCGAUUUUCAAUGGAUCAAAAAAAAAAAACAGUUAAUAGACAACUAAGCCAAUUGCUAUGCCGGCAACUAAGCCAUUCGAUAGUGAAGGACCAUCAGAGGAGAUUACUAUGCCGGCAACUAAGCCAAUUGCUAGCAACAAUCACUUUAAAAAACAAGAUGGGUUGGACUUGUUGACCAUUGCAUGAAGUAGUUAACAUCGUUAACUAUUUUUUGUAAAGACAUGUCUCUUGGGUUAAAAAAAAAAAAAAGGAUACUUGAAAUAUGAAAAGACAUGUCUUUUUGUUUAAACAAGAUAUUUCAAAUUAUAAGAAUGUGUCUCUUGAAUUGGGACACUUUAAAGGGAUGUGUCAUUUGGUUGUUUUUUGAAAGUUUUUCAUGUCUAUAAAUAGUGAAUGAAUAGUUGAUUUUUCUUAAAGCAACUUAACAUUAAAAGAAAAGAGAAACAUGGAGAAUAAAGUGAUAGUAAGAGUGUCCUACAAAAAUCUACUUCAAGAAUAUUGUCAGAAAAUGAAGAUGUCGCUGCCACAAUAUCGCACUCAUCAAGAAGGACCUAUUCACAUUCCAGAAUUUUAUUCGUUUGUCGCAUUCAGAAAUUCCACUUAUAUGGGAGAUGUGAAAAAAAAUCAAUGAAGGAUGCGGAACAAGAUGUGGCUCACUUUGCUUUUAUGUGUACCACAGGUAUGGUUUCUCUUGAUCAAAGAAAUUUGGAUUUAGAGAAACUUGCAAAAAUUUUGGAAAAAGAAAAUAUGGUAUUAAAUUUAGAGAAUAAAUCCCUGGAGAAUGCAAUCAACGAGCAGGCCUCUAAAAUUAAGAGUUUGAUUUCAGACAAGGUAGUCUUAUAGGAAAGACUCCAAGAUUAUGAAGACCCAAUUGAAAAAGACGUCGAUAGUUUUGCACAAACAAGCUUAAAGGGGAAUGUUAGUUUAUAAACUUGUUUAUUUGUUUAAUUUUAUUUGUUUGAUGAAAUGUUGUGUAUCUUAUGAAAGGGUGUGUCCUUUUGUAAGGGUUGUGUCUUUUGGCUUAGGGUCAUAUCCUUUAGUGAAAGGUUGUGUUGUUUCGUGAAGAGUUGCGUCGUUUCAUGCUCUAUAAUUGAGAGCAUGUAAUUUGUUGAGUAGUUGUGAAGUGUGGAUCAAAUUGUAUUAUUCAGUUGUUGUGUACUAAAGUUUAGUUAUAUUAAUAAAGUUUGUUAUUUUAGUGAUAAAAACUUUGUAGUUCAUUUAUAUAUUUAACCACCAACAUGGAAUGCACUGCUAUUAGCUGCUCCGGGACUGCACAUUGGUGCUGCCAAUUCCUUACUCCACAAGAAAAUCUAGGGAAAAAUGAGGUUAGGGGGCAAUCCAUGAGUGAUCUUUGACUUCUAUACCACAAGAAAAAUCUGUAAUUCACUACAAAAAUUCAGCACAACUUGGAGAUAGAGGUCAAGAAUUCAGCUUUGACGCAAAAAUUGUUUUCGAUUUUCGGCCUCAAUGGAAACUGAAAGUCUCACUCAUCUUACCUCCAAAUUGGUCCAAACAAGAUUCUAACUCCUAGAGAAAGAAGUCAAGAUCACUCCCAACCCUUCCACAGUUCACCUCCUAGAAGAAAUUCAAAUAGAUUUUAUAAAAAUCCGAGGUUGGAGCGGUUCAGUCCAGAAAAUCAGCAUUGCGCCAUCUAUGAUCAACUUUAAGAUUAGAGCUACUAACCGGCAAAUCCAGCUCAAGGAAGGGUUGAACAGCACCCCAACAACCCCAAUUUAGGUUCCAAACCUUUAAUUUUGAAAUUAGAGCUCCAAACUCCACCCAGUUUGGCUCUUAACCUCAGUUGACAUGCUACCAGCCUGUAGAGAAGUUGCUGGCAGUUUUGUUGCUGCAGCUUGCAACCAAAUCUACUGGCAGUAAUCCCAGCUCCAGCUCAACCAUUCGCUAUUGCAGCAAUUGGGUGUAAAAGAGGGGACAAUAUGAUAAACCAGAAGAUGAAUUACAUCUAUUCCCCUGCUAUAGACUGCUGCCAUAUCCUAGCUGAAUGCUGCUGCUGCUGCUGAAUGCAUCCAUGUUGUUGGCAGCAGCAGUAGCAGCAGUAGCUCAAUCACAUGAGAAAGAUCGAAUACAUCUCUCCUCAAUGCCAAGACGUGGAAGGCAUCAUGAAUGCCAGCUAAUUGCGGGAGGAGUACAAUCUUGUAUGCCACAAGCCUGAGUCGCUCCAAAAUCUCAAAGGGGUCAAUGAAUUGCGGGCUAAGCUUUCCACGAAUUCCCAAUCUGCAUAUCCCCCUGGACAUGAGACUUUCAAGAGGACAUAAUCUCAAACCUGAAAUGUCUUCUAGUAUCAGAAUAGCUCCUUUGUUGACUCUGGGUGGUCUCAAGAGGAUGUCGCACAAUUCUGAACUUUUUCUCUAGUUCCAACAGAAUAUCCGGUCCUAAAGUCUUCUUUUCAUCCACUUCACUCCAAUGUAAGGGUGAUCAACACUUGUGUCCAUACAACCUUCAAAUGGAACCAUCUGGAUGCUCACUUGAUAGUUGUUGUUGUAUCCAAACUCAGCCAGUCUUAGAUGUCGAUGCCUUCCUUCUUCAAAAUCUAGGACACACGCUCUUAACAUGUUCUCAAGGAUCUAAAUAGUCCAUUCUGACUAUCCAUUAGUAAGUGGGUGAAAUGUUAUACUGCAGUGGAGCUGUGUAUCCCAAGCUGUUGUAAACUCCUCGGGGAGUGCAAGACAAAUUGCGAGUCUCAAUCUGAUACAAUCCAGGUAAGUACUCUAUAUAACCUCACUAUCUCAUCCAAAUAGAGCUGUGCGAGCUGAUCCUUGAACCAAGUAGCCUGCACUGGUAAGAAGUGAGCAGAUGUGGCAGCUUGUCCAUUAUCGCUCAAACUUCACUUCUUCCUAAUCCUGUCCAACAGAGUAGGCUGCAAGACCAUGGACAAGUCUUGCAGUAGCUCCAUUGGACACAAUCUCUAAUUCAAACCGCCUCAACUCCUUUGGCAAUUCUCUAUCCAGAUAAACUUAAUUCUUUUUCGAGUCAAUUAGUAGAGAGGUGUGGAAAGCUUUGUAAAGCCUUCCAUAAACCGAUAGUAGUAUCCAACCAAUCCGAGAAAAUCAUCUUUAAGAAUGAUCACAAUAUUUGUGCUAAAUGGCAUACUCGUUUUGGCCACAUUGGACAUCAUAGAAUGACUAGCUUAGUUAGAGACGAGCUGUUGAGCUCACUCACUAAAGUCGAUUUGCCAACUUGUGAAUAUGAUCUAGCGGGAAAAGCCACCCGAAAACCAUCUAAUAAAGCUUUUAGGAUAGGAUUUCCUUUAUAGUUAAUCCAUUCUGACAUUUGUGGCCCAAUGAUUGUAAUGGUGAGGCAUGGUAUUUCUUAUUUCAGCACAUUUGUAGAUGGCCAUAUGCGCUUUGAUCAUAUCUAUCUGAUCUAUCAUUAGUCUGAAAUAUUGAAUUAUUUUAGAAUUACAUUAAUGAUGUUGAGAACCAGUUAGGUUGAAUAUUAAAAUCUUAAGAAUUGACCAAGGCCGCAAGUAUCUAUCUAAAUAAUUCAAGAAACUGUGUGAUGAAAUGAGAAUAAUUAGAUAGCUGACAAUUUCUAGGACUCCGCAGCAAAAAAGCAUACUAGAGAGAAGAAAUCGUAUCUUACUUGACAUGGUUAGAUCAAUAAUGACACAAGCAAACUUGCCUAUCUCCUUUUGGGGAGACGAUUGUUAACUAUUAUCUACAUUCUUAAUCAUGUACCCUCUAAAUCAGUACUUUCCAUCCCGUAUGAGUUGUGAACAGGUAGGAAACUAAAUUUGGAGUAUCUGCGUCCUUGGGGUUUGGCAGCUUAUGUAUACAACAUUUCUCGCAAGUAUGAAAAGUUAUGCCCUAGAGGGAAGAAGUGUAACUUCGUAAGAUACUCUAAACACUCUAAGGAAUACGUAUUCAUCGGAAAGUAGCCAGAUAGAAGUUUAACUGAGAUUGAGUUGCGAGAUGUUGAAUUUCUUGAGAAGAAUUCUUUUAUAGAAAUGAGGUUCAAAAUAAAAUUGAAUUUCAUGAGAUAGAUGACUCCAGUAUUGGUGCUCCUAUUCGUUCAAUUGAGAUAGAGGAGGUAACUCCAAUACCUCCUGAGGAUAGUGGGAGCAACUUACCUUUAGAACUGGAGCCUUAACUUCAUAGGAGCACGCGUGUGGGUGUUCUCCGUUGUCAUUUUGAGAUUAAGGGGGAAGCUUUCACAGUUGCUGUAUAUGAUGAUAAUGAGCCUAGGUCUUUCUAAGAGGCUCUCUAGUCACUUACUUAUAAGGAAUGGUUGGAUGCAAUGGUGGAAGAAAUGGAAUCGAUAAAAUCAAAUCAUAUCUGGGACUUGGUUGACUUUUCGCCAAGGGACAAGACCAUUGGGAAUAAAUAGGUUCUGAAGAGUAAGCGCAAGGUAAAUAGUUCAAUCAAUAGGUAUAAGGCUUGCCUGGUAGCAAAAAGUGGUUUCACCUAACAAGAAGGCGUUGAUUACGUGGAAACCUUCUCUCCUGUUGUAAGGUUUGCUUCGAUCCACUUGAUCUUGGCUAUUGUCGCAUAUUUGAAUUUGAAACUUUAUCAAGUAGAAAUUAAAACUGCAUUUCUCAAUAGAGAGCUAGAAGGGGAGUUCUAUAUGGAUCAGCCUCCUGAUCUCGUUGUAGAGGGUGAGGAGCAUCAUGUUUGCAAGUUCUGAUGAUCAAUCUAUAGAUUAAAGUAGUCAUCGAGAUAGUGGUAUAUUUAAUUUUAUCAAGCCAUCACUAAAAAUGGGUUUACGAUAAUUAAGGAAGAUUAUUGUGUGUAUGUUAAAUGGUCCAAAAAAAUUCUCUAAUCCAUUUCUUAUAUGUUGAUGACAUUCUAAUAGCGGGGAAUUAUAAGAAGAUGAUUGUCGCUAUUCAAACAUAGUUAUCCUCCAAUUUUUAGAUAAAGGAUAUGGGUGAAACGAAUUAUGUGGUCAAAGUUAAGAUCCUGUGAAAUUGUUCAAAAAAACAUUUAGAUUUAUCUCAUGAGAUUUAAGAAAGAUUUAGAACAAUUUCAGAUGCACAAUUGCAAACUCAUUAACACUCCUGUUACUAAAGGUGAGAGCUUGAACCUUAAACAUUGCUCUAAAACUUUUAAAGAGAAAAAUAAGAAAAAUUGGAUUUUGUAAACUAGUGUAGUUUGGAGUCUAAUUGUAAGGAGGUGAAUUCUCGAAAUCCGAGGAUUAGACUUCGCUUAGAAUCGACUAAUUGUCGAGUGUGUAGGCUUCGAAAAGUCCGAAGGUGAUUAUAAUGCAUGAAGUGCAUUAAGGAAAGGUCCGCGAGAGCAGAAGUGCAAAAUAUGCACUGGAGCAGAAUUGCUCUCGGGGACCGGUCCCUGGUAGGGUGGGACCGGUCCCAUUAGGCUGGGAUUGCGGGGAUCCAUGAUGCGACCGGUCCCUGGCAGGGGAAGACCGGUUCCCGAACGUUAGCCCGGCGAGAAUAGCUGAAAUUUGGCUAAGUCCCGAAAAUCCAACUCUCAGGAACCGGUCUCUUGGACAAGGACCGGUCUCCCGGGGACCGGUCUCUCAGGCAGGGAUCGGUUCCCGAACGCAAAAUCCCUUCUGCCCGAGAUGGAAGGCUCUCGGGGACCGGUCUCCCCGAGCUGGGACCGGUCCCUUACUGCGAAAUCAGCCCAGUGAAGGCUGUUGAAUAGAUGGAAAGUUGAGGGGCCUAUUUGUAAAAUGGCCUAUAUGAGAGGUGGGGGACCCCUCUCUUUCUCUCAUUUGCUCUCUAACCCUCUUACACUCUUUCCCUCUCUCUCUCUCUCUCUAGAAAGAAAAGAAGAAGAAGAAGAAGGAGAGGAAUAAGAGGAAGGUAAGAAGAAGAAGUGGAAGGAGAAGACCAAAAAGGAGAAGAAGAUCAUCUUCUUCCCUCUCUCCUUCAAGCUAGAGCAAGCUUUGAGCUUGGUUUAGAGGUAAACCUCAAACCCAUCCAUGGUGGAUUUCUUGAGAUUGGGUUUUAUUGCUUAGAAAUGGUUUGAAUGAAACCUAUGGAAGCUAGGGGUAUGGUUUGAGCUCGCAUUUGAGGCUCGCACCACAGAUUUCUCCCUCGUUGCCAUUGUAGGGCACGGAUUUGGAAUUUUUGGAAAUCAAGGGUUUUGAUCUAUUUUAAUAGGUCGUAAACCAAAUUGCUAGGUCACGGAACGCGUCGGCGAAGACGGUUCGUCGAUACGACGAGCGGGUGCGAAGAUAUCUCCGAAUCAAGCGCUUAAGGGUUCGGAUCGACCCGUGACGUCGAAGCGUCGACCAAGGACUGUGAAAUUGAGUUUUCUACCAUUGCGGCAUCACCAAGAGGUGGGUGGUGACCAUCCCGAAGCAAUCGGGCUCCUUUUUAUGUUUUAGUAUUUUGAGACCUUGCAUCUAUGUUCACAUGCAUUAUAGGAUAAUUGUGCAUUGCCUUUCCUUAUGCUUUCCUAGCUGAUAUCAUAUUAUGCAUUAGUUGCUGGAUAUAGGAGAUUGGUGAGGAUUGGGUUGAGACUUGUAAUCCUAUAGUGUAGCGGUGAAAGAAUGAUGCAAUAGUCGAAAUAAAAGAACGAGUGGCAUCUCGUCGUUAAUUAAACAAAGAACGAGUGGCAUAUGUGAGUCGUAGCGUAUAUGAAACCCAUUGACUAUGGUGAUAGUAACCCUAGAGGACAGGGCACCCUUGAGGUGGGAGAAUUGGAUCAUACUCAUUGUCUGUUCCCGACUUGUCACGCCCCGGGACCGGCUGAGGCCCUCCCGGUAGCGUGCCCAGACCCGCCAUAUGUCUACACAUACAAGGCGUCUAGAAUAAAAGCGGAAGUAAAAGCAAGUAAUAGAACAAAUAGAAAAAGUGAAAUAACUAGCAACUAAUGAUACCAGAGCAAGUAAAGUUCUAUCAUCUACACCAAAGUAAAGAAAUAAAGCUAGUCAAACAAAGAAACCAUAAGUAGUACAAUAACCGUCUCUAGUACAAAAAUGGUGGCCUCUAUACAUAUACGGGUACAACUCUCAACCUCUCACAAAAAGAAAGUACGAGAGGUAGACCACCUAUCGAACGAUCCCUCGGUAAGCACGCUAGCCCGAGGCGAUACCCUUUCCGCGAUCCCUGGCCUCUCCCUGCGUGGAAGACUCUGAAAAACAUCGAGAAAAAGAGGGCGUGAGAACUAUAAUUUAUAGUUCCCAGUGGGCAAUUACUGACCUCAGCUCUAUGCACCACUAGGCCCCAAAAGAAAAGGGUAAGUACAAUNNNNNNNNNNNNNNNNNNNNNNNNNNNNNNNNNNNNNNNNNNNNNNNNNNNNNNNNNNNNNNNNNNNNNNNNNNNNNNNNNNNNNNNNNNNNNNNNNNNNNNNNNNNNNNNNNNNNNNNNNNNNNNNNNNNNNNNNNNNNNNNNNNNNNNNNNNNNNNNNNNNNNNNNNNNNNNNNNNNNNNNNNNNNNNNNNNNNNNNNNNNNNNNNNNNNNNNNNNNNNNNNNNNNNNNNNNNNNNNNNNNNNNNNNNNNNNNNNNNNNNNNNNNNNNNNNNNNNNNNNNNNNNNNNNNNNNNNNNNNNNNNNNNNNNNNNNNNNNNNNNNNNNNNNNNNNNNNNNNNNNNNNNNNNNNNNNNNNNNNNNNNNNNNNNNNNNNNNNNNNNNNNNNNNNNNNNNNNNNNNNNNNNNNNNNNNNNNNNNNNNNNNNNNNNNNNNNNNNNNNNNNNNNNNNNNNNNNNNNNNNNNNNNNNNNNNNNNNNNNNNNNNNNNNNNNNNNNNNNNNNNNNNNNNNNNNNNNNNNNNNNNNNNNNNNNNNNNNNNNNNNNNNNNNNNNNNNNNNNNNNNNNNNNNNNNNNNNNNNNNNNNNNNNNNNNNNNNNNNNNNNNNNNNNNNNNNNNNNNNNNNNNNNNNNNNNNNNNNNNNNNNNNNNNNNNNNNNNNNNNNNNNNNNNNNNNNNNNNNNNNNNNNNNNNNNNNNNNNNNNNNNNNNNNNNNNNNNNNNNNNNNNNNNNNNNNNNNNNNNNNNNNNNNNNNNNNNNNNNNNNNNNNNNNNNNNNNNNNNNNNNNNNNNNNNNNNNNNNNNNNNNNNNNNNNNNNNNNNNNNNNNNNNNNNNNNNNNNNNNNNNNNNNNNNNNNNNNNNNNNNNNNNNNNNNNNNNNNNNNNNNNNNNNNNNNNNNNNNNNNNNNNNNNNNNNNNNNNNNNNNNNNNNNNNNNNNNNNNNNNNNNNNNNNNNNNNNNNNNNNNNNNNNNNNNNNNNNNNNNNNNNNNNNNNNNNNNNNNNNNNNNNNNNNNNNNNNNNNNNNNNNNNNNNNNNNNNNNNNNNNNNNNNNNNNNNNNNNNNNNNNNNNNNNNNNNNNNNNNNNNNNNNNNNNNNNNNNNNNNNNNNNNNNNNNNNNNNNNNNNNNNNNNNNNNNNNNNNNNNNNNNNNNNNNNNNNNNNNNNNNNNNNNNNNNNNNNNNNNNNNNNNNNNNNNNNNNNNNNNNNNNNNNNNNNNNNNNNNNNNNNNNNNNNNNNNNNNNNNNNNNNNNNNNNNNNNNNNNNNNNNNNNNNNNNNNNNNNNNNNNNNNNNNNNNNNNNNNNNNNNNNNNNNNNNNNNNNNNNNNNNNNNNNNNNNNNNNNNNNNNNNNNNNNNNNNNNNNNNNNNNNNNNNNNNNNNNNNNNNNNNNNNNNNNNNNNNNNNNNNNNNNNNNNNNNNNNNNNNNNNNNNNNNNNNNNNNNNNNNNNNNNNNNNNNNNNNNNNNNNNNNNNNNNNNNNNNNNNNNNNNNNNNNNNNNNNNNNNNNNNNNNNNNNNNNNNNNNNNNNNNNNNNNNNNNNNNNNNNNNNNNNNNNNNNNNNNNNNNNNNNNNNNNNNNNNNNNNNNNNNNNNNNNNNNNNNNNNNNNNNNNNNNNNNNNNNNNNNNNNNNNNNNNNNNNNNNNNNNNNNNNNNNNNNNNNNNNNNNNNNNNNNNNNNNNNNNNNNNNNNNNNNNNNNNNNNNNNNNNNNNNNNNNNNNNNNNNNNNNNNNNNNNNNNNNNNNNNNNNNNNNNNNNNNNNNNNNNNNNNNNNNNNNNNNNNNNNNNNNNNNNNNNNNNNNNNNNNNNNNNNNNNNNNNNNNNNNNNNNNNNNNNNNNNNNNNNNNNNNNNNNNNNNNNNNNNNNNNNNNNNNNNNNNNNNNNNNNNNNNNNNNNNNNNNNNNNNNNNNNNNNNNNNNNNNNNNNNNNNNNNNNNNNNNNNNNNNNNNNNNNNNNNNNNNNNNNNNNNNNNNNNNNNNNNNNNNNNNNNNNNNNNNNNNNNNNNNNNNNNNNNNNNNNNNNNNNNNNNNNNNNNNNNNNNNNNNNNNNNNNNNNNNNNNNNNNNNNNNNNNNNNNNNNNNNNNNNNNNNNNNNNNNNNNNNNNNNNNNNNNNNNNNNNNNNNNNNNNNNNNNNNNNNNNNNNNNNNNNNNNNNNNNNNNNNNNNNNNNNNNNNNNNNNNNNNNNNNNNNNNNNNNNNNNNNNNNNNNNNNNNNNNNNNNNNNNNNNNNNNNNNNNNNNNNNNNNNNNNNNNNNNNNNNNNNNNNNNNNNNNNNNNNNNNNNNNNNNNNNNNNNNNNNNNNNNNNNNNNNNNNNNNNNNNNNNNNNNNNNNNNNNNNNNNNNNNNNNNNNNNNNNNNNNNNNNNNNNNNNNNNNNNNNNNNNNNNNNNNNNNNNNNNNNNNNNNNNNNNNNNNNNNNNNNNNNNNNNNNNNNNNNNNNNNNNNNNNNNNNNNNNNNNNNNNNNNNNNNNNNNNNNNNNNNNNNNNNNNNNNNNNNNNNNNNNNNNNNNNNNNNNNNNNNNNNNNNNNNNNNNNNNNNNNNNNNNNNNNNNNNNNNNNNNNNNNNNNNNNNNNNNNNNNNNNNNNNNNNNNNNNNNNNNNNNNNNNNNNNNNNNNNNNNNNNNNNNNNNNNNNNNNNNNNNNNNNNNNNNNNNNNNNNNNNNNNNNNNNNNNNNNNNNNNNNNNNNNNNNNNNNNNNNNNNNNNNNNNNNNNNNNNNNNNNNNNNNNNNNNNNNNNNNNNNNNNNNNNNNNNNNNNNNNNNNNNNNNNNNNNNNNNNNNNNNNNNNNNNNNNNNNNNNNNNNNNNNNNNNNNNNNNNNNNNNNNNNNNNNNNNNNNNNNNNNNNNNNNNNNNNNNNNNNNNNNNNNNNNNNNNNNNNNNNNNNNNNNNNNNNNNNNNNNNNNNNNNNNNNNNNNNNNNNNNNNNNNNNNNNNNNNNNNNNNNNNNNNNNNNNNNNNNNNNNNNNNNNNNNNNNNNNNNNNNNNNNNNNNNNNNNNNNNNNNNNNNNNNNNNNNNNNNNNNNNNNNNNNNNNNNNNNNNNNNNNNNNNNNNNNNNNNNNNNNNNNNNNNNNNNNNNNNNNNNNNNNNNNNNNNNNNNNNNNNNNNNNNNNNNNNNNNNNNNNNNNNNNNNNNNNNNNNNNNNNNNNNNNNNNNNNNNNNNNNNNNNNNNNNNNNNNNNNNNNNNNNNNNNNNNNNNNNNNNNNNNNNNNNNNNNNNNNNNNNNNNNNNNNNNNNNNNNNNNNNNNNNNNNNNNNNNNNNNNNNNNNNNNNNNNNNNNNNNNNNNNNNNNNNNNNNNNNNNNNNNNNNNNNNNNNNNNNNNNNNNNNNNNNNNNNNNNNNNNNNNNNNNNNNNNNNNNNNNNNNNNNNNNNNNNNNNNNNNNNNNNNNNNNNNNNNNNNNNNNNNNNNNNNNNNNNNNNNNNNNNNNNNNNNNNNNNNNNNNNNNNNNNNNNNNNNNNNNNNNNNNNNNNNNNNNNNNNNNNNNNNNNNNNNNNNNNNNNNNNNNNNNNNNNNNNNNNNNNNNNNNNGAUCCUUGAAUGAGCCACGAGACUAAUGAAUAAGUAAAUAGUCUUACUUCUUGGACAUAUGAAGAGCUAGUUGAUUAUCUAUUUCAUUAUGCAUGCAUUUUUUCAUAUACAUGAUUCGGGCACAAUAGCGUAGUUUUACUAUCUGUUUCCAUAGCUUUCCAUAUCUAUCUAUCUGUUUAUCUACUUGUGCCCACUUGGACCUAGUGGGGAGACCGGCGGAGUCGGUGGCCGAACCCACUGGGAACUAUGGAAGAUAGUUCUCACCCCACUCUUUUCAGGUCCGAGCUCGGGUGUCCCCGGCGAGCACGAGGAUCGUGGUAAGGGCUUAGCGCCCUAGUUGCAUUAGCUAUCCACCCAUUUUGCAUUAGCUCUACCCUGUAUUUAUGCUUGAGAGUAGAUGUUGUAUAGGGUGAGGUUGAAAGGACUUGUACACAUAUUUUGGAAAAAUGUAAAAGAUGGAAUUAAAUGUAUUGAGGUGAAUGAAUGUAAUAGAUAGAACUUUCUCUCUUUAUUUAUUUGUAUGUCCCAUACUUGUAUCUUGCUCUUAUUCGUUAGCAUUGGUAGUGCUCCUCGCGAUCGUGUAUCUAUGAAUUGACUCCUGGGUAAAUUCUUAUACAUGAUCAGUUGGGUAGCCUUGGUCGGACAGGGGAGGUUCUGUCCGUUCGGCGUCUGUUCGACGCGCCCGGACCGGACCAAAUUGGUAGCGGUCUCAGGGCGUGACAGAUAAGGUGGUAUCAGAGCGUAAGAGCAAGUAAAGAGAGAGUCUAGGAUGACCUAGGAGACCCUAGAUUGGUAAACUCUAAGAUUAUAGGGGCGUGAGUGAACGUGAACCCAUGGCGGUGGCGGAAGUUGAUCGAUUAGGUUGAAGUUGAUGUUAUGUCUCUAGCUGUGAAUAGAGACGGAUCCAAGUGAGGCUAGUUUCUUGGCUCGUAGUGGUUGUGUCGGCGGCUGACGACGCGACGCUAAGUGCCCAGAACUAGAACACUUGUGUGCUUCCGCCCGAUUUUAUUGUCGAGUUGUUUAAUUUCGUGAACGCUAAGAAGUUAUCGGGUUAAGAUAACUAACCGAGUUGUUGCUUUUCAGGAGCAAAUGUCCCCAAGACGAUACAUACGCAGGUCUGCUCCGGUACCGCCUUCUGCGGAGCCCGAGUAGCCAAGAUCGGAGGAAGUGCAGGAGCUGCGGGAGUAGGUCGCUGCGAUGUUGGGUGCGAUGCAGCGCCAGGAGGCUCGGUUCGAGCAGCUCCAGGGAUUCGUGGAGCGGCAAGCGGAGGCGGCGGCUGCGACCGCGACAGCGAUAGGAGACCGCGAUCCGCCCGCACCUUCGGCGCGCGCGCUGGUAGAGGCUGAGGGUAAGGGUAUAUCGGCGGUUCCGGUGGCUGCCUAUCCCCCACCGGCCAGUGCGCCUCCGACAGCUUCGGGUUCGGCGACAUCUGACACGACCGCCAAGGAAGUGGAGCGGGAGCGUGCGCUGACGGCCCUAAUGAAAUUUAUGAAGUUUAAGCCACCAACUUUUGAAGGGGGAAAGGUGGAGCCGUCGGUGGUGGAGUACGGGAUUGACUCUAUGGAGACCCUCUUCGAGGACCUAUAUACCUUGGAGAAGGUGUAAUACACUGGAUCUUAGCAAAUCGCAAGAUUCGAGUGUUUGAUCUGUGUGUGGAGCCUUUCCACAAUUUUUGGAGGGUCGUUGAUAGUGUUCCGACCCCUGGCACGCACCCCGAGGAUGUUGGUUUGAGACUUGGCACCAAAAUCCCAAAACUGAAAUUUUUGGUCAGCUCUCGGGUUGCCUCAGCAGGUUGCUGUACCGGUACAGGGUUGAUGGUUGUAUCGGUACAGGGCUGAUGGUUGUACCGGUACAAGGUCGGGCUUGUACCGGUACAAGGGCCAGUUCUCAGCCAACCCGAGGCUCGGGUUUGGCAUUUUCACAGAGCUUGUACCGGUACAAGGGCCCGUGUACCGGUACAAGGUGGCUGAAUGUGAGCAGUUUGGUCUGCAGGGGUGUUUUUGCUAUUGUAGCAUUUCUAUAAGUGCACCCCACGCCCCUUAGGGCCUCCCCUGUGCAGAGACCAGCAGGAGUUGAGGUAGGAGGAGCUCUCUCUCCCUUCUUUUGCAUUUUUACUCCUUUUGCUUGAUUUUUAUUAGGUUUUCUCUCCUCUAUUUGCAUCUUGGUGGCUUCUCCACCAUUGUUGAUGGCUUAGAGCUUGGAGAGGAGCUAGUGGCUGCGGAGAUCUUCAACAUCACUUGGAUUGGAGCUAAAUUUGGAGCUUCUUGAGAGGUUAGAGACUUGAUUUCUCCCUUUGAUCCUUGAUUUGAGGUUUUUGUGAGAUCAAACCCUAGAANNNNNNNNNNNNNNNNNNNNNNNNNAUCGCGGAUCAGCGAGUUCGAACCGUUUACUGUAGAAUCGGCUUCGGCUGCUGAUUGAGCCGAUUUACUGAAACUGUGUAGGGACUCAUGUGCGGCCAGAAGUGUGCCGAAUGGAAGAAGUACACAGCUAACGGGUCGGCUGAAGAGCCGAGAAUGAAGAAGUACACAAUGACUGUAAGCUGAAAGAGCCGAAUAGCAAUGAAGGACACAUGAUGAUUUGGCCGGCUGAAAGACGCCAAAUGCUUUAUCAUAAUAAUUAAAAAAGAGUGUGACGCGAAAGGGCAUACAGACUCAGAAAUUAGUUUUAACAGAGUUGAGUUGCCCCGUGCGGCGAGCAGACUGCUGCCUAAAAUGUAGCCUCUACACGCGAGUGCAAUGCGUGGCAGAUAGACAUCCAGAGACCUUCUAUUUUAGCGAACUACUCUUAGGCAAAGCCCAGUAACAUGCGGAAAAGAAAAGAUUAAUUACACUACUCCUAGAAAACCGAUUAAAAAUGUUAGAGCGAAAUAAGGGUGGUCUCUCGUUCAGGGUGUGGCUAGAAAGACCUUUAUAUACAGGCUUGAAAUUACUAUUUAGCUGCCAUUGCUCUGUCGUAAGCCCACAUUAUUGGUCGGUUGAAAGUAGUGGGCGGAGCUGCGUUAGCCUAACCAUUGCUCGUAGGAAGUCUCGCCCCUCGUCAUGCGAAGUACGCUCCAAUCGUACGAAGUUAUAGCCCACUUACUCAACCUUACCUGCCUAAACCUUCAGGCGCUUUAUUGUCUGUCCUGGUGUCCAGUAUCUUAUUGCGCUAUACGCGGCUUAGUGUCGGCGCAUGUUGAUUUCAAUUUUGGCAUCAACAACCCAUUAAACAUGCAUCUAGGUAUUUGAAACUUUACAGAAGUACCAAGUUCAUUUGUACUAUGUAAGUUUUCGGCCCAUUGGCAUUAAAAAUGCAUGUGGUUAGGCAUGAUAGUGGCCGCCUAGGUGAGUGGCAUUAGCGACUUGUUGAAUAGUAAUGAUCUAACAGGUAAUGAAUGCGUCAAAGGAGUAAAUCUAACGCCAAUAAAGCUUACAAGCUCAAUUAGUCCGACUUCCCAUUAUAUAUACUAUAGUAUAUUAGCUGUGAGAUAUGCCUUCUCGGAAGCCCCACGCGUAAAUGUCUAUCUGAGCGGAGGAGGCAUGAGCCUACCAACCUAUUAGCAAGCUUCAAACAAGGUUUCAAAAUCUCCGAAGAUCACUGGAGAUCUCCAUCUUCCCCAGCCUCAAGUAUCAAGCUCCAAUGGUGGAAAAAGCUACCAACAAGCCAAAAGAAGCAAAAAGGGCUUUUAAUUCACCAAAAUCCCCAGCCUAAAAAGCGGUUAAAGAAUCGAUAGAGAUGGUGAGGAGGGCGCGCUACCUACCUUCUCCUCCUCUCCCUGUGAUUGAGCUCAGGAGCGCCGCCGUAAGGGGCGUGGGUCCUAAAUGAUUAGCGCACAAACUGCGAAAAACCUCUGCCCCCCGAGUUUGGCAUCUACUCAAGGACAAUGACUGCCUCUGCCGUACUAGUUACCACAGGGCCGCGUACCCAUCCACGAUAAACGCCCACCCGAGCCCGGGUUCUGGCUGCAGACAAUGCCUACAGUGAAUGCGCUGUACCGGUACAAACCAUCACCCCGCACGGUCACCAGCUUGAAGGCGCUACCCGCAGACGCUAACCAAAAUCCAAUUUUUUUGGAUUUUUCGCCCUACCAGCUUAAAACCACAAUUCAUCGAGAUGCGACAGCCAGUCGCGUCGGAACACGUGCUCUACGACCUUCCCCAAGAAUAGUCUUAAAAAGCUGACACAUCGAUCAAAUCACUUGAACGCUCGCCCAAUUGCAAGGUCCAGUGCUGUUACAUUAUAUAUAUACUAUAUAAUGAGAGAGAGCAGAGAGACGAAAAUGUGAGGACAGAGAGAGAGAGAUGCACAUGGCUGCGAAUACUAUCAAUAGCCCCCACCAAGGUAAUUGGUCUUAUUAAUUUUAAUGCUUGGAUUGAGAAUGUACCGGUUUAGGAUGUGUGGCACCCCCUUAGCGUUGAGUGUGACGGUGUUGGUUGAAUAGUUAAGUUAAUGGGAAAAAAUAAUAAAAGGUUAAACUAUAUUGCGAACCGUCGAUAGCCAGCCAAACUUGCUAUCGAAUAUUUCCAGCGUCGACCUAGAUAAUAUAUAUAUAUAUAUAUAUAUAUAUAUAUAUAUAUAUAUAUAUAUAUAUAUAUAUAUAGAGCGGGACUGCUGUGCUCUCAGGAGCACGGAGGCCUCCGUGCUCCUGAGCCCUUUUCGAUGAUGAAAUUUUCGAAUCGACGAUCGGCUCCAUUAGACUUGAUCUAGCGUAUUUGAAGUUUCUAGAAAAUAAUUUUUGCGAUUUUUUGAUAUCAUUUACGUCGCAAUCGAAAGGAUUCAAAAUCAAUAAUUUUUAACGGUUGAAAAUAAAAAUCCUAUAAAAAGUGGUGAUAUAGCACUAAAAUUUUCGAUCAGAAAUAUUGAUCUUGUUGUAGAUAGUAUAAAGAAUUUUGUAUCAAAAUUUUUUCUGAUUUGAAUACUUCUACACCGUUAAACUUGAAAACGGGAGAUAUCAACCAUUAAAAAUUAUUGAUUUUGAAACCUUUCGAUCACUAGGUAAAUAAUAUCAAAAAAUCGCAAAAAUUAUUUUCUAGAAACUUCAAAUACCCUAGAUCAAGUCUAACGGAGCCGAUCGUCAAUUCGAAAAUUCCAUCAUCGA
RNAcentral lists this long non-coding RNA (315180 nucleotides) under Ananas comosus (pineapple). Its description in RNAcentral is "long non-coding RNA (ACOM_LNC002180)". Lineage: Eukaryota; Viridiplantae; Streptophyta; Magnoliopsida; Poales; Bromeliaceae. The record is from RNAcentral.